UGAUUAAAGGGAAAUUCUUCCCUUUGAAAUGUAAUUAUUUCAUUUCAAAAUAAAUUUAGUUGUGGACUUUUGCAUUAUGCUUCUCUUGUGGUUAAAAUUUCACUCUAGAUCAAAAUAUACUGAGUUUGAUGUUCACUUUGUAAGUAGUGAGUGGAGAAAUAAAUUUACAAGGUCGACUCCAACAAAGCAUCUGGUGGCAAACAUAUUUAAAGAUCUAAGAAGUAAGCCUCUAAUGCUACCAUUAUUUAGGGGCCCUGUGCUUCAAGAAACAGAGGACCCUGCACUCGAACUUUGAAGCUGAAGGAGUUGGACAUCUCAGCAUCUGAGUCUGCAUACAAGUGGAACAGGAGAUGCUGACAUGACAUCCUACGUGGAACUUAUGCGACACAUAUAAUGAGUCCAGUUCGUUCCUAGUUCAUACGCUUACAUUGUAACCCGGUUCUGUGUUUCCAGUACCAUAAGUGAAUCAUCACUUCGUGCCAUUGUAUUGCUAAUAGCAACUUUGCCUUGAUUGAUUUUGCUGACAAUAUGUACUCUACGUUUGGAACUGAGGUGCUAUAACUUUUAAUCUGCAGUUAUUGUGAAGUAAAAGUCAGAGUUGUGGUGUACAAGCUGGUGGUGUUUGGUAAAUUUUAAUAGUUGUGGAGUGGAAGCUAUGGUGUUUGGUAAAUUUAAUACCUGUAGAGUGGAAAUUGAUGAAUAUUUGUAAUAAUUAAUUUUAAAUAAUAUUAAUUUUAAUUAUUAAUUAAUCAAAUUAGUUUUCAUAUUUUGAAUUAUUAUAUUAACAUAUGAUUGUGUUUAUUACUUUGACAAAUUAGAUUAAUAUUUAAUUAAUCAAAUUUAUUUUUCUAUACAAGUUGUAAUAAAUAUUUUUUAAAACAAAAUAAUUUAAAAUUGAAAAUAAAUAAAUUCUAAUUUUACACAUUGAUUGAAGAAAUAAAUUAUACUAAAUAUGUCUAAUAAAGAUCAUACAACAUAACAUUAUAAAAUUAAAAUGUAAUUAAUUACAAAAUUCUUAUAAACAUUUCUAUUGUCAUGCCUCCAUUAAACUUGCGGCAACGCCAUCUCUGAAGAUUAUUUUAUCUUGAGCUCUGUUAUCAACUGUAUCAUAACUUUUUUUAGGAGAUGCAAUAUAGCUUAUAUGUUCACUAUUAUUAUGAUUUAGCUUAUCCAUUAUUUCAUCAAAAUGAUCAUGAUUUUGUGAAUAUCCUCUGAUGUAAUUAUGUAAGGCCAUGGUAGUAAUAACUAUCUUCACCUGCUUCUUUAAUGUAUGGCUUGACAUAUUUUGUAAAAUCUUCCUUAUUUGUUUUAAACCCCAAAAGCACUCGUUAGAGUGAACAAUACUCUCAACAUUAAGAGAUUCAGAUGCCUCAUUACCCUCUAAAGGAAACUAGAUGAGGGAAACCAAACAAGGUCACUUGUAGCCACUGCAUUUGAAUAGUUAAUUUAGUUUUUUCUCCAAUUCUGAAUCAAUACCAUUUUUUUGAAUUCUAUUGAAUUGCAAAUUUUCCUUUAUUUUCAUUUCCUACCGGUCCUCACUUGCAUCAACUGUCCUUAACCGAUGAUUCCACCCUAAAUCUGUUUCCUAGUCAAUCUGUUUCUUCCACAAUUUCCAAUUAGUUCUAAGAGAAUCCUAUUUGUUUUUCAUUUGAGUUCUAUUAUAAUCCAAUCCAAUUUCUUUAGUGAAUUCCUUGAUGAAAUAUUUAUAUGCUUGGGAAGUAGCCCUACUAGCUGAGCUACUAGACCUAAUUUCGAAACCUAAUUUCGUACACUUACACCUAGAAUAAAGAAUAAUAUUUCUUUGUCAAACAACAAUACAUGAAAGAGAUUAAUGAAGAGCGAUACCCAAUUUUUUUUAAAAGCAAAUAACACUAAUUAAGGAUGAAUUAUGUGCAGCAAUAAUGAACUAUGCCUAACAUUACACACUUGUAACACCCAAGCCCAACUUUGAGAACAAAUCUAACCACAACUCUCCUAUGUACUUAAAUAUCUCUUUACAAUUAACAACAAUUCAAGUCUUAAAUACAAUAUUUAAAUAGCGGGAGACUUUAAAGAUUUUGCACAGUCAUCUACCAUCCUCAAUUUAAGUCUUCUCCUCACUCAUCACGAAUAAAUCUUGACUUUUGAAAACUGAAUCACAAUAAACUAUAGUGAGUACAAAACUCAAUAAGCAAACUGGUUUUUCAUAUCCCAAAAUACAUACAUACUUAUAUACUAUGUAAAUAGAUAAUAUGCCAUGAUAUUUUUAAAAAACUAUAAAAUGAAUUCAUCAAAAUCUCUUUAUGUUGCUUUCAAACUUUCACAUUUUCUUUCAAUAAAAUACAUAUCAUGCAUAAGGCAUUUUGCACAAUACUUGGCACUUUGCACUAUGCGUUGCACUUCGCGGCACUCUGACCCUCGAGAGGUGGCCCCUACACGGCUUCAAGUGGUGGCCCCCAACGGAAACUCUCAUAAAACUAAGUAUAAUAGCAAAAUUCAUGUACAAAUCAUAAAAUUACAAAAUGCAAUAUUAUUAAACAUACUUUUUAUAAAAGCUUUGCAUGUUCAUGCUUAUGCCAAUGAACUUUCACACACACAUAUGCCCAUGCAUAUAAUCAUGCUCAACACAUAACAACACAUCACAUAAACACAUGGGUAGAAACAUAUAAAUCAUAUCUAUACAUAUAAAAAGUAGGUUUUUCAAACAUGGAAAACAUAUACAUAUUAAUUUAUUGUGAUCCAUUUAGAAGUCUAGUUUACUUACCUCUUGGCAUCCACAUGUAACAAAUGCGUAUUCAUAUCAUCAACCUAAAAAUCCUUUAUAAAACUCUCAUUAGAUAUAAUCAAGUCCUAAUCAUAAUUCUAAUGUCCUCAAAUUUCUCAUUUUAAACAUAUCCUAAACUCAACCUCAAAUACUCUCAAUAUUCGAUCCCAAAACAGAACAACCCAUGUUCUCCGAUUUUUGAUAAUUUAUUAUCUUAUUGGAAAAGUCCCAAAUUUUCAAGAGCAUAUGAUAACAUACUAGAAAUUCAUUGAUUAAAAUUUCAUAACUUAAUUCUUUCAAAAUCUAUUAAAAAUAAUUUACGUUUCAGACAUCAUCAAUUCUGUCAAACAACUUUCUAUUUUAAACAUACUUGUUUUAAAAAUACAAAACAAUUUAUUGUUUUAUCAUAAAAUCAUGAAAAUUUCCAAAAUCACUCUAGACAUAUAUAAAAGUUGCUAAUCCAAGUUUCAUAAUUUUGGAAGAAAUCUAGCUAUGGUAAGAUAAAUUUGUAAUUCAUGUUCUUCAUUAAAAUUAGAAAUUUUCAGGUUUUCAAAUUUGAGUUUAAAAAUCGUAAUUAAUUGAAAUCUUAUCCGUUUAGCUUGAGACAAGUUCCAAACAUUCUUCUAGUUUAAGAUAUUCAAAAUCUAGAAUCAAAAUCAAUUUGUACAAAUGGCUAUGAUUUUCGAAAUAACACUCUAUCAGCAUAUUUUUUGUGAAAUCUUAAGUUCUACUUCUAUUACCACUAUCUAACCAUGCUUCUCUAUAACAAUUAACACACUGUCAGCAUAGUUUCUGUGAAAUUUACCUCCAAUUCUCUCUCGACAUAAUAUCCAAUUUAAAAGCCACUACUUUGAUCUCAUGUGUCGCUCAUGGCUAACGAAGAAGAAGACUUUCUUUUUCUUCUUCUCUUCUUCUUUUUCUUGCGUUCUUUUUUUUUAACUCUCUCUCCCUCUCUCUCUCUCUCUCUCUCUCUCACAUUAAUAGCAAAGGAAGACAUCUAUUGGGGUAUUACAUGUUUACCCCUUAAAAGAAUUUCGUCCUCGAAAUUCGCUUUUAGUUAUGCUCAAAAGAGUCUAAACCUCAAAAUCACUUAUGACCAAUACAUCCUUAUAAAGACAAAAAAGAAACAUAUCACCCUUUCGUUGCGCUACUCUGAUACCUCAAUUAUAUAUUUCUUAGAAACAAAAUCACAAAGCCUAAAGGUGUGGCAUAGACCUAAUUCUAUUAAUCCUUACAACAUCCUUCCCAAGCGAUGCAGGAUGUCACAAAUGUCCACACAUUCCUGAUUGGGAAUGCUCUAAUACCAUUUGUAACAUCUUGGCCUGAACUCUAAGGACAAAUUAAUCUAACCAUAACUCACCUAUGUACUUAAAUAUCUCUUUAUAAUCAACAACAAUUCAAGCCUCAAAUACAAUAUUUAAAUAGCGGGUGACUUUAAAAAUUUUGCCAAACCAUCUACCAUCCUUAAUUUAAGUCUUCUUCUCACUCAUCACAAAUAAAUCUUGACUUUUGGAAAUUGAAUCACAAUAAACUAUAAUGAAUACAAAACUUAAUAAGCAAACUAGUUUUUCAUAUACAUAUAUACUAAUAUAUAAUACAAAUAGAUGAUAUGCCAUGAUCAAUUCAAAACACUGUAAAACAAAUUCAUCAAAAUCUCUUUCUGUUGUUUUCAAACUUUCACAUUUUCUUUCAAAAAAAUACAUAUGAUGCAUGUGGUAAUUUAUGCAAUCUGUGGUAUAUUGGACUAUGCAUAGCACUUCGCGGCACUCUAUCCCUCGAGAGGUGGUGUAACACCUUAGCAAAUCCUACAUUGACAAAGCACAGAAGAGAUGUUGGGUUUAUAAGAGGUGUUUCAUGACACGAUUCAAAAGUGUAAGAGUGUAAGAGUGUCUAGUUAUAAUAUAACCCGGUGAGUCUGAGGUCGAACCACUGGGAAUUUUAAAAUCUAGUUGUCAAUUUGUUAAACAGAGAAAAUAAUUGUACGGAAAAUAAAUUAUUUGAAAACAAUUUAAAAAUAUGCUAAGGUUACGAGAUCCACUUUCAGUAUUCAAACUAUAAUUUUAAUACUCACUCAUUUAUAUUUUGCCUCACUUUUACUAGUUAAUUAUUAUAUCAUUUAAUUCUAUGUGUGUGGAUAAAUAUGGAAUAAAGUACCUAAUAUGCCACACUAUAUUAAUGUGUCGACAUUAUGUCAAAAUACCAUACAAAUCCAAAGAAAUUUAUAAAUUAAUAUGACAUAAAAAUAACUAGAAAAGAAUAAAAUAAACUUAAAAACUCAUUUGAGAAAAUAAUCAAUUUAAUAGUUUGAAAUAUUGAGCUUCUCCCUUCACCUCGGCUUAAUAAAAUUUGCCACUCAUAUUGAAAGAAAACACAACACUCUUUUUAUUUGAUAUACUUUUGAAAUAUAUUACAAAGAAAAUUGAUACAGACGGAAGCAAGAAAAGAAAAGAAACAAAGAAAGAAAGAAAUUCUUCAGCUAUACCCUUGGCUAUCACUCUUUCUCAGAACUCGGCUCCGCCCCCUAAUGGCUUGCAUCCCCUUGCUUUUUAUAGGCAAGGGAAGCAUCUUCUUUUAUUUUAUUUUAUUAAUAUUAAUAUUUAAUUUAAUUUUUAUAUUAUAAAUAUGUUAAUUGAAAUGUGUGAUGGUCAGGAGGCGUAAUGGCCUCCUGACCAUCACCAACAUGCUUGCCAAUCCUUUUUAUUUAUUUAUUUUAUUUAUUUUUAAUAACAUGUCAUCGAUUGAUGAAUUCUAAAUUGCUCCAGUUGUCCUUCUUUGUUCCCGCUUUUAACUCUAAUUCCAUCUUUAGUCCUGAAAAAUAUUUACAAGAUAAAAAGUAACAUAUGCAAAUUAAUUUAACAAAAAAUAUAUUUGGGGAGUAUUAAAAUAAUUUAGAAAUAAUGAGCGCAUUAAUCAACACAAUAAGUGAAAAAUUAAUAAUUUUAUCCUUAUUAAAUGUACACUUUUUAGUGUCAAUCACACCGCCGAACCAGCUUAUUGCUAGGCCCUAGCAAUUUAAGCGAUAAAAGUUUACUAAAAUUUCAAACUCAAAUUGAAAAUCUUUUUUUUUUGAAAAAUUGUGUUUACUUCUUUCAUCUGAUUAAUGACAACAAUCAAAUAAAAGUAUAAUCAUUAUCUUCAGCCUAAAUAAAAUCACACCCGCACAAAACAAGUAAGUAAAAUCACGUAAAAUGAUCAAUUAUCAGAGCUACAUUAAUCAAGCCACUUUUAAGAAUGAUACAUCAAAUCUCAAAACCUCACAAUUAAGAGAGACUCUCUCAAAAGAAAAUAUUACCCAAAUUAAGUUGUCACUCUAAAAAUGGUAGAUUUGAGAGAAUAAUAAAAUAAUAUCACACACUCUCACCAAGAUGAAAAAAUAAUGCCCACAACUUCGAAAUAAAAUAAUCUCAAGUCCAAGGAAUUACUAGCAAAAUUAAUUUUUAUUUUUAUGCAUCACCACAUGUUUUAAUCCAUAUUACCAGCUUUUACUUCAGACUACAGUUCCGAAAAAUCGAGAAGGACUUUUAUUAGGACGUAAUGUAGGCUAGGGUUAUGGCUAAUAAAAAAGGUAAUAGGGAAAAAAUAUAUGUUUAAAAAAUAGGAGACUUUUUAGAUAUUACAAGGUGUUUUUUUUUCUUGGAAUUGUUCUCUUUUUUUUUUAAUUUUUAUUUUUAUAUACAUAUCCUCUUUUUUUUUUUUUUCAUAACACCAUUAUUAGAGAUGCAUAAUCAUCCCUAUUUUCAAACAUAAUUGGGUGGUGGAAAACAUAAUAUAUAAGGGAUACUCCACAUUGGAGUGGGAUAGGAUAAUAGGUUAUCAAAAGAAAAGUUUUUUUUUUUUUUCAAAGGCUCAAACGGGUUAACUAUGGAUUCUUUAUAAUAUGGUUGGAUAGAAAAUGCUCAAAUAGAUCAAAGAUGGCCUUCUGUCAUCUUUUAGGGCUCUAAAUAAUCUUUCAUAUCCACUAGUUCAAUGGACUUUUAGAUGUGGCUACACAAACUCUCUUUUUUUUCACUUUUUUUUUAAAAAAUAAUAUUGAGAUCUUGUACAAUAAAUUGUGAAGCUGUAUAGGCAAACAAAGUUACUCUCUAAGGAUAAUAGGCUCAAAUACUCGAUUGGACUUUUCAUAACAUGUACAUUCAUCCAAAUAGCUUAAUCAAAUUUACUCAUCAAAUUUCUCAAUUUACGUUUCAACAUGCAAUGGGGAAAACAUAGUGUAACAUAACUCAAGGCCAAAGAUAAUACAAAUACCAAAAUUUGAAAAUCGUCAUGUUAUCCAAUGUUAAAAGAUCACACCGAAAAAGAAAUUUUUUUUUUUGGUUAAAGAAACACUAAAAAAAUUGGGACUGAUUGCAGAAACUUAAGGCAGAUGAUUAAGAUAAAAAAGAGAAAAAGACAGAAAAUAAAAGGUUAGAAAAUAAUUUUUUUUUAAGAACAAAAUACUAAAAGUAAGAAGAUGCAUUUCUAGGGACACUAUAUUCUAUAUUUUGCUGUUUUCGACUCAAAUUUUAUCCAAAGUUAGUCUUUACAACAAAAAUUAGUAAAAACAUCACCAGGACUAAGAUAUUCCACAAUUGUCAACUACUCCCUCCCCUUAACUUGAAGGAGACAUUGUCCUCAAUGUCUAAAGAAAUGAAUAGAGUUUAGAAGAUAUCACCUGGCCACUGGGGAAAUAUUUACAAAUGGAGAGUUAAAUCUAAUUUAUAAUUUUUACGAGAGUUACUGCCAUCGUCAUCAGUUGCCCAAUCCAACACCAAAGUCAUGGGAUCUAGCUCUGGUUUGUAAGCUUGCAAAAGAUCAAGUAACUCAUUAGCAGUAGCAGUACAAAUGAAGAGUUUUUUCGUUGAGGGUGGAAUGAAAUAAUUUUUAAUUGCAUGAUUAAGAAAUGUUAUUAAGCCAUCAUAAAAGUUAUUAACAUUUAACAAACCGAUGAAUUUUUUAUGGAUAUUUAAAUGGGUCCAAGAAACAAAUGUAAUUAGUGCCUCUAAAGUUGCAAGAUCUCGUGGCAAGAAAAUGAAAGCGUCAGCAUGAUUUAAUAUUUCAGAUAUUCUUUAUUGCAUACCUGAGACAACUAACUCUUCUCCAGUUGGUGGGUCUAGUAGACAUCUUAAAGGUUUUAAGGUUUUUGGAAUGAUGCCUAGCACUUGGCUUCCCUGAACGAAAGCAGCUUCAGAGACAAGCUUUGAUAACCCUCGGUCACCUCCUCUAUAUACAAGAUGUAGUUUCCUCUCUGUUAUAGCAGGACCAAGAUCUAUGGCCGCCUGAACGAACUUCUUAUACUUUCCAUAACGAAAUCUAGAAAGCACACAAAUGUUCUUUAGUUGACUGCUUGAACUUGCUGCCAUUAGAAAAAUUAUAAAAAGAAACAAUUUGUGAGUGCUUGAAAAGGAGCUCCUAUUUAAGGAUCUUGGUGACAGACAUAAUGAUAUACAUCUGUAAAUGGGGUGGUGUGUUUGUCAAAUGAUGCGUGAAGCUUUUAGCUUAAUAAUUCAAAGGCAAACAGUAAAAAGAAAAAGCAAACAGUGAUUAGAUAUAAAAAAGACACACAAUAAUAAUAAUAAUGCAAAAGAUAAAAGAACAGUAAAAUAAAAGGAUAUUUACUAGUAGUUGUGAUUGUGGCUUAUAUCUUCCUCUGGUUUUACGUCUAGUAACGUCUUGAACUUUCUCUAUGGGUUGAGGAUAGGCUUCCCAUCCAGUUUUCUUAUAAAAUGACAAACAAGGUCUUUUAGAGUCAGAUUCCCAAGACUAAAUUGUGCACUUUCUUUUUGGAACAGCUUCCACAAAUUUUGAAAUUCACAUUGAACAUAUCCGCUCGGAUGCGUCUCAAGAGAUCGUAAGAUAUCAUUCAACGAUUUACAGAAACCAUUCCUAAAGUUUUACAACGUGGUUUUCUAUAAGUAAGUCUUACACAGUUAGGACAUUUAGAGCCAAGUCGCUUAGCUCUUCUUUUCUUAGCAAAUAUACUUUUACCAAAACCAGACAUGUAGGAAAUGAAUGGAUAAGAAAACUCACCUGCCAGUCGGACCUUUACUUCAAUUAACCAGCAAAUGUUUGCAGGAAUCCCAUUGAUCAUUAACAAACGUAGUCGUUCACAACGAGUUUUGUAAAUCUUCGUAAGAGCAUUUUGAGGGAGAGAAGGAAAAUGUUGAUGCAAUUUUCAUUGUAUUUCUUCCAUGCUUGACAUUGAGGUUUCAGUUAUUGUAGGAAACUGAGAAUAUCAACUUAAAAUGUCACGGUGUACCGUUAUCCGCCAUUUAUAUGGGAGAGUGAAUAAAAACAAAACGAAUGAAAUCUGCAAAAUCAAAUCAAAAGUGAAGAAGAACAACAAAAUAAAACAAAAACCCAUAAGGAAUAUAACUCACCUUUGUCCUUUUAUUGAAUUUACCUCCAGUUCCAAUUGCAUAUUGUAAAUACCAUCCUCUAUUUCCUUGAGUUGUCUUUGUAGAUCUUUCACGUGGGAUACUAACUCUGGUGGUUGUAGAUCCCAAAUGGGAUAUGAUUUACAAAAUCUGACCAAUUUCCUCAAGUGAAAUUUUACAUGUAAAAGUUCUUUAAGAUGUUCGAAAAUGAUACUUCUCAUGGAAGUACUCAUGACAAGUAUAACAAUUUGGUGAGCUAAAGCACAACUGUCAAACAAUACACAAUUAAAAACAAUGCAAUGCACUACAUUCAAGACAUAAGGAAAAGGAAAAAAUCAAAGAAUUCAAACGAUAAAGUAACAGUAAAUCAAAUUCACAAAAAGUUGAAAUGAAAAGGCUUAAUUAAAAUUUGGUGGGUCACUCAAAUUGAUUUCGGUAUCUGCUUCACGUGGUUGGUAUUGCAGAUAUGGUUUCAAUCUUUGGCCAUUAACUUUAAAUGUAGCACCAUAAUUUGGAUUCUCAAUUUGUACGGCUCCAUAUGGAUACACAUUUUUUACAACAAAUGGACCAUUCCACUUUAACUUUAAUUUCCCAGGAAAUAAAUGAAGACGAGAAUUAUAACGCAACACUUUUUGACCAAUUUCAAAUGUUUUCUGAAAAAUUUUUUUGUUAUGAAAAAGUUUGGUUCUUGCCUUAAUAAUUCUAGAAUUCUCAUAUGCAUCAUUCCUUAAUUCCUUAGGUUCAUUUAAUUGCAAUUUAUACACAUUACCAUCAUCAUCAAGAUUUGAAUUAAGAGCUUUAAUGGCUCAAAAUGAUUUAUGUUCAAGUUCAACUGGUAAGUGGCAAGAUUUUUCAUUAACAAGCCGAUAAGGUGACAUUUCUAAAGAUAUUUUAAAAGCAGUACGAGAUGCCCAAAGUGCAUCAGGUAGUCAAAGAGACCAAUCUUUACGAUUUGGACUAACUGUCUUUUCUAAAAUUUGUUUUAUCUCCCUAUUUGAUAAUUCAACUUGACCACUUGUUUGAGGGUGAUAAGGGGUAGCAACUUUAUGUGUAAUUCCGUAUUUCUUCAUUAAGAACUCAAAUGACUUAUUACAAAAAUGCUUACCUCCAUCACUGAUAAUGUAUUCCAAAUCUGCUCAAAAGAUUUUCUUUUAAAAAACGGAUCACAAUCUUGUGAUCAUUGGGCCGACAAUGAAUCGCCUCGAUCCAUUUUGAAACAUAAUCAACAACAAUCAAAAUGUAAACAAAUCCAAAUGAUGAUGGAAAAUGGCCUAUAAAAUCAAUUCCCCAACAAUCAAAUAUUUCAAUGACAAGGAUGGGGUUUAAAGACACCAUGUUUCGCUUUGAAAUAAACUCCACCAUUUGUCAAUUCUUACACACUUUACAAAAUGCAUGUGAAUCUUUAAAUAAUGUAGGCUAAUAAAAUCCACACUGUAAUAUUUUUGCAGCUGUCUUUUUUGAAGAAAAAUAGCCACCGCAUGCUUGAGAAUGACAAAAUUUAAUGAUCUUACUUACCUCGUCGUCUGGUAUGCAUCUUCAAAAAAUUUGAUUAGAGUAGUACUUGAACAGUAUGGAUCAUCCCAGUAAAAGCUUCUCACUUCUGUUAAGAAUUUUUUCUUGUCUUGGGAACUCCAGCCACAUGGCAUUUCACAUGUUGAAAGAUACUUAACAAUAUUAGCCUACUAAGUCAUUUUGUUUAUAGAAAAUAAAAAUUCAUUAGGGAAAAAAUUAUUGAUGGGUAUUGUUUCAAUUGAAGACUCAUUCGUAAGUCUAGAAAGAUGAUCUGUAACAACAUUUUCAACACCCUUUUUGUCCUUAAUUGCCAAGUUAAAUUCUUGAAGUAGCAAAAUCCAUUGUAUCAACCUUGGUUUGGCAUCCUGUUUUGACAUUAAAUAUCUCAGAACAUCAUGAUCAGAAUAAACAAUUGUGGAUAAUACGAACGAAAUUUAUUCAAUGCAAAUAUUAUAACAAGUAGUUCUUUCUCAGUUGUAGUGUAAUUCAUUUGAUCACUAUUCAAAGUUCUACUUGCAUAAUAGAUGACAAAGGGUUUACCUUUCUUUUUUUGACGCAGAACAGCGCAAAUGGCAUAAUUACUAGCAUCACAUAUUAGCUUAAAAGGUAAAGACCAAUCAGGGGGUUGCAUUAUUGGGGCUGAUGUCAAAAGAGUAGUUAUUUUUUCAAAAACUUGUUGACAAUCUUUAGUCCAUUCAAAAGGUGUAUCUUUUAUUAGGAGGUUACAAAGUGGUCUAGAUAUGGCACUAAAGUCUUUUAUAAACCUCCUAUAAAAUCCUACGUGUCCUAAAAAGGAACAUGAAUGUGGUCUUUUCCUGGUCUUCUAAGGCUAUAGAGAUUUGAUAAUAGCCAGAUAGUCAUCAAGAAAGCAGUAGUGGGGAUGUCCAGCUACUCUUUCAAGAAUUUGGUCUAGAAUUGGAAUGGGAAAAUGAUAUUUUCUAGUGGCAUCAUUUAAUUUUCUAUAAUCAAUGCACAUGCGCCAACUAGAUGGAUUCGUGUUGGGAUUGAUUCACCUUUUUCAUUUUUUACAAUGGUUAUUCCAGAUUUCUUUGGCACUACUUGUGUUGGACUUAUCCAUUUAUUAUCAGAGAUAUGAUAGAUAAUUCAUACAUCUAGUAGUUUAAGGACUUCAUUCUUUACCACUUCUUUCAUAUGAGGGUUUAGUCUUUUUUGUGGUUGAUGGUUUGUUUUGGCAUUUUCCUCUAAGUGUAUUCGGUGUGUGCAAAUUAAAGGAUUAAUGCCUUUUAUGUCUUUUAAGGUCCAACCAAAUGCAGUUUUAUGCCUUUUUAGUACAUAUAACAACUUACCUUCUUGAUCAUGCAUGAGCUGGGAAGAAAUUGCCACCGGAUAUGUCUGUUGCUCUCCAAGAUAAGCAUACUUCAAUUCUUCUGGUAAGGGCUUUAAUUCGAGCUCUUGUGCUUCCUAUUUGUUUGGUUCUUCAGGUUGUAUCGUAUCUUCAAAGUUCGAUUGGCUAUCGUCACCUGUAGGUACCUGCAUAGAAUCAAGUGUAGAACAUAUGUUAGCAGUAUCACAAUUUAAUUCUUUACUUGAUUCAAAAGAACCAGCAAAAUAAUUUUCCACAGAGUUUGUAAAAUUCUCAUCCUGAAUGUGUUCCUCAAUGAUUGGCUCGAUGAGAUCAAUCUCCUCAUUCUCAUUGUCAUUAUCUUCUUGGUGGUGGGGUUGUUUACACAUGUUGGACACAUUGAGUUCCAAUGUCAUGUUGCCGAAAGAUAAAUUCAUUCCUCCAUUCUUGCAAUUAAUUAAAGUAUUAGUAGUAGCUAAAAAUGGUCGACCCAAUAUAACAGGAAUUUGUUUGCAUUCAUUAGCAAUUGGUUCCGUUUCCAAAACAAUAAAAUCCACAUGGUAUAUGAAUUUAUCAACUCAGACUAAUACAUCUUCAAUUAUUCCUCUUGGAACUUUAAUCGAUCUAUCAGCAAAUAAAAGAGUGAUAGAAGUUGGUUUUAACUUAUUGAGAUUGAGUUGUUGGUACAUUGAGUAAGGAAGCAAAUUAACACUAGCACCAAGAGCAAGUAGAGCAUGUCUAAUUUUAUGAUCCCCAAUAAUGCAAGAAAUAGUUGGACAACCAGGAUCCUUAUAUUUCAAAGCACUAUUGGUCGAGAGAAUGGAACUUACUUGUUUUACCAGAAAAGCUUUCUUUUGCACUUUAUGUUCCCUUUUCACCGUGCACAGAUUUUUCAGAAAUUUAGCAUAAGAAGGUAUUUGUUUAAUGGUGUCCAGCAAAGGAAUGUUGACCUUCACUUGUUUAAAAACUUCAUAAAUUUCUGGACUGUGGUUUGAUUUCUUUGGCUUGAUUAGUGCUUGAGGAAAUGGGGGUACAGGAAGAGAGUUGGUUAUUUCUUCAUGGGUUAAAGGUUUGACAGACUCUUCCCUAUUUUCUGAAAUUAAAUCUUUGCUAGUUUCACGAGGGUUCACAAUGUGUUUUUCGACCACUUUACUAUCACAAAUGGUUAUAACCGAUUUGACUUGACUCAUAUUUUGGUUUCCCGAAUUUCCCAUUUGAGGAUGUUGUUGACUCUUGGGGUUUGGUUCAGGUUGAGCAGGAAACUUUCCUUUUUCAUGCAUGGUUGGAGCAGAUGUAAGUUUGCAGAUAGUUUAUGUCAAAUUGGUUAAGGUUUGCAUCGUUUGGUUAUUGAUCAACACUUAUUUUUCAAUAAACGAAUGCAAUGUGUCUUCCAGAGUUUUUCUUGAUGGUGGGACAUAUGGUGGGUAACUCUGGGGGUUUUAGAAAAUUUGACAUGAAAGAACUAGUUGUGAAGGCUGUGCAUGAUUUUCAUUUCUCCAACUGAAAUUUGGGUGGUUUCUCCAACCAGAGUUGUAAGUUUGGGAGUAUGGAUUUAGAUUUGGCCUUUUGAAAUUGUCAACGACAUUUACUUGUUCAUGCAAACUUUCUCUCAGAGCUGGCAAAGUUGGAUAGUCCUGCGUAGAAUGGUCAGUAGAAUCGUAAACAUAACAUGAAAUAUUUUGAACAGACUUUACAUUAUCAUUCUUUUUCAACUCUAAUGCUUCGACUUUUCUAGCUUAGGAUGCAAAUUUGGCUUGAAAAUCAUGGUCUUCCCUAAGGUUGUGUAUGCCUCCAUCAGAUGAAGAUGACUGUGGUUUAUUUGAUGACUUAUAAGAACCAACUGUAUUAUAGUGUUGUGCAUUCUCUGCUAUAUAGUCAAGAUAGUCUAAUGCAUCUUCAAGACUUUUAUCCCUAAACUCACCAUUACACAUCAUUUCAACGACUUGUCUAUCUUGAGAUGUUAAUCCCUCGUAAAAAUAAGACAUUAAUCUCCAUGUUUCAAAACCGUGGUGUGGGCAAAUGUUAAGUAGUUCUUUAAACCUAUCCCAACAUUGGUGGAGAGUUUCUCCUGGUUUUUGAGUGAAUAUAGUGAUUUGUCUUUUGAAAGAAUUUGUUAUGUGGGGUGGGAAGAAGUUUUUCAAAAAUUGUACUUGCAUUUCAUCCCAAGUUCUGAUGGAUCAUGACCUAAAAUUUGUAGCCAAAUUUUAGUUUUAUCUUUUAGUAAGAAAGGAAAAAACUUAAGCCUGAUUAUAUUCAUGCUACAAUUUUGAUCAGUACAUGUGUUACAGACUUCCUCAAAUGCCCUUAAAUGCAAACAUGGAUUUUCAGACUCAAAACUAUGAAAAGUAUGAAGAAGUUGAAUGAUAUCAGGUUUGAAAUUAAAACGUGAUGCAUCAGGAGGGAAAACUAUGCAUGAUGGUGACCUUGUUCUAAUGGGAUGCAUGAAGUCUCUAAGGGUCCUAGGUUGUUCAUGAAGAUUUUGCAAGGCUUGGUCAUUUUCGUGCUCUGAAAAAAUUUCAGCUCCUAUGUUAGCCAUAUCUAAGGGUGAUGAAGGUGAUCUCCUAAUUAAUCUGCCACUAUUUCUACGAGACCAACGACGCAUGCAAUGGUAAUGAUGUGUGCUAAACCAAUGAUGCAUAAAACGAUAAAUGAAAAUUGUAGAAAAUAAAAAUAAACUAGAAAUUAAGUUAGCAAAAAUACGAAAUAAAAAUAAACAAAUUGAAAAUAAAUAAAUUAGGCGGUGAAACCAGCCAUAAACAAAGAAAUUGAAAGAAACAGUUUAGGCGAUAUUUUAAAACCAGCCAUAUAAUAAAACAUAAAAUUAAAUAAAUUAAUGUACAAGAAUAAAUAAACUGAAAUUAAAAUGAUAGGCAGUAGAACCGACUAUAUAAAUAAAUUAACAAACUGAAAUUAAAAUUCUAGGCUAUAGAACCGACCAUUUAAAAUAAAUGUGGAGAGUAAAUUGUAAAAGUUUAAAGAAAUAAAUUCUAUUUAGGGACUGAUUUGCAAAGGUUUUUGGGCUAAAAUGAAGUUUGUCAUAAAUUUAUAGAUAAUGUUAAAGUUUGAAAAGAGGAGGGGCGCUAACUGAAGUUUUUCAAAAAGAGAAUAAAAUAGAAUUACGGAAAGAUAGAAACGACAAAAAAAAAAUUAAAAUAAAAUAAAGUAAAGAUAAGCUAACACCAAAUUUAGAAAACUACGCGAUAACGGCACCAAAAUUUUGACACGACUUAAAAGUGUAUUACUCACAAGUAUAAGAUUGUCUAGUUAUAAUAUAACCCGGUGAGUUUGGCGUCUAACCACAAGGAAUUUUUAAAUUUAGUUGUCAAUUUGUUAAACAAGGAAAAUAAUUGUGGGGAAAAUAAAUUAGUUGAAAACAAUUUAAAAAUAUACUAAGGUUACGGGAUCCACUCUCAGUAUUCAAACUAUAAUUUUAAUACUCUCUCAUUUAUAUUUUGCCUCAGUUUUACUAGUUAAUUAUUAUAUCAUUUAAUUCUAUGUGUAUGAAUAAAUAUGGAAUAAAGUACCUAAUGUGUCACACUAUAUUAAUGUGUCGACAUUAUGUCAAAAUAACAUACAAAUCUAAAGGAAUUUAUAAAUUAACAUGACAUAAAAAUAACUAGAAAAGAAUAAAAUAAACUUAAAAACUCAUUUGAGAAAAUAAUAAAUUUAAUAGUUUGAAACAUUGAGCUUCACCCUUCACUUCAACUUAAUAAAAUUAGCCACUCAUAUUGAAAGAAAACACAACACUCUUUUUAUUUGAUAUACUUUUGAAAUAUGUUACAAAGAAAAUUGAUACAGACGGAAACAAGAAAAGAAAAGAAAGAAAGAAAGAAAGAAAGAAAGAAAGAAAGAAAGAAAGAAAGAAAGAAAGAAAUUCUUCAGCUACACUUUUGGCUGUCACUCUCUCUCAGAACUCGGCUCUGCCCCCAAUGGCUUGCAUCCCCUUGUUUUUUAUAGGCAAGGGAAGCAUAUUCUUUUCUUUUCUUUUCUUUUCUUUUAUUAAUAUUAAUAUUUUAUUUUAUUUUUAUAUUAUAUAUAUUUUAUUUAUACAUAUAUGUUUAUUUUUAUAUUAAUAUUAAUAGUUUAUUCCAAUCUUUAUUUUAUUUUAUUAUUUUUAAUAACAUCUCCUCGAUUGAUGAAUUCUAAAUUGCUCCAGCUGUCCUUUUUUGUUCUCGCUUUUAACUCCAAUUCCAUCUUUAUUCCUGAAAAAUAUUUACAAGAUAAAAAUUAAUAUAUUGCAAAUUAAUUUAACAUAAAAUAUAUUUGGGGAGUAUUAAAGUAAUUUAGAAAUAAUUAGUGCAUUAAUCGAUACAAUAAGUGAAAAACUAAUAAUUUUAUCCUUAUUAAAUGUACACUUUUUAGUGUCAAUCAUUUUACAUCCUAAUUAGCAAGACAAGUUUUUGGGGUGUAUGGGCGCCCCAGAAAAAAAAAACCGUGUGGGUCUUGUUAAGGCCCAAAGCUGACAAUAUCUUGUCAGAUCUGGGUUGGGACAGAACAGAUGGUAUCAGAGCGGGUCUGCGUGUCUUCUUGAAUGAUGGUAGGCAAACGGCAAACCUUAGCGAGAAUGUUGAGUUCCUAAGGGAGGUGUAUGUAACACCCUAAGCAAAUCCCACAUUGACCAAACAUAAAAGAGAUGCUGUGUUUACAAGGGGUGAUCUACACCCUAAUUGGCAAGACGCGUUUUGGGGUGUAUGGUUGCCCUAGAAACAAAACCACGUGGGCCUUAAAGUAGAAAUAUCUUGCCAGGUCGGGGCUAGAUCAUGUAACAGCCCAAUUCUCUUAAGGGUAGUUUAGUAUUUUUAAUUUAUUAAUAUUUUUGUACCUUAUUAUAAAAAGAAUAAGAUGUUUUGCCUCUACUAUUGAUAAGAGAGAGAGAGAGAGAGAGAGAGAGAGAGAGAGAGAGAGAGAGAGAUUGGUUAAAAAAAAGAACAAAAGAAGAAGAAGAGAAAAAAAGAGAAAAGGAAAGGAGAAGAAGAAAGUCUUUUCCUUCAUAUAGUUAUGAGCAAUAAAUGAGAUCAAAGUAGUGUCUUUUGAAUUGGAUUUGUGCCGAGAGAGAAUUGGAGAUAAAUUUCAAUUCUUGAUCCUUGUUAAUUGCUAUAGAAAAGCAUGAUUAGAUAGUGGUAAGAGAAGUAGAACUUAAGAUUUUACAGAAAAUAUGUUGAUGGUAUGUUAUUUUGAAAAUCAUAGUAAUUUAUACAAAUUGAUUUUGAUUCUGGAUUUUGGAUAUGUUAAACUAUAUAUCUUCGAGAAUGUUUUGGAACUUGUUUCAAGCUAAUCGGAUAAGAUUUCAAUUAAUUACGAUUUUUUAAACUCUAGUUUGAAAACCUUGAAAUUUCUAAUUUCAGCGAAGAACAUGAAUUACAAAAUUAUUUUACCAUAACUAGACUUCUUCAAAAAUUAUGAAACUUGGAUCAACGAUUUUUAUAUAUGUCUAGUGUGAUUUUGGAAAUUUUCAUGAUUUUAUGAUAAAACAAUAAAUUGUUUGAUAGAAUUGAUGAUGUUUGAAACAUAAAUUAUUUUCAAUAUUUUUUGAAAGAAUUAAGCUAUGAAAUUUUAAUCAAUGAAUUUCUAGUAUGUCAGCAUAUGCUCUUGAAAAUUUGGGAUUUCUCCAAUAAGGUAAUAAUUUAUUAAAAAUCGGAGAACAUGGGCUGUUUUAUUUUGAGAUCAAAUAUUGAGAGUGUUUGAGGUUGACUUUAGAAGAUGUUUAAAAUGAGUAAUUUGAGGAUGUUGGAAUUAUGAUUAGGACUUGAUUAUAUCUUAUGAGAGUUAUAUUAAUGAUUUUUAGUUCGAUGAUAUCAAUACGCAUUUGUUACAUGUGGAUGCCAAGAGGUAAGUAAACUAGACUUCUAAAUAGAUCACAAUAAACAAUACGUAUAUGUUUGACAUGUUUGAAAAACCUAUUUUUGAUAUGUACGGAUAUGAUUUAUAUGUUUCUGCCAUGUGUUUAUGUGAUGUGUUGUUAUGUGUUGAGCGUGAUUAUAUACAUGGGCAUAUGUAUGUGUGAAAGUUCAUUAGCAUAAGCAUGAUGAAUAUGCAAAGCUUUUAUAAAAGUAUGUUCAGUACUAUUGCAUUCUAUAAGUCUAUGAUUUGUACAUGAACUUUGCUAUUAUAUUAAUGGUGCGUUUACUUCUUGGAUUAGGGAAUCAAAAUCCGAAAUUGGAAUCAUUGACAACGUUUUCUCCACAAAUAGAGUCGGGAAUCGAAAUCGAAAUUGUGGGGCCCACCACAAUGUAAAUGAGGAAUGGGAGACUCAUUCCCAAGGAAGAGGGUGGGAAUCAGUCUCCCAGUCCCGGGGCUAACCAUUUUGCCCUCCCUCAAAAUAAAAAAUGCCGCUUUGUCCUCAUUUAUAAUUAAUCAAUAUAUUGUUAUAAUUUAUUUAUUUUUUAUAAUAAUUAUUAAUAUAAUUAUUAUAAUUAAUUAAUAUAAUUAAUAUAAUUAUUACUAUUAAUUAAUAUAUUUUAUUAUAAUUAAUUAAUAUACUAUUAUUAUAAUUAUUAAUAUAAUUAAUUCAUGUAUUAUUAUUAAUUAAUUAAUAUAAUUAUUACUACUAAUUAAUAUAUUAUUGUUAAUAAUAUAUUAAUAAUUAUAAUUUUUGAAUAAAUAAUCACCAUAAUUAAUAUAUUAUUAUAAUUAAAUAAUUAAUAUUAUUAGUUCAUAUAUUUUUAUAAUAAUUAUUAAUAUAAUUAUUAUACUUAAUUAGCAUAUUAUUAUAAUUAAUUAAUUAAAAUUUUUUAUAAUAUAUUAAUAUAUUAUUGACAAUAAUUGUUAAUAAUAAUUUUUGAAUAAAUAAUCACUAUAAUUAAAAUAUGAAAUAAUAAUUAUGACAAUAAUUUAUUAAGUACUUUUUAGUAAUUUGUUACAAUUUAAUUCAUUUUGAUUCCGAUUCCAAGACAAAAUAAACACAUUAAUGGCAAUCCAACUCAUUCUGAUUUCGAUUCUUAUAGUUCAAGUAAACAACUUAUUUUCUAUUCCUUAUUCCUAUUUCAUCCCAUUCUUAUUCAUAUUCAUUUCGAUUCCUGCCCAUUUCAAUUUUAAUUUUGCAAAUGCACCAUAAGUUUCAUGAUAGUUUGCAUUGGGGCCACCUCUUAAAGCUGUAUAGGGGGCCACCUGUCAUGACCCAACUCAGACCUAGUAUGAUAUUGUCCGCUUUAGGCUUUAACAAGGCCUGCACGAUUUUGUUUCUAAGGUGCCAGUACACCACAAAACACGUCUUGCCAAUUAGGAUGUGGAUCGUCUCUUAUAAAUCCAACAUCUCUCCCGUGCUUUGUCAAUGUGGGGUUUGUGAAAUACUAACUAGGCAACCCAGGAGGGGGGGGGGUGAAUUGGGAUAUUAAAAGUUAUUUAAUCCUAAAACAAAACUCAAUGCAAAUCCAAAACAAAUUUAAAGCAAUAACAAAUAAAUCAAUCACAAUAUAAAAAGAUAAGGGAAGAGAGAGCAAACACAAUGAUUUUUACGUGGUUCGGCAAUCCCCGCCUACGUCCACGCCUCCAAGCUCACCGGGCUUGAGGAUUUCACUAAGCUAGCCUCCCAAGGCUUUAAACGCUUACAAUUGACUUCCAAGGUGUCAAUGGACCUUUACAACAAGAGAUUAUCCCCAAUCUCUUAACCCAAGUGUAUCCAACACUUACAAUUACUCAAAGUAAAAGAUUACAAGUUGUUCUUCUCUCACACAAUAUUUAAGAUUACAAAUCAAUGCCCAAUGUGUGAAUAGAUGAAGAGAGAAUGUGUUUUUAAAGCUCUAUGAAGAUUGUAUUCUCGGAUAUAGGCUCAAUGGUCGUGUUGUGAUCAACCUCCUUUGAUUUUGAAUGAGCUUAUUUAUAUCUGGAGCUGAAAAACUAACCGUUACAAACUGUCAGUCCGAAAACGAUUCGCCGUUAAUGAUUAACGGUUAACCGUUUAGGUUGGUUAAAAGUUACCAUUGAGCCAAAAUUCAAAUAAACGGUGUGUCGUUAAGGGUUACCCUCUCACCGUUAGUUUCUAGAGACUAGCAAUAUGAACAUCAGUUAUCCGUUUAAAGUAAACGGUUAAGGAUUUGCAUGAAGUGACUCCUCUGGAUAUUAUCGGUUGACCGUUUGUAAUAAACGGUUCACCGUUUGUUUCCAGUAACCUGCAAAACAAUUUAGCCUUAUCCGGUUUUGUUAAUCAAUUCCAGAGGAGGACAACCUUCAAUUCUGGAUGUUAUCGGUUAACCGUUUAAAUAAACGGUUCACCGUUAAGUUCAAGUAGCCUUCCCAUCUUUUGUGUUUUUCCAUUUUUCACAAACAGUUAGAGCUUUAGGCAAUAUGUUGCUAUCUGGAUGUUAUCGGUUAACCGUUUAAAUAAACGGUUCACCGUUAAGUUCUAGUAGCCUUCCCAUAUUUUGUGUUUUUUCGUUUUUCAUAAACGGUUAGAGCUUUAGGCAAUAUGUUGCUCUCUGGAUGUUAUCGGUUGACCAUUUAAAUAAACGGUACACCAUUUAUAUCCAGAAUUACAUUUUAAACCAUAUUUUACAGAGAAUCUUUUUCUAAUUUGAAAGUCCAUCUUUUAUGAAAAAUGAAUGGAAUGAUUAUUAAUGCUUUCGUUUAUUAAGGAAUAGGUCCAAUAUUUUUAUCAAAAAACCAUUUAAAAUUUGUUAUCGUCAAAAUCAAUAUUAUUAACAUAUUCAUGUUAACAAUCUCCCCCUUUUUGAUGAUGACAAAUUUCAAUCAAUGUUUAACUCCCCCUUAAUAUGUGCUCCCCCUAAAUGUAUGGCCAAAUUAAGAAAUGUUCAAUAAAAGGAUUUUUGCUCAAGAAAACAUUUUUAAAUUCAUUCUUAAUCUCCCCAUUUUAAAUCCAUUUUAAAUACCAUAAUUAUCUCCCCCUUCAUCAUCAAAAAGAAAAGAGAGAAUAGGAAAAACGUAAAUCCGUUAAAGAAAUUAUCCGGUGUUGGCAAGUGAAAAUUUUGGCAGAGUUUCCCCUUAAAAAGGAGCAAAACCACUAAUACAAAAUGAGAUUAAAACACUUCCAAAAUAGAUUAACACCAACUUCAUCUUUCAACAAACCAACAACUCCAUGAACAAACAAACCAACACUUCAAUAUCCAAUAAACCACAAAUUGCAUCAACCAAUCACCAAGUCAUCCAAUCAGCAAGAACAUCACAAACAUAUGUCAUCAAAAUUCAGAAAGAACAUAUAGAGGGAACAAUGUAUAUAAAAAUAUAAAUGCAAACAACCAAAAUGUAUGUGCGAAAACAGAACUCAGAAACUAUGGUGGUGGAGAAGAUGUGCUCCUCGGAUCAUAGCCGAAAUAGCGGAGAAGAGUGCGCUGUCCAGCGAUAAGCUCAAGCUGCUGGAAGGUCUGAAAUUCAGAACGUAGCUACUGGUGGUCACGGGAAAUAGUGUCCAACCGAUCAAGAAUCAGCUGCUGGCGCUCUGAAAUCGGGUGAACAUCAACAAUCAAUUGCUGCACAAUGUCUGAAGCAGGGGGCUGAACUGGAGUUGGAGGCGGCAUAGAGGCAGAUUGUUGCUCAGGAACAGCAGAUGGCUGCUUAGGAAUAGCAGAUGGCUCAGGAGCAGGAGGCGGCUCGGAAGAGGAGGGAAUGACAGCAUCCAUCGCACGCUCCUCAGAGUCAGAGUCAGUUGGAGGCCGAAGGACAAAACGGUGACGCGGAGGAUGAGUAUGAGCUCCUAAUCUAAAGUCCGGAAGCUGAUCGAGAGGAUAGAUAUCAUUGAGCAUCCGAUCGUCCUCUGGAGCAAUCAAGGUAUCCCGGUUUUUGGAGUUGCUUGUCUUUAUCCACUCUCCAUUCUUCCUAGAAAAACCAAUACUAGUCAUGGCCUUGGGACCAAUCCGUCUAGUCUCCAUAUAUCCAGUAUCAAGAAGAGGCACCUCAAAGCGUCGCAGUAUCUUAGUAAUGAUACUGCCAUAAGGAAGCAAGCGGUGAUUGACCGUGGGAAUACUCAACAUAUGCCGCACAAUAACAUACCCGAGGUUAAUGGGACAGUCUGUAAGUAGGCUAUCUAGUAGGCCAACGUCCAACCUCGUAACCUCAUCCGAGUGACCCUUUCUAGGUGUCACUAUGUGCUGUAAAAUAGUGUGAAGAAUGCAAACUUGGAGGGGUAAAAGUUGAGACAAAAAAGGAAGCAAACAAAUCUCUUCAGACAAGUCUCGACGACGACAUAUAUUGCGGAUGCCAUCAGUAUGACAAAAACUGUCAAAGAAAAGAGCUUUCCUAGAGGUGUAUAUAUCAUGCCUCUCACUAGAGAUACCAAGAAAGUCAGCUAGGUCCGCAUCAUUAAACUCUAUUGACACGACCGACUUGAGUAAUUAUCCUAUUUGGGCAAGUAUCAGAGAUUUCCAUGUUUGAAUAAAAGACUCGUACUAAAUUUGGAUAAACUCGGUCAUCAAGGUUAAUGGCAGGCUCCCAAGGCUGAAGCAUAUCCCGAAUGCUUCUACCAUAUACAACUAAGUUACGGAAAUCAUCAAUGUUAAUAAAGAAUGAGUCAAGUACCUUUCGACCGUUGAAGCGAUCUUCGAACCACUUGGCCAAGGAAGGUGUAGGGAAGUGAAUGCGUGCAAAUUCAGAGACUUCCCGUGGUGGUAUAGGAUUCCUUGGAGGCACAAAUUUACGCCUGAGAUUUCUCCGAGGGGGUUCAGCCAUGGAGAAACACAAUGGAGUGUGGAAAAUGCAGGAGAGAUGUGAUGAGAAGAAAAAGAAUCGAUGAUUGGCUUAUGAAUGAAUAGAGGAUGUGAGUUGGAUGCUUAAUUUGGUUGAAGAAGGGGAAGAAUCAGAUUAAAAACGAAGAAACUCGACCCGCGAUAGUUAGGGUUUCAAUUUGGGAUUUUUAAAUUUUGGGCUUGAUUUGAAGUUUUGAAUCGGUGAAAUUGUUCUAAAGGUGAUAAGAAAUGAUGUUGGAGGUUUGAUUUGGCAAGAAAAGAAAGAAAAAUAAGGGUUUGAAGGUAGAGAAACCUUCGGCUGUGCAACAAUGGCCGAAACAGUGAAAGGUUAACUGGAGAAGGAGAAGAAAAGACCUUUGAACAGUUUUUAUAAUCGCGAAAACGGUUAACCGUUUAUUGAAACGGUUAAGGGGUAACUUCCAGAAGCUAAAGAAUAGGCAACGGUGAAAGCUUAAGCGCUUAACAGCUAAGGAGCAACUGUUAGAGGACUCUCUGUUUUCAAAUGAUUCACCGAUUGUAGCAAACGGUGAAAGAGCAAACGGAUAGACACAUAAUCUCGUUUCUGGAAUUAAACGGUGAACCGUUUAUUGGAAACGGUUAACCGUUUAUUUUUAUCAGUAAUUUCGCACAUUUGAUUUAAUUUUUGGCCAGCAAAUUAUAUUCCAAGAUUAUUUAAUUGAUCUGAAAAUAUUUUAUGAGCCAUUUUAAUGGAUGAUUCAUGAACAUGUUUUCAACCAAUUAAUUCAUAUAAUCAAGAAUUAUCAAGGCAAAUUCAUCAUUUGACUAUCAAGCUCAAGCAUUUCACAAAUAUUAGAUCACAACUAAGUCAAUCAAUUCAGUACACUCAAUAACAUGAAUCGAGACGUUAAUGCAAAAAUUUCAUCAUCCCAAGUUCAUGCCGAAUUUUUUAAAAUUGUUCUUCGCAAAGUGGUUUUGUGGAAAUAUCGGCAAGUUGUUUUUCCGUAGAAAUAAACUCUAAUGCAAUAUCUCCCUUUUGAACAUGAUCUCUCAAGAAAUGAUGUCUUAUUUCUAUAUGCUUGGUUCAAGAGUGUUGAAUGAGAUUCUUUGAAAGAUUUAUAGCACUAGUAUUAUCACACUUAAUAGGAAUUUGUUCAAGAUUAAUGCCAUAAUCUCUAAGAGUUUGUUUCAUCCAAAGUGCUUGUGCACAACAACUUCCAGCAGCUAUAUAUUCGGCCUCGGUAGUUGAAAGUGUGACCGAAUUUUGUUUCUUGCUAAACAAUGAAAUAAGAGAGUGUCCUAGAAUAUAGCAAGUACCACUAGUGCUCUUCCUAUCCACUUUAUAACCGGCAAAGUCCGCAUCCGAAUAACAUGUUAAAUCUAUAUGAGUUCCUCUAGGAUACAAAAGGCCAAUAUCUAUGGUUCCACUCAAAUAACGGAAAAUUCUUUUAACAGCAAGCAAAUGGGAUUCCUUGGGACAUGACUGAAAUCUUGCACACAAACAUACACUAAACAUGAUAUCGGGUCUAUUUGCAGUCAAAUAAAGUAGGGAUCCAUCUCGAUACAUUUUGACAUCCACUUCUUUGCCUUUUUCAUCUUUGUCCAGCUUGGUUGUUAUGCUUAUUGGUGUAUUCUUGGUCUUUGAGUUAUCAAUGCCGAAUUGUUUGAGUAGAUCUUUUACGUAAUUGAGUAGAUUUAUGAAAAUUCCUUCCUCGUUUUGUUUGAUUUGAAGUUCAAGGAAGUACUUCAACUCUCCCAUCAUACUCAUCUCAAAUUCUUUGCUCAUACACGAUGAAAAUUCUUUACACAAUAACUCAUUAGUAGAACAAAAAAUAAUAUUAUCAACAUAAAUUUAAACAAUAAGUAUGUCUUAGUUCUUGUGCUUAACAAAUAGAGUAGUAUCCGCUUUAGCCAUAGAAAAAUCAUUUUCUAGCAAGAAAUUUUUAAGUCUAUUAUACCAUGCUCUAGGUGCUUGUUUUAAUCCAUACAAGGCUUUAAGCAACUUAUAAACAUGAUUUGGAAAUUUUUCAUUUUCAAAACCAAGGAGUUGUUUUAGAAACACUUCUUCCAUGAUAUAUCCAUUUAAGAAAGCACUUUUCACAUUCAUUUGAAACAAGAUGAAAUCUCUAUGACAUGCAAAUGCCAACAACAUUCUAAUUGAUUCUAGUCUAGCAACGGGUGCAAAAGUUUCAUCAAAAUCAAUUCCUUCUUCUUGGUUGUAACCUUGAGCCACUAAUCUAGCUUUAUUUCUUACAACCACACCGGAUUCAUCCAUCUUAUUUCUAAAGAUCCAUUUUGUACCUAUGACGGAUUGAUGUUCCGGUUUAGGAACUAAUUCCCACACAUUGUUUCUUUCAAAUUGAUUUAACUCCUCUUGCAUUGCCAUAAUUCAAGAUUCAUCAUUUUCCGCAUCCGCAAAGGAUUUGGGUUCAAUUUGAAAAAUGUAUGCAUUAUGCUCACAAGUAUUUCUAAGUGAUGAUCUAGUUGUAACACCUCGUAAGGGAUCACCUAAAAUUAUAUCUAUAGGAUGAGAAGAGACAUACCUCCACUCCUUGAGGAGUGUUUGGGAAAUACCUUCUUGUUGCUCCAUCUCCGUAUUUGUUUGCUCUUCUUGUCUAUCCUCUUGAUUUUCUUGUGAUGCAUUUUCUUGAAUCUCUUUCGAUGAUUCUUCUUGUAAAUCUCCAUCUGCAUCAUCAUUAGCAACUCCUUUCUCCGUAGAGCAGGGGUUAGACUCAUCAAACGUAACAUGCAUGGAUUCUUCCACAACUAAAGUUCUUUUAUUAUAAACUCUAUAAGCUUUACUUGAGUUUGAAUACCCAAGAAAGAUGCCAACAUCAGAUUUUGGAUCAAAUUUACCAAGAUUAUCUUUUGUGUUUAAAAUAAAACAUUUGCAUCCAAAAACUUUGAAAUAACCAAUGUUGGGUUUUCUAUCUUUCCAAAGCUCAUAGGGAGUUUUGUUGAGAUGAGGUCUAAUCAAUACUCGAUUUAAAACAUAGCAAGCGGUGCUGACGGCUUCGACCUAAAAAUAUUUAGGUAAAGCAUUUUCAUUUAACAUGGUACUAGCCAUUUCUUGAAUAGACCUAUUCUUUCUCUCAACAACUCUAUUUUGUUGUGGAGUCCUAGGUGAUGAAAAUUGAUGCUCAAUGUAAAAUUAUUGCAAAAGUUCUCAAAUGCAUGAUUUUCAAAUUCUCCUCCAUGAUCACUCCUAAUGCAUAUAAUAUCAUGCUCUUUUUCAUUUUGUAAUUUCUUAUAAAGCACUUUAGAAGCAUCAAGUGCAUCAUCCUUAUUGGCUAAGAAUAAUACCCAUGUAUAUCUAGAAAAAUCAUCCACUAUCACAAAUGCAUAAUACUUGCCAUUUAGACUAGCAUAUAUAGAUGGCCCAAAUAGAUCUAUGUGAAGGAGUUGAAGUGGUUUUGAAGUAGAGAUAUGGUUUUUAUUUUUGAAAGAGGUUUUGAUUUGUUUUCCAAAUUGACAAGCUUCACAAAUCUUAUUCUUUUGAAAACCAAUUUUCGGAAGACCUUUAACUAAAUCAUUUUUUGAAAUUUUCGAAAUCAAAUCCAUACUUGCAUGUCCUAAUCUUCUAUGCCAUAGCCAACUAUCAUCAUGUAAUGCGGAAAAAACAUUUAUCAAGAGUAGAUGCACAUUCUAUGUCAAUGAUAUAAACAUUACCACAUCUAUUACCAACAAACAAGAUUUUGCUAUCACAUGAGUUCUCAAUAACACAACUAAAUUUGUCAAAGAUAACUUUAUAACCUUUGUCACAUAAUUGACUAAUGCUAAUUAAGUUGUGUUUCAAGUUCUCAACCAAACAUACAUUCUCAAUUAGAGUUGAGGAGACUUUACCAACAUUUCCAAUUUCAAGAAUUUUUCCUUUUGAGUUGUCUCCAAAAGAUAUAUCUCCACUAUUUUCAAUUUUGGUGAAGUUUGAGAACCAUGCAUAGUUUCCGGUCAUGUACCUUGAACAACUGCUGUCCAAGUACCAUUUAUUUUUCUUCUUCUUUAAGCCCUACAAAGAAAAUCUCAAGUUUUAGGUACCCAAAACUUUUUGGGUCCUUGAGAGUUAGCAAUGGUUCCUUUUGGAACCCAAAUACAUUUGACACCAUAAUAUACAUUCCUUUUCACGGGACAUCCAUAUUUCAUGUGACCAUUUUGAUUACAAUAAUGACAGACAAUCUUAUGAUCAUUUGUGGAGGUAGCUUUAACAAAAUAAUUCUUAUAAUACUUUUGCUUCAAGUUAGGCUUGUAACCAAGUCCUCCUUUAUCAAAAACACAUUUUUGUGAAUUAAGCAUAUUAUCCAACAUCUUUUGACCAUUUGUAAAUUUCAAAACAAUUUCAUUCAAAUCAUUGCUCUUUUUCUUGAGCAUUUCAUUUUCAUUUUUCAAAUCAUCUAUGUGUGAUUCUAAAUGCUCAUGUGAGGUACUAUGCUUCUCAUUUGAUAAUGCAAGUUUAUCAUGCAAUGUUUUGUUCUCUACUUCUAGGCAUGCAAUUUUUGCAUUUAAAGAUUCAUUUUCAUUUUUAACUUUUGUCAUUUCCUUUUUAAGACAUACAUUCUUUUUACCAAUCUUUAUCAACUCAUUAUGCAAUUCUUCAAAAGCAUCAUACAAUUCAUCAUAGGUGGGAUCACUUACCUCAUUGAGAUUAUCAUCCUUUCCUAUUGCCAUAAGCGCUAGGUUUGAUUCCUCUUACAAUCCUUCUUCAUCACUUGAAUCUUCCUCGCUAUCAUCCCAUGUUGCAACCAUGGCUUUCUUCUUGAGUUUGAUGAUAAGUGGACACUCCGAUCUUAUAUGGCCAGGCUUCUUGCACUUACAGCAUGUGAUCACCUCUUUCUUCUCCCUUUGGUUCUUAAAGUUUCUGAAUUUUCUUUGCUCUCCAAUUUUCUUGAAAAACUUUCUGAACCUCUUUGCUAGCAUGGCUAACUCUUCAUCAUCCGGUUCACUACCUCCAUCACUCUCAUAUUUUGAAUCUUUGCGAGCGAUGCUUUUCUUCUUCUCCUCGUCUCUUUUUUUUACUGCCAAGUCUUCUUCAUAUGAAAUGAGAGAACCAAUUAAAUCAUCAAGAGGUAAAGUAUUUAAGUUUUUAGCCUCUUCAAUGGCAGUUCUUUUAGGUCUCCAUUCUUUUGGAAGUGACCUAAUGAUUUUCUUAACUUUCUCACUAUUUGAGAAGGUCUUCCCUAAGGCACCUAGAGUGUUCACUAUGUCCGUGAAUCUAGUAUACAUAGAAUACACAUUUUCAUUUUGUUCCAUUUGGAACAGCUCAUAUUGACGAGUGUAUCUACUGAUUUUAAACUCUUUAACUUGAUUUGUCCCUUUAUAGACAACUUCAAGUUUAUUCUAUAUUUCUCUUGCACUUUCACAACUAGAUACUCUAUGAAAUUCUUACUUAUCAAGGGCACAAAACAAAGCAUUCAUAGCCUUGGAGUUUAGAGAUAUCUUUCUCUUUUUUAACUCACUCCAUUGACUCGAUGGUUUAGGAAUAUCAUCUCCUACUUCAUUUUUAAACGUAGGCAUGAAUGGACCAUCAUAAACAACUUCUCAAAUUUCAUAAUCUAAGGCUUGCAAAUAGAUUCUCAUUCUAGUUUUCCAAUAAGCAUAGUCAUUACCAUAAAAAAAUGGUGGUCUAGUUGUAGAUUGCCCUUCUCUAAAGGUUGAGUCAUUUAGGGAUGCCAUGGAUCUUUUACUCUUAGACGAUUAAGUCCUAACAAGAGAACAAGGCUCUGAUACCAAUUGAAAUACUAACUAGGCAACCCAAGAGGGGGGGUGAAUUGAGAUAUUAAAAAUUAUUUAAUCCUAAACCAAAACUCAAUGCAAAUCCAAAACAAAUUUAAAGUAAUAACAAAUAAAUCAAUCACAAUAUAAAAAGAUAAAGAAAGAGAGAGCAAACACAAUGUUUUUACGUGGUUUGGCAAUCCCCGCCUACGUCCACGCCUCCAAGCUCACCGAGCUUGAGGAUUUCACUAAGCUAGCCUCCCAAGGCUUUAAACGCUUACAAUUGACUUCCAAGGUGUCAAUGGACCUUUACAACAAGAGAUUAUCCCCAAUCUCUUAACCCAAGUGUAUCCCAACACUUACAAUCACUCAAAGUAAAAGAUUACAAGUUGUUCUUCUCUCACACAAUAUUUAAGAUUACAAAUCAAUGCCCAAUGUGUGAAUAAAUGAAGAGAGAAUGUGUUUUUAAAGCUCUAUGAAGAUUGUAUUCUCGGAUAUAGGCUCAAUGGUUGUGUUGUGAUUAACCUCCUUUGAUUUUGAAUGAGCUUAUUUAUAUCUGGAGAUGAAAAACUAACCGUUACAAACUGUCGGUCCGAAAACGGUUCGCCGUUAAUGAUUAACGGUUAACUGUUUAGGUUGGUCAAAAGUUACCGUUGGGCCAAAAUUCAAAUAAAUGGUAUGCCGUUAAGGGUUACCCUCUCACCGUUAGUUUCCAGAGACCUACAAUAUGAACAUCAGUUAUCUGUUUAAAGUAAACGGUUAAGGAUUUGCAUGAAGUGACUCCUCUGGAUAUUAUCGGUUGACCGUUUGUAAUAAACGGUUCGCCGUUUGUUUCCAGUAACCUGCAAAAUAAUUUAGCCUUAUCCAGUUUUGUUAAUCAGUGCCAGAGGAGGACAACCUUCAAUUCUGGAUGUUAUCGGUUAACCGUUUAAAUAAACGGUUCACUGUUAAGUUCCAGUAGCCUUCCCAUCUUUUGUGUUUUUCCGUUUUUUAUAAACGGUUAGAGCUUUAGGUAAUAUGUUGCUCUAUGGAUGUUAUCGGUUAACCGUUUAAAUAAACGGUCCACCGUUAAGUUCCUGUAGCCUUCCCAUCUUUUGUGUUUUUCAUUUUUCAUAAACGGUUAGAGCAUUAGGCAAUAUGUUGCUCUCUGGAUGUUAUCGGUUCACCGUUUAAAUAAACGGUUCACCGUUUAUAUCCAGAAUUACAUUUUAAACCAGAUUUUGUAAAGAAUCUUUUUCUAAUUUGAAAGUCCAUAUUUUAUGAAAAAUGAAUGGAAUGAUUAUUAAGGCUUUCGUUUAUUAAGGAAUAGCUCUAAUAUUUUUAUCAAAAAACCAUUUAAAAUUUGUUAUCAUCAAAAUUAAUAUUAUUAACAUAUUCAUGUUAACAGUUUGCUUAGGGUGCUACAUACACCCUUCCUUAGGGACUCAGAGUCCUCACUGAGGUUUGCCACACCAUCGUUCAAUAUGACACAAGGACUCGCUCUGAUACCAUCUAUUGCGACCCAGUCUAGACCUGGCAAGAUAUUGUCUGCUUUGGGCUAUACAGUUUUGUUUCUGAGGUGCCUAUGCACCAUAAAACGUGUCUUGCCAAUUAGGGUGUGGAUCACCCCUUAUAAACCCAGCAUCUCUCCCGUGCUUUGUUGAUGUGAGAUUUGCCUAGGGUGUUACACAGUACCCUAUUUCAAAAUGAGUUGUUAGUUUAAUAAACUUGUGGGUUCCUCUAAUUACAUACCUUGUUUCGAAGAAAUUACAAUAUUCUCAAUAGUUUAAUUUUUCUUUAGUUACCUUUAAGUGAAUCCUUUAAAAUUUAUGUGAAGCUGAAAUGAUUUGUUCAAAAACAUGUAUUGUUGGAAUAUGUAGCAGUUGGUUACUUGUCUGUUGCUGCCUUUGACAAUUUUUAUUAGAGGAAUUUCAUCAAACAGAUCGUGCAUGUCUACGAAAAGUAACUAAAAAAUAAAAAAUGCAAUAAAAACAGUGACUAAAAGCAAAUAAAUCACGCAUGACCCAACAUCUAUUAAUUUAUUCUAAGUAAAAGCCCCAACACAUUGUGAACAAAGGAAGAAAAUGAAAAAUUACAUGUAACAGAGUAAAGAAAAACUCAAAAAAAUAAACAAUGCAUAAAGGAAAAUGUCGCCGUUCUUGGAUAUUUUAAACACAAAGAUAGAAGAAUAGACGUGUAUGAAAAUGGCUGGUGUUAGAAUCGUGUCGAUGAAAAUUACGGAUGUUGGAAUCACAUCAAUGAGAACCGCCAGUGUUGGAAUCGUGCUAAUGGGAACAACAUUUAGAGUUUGUUUUAUGGAAAAAUUGAUUUGAAAUUAAGUUUAAAAAUGAGGAGAAUAAAAUUGAAAUUAAAUAAUAUGUAAGGGUAAUUUAGUAAUUUAAUAUACAGGUGGGAAAAAAUCUACUGAGGUGUCAAAGUCCAGCUACAAGGUGUUACUAUUGAAAAUGAGGGGAUGAUAUAUGGAAAAAAGAAGCUUCAUUUUAAAUUAAUGAACAAAAUUAUUCUUUCACAAAGUAUUAAAAACAAUAAAAUACUAUUACAUAGCUCGGAAAGUUUGUAUUAAGUUAUAGAAUUAGGUGUCUCUUAUAUAUAUGUCUUCCCAUGAAUAAAAGCAUGUGUAUUAAGUUAUGAAAUUGUGGAUUAUUAUACCAGUCUAAUGGCUCUUUCCCUUUCAACAUUAUUGUACGUAUUUUGCAAGGAAACAUCCUCUAUCUUUCUUUCAAUUAAUGUCCAAUUAAGACUUCCGCGUGCCCAAUUAAUGUCAAUCACUCAAUUGUUUUUGAACGUGUACAGGAUAACAACUUAAAGACUUUAGAGGGCCAGCGUUAAUUCAAAGUCAAAACUAGGUUAUUACCCUACAUGAUUCUUGAUAGUGAGGUGAAAAAAAGGUUGAAAAGGAUUCGGAUUUAAUCUUGAGUUUAGUUUUUAUUGAGCACUGAAUUAAUAAUUAAUAUUUAUUUUGUAUUUUUAUUUAUUUAUCUUACUUAACAACCAUUUACUUAAAUCCUUGUCCGGUUGAAGGAUACUAGAUAAAUGAUUUUUAAAACUUUAGUUAUUUUUGUGUAUAAAACAAAAACUUUAAAUUAUUUAGUUUCAAAAGAGAGAAAAAAAAUCUAGACUUUGACCUGCUUGGGAAUAAAUUAUAUUUGUUAUUUAAAAAAAAAUCAUACUAUGAGAAAGAGAAAAUAUAAGUGGGGUUAAUUCUAUUUGUAUGUCCUUAAAUAUAAUUGUAUAGAAGAGGGAUUUUAUAAUAUUAAUGAAGGGGUGCCAAUACUCCAACCUUUUCUCAAUUUUUUUUUUAAUUUUUAUUCAUCUACCCAAUGGCUGAAUUUAUUUUCAUUAUUAUGUAGGUGUGGUGUUACUAGAAAUCAAAGAAUAGGAUCCUCUCCUGAUCUGAGCCCUACUGAGAUUUUAAAGAUCUUCUGUCAUGUGUCAUUUAGUGGUAGUGUAGGGAUAAGAUUUAACUUCUUUUACUUUUUUAUUUAUUAACUACCAAUCAACAAUUGAAUUAUUUGCUCAGGACAUAAUCAGAUCAAGAGAGAAUCUUGAUCCAGAAAUCAAAUGCUGCCUUUUUUUUUUUCCCCUCCUCUCCUCACUUGUGGUGGAAUAAGGAGAAUUGAACCAAACCAAUAUCCUAAUUACUAACAGAUUUGAGACAAAAUUAACAUUUUAAAAUAUUGCAAACUGGUAAAAAGUCAAACUUUUAUUUGCUACAUAAAUAUAAUCUACUUUACAUAUUAAUAUCAAAUUCGUUAGGUUAAAUUCUAGGUUCAAAUCCUAGCAGCGAAAUUAAUUUCUUUAUAGCUGGCAAACAUAUAUGCACUUUUUUUUCUUAAUUUACGCAGAAGUUUGAGUUAAACUAGUAAAGGAAUUAUUUUCUAAUUAACUUCUUCUUUUUGAUUUUGGAAAAAAAAAAUUGAAAGAAAGAUAGGAAGCUGAAAUUGAAGCCGAAUCAACUGGAGCUGCAUCAAGCAUCUUUUGAAAUUCUUCUUCUUCUUCUUUUUUUUAAAAUUUUUUAAAUGUUAUUGAGGGCAAAUAAAGUCUAUAUGCUUAAUAUUGAACAUAAUUUUUAACAAAUAAAAACUAACACUGACAUUGUGCGAAAUAAAUUGUUUAUAGCUUAACUGGCCCAUUUAGGAUAGCUGCGCCGCCAAACAGGGCUUUGAUUUUAUUGCUAUAAGUAUGCAUUAGAUAUUUUUAAUAGAUUUUCUUGGGUGGGCUGAAUGGUUAAAUAAAUUAAUUUAAAUGAUUUAAAUAAGAUUUUUUUUAUAUUUUAAAAAUUUAUAUAUUAAAAUUUAAUAUAUAAAUAUAUAAAAUAAUAAAGUGUUUAGAAUAAUUUUUAGAGCGCAAACAGUCUUACUCAUUUUAUUUCAUUUUAUUGUUAAUCAAGACUUAAAAGAGUCACUAAACUAAAUCUCCAUUUUCCAAAUCUUUAGGAAGAACGAGAAAAGGUAGCAAAUGCAAGCGAUCCACUGUUCAUCAAUAUUAUCUGGUGUUGUUGCAGAUCAUUUUGUUAUUCUGGUCCAUCAAAGCAUCAAAACAAUUUGCUUGUAAAAAUGAUUGUGGAAAUGUGCAGAUCAUAUUCCCCUUUGGAAUUGGAGAAGUGUGCCACUUUGGUAAGAGUUAUCAAGUAAUAUUCACUCUUCUGGCUCUCCCAAAGCUUUUCAUCCUAGUAUCAAGACGGAAUAUCGUACCGUUACUCCGAAACUAAAACUAGAGUCAACAUUCCUGUAAUUUCUUUGCACACAGUGCUAUACUGCUAUUGCCACAAGCAAUAAUAUUGCUAGAAGAGUCAAUCUAUCUGGUGGUCCUUUCACCUUUCCCUAGGGGCUCAGUAAUUUACAGCUCAAUUUGUUUUAGGUUCAAAAUUGAUGAACCCGCACUUAAUAACUGUACAAAUUGAUAACUUCUUGAUUUAUGAGGACAUAGAAAUUUUGGAACACUAAAUGCAUUUUUCUAAAUUAUGAGAGCUAUUACUGGUUAGGCAUUUCUAUUGUUUGAAGGACAAACCUGUUAGGAACCAGAUCUAGAUUCCUCAUGCUUUGGUCAAACCAUUGUGUAAUUGUGGGACUGGCAAUUCCUUUUCUUUUGUCCCAGUGUCAGUGGUCAUCAAUGAAGAAAAAAUUAUGAAGCUUGUUCGCAGCCUGCUGAAUCUUAGGUUGAAAUAGAGUUGCCUUCUACAUUACUGGAAAAUCUGAUUUUUGUAACUUAAUGAUAUUCUAGUAGUCUGCCUAGAGACCAAUGCAUACUGAUUAAACAACUGGUUUAAAUCAUUAGGGCAUGAUCAGCCCGUUAUCUGGCACUCUUAAACACAAUAGGCAGGGAGGCUUUGGGCAAAUCAUAUUCAAUGAUUAGAAAUGUUCAAAAAUUUCAAGAUAACAAAUACGCAAGCGUUUCAAUUGGACAUAAGUAUUUGGGUUUCUAGUUCUAAUAGAAGUUUCUCAAAGCUAUAUUCUAGUCACUUUACUAUUCUGAAUCAGAAUCAGAACCAGAAUCAGCGGAUGUUUUUCAUUGUAAACUUUUAAUAGAUCUCUUACUUAUUAUGAUUUUAAUCCAAUGAUUGAACUGGAUAAGAGAAAAGGGCUAUGGUCAAUAGGUUCAAUUGGGCUCCAAAUGGCAAUCAACUCAUGACAUUGCAUGAAAUAUACAGCAUGCUUCUUUUGAAAUAUUAUAUAUUCAAAAAUUUAGUGCAUAUAUGCUUAUAUUUGUAUAUUUACAAUGCAAUGCAUAUUAAUAUCAAGGAGGCAGAAAUUGAACAUAUACAUUCAUAAUGCAAUUUUUGAUAAUGGUACGGAUUUUCUUUUCUGGGUAAUAACAUUCAGGGAAAAGAAAAAUAAAUACAAGGUUAAGACAAUCUAAGACAUGAAGCCAGUGAAGCAUGGCUUAGGACAUGGUCAAGUUGUAAAAACUAUGGCUAGGACUAUCUAAUACAUGAACUUGUACUGCAAACAAAUUUAACUGUGGAUGUCAUUGCUUAGGAAUUGGAACUUCAAACAAUGUUCUAAAAACAAUUCUUUCUCCACUAGUUUUUCUCACCCUUUUAAUAUCGAAAGGCAUGGAAAUGGUAUAAAGAUGAUUCUGUUUGUGGUAAGAUUCCUUUCAGGCUAAUUACUAUUUGUGACGUGGGGUGCAGGAAUAUCUAGAAGAAUAUGUUGGAUCUUCUACUAGAAGAGCAAUUUUAUAUCAAGUAAGAACUCUUGUUUUCUAGAUGAUCAUAUAAUUUUAACAAACCUGCUUCCCUUGAAUUUGGAGUAAGAUGCUGUUAGUCUUUAUAUCUCUGGACUUUUCAGCUUGGGUCUGUUCAAAAUUGAGCAUCCAAUAAAUCAAGGCUGACAAAGUUAUCUAAGUCAAGUGAAAUGGUCAAUUAUUCAGUUUUUGGUCUGUUGCCUACAAAAUUAAGUUUUAGUUUUGCUUGCUAUCUGGCUUUUGGUAUGUAGCGUCAAGAGGCUGUAGUUAGAUAACCAAGUAUUUGGUUGACUAUUUCGAGAUUUUUCUUUUUCAAGGUUUGCUUUUUCAUUGGCACCCUCGAUGGAAUCGAUAUCAGUUGAGUGAUUCAGUUGGGCCUGACAAUCUUAGGCUUUCUUUUGGUAAUGGAUAUUUAUUUUAAGAUAAUCAUUGUAGUUUCCUUAACUCGUUACAACAUUGACAAUAUUUAAAGUUCUUAUUUUAUAUAUACCUAUUUUCAAGGAAAAUGCCGAUAGCUUGACCUCAAAUAUGUUACUCACAGGAAAAUGUAAAAGGUAUAUCAGUAACUGGGAUGCAGUCUAAUUAUGGUUUUGAUGGUCAAAUCCACGCCUGCUGGAUGCAUAAAAUGACACAAAAGACAUUCAAACCAUUCGUUCAGCUGGAUUUCUUGUGUCACUGAUUCAUGGCAGGUACAUGAGCAACCAUAAUGCACAUGAACAUAGCUGUAUAAUUGUGUCUAAAUUUAUAUUAGUAAAGUGACAUGCUUUAUGAUUUUAUUAUUUUAAGAUACUUGUAAAGGAAUAUGCAUAGGGCAUACAGGAAUGACAAUUGUUACAAAAUUAAACUUCAUUUUUCAAAUGUCAUUUAGAUGAGUUGAAGUCUGCAAAAUGUUUCUUUAAUAUCAUCAAACUGUUUCACGAAUUAAUAAACUAUAUAAUGUCAAUUAUCAUAAAAGAAAACAAUAUGCUUAUAUAUUCUUGGAUUCUGUAGAUAUAAUGUUAUGAGAUAGGCUCCAAAUACUGAUGGGAAAUUAAAACUGGGUUCUUCGUGAAAAAUAAAAAUAAAAUAAAAUAAAUUGGGAAAAAUUACCUGAAAUGGAAGUCCGUGCUGUGCUUUAUAGUAAAUUGUCAAAGUUUGCAAUCAACCUACAUUUAAUAAGGAGAUGACAGGAUUUGGCAAGAAUUUGGUAUUUUCGGAGUGAAGAGUAUUAGUUUUGUGUCAAUGCUUUUCUUAAUCUCAGACGAUCAAGAGAAUCGUUAUUUCAUUCAUGCACAGACCAGCACAAAGAGAAAACAAAUGUAUACACAUGCAAACUUGAAAAUAGGUUAAUAUACAUCGAACUUAGAAGGUCGUGCAGGAGCCUGGUCAAUAUUUUGGGCAUUUCUAGUAGUGAUACAUGGAUAACUGAAUGUUACAUAACUGAAUUUGAGCAAAAAUGCUAAUUCGCUCCACUGAAUGUAUAGGCAUGAUAUCAUUGCACAAAUCUGUUAUGCAAGGAGACUAGCAGAGAAGCUGAGCCCUGUUGCUAGAAUGAUAGAUCUUCCUGGAGGACAUCUUGUAAGUCAUGAGAGGACAGAAGAGGUAUUUCCUUUGCCCAACAGAUCAGACAAAUAUGCAAGUAGUCCAAUUGGUUGUGUGAGACAUUUACAAUUAAUGAAUUAUUAAAUGGAGUACAGUUGUGCAAACUAAUUGGGAAAGUUUUCUUAUCAAAGUCAGUAAAAAAUUGUCAUAAUCGAAUUUGAUUGAGACAAAAGGGUCCUUACAUUUGUAUUAUGGACAAAAAUCUUCCAAAUAUUGAGGAUUGACCUUGAGUGACUCAAGAUUUUUGAACAACUGGGAUUGAAUUAGAUCUUCACGCGUAAAAUAAUGUUAUGAAUUUAUUGGUAGAAAGAUGUCACAAUGCUUCUUGAAGUUUUACUUUCCUAAAUUACUAAUAUUUGUUUAAUUUUACUUGGCUACAAAUUAAGCAUAUAGACGUUAAACUCUUUCUUGAAAUUUCAGGUCAAUCAAACUCUCAUCGACUUGAUCAAGGCAUCUGAAAAGAAGAUAAGCCCACAAGAUUUGACUAAUCUGCCCCAGACAAGUUCUGGUAAGCACGCCACAAUCAAGAUAGUCUUUCUCUUUUCCAUGUUAUGUGUGGGCAAUAAUGUUAGAGCAUACUUACCUAACAUGGGUUGAAGCUUUUCAUACUGAGUUGUCUAUGAAGAUAAACUCGUGGUUAAUCCAUAGAGUUCCCAUUUUUCCAAUAAUAUGUUCAUGGAUUUGGAAACCUAAGAGUUCCAGAAGGACACAUGAUAACUACUUAAGAGAGCUCAAAUCAACACUGAAACUUUUUCCAGACACAAAAAUCAUCAGUGGUCAACUGAUUUUCAGCUAGGUUAUCUUCCUCUCUGUCUGGUCAGGAUUGAGAGGGAGACAAUUAGCAAUUUUGAUAUUUCUACUUCAGAACUCAGUUUUCAGUCUUUGACAUUUUCUGCUGAUAUUUUCAGUUCUUUGUCAGGGGAUUUGGCGAAAGGGAUGUCAUUUGUAAGAACAAGUUGGGGACCAAGAAGCUAUGUUUCAGGCCCACUAGAGAAGCUACGUCUUUAUCUAUUAUACCUCUGUGGUCUCUUCAUGUUAGCAUUUGAGUAUGCUAGAAGGCUUCUACAGAGUCUGUUGAUUUUCUAAAUAGAUCAUGCUAUUUAUUUUGUUCAACUAAAUCCAUACCUUAUUGGUUGAUGUGGAAACAAAUUGUCACAAAUCUGUAAGAAUAAAAAUAAGCUCCCUCUAAUCUCCCAAAAAUCAGGAACUAACACAAGCAAAUCGCAACGAACAGGAAUCGAUUGCUAGGAACUGGAACCUUCACGAGCAAAUCUCCUUCACGAACGGAUCGUCACAAGUUUAUGCCAUUGAUGAUCGGAUGAUAAUCACGUAUCUGGAAAAUCCCCUCAAUUCACGAAGCAAGAACCCAUUGCCUUUUUUCCUUUUCUCUAACUCUCUUUUGAUGUUGCUUUGAUUCUUGUGAUUAUUAUUUUACGUGCUAUCACUCACCCUUGUAGUAUUUAUAUAGUACAAUAAGUGUAGUUUAAUUCAAAUCAACUUACUAGAGUUAUUUAAUAAGCUACAUCUUAUGUGAUUAGGAUUAAAAUAAAAUACUAAUUUUAUCUCAUAAGAAUCCUAGACAAACUCUAAGUUUAUCUUAUCACUUACGUUUGAUUAAUCCAUCCCAUCAUGGACGUUAAAUCUAACAUCUCCCACUCGCACGUGAUGGGAUGAUUGAGUAAUCAUAGCAACGAGAGUAGAGUUUUGGGCAUAAAGCCACAACCGCAGUAUCAUACGGGCAAAUGCAACGUGUGACCCAUGAACAACAUAAAUUGGAGCUUGUGGAGCAAAAAAAAUGUCAAUUGCACUUUUUGCAAGAGGUUUAAAUAACUUAUUCAUUAUAUUUCCUAGAUUUCAUUAUCCUUUACAUCGGUACAAACAUAUUUAAUCCCUCAACAAAAAUUAUGUUUGACGUUGGGAACUCUAUGCAUUCACAAUUGUAUUCAUCCUUAGGCAGAUUAUAUAACUGGUAGACCAGUGAAUGCAUAAGUUAGAUGUAAGGAGAAUAAAUCUUCGCACUCUACUUAUAUCUUUUACUUCUAGGCUGGCUGGUUUCUUAGACAUGUUUCAUAGACUGAAUAACAUUAUAGUCGUAGAAAAAACAUGCUAAAGUAGCUAUCACCAAUCUUUCCUUUUAAGAUAUAGUCGAUGGUAACUAAGGAAACUGUUGACGUCUUUCUUAUACCUCGAAGGAACUUAUACAAUGAGGAAUUAGGGAUUCAUUCACUCAUUUUCCUUUUGGUCACAAAAGCACGUAUGGUAUGAAUCACGCGUUACAGUGAAUUCUCUUUGUAUAAGAGCAUAUGUCUAGCUAUCCACUGUACAAAUCUUAAAUUAGUCGCUUAUUCGAGUGCCUAAUUUGAGUCUCAAUAAGCUUGCCUUCAUAAGGCACCAAAUGAACUCAUAUCUGGCUUAAUCAGGUUCUUUAUCUUGACCCAGUCAAGUCGACAUUUUCAAGAUAUAAGCUUCAUGAGAACAUAUCCAGUACUUUCUCUUAAUAUUGUGUCUCAUCCCAGCUUGCUUUCAUUAACAACUGAAGUGACCGCUUGUGUAAGAAAGCCGGUCAUAACCUGACAACAUAUCUUUUAAUAAUCAUAUAUAUAUGUGUAAUCAUGCCAAUUAGUAUCUUAUGAGAAUAAAUCAAAAUAAUUUUAUUGCAUAAAGAAUUUAUUAAGUAUAACUUUUAUAAUAUGCACAAUCUUAAUGAUUGCGUAUGUGCGAUAAAAACAUCUCGUGUCCUGGCUUUAGUUAAUGGAUCUACAACCAUGAAGUGUGUAGAUAUGUGUUGCAUCAACACUUCCUUUUUCACCACAAUAUCUUUCACAAAAUUGUACCUUGUCUCUAUGUGUUUAGACUUGCUGUGGUAUUUUGCAUCCUUGGUAAAAGAUAUGGCUACUUGGUUAUCACAAUAUAUGGUUACUGGCCGAGGAUGACUAGUAACAAUCUCAAGAUCAUUUAAGAAGCGCCUAAGCCAAACAACCUCUUGUAUUGUGACUGAACAUGCUACAUAUUCUGCUUCCAUAGUCGACAGAGCCGUGCAUGUUUGCUUCUUGCUACUCUACGAGAUCGCACCACGACUAAGUAGAAAUACGUAUCUUGAGGUUGAUUUGCACUCAUCAAGAUCGCCUCCCCAAUCGGCGUCUGUGUAUCCAAUUUAGCGUAAAUCACCUCCUUGAUGACAUAAAGAAUAGUCGGCAGUGCUUUUUAGAUAUGCUAAAAUCCUUUUGACAACAUUCCACUGUUUGCGCCCAUGAUUUGAUUGGUAUAUGCUUACCAACCCCAUAGCAUAACAAAUAUAUGGCCUUGUACACAUCAUAGCGUACAUGAUACUUCCAACAGCAUUAGAGUAUGAAACUCGUGUCAUUUCAUUUCGUUCAUUUGAAGUCUUUGGGCACAUUUCAAGGCUAAGAGUUUGUCCUUUAGAGAUGGGAGUAUCCAUAAGUUUACACUUAUCCAUUUAAAAUUUUUCAAGAAUUCUUCUAAUAUAAAACUCUUGUGACAGAGCUAGAAGUUUUCUAGAACGAUCCCUAUGGAUUUUAACUCCCAAGAUAUAAGAUGCUUCACCAAUAUCUUUCAUUUCAAAGUUUAAAAAUAACCAUUCCUUGAUGGUUUGAACAAACUCUAUAUUAUUUCCAGCCAACAAUCUAUCAUCCACAUAUAACGAUAAGAUGACGAAGUUACCCCCUAACCUUUUAACAUAUACACAAUGAUCUUCUUCAGUCAUUGAGAAUCCAUAAGUCAUCACAGAUUCAUGAAACCUAAGAUACCAUUGCUUGGAGGAUUGUUUUAACCCAUAUAUAGACUUUUUGAGCUUGCAAACUUUGUGCUCUUGAUCAUUGGUUAUAUAACCAUCUGGUUGUUCCAUAUAAAUUUCCUCCUCUAGCUCUCUAUUCAGAAAAACUGUUUUAACAUCCAUUUGAUGUAAUUCAAGAUUCAUAUGUGCAAUGAUGGCUAAAAUUAAUCUUAUAGAGGCAAACCUUACCACUGGGGAAAACGCUUCCUCAUAGUCUAUACCCUCUUGUUGUUUAUAUCCUUUCACUAACAAGCAUGCCUUGUAUCUUUCAAUUGUGUUAUUUGCCUUUCGUUUAACAUGUAAAACCCAUUUGUUUCCAAUGGCCUUACGGUAGGGCGGUAGAUCAACCAAGUUCCAGACGUGGUUUGAUCUCAUUGACUUUAUUUCUUCAUCUAUUGCUUUAAUCCACAAUUCCUUAGCUGAUGAUGUGAUAGCCUCACUAUAAGUUCUUGGCUCAUCACCAUCAUGUGAAGCAACCAUAAACACCUCCCCCUUAAUCUCAAAAUGAUGACGUGGGAUGGUUGUACGAUUACUUCUUCAAAUUGAGUUGUCAAGUGGAGUAAACUCAUUUUGUGGUUGACUCCCAUUAGAAUCAGAAUUCCCAGACAUAUAUAAGUUUCUCUCAAUUUGUAAAUCAGAAGUGUCAUUCAUCUCUGAAUCAUUCAACUCAUAUAGAUAAACGUCUUUGUCGACCUCUGAAAUGCUAAGGAAUUCAUUUUCCAAAAAUGUGACAUCUCGUGAUUUUAUCUUAGUUAUAGUUCUAUCAUCAUGUUCACCUAUGAACACAUACCCUUUAGAGUGUUUUUGGUAUCUUAUAAAGAUACAUGUCUUUCCUCUCGGACCUAAUUUCCCAUGUUUAUGAGAUGGGUUAUGAACAUACGUUGCAGACCCCCAGUGACGCAAAUGAGUAAGAUUAGGUUUUCUAUGUGUCCAUAGCUCAUAUGGAGUGGAACUUACUGACUUACUCAGAACUCGAUUAAGUACAAAAGUGGUAGUCAACAAAGCAUCCCCUCAGUAAGAAACUGGAACUAGCACGAGUAGAUUGUAACAAAUAGGAAUCGAUUGCUAGGAACUGGAACCUUCACGACCAAAUCUCCUUUACGAGCGGAUCAUCAUGAGUUAGGAACUGGAACCUUCAUGAGCAAAUCUCCUUCACGAACGGAUCGUCACGAGUUUAUGUCACUGACGAUCGGAGAAUAAUCACGUAUUUGGAAAAUCCCCUCAAUUCACGAAGCAAGAACCCACUGCCUUUUUCCCUUUUCUCUCACUCUCUUUUGAUGUUGCUCUGAUUCUUGUGAUUAUUAUUUUAUGUGCUAUCACUCACCCAUGUAGUGUUUAUAUAGUAUAAUAAGUGUAGUUUUAUUCAAAUCAACUUGCUAGAGUUAUUUGAUAAGUUACAUCUUAUGUGAUUAGGAUUAAGAUAAAAUACUAAUUUUAUCUCAUAAGAAUCCUAGACAAAUUCUAAGUUUAUCUUAUCACUUACGUUAGAUUAAUCUGUCUUAUCAUGGGCGUUAAAUCUAACAGUGUCUAAAACCGGUUAGAGUGCGAGCCUCUCCCACUUAAGCCAGCAUGUAGUGAACCCUCUUUUUUACUAGUAAUUUUCAGUUUGCUUCCCAAUCUUUCUUCUAGAACAAAGACAACUAGCUAGAAAACAAUACAUAAUAUCCUCACUGUUUCUAUCCCUUCUUUUUGCAGGGUUUCACUAAUUUGUCACGCUAAUGGCGCGGCUCUUUGCAUUUAAGCAGUUUGCUUACAGGAUUCUUGAGUAAAUCUACUAAAAGUUAUACAAAAGAUCAUAAAUAAACCGGAAUCUGCUUUGGGAGAGAUCAGAACAACCGAUACAACAAAGCAUAUUAAUCAUAUGCAUAUGGAAGGGAAAGAAUAAACUGGAGAUAGCCUUUGUUUUUUCACUAUCAAAAAAUUAUGCUAACUGAUACCACUAUAUCUAUCUCUCUCGCAGCACAAACAAAAUGAAAAUAACUCGCAAGGAGGGGAAUACUGUUUUUUGUAUCUAAGGCAGUAAAUAUUGCUGCUUAUAUUAGAGUAACAGCAAGAGCUCAAGAUUUUAUUAAUAUUAUUAUUAUUUUCAACACUUGUCAGUUAUAUAUUAUCAAAGAUUAGAAACUCGACUUACAACAGCAAGGGAAGAUGUUAGUAAAAUAGUGGAAUUUGAGCUAGAUUGCAGUACAGGCUGUGAUCUAAAUGUUAAAAGCCAACAAAGAAAUGGCUAUUAAGGACAAGAUUGGUUGACAUUUGAUGUGGCUUCUAAAAUAAUCGACUUCAGCUUUUCUGGAUACAUUAUUAUUUAUGAGAUAAUGAAUGUAACAUCAAACCACUUUUAAAAGAUUUUAUCAAUCACUUAAGAGAGUCUUUGGUGUAGUGGUUGGUUUGUUGUUUUGAUAAAGUUGAGGACAUGUUUAUGGUUUUAUGAGGACUCAAAAUAUUUUUUUUCCCCAUAAAUGUGAAAAUAGUAGGAUUUGAUUUCCAAUUUGAAUUUCUCACAGCCAAAUUCACGGAUGAAAGUCGAACAUUAAAUCUCAUUUAACACCAUCUGUCAAUUUGGUUUGGGAUUGUUAUUUCAAAAUGACUAUAGGUUCAAANNNNNNNNNNNNNNNNNNNNNNNNNNNNNNNNNNNNNNNNNNNNNNNNNNNNNNNNNNNNNNNNNNNNNNNNNNNNNNNNNNNNNNNNNNNNNNNNNNNNNNNNNNNNNNNNNNNNNNNNNNNNNNNNNNNNNNNNNNNNNNNNNNNNNNNNNNNNNNNNNNNNNNNNNNNNNNNNNNNNNNNNNNNNNNNNNNNNNNNNNNNNNNNNNNNNNNNNNNNNNNNNNNNNNNNNNNNNNNNNNNNNNNNNNNNNNNNNNNNNNNNNNNNNNNNNNNNNNNNNNNNNNNNNNNNNNNNNNNNNNNNNNNNNNNNNNNNNNNNNNNNNNNNNNNNNNNNNNNNNNNNNNNNNNNNNNNNNNNNNNNNNNNNNNNNNNNNNNNNNNNNNNNNNNNNNNNNNNNNNNNNNNNNNNNNNNNNNNNNNNNNNNNNNNNNNNNNNNNNNNNNNNNNNNNNNNNNNNNNNNNNNNNNNNNNNNNNNNNNNNNNNNNNNNNNNNNNNNNNNNNNNNNNNNNNNNNNNNNNNNNNNNNNNNNNNNNNNNNNNNNNNNNNNNNNNNNNNNNNNNNNNNNNNNNNNNNNNNNNNNNNNNNNNNNNNNNNNNNNNNNNNNNNNNNNNNNNNNNNNNNNNNNNNNNNNNNNNNNNNNNNNNNNNNNNNNNNNNNNNNNNNNNNNNNNNNNNNNNNNNNNNNNNNNNNNNNNNNNNNNNNNNNNNNNNNNNNNNNNNNNNNNNNNNNNNNNNNNNNNNNNNNNNNNNNNNNNNNNNNNNNNNNNNNNNNNNNNNNNNNNNNNNNNNNNNNNNNNNNNNNNNNNNNNNNNNNNNNNNNNNNNNNNNNNNNNNNNNNNNNNNNNNNNNNNNNNNNNNNNNNNNNNNNNNNNNNNNNNNNNNNNNNNNNNNNNNNNNNNNNNNNNNNNNNNNNNNNNNNNNNNNNNNNNNNNNNNNNNNNNNNNNNNNNNNNNNNNNNNNNNNNNNNNNNNNNNNNNNNNNNNNNNNNNNNNNNNNNNNNNNNNNNNNNNNNNNNNNNNNNNNNNNNNNNNNNNNNNNNNNNNNNNNNNNNNNNNNNNNNNNNNNNNNNNNNNNNNNNNNNNNNNNNNNNNNNNNNNNNNNNNNNNNNNNNNNNNNNNNUCGAUUAGAAUCCGCUUCUACAUAGUAAUAAUUAUUUGUGCAUUACAAAAGUAUAUGUUAUGUUAGAUUAAAUGAACUUGCUUCCACAUAAUACAAUUACACAAUAAGAGAAAAUUAUUAAACAGAAUGUAAACAUUUAGAGAUUUUUAAGAUGACUUUGCAUAUUUCUAACAAUGGUACAUAGAUAAUAGAUAUAUUGGAUUUGACAUGCUCCAUUAGUAAAUUAUUAAUACAGUGUAUAUUUUACCUCUAUAUCUUUGUAAUAAAGAUAACUCAAUUAAAAAAAUAAUUUUUGUAAUUAUACCUCUAUUAAAUUAUAAUCCCCUCACGGCAACAAAUUAAUAUGGUCUCAAUAUUACAAAUAUAGAGAGGUUUCGCUGUAAUAUUUUUUAAAUGUAAGGGGAAAAAAGAGUAAUAAUAAAAGUUGAGCUAGUUUGUUUUGAAAUAUAUAUAUAUGUUUUAAGAAAACAGCUUAAAACAAUAAAAAGGUGUUUCUCACCUCAAGAAAUAAGUUUUUUAGAAAUAGCUAAACCGAAUGUUCUAUAAUUUUUGAAAAUAGAAAACAGAAACUGUGGUAACAUUUAUAUUAUAUAAAAUAGGUCAUUAUUCUUUCAAAAUCCAUAGUGAUCCUGCACACACCGUAAUGUAAGUUGAUACUUGAUCAUCAUCACUUUUCACCUUCACAUGAUCAAUUCUAGAAACCCUAAAAAAUAAACACUUGUAAUUAUUAAACAAAACAACAAAAAGAACAAGAAGAAGAAACGAAAAAUGUAAAGAACGUACCUGGAUUUGCUUGGGGGCUACAGAAGUUAGCUUUUGCUGUGAUUGGGAAGGCGAGUGAAUGAAUGAUUGAUUGAUUGAUGAAAGCAAAAAGCAAAGCAAAAAGAUCGAAAUGGAAAUUGUAAGUUGAAAUGUUUUUCUAAAGAGAGAUUCUAAAAUAACUAAUUGCGUUGGUGCCAGGUAAUAUUCCAAAUUAACCAAUCAAAGAUUCGAAAUGAAUGAUGCCAAUGCAGUUACCAAAUAUACCCCUUAGGAACAUCCCAAUAUGAUCCUCUAGUAUGCCGAUGCAGAAGCAAACAAACAAGUUACCUUGCCUCUCUAGUCUUUACUUACAAGUCUCUCAAUGGAUGACUCGACUUUCUGAUGAACAUAAUUUAUAUAUAUAUUUUAUUUUUUAUUAUAUAUUUAUUAGUUAUUUUUAUUUUUUAUUUUUAAUUAAUUAAUUUUUUUAUUGAAUAGAAAAUUAAUUUGAGAUUAUGAACAAAAAGUGCAUAAAAAAUCUAUAAGAGGAAAGAAUUGAAGAAUUAAAGAUUAUGUUCCAAAGCUUCCGCAUGGGCUUAAGAUAAUUAAAGAAAGAUUUUAUUUAGCAAUUUGGAAUGCAUGUGCCGGGCAUUAAAGGAAGAAAUCAUUAAUUGGCCUUUUGCUUUGGAAGUCAAACGUGUGGCUAGCUUUCCAAUUUUAAAAGGAAAUAAUAUACAAAGGAUUUGGCGUGUGCGAGUGAAUAUGGGCUUAAAGGAGGCGGUUUCCUAGCAAUUAUAAUUGGAGAAGAAUUCGGUCAACUAGCAUUAUAAAAGGGGGGAGCCGCCAAAGAGGAGGAAGAAGCAGAGUAUUCGGCAGAGGAGAGAAGAAAAAUAGCAGCAGCAGUUUAAUUCUUUAUGGCUGGAUUUUUUUUAUUUGUUACUCUCAAUUUAAGUAUGUCUAGUUAAUUCUUUUCAAAAACAAAAGUAUGUCUAGUUAAUUUUUUUAUACUGAGAUUAAGGAUGAAGCCUUAUUCAAUGAAAUAAUUAUCUUUUUAUUUAAUUAAUUCCCUACAUGCGUGCUUUGAUGAUUAUGGUUUUUGUUUCACAUAAUUAGUUGAAUGUUAUUAAAAUCUUUUCAGCAAUUCUGUCAUGCACUAUUGAUUGUUAAGAUUAAUAUUCAAUUAAAUCUAUGCUUGAAUUUAUAAAGUUUGUACAUGAUUAUCUUUAAUUCUGUCUUUCAUUAAAGAGUUGGAUUAUUGGCUCACCUCUAACUUUCUUUUUAAACCCCUUUUCUCUACAUAUUCUUUUUAAUUCCUAAAAUAACCCUAAUUUGUUGUACUUUCUUAAUAAACCCCUGCAUUGAUACUUUAAAAAAAAAAUUGUUAGGCGCUCUCUCUCACCCUUCUCUCAUUCCAAACCACUUUCAAUCUCUUCUUAAUUAUAGCAUUUAUGAAUUUAUGAUUUUUAUCGAUAUUUGUUUUAUUUUUCCUAGUAGGUAAUAACCUUAGUAGAUACAUAAAGACAUGUGUGCGAAUCUUUAAAAAAAAAAUGGCCCAAGUAAACGAACUUCACAAAAUUAUCUUUCCUACAAAAACUCUGUUUAUAUUUAGAUCAAAUUCUCAUUCUAUGACAAAUCAUUGUUUUUUCAAAUUUUAUAGAUUUAAUGAGUUUAUAAUGGAGAAAAAAUAAGAAAACAUAGGUGGGUUUAAUUAGAUAAGUGUUAUUUUUAAUAUAAUUUAAAUAUAAAGGACAUAUUUGUAAAUAAAGAACAAGAGGGGUUUCAUAAGAGAUAUAGAGGGGUGCCAAUAGCGUCACUCUUCAUUAAAUUGUUUAUACAGAGUGCUUAUGAAAAAUUUAACUCUUUAUUAUUCAAUAUAUUUACAUGUGAUUCUUAGAUAUCAUACUAUUAAGUAGAAAAAGAACUUACAUUAAAUUUAAUUAUUUAGGCUUAAUUGUUGUAUCCAUGAGAUGACAUAGAUUGAUUUCGAGUUGUCACUUUAAAAUUGGAGAUUAAUUAAUAUUUAGAUAAUUUCUAAUUGAAUAGUGGUGGAUUCUGAAACCUUGGUAAUUUUUGUCUUAUUGAAUUCUCCUUUACUUUAAUUGUUUUCUUAGUUUAAUUAGUUUAAUUUCUCUUAAAAAUUCAAAUUGCUCAACUAGGUUAGGAUUAAUAUUAAAUUUAGAUUUAAAUUAGACUUUUCAAUUUAUAACAAUCCAUGUGGGUUCGACCUCAUUACCACUAUUCUAUUUCUAGAUUCGUGCGCUUGCGAGUAUAUUAAAAAUUUUCACAACACUUCCUACCAAAUACUUCAGUCCAUACGUCAAUUUGUCUUUGAGAAAUACCUUUUUAACUUGGAAAUAUAUUUCAUAUUGAUAAGAAAUAUGUAAUAUCAUUUUACUCAAUAUUUUUACUUAUAAAUUUUCAUUUUACUUACCAAUAAUACAUUAAUCUAUCAGUUUUAUGCUAAAUCUAUUUAUUUUACUUUUUAUUUAUAUGUUAUUAUGUUUCAUUUCUAAAAUUUAUAUUUUAUAUUGCACUUAAUGUUGAUUUAUUAGUUUUACGUUGUAUUUGUAGGUUUUAUUUUAGUUAUUAGUGAUACAUUAAUUUAUCAAUUUUAUAUUAGUUUACUUUUUUUAUCCUUCAUUUACAAAUCUUAUGUUUUAUUUCCAAAGUUUAUCUUUUAUUUUAUAGUUUACGAUAAUUUACUAGUUUUUAUACUAUAUUUACUAACAUUCCUUUUAUUUACCAACAAUACAUCAAUUUACUAUAUUUAUGUUCAUUUACUAAUUUUACCUUUUAUUUACAAGUUUUAUGUUCCAUUCCCAAAAUUUAUGCUUUAGUGUCCACUUAAAUUGAUUUACUAGCUUUAUACUAUAUUUGUAAGUUUUUGUUUUCUUUACCAAUAAUACAUUAAUCUACUAAUUUUGUAUUAAUUUACUUAUUUCAUCUUUCAUUUAUAUUUUAUUUCUGAAUUUUAUGUAUAUUGAUUUAAAAAUUUUAUGUUAAAUUUACGAGUUUUAUGUUUUAUUUAUAUAAUUUAUAUUUAAUUACAAUAUCGAUAGUAUGACUUUAAUCACAACAUUAUAAAAUGACCUGAUAAGAAAAUAACUAAUAUCAUCUUUCUCAAAAUUUUUACUUAUAAAUUUUGGAUUUACGAUAAGCUUUAAAUGUUAAAAAUCUUUUUUAAAAAGUUACUUAAAAAUCUAUAUAUUAUCUAAAAGAGUUUAGAGUUGUACUAAAAUGUGAAAACUCAGCUCGUGCUGGUUCAACUCAAAAUGAAAAAAUAUAUAUGUGUGUGUGUGUAUGAUGGGAGCUGCUCCACCUUCUGAUGCAUCACAAUGGGAAUUCAGCUGGUUUUAAUUCUCUCUCUUGGCUACUUAUGCUUCUUUAAUUUAACAUUUUGAUAUGUAUUUAUUAUGCUAGAGUUUCAACUAAGUAUCCAUUUACUGGGAUUUUCCACUUUUGAAAAAUGUUAAUUUUGCCUUAUUUAUUCAAUAUUAUUAUCUUCCUCUGUGAAAUUCGCAAAAAUUUUAUGCUUUAGUUGGUUAUUCAAUGGGGGUUUGUUCCAUUUUGUUCUUAUACUGUUUGUAUAUAUGAGAGGUUUGGUUUCUGAAGAUGGGUUUCAGUCAAUUGUCUUCAAAGCUUUAUUUCCUAAAAGAGGAAAAAAAAUACCAAAAUGUUUAAUUCUACUGUUACAUGUUUGUGUUCUUAGGUUCUGCUAUGCUUUGUAUAUUUCUUAAUGCUAGAAAGAUGUGUGCUCUUCUAAUAUGAUUGUUUAGGAUGAAUAUGAGUUGGUUAUCGAGUUGCAAUAUAUCAAAUAAAUUGAAGACAACUUGCUUCAUAGGUUUUGAUUCUAUUAAUUGUUUUUAUUUCAAGUAUGACACGAUUGCAUGGGUGUUUGAUGAGGCUAAUAGUGACUUCUUAGGGUUGAUGCUAUAGGUUUCUUUUAUUGUUGUCUAGUAUCGAAACUUGAAAACAAAAUUUAAAGAUAAUGCUUAUGAUAUGAACACAAAUGUUUGUAACAGUAGCUUGAACAAAAUGGAAGGAAAUCUGUUGACUGGAAUGAUUCAUGAAGCUAAAUCGGUUUUUUUGUUGCUAUUUUUAAGGACUAUGACCACUUCUUCAUGCUAUUUUUCUGCACUUAUUUAUUAUGCUCAAAUGUAGCAGAUUUUUCUGCACUUUAGUUUUCAUUAUGUUGUAUAAAUAGAUGAUUUUGUUGCUCAAUAAAAUAUAACUCAGCAGUCUACAAACUAGCCUUCUCUCAUUAUCUUUAUAUCCAACAUAAUGGUAUCAGAGCUAUAAUCUUUAGGGACCUGUGAGAUUGAGAAAGUUUCAACACAAUUCCUAAACAAUUAUCACCUAUCUUCCCAAAAACAAAAAACCUUUCCAGAAUGAAUUUAGAAAGUCCAUUAACUGCAAUUGCACCUCCAGUGUUUGAUGGAAAAAAUUACCAAGCGUGUGCUGUUAGAAUGGAGGCUUAUCUUGAUGCUAAUGAUCUGUGGGAAGCUGUUGAACAAAUAUAUGAAGUUCCACCCCAGCCAGACAAUCCAACUCUUGCACAAAUCAGAAAUCAAAAAGAGAUGAAGUAAAGAAAAUCAAAAGCAAAAGCAACCUUGUUUGCAGCAGUCCCAUCCACCAUUUUUUCCAGAAUAAUGACGCUCAAAACAGCCAAGGAAAUUUGAGAUUUUUUGAAGCAAGAAUACGAAGGAAAUGAAAGGGUCAAAGGGAUGCAAGUGCUGAAUUUGAUCCUAGAAUUAGAGAUGAAAAAGAUGAAAGAAUCAGAAACAAUUCAGGAAUAUUCUGACAGACUUUUUAAGAUUCAACAAGGUAAGACUCCUUGGCACUGAUUUUUCUGAUUCUAAAGUUGUUUAAAAAAUCCUAGUCACAGUUCCUGAAAAGUUUGAGGCUACAAUUUCAUCUUUGGAAAACUCAAGAGAUAUGUCAAGUAUUACCUUGACAGAAUUGUUGAAUGCACUGCAGGCACUGGAGCAAAGAAGGCUUAUGAGACAAGAAGGAUCUCUGGAGGGUGCUUUUCAAGCCAAAUCACAAAACAACAAAGGUGGCAAAAAUAAGAAAAAACAGAACAAAGACAACAAGCUUGGAGGUUCUGCAAGCAGUAACAAAAAUAGCCAAAGUAGUAACACUCAAGUCUUUCCACCUUGCCCUUACUGCAAAAAAACCAAUCAUCCACAAAAUAAGUGUUGGUGGAGAGUAGAUGUAAAAUGUCACAAGUGUGGUCAGUUAGGGCACGUGGAAAGGAUAUGCAAGACUCAACAACAACAAAGAGAAGCCAAGGCUAUUGAGGAUCAACCCCAAGAGGAACAGCUGUUUGUGGUAUCGUGCUUUGCCACCAACAGCUCCACAGAGAGUUGGCUUAUAAAUAGUGGUUGUACAAACCACAUGACUUAUGAUCCAGAGCUCUUCAGAGAGCUUGACGCGCCUAGUAUUUCCAAAGUCAGAAUUGGAAAUAGGCCACACAUUGCAGUAAAAGGCAAAGGAACAAUAGCGAUUGAAGGCCAUACAGGUCUGAAAUUGAUUCAUGAUGUUUUAUAUGUUCCUGAAAUUAAUCAAAAUCUUUUGAGUGUUACUCAGUUGUUAGAAAAAGGCUAUAAGGUGUUGUUUGAAGACAAGAACUGUGUGAUCAAAGAUGCAAAAGACAGAGAAGUAUUCAAAGUUCAAAUGAAAGGCAAAAGCUUUGCCUUGGAUUUGAUGAAAGAAGAGCAGGCUUAUGUACACAGAGAACAUAGCAAUACAUUGAUUUGGCACAAGAGGUUAGGGCAUUUUCAUCAUAUUACUCUACUCUACAUGAAAAAGAACAAUCUAGUCAAAGGCUUGCCUGAAUUAGAGGAGAAGUCUCCUAGAUGUGCUGCCUGUCAGUAUGGAAAGCAAACCAGGAUUCUGUUUCAACAAAAUAAGGCCUGGAGGGCUAUACAGAGGUUGCAAUUAAUACACACAGAUGUGGGAGGACCAAUAAAAACACCAUCUUUGAAUAAUAGUAAGUAUUAUAUUGUUUUCAUUGAUGAUUACUCAAGAAUGUGCUGGAUUUAUUUUAUGAAGCUUAAAUCUAAGGUUGCUGACAUCAUUGUGACGUUUAAAGCUUGUGUUGAAACUCAAAGCAGAUGCAAGAUGCAGGUGAUUAGGUCCGAUAAUGGAACAGAAUAUAUCUUUGAAAAAUUUAACAAGUUUUGUGAAGAUUCAGGCAUUGAACAUUAACUGACAGCACCUUACACUCCUCAGUAAAAUGGUGUUGUGGAGAGGAAAAACCAGACAAUAAUGGAGAUGGCAAGAUGCUUACUUCAUGACAAAGGGCUACCGAAGAAAUUUUGGUCUAAGGCCGUAAACACUGCAGUUUUUUUAUUGAACAGAUUGCCAACAAAAGCUUUACAGAAAAAACUCCAUUUGAAGCAUGGUAUGGCUACAAACUAAAGCUGCUUAAUCUGAAGAUAUUUGGUUGUCUAUGUUUCUCUUACAUCCCUCAAGUUAAGAGAGACAAAUUAGACAAAAGAGCAGAACCUGGAAUUUUUGUAGGCUCUAGCUCAACCUCAAAAGCCUAUAGGAUUUACUUACUGCAAAACAACAAAGUAAUCGUCAGUAGGGAUGUUCAAUUCUUUGAGUUAGAUAAUUAGAGUUGGGAGAAUGACAAGAAGCUUAAGGUCGAGGAAGAGAAUAAUGAUACGGACGAUGAAAAUGUUAGAGAAACCAGAUCACUCUUUGACAUCUAUCAGAGGUGUAAUAUUGUUGUAAUGGAGCCUGUAUGAUAUGAAGAAGCUAUAAAUGAUCAGAAGUGGAUAGUUGCAAUGAAGGAUGAGCUAAAGAUAAUUGAAAAGAAUCAGACAUGGGAGUUGGUAGACAGACCUGAACACAAGAAAGCUAUAUGAGUCAAGUGGGUUUAUAGGACCAAGCUCAAUCCUGAUGGUUCUAUAAACAAGCACAAGGCAAGACUGAUUUUUAAGGGAUAUGCCCAGAUGUUUAGGGUAGAUUUUUCUGAAACUUUUGCCAUUGUUGCCAGGUUGGAUACCAUAAGGAUGUUGCUAGCUCUUGCUGUACAGCAAGGUUGGGUUAUACACCAAAUGGAUGUCAAAUCAGCCUUUUUGAAUGGAUACUUGGAGGAAGAAAUUUUUGUGGAGCAACCUAAAGGGUUUGCUUUUCCAGGACAAGAUGAGAAGGUAUAUCGACUGAAGAAAACCCUGUAUGAUUUAAAAUAGGCACCAAGGUCCUGAUAUAGCAAAAUUGACACACACUUAGCAAACUUAGGCUUCGAAAAAAGUAUGAGUAAAUCUACUUUAUAUAUCAAGAAGGCUGAUAAUGAAAUACUUGUGGUAUCUCUGUAUGUUGAUGAUCUACUUGUUACAGGAAGUAGCAAGGAGUUGAUUGACAAGUUUAAAGAAGAAAUGAAAGAUGUCUUUGAAAUGACAGACCUUGGUAUGCAGGUACAUCAAAAGGAAAAUGAAAUAUUUCUAUGCCAGCAAAAAUAUGAAAAGGAAGUUCUCAAGAAAUUUAACAUGGAAGAGUGCAAGCCAAUUGCAACUCCAAUGAAUCAAAAGGAGAAGUUUUGCAAAGAAGAUGGAGCUGAAAAGGUGGAUGAAAGAUUGUACAGGAGCCUAAUAGGCUGCCUAAUGUAUUUAACUAAACCAGACUAGAUAUCAUGCAUGCAGUGAAAUUCAUUUUCAGGCAGCAAAAAGAAUUCUUAGAUAUGUUAAGGGCACAAUUGAUUACGGAAUAAGGUUUAAUCAAGUUAAAAACUUCAAUCUUCAUGGAUAUUCUAAUAGUGAUUGGGCUAGAUGUGUUGAUGACAUGAGAAGCACCUCAGGUUACUGUUUUAGCUUUGGUUUUGGAAUAUUUUCAUGGUAUUCUAAGAAGCAAGAAGUUGUAGCUCAUUCUAUAGCAGAAGCAGAAUAUGUAGCUACUGCUGUGAAUCAAGCUCUUUGGAUCAGGAAACUUAUGACAGAUUUGCAUAUGGAACAACAAGAAGGCACACAAAUAUUUGUGGACAACCAAGCUGCAAUUUCAAUUGCUAAUAAUCCAAUGUUCCAUGGCAAAACAAAACACUUUAAGAUAAAACUUUAUUUUCUAAGAGAGGUACAAAGAGAAGGAGAAGUGCAGUUGAUCUACUGCAAAAUAGAAAAUAAAAGUGCUGACAUCUUAACAAAAGCACUUCCAAAGAUUAGAUAUGAAUUCUUGAGGCAAACGUUUGGUGUAUGCAGCUCCAGAGUCAAGGAGGAGAAUAUUGACUGGAAUGACUCAUGAAGCUAAAUUAGUUUUUUUGUUGCUAUUUUUUUAGGACUAUGACCACUUCUUCAUGUUAUUUUCCUGCGCUUAGUUAUUAUGCUCAAAUGUAGCAGAUUUUUCUGCACUUUAGUUUUCAUUGUGUUGUAUAAAUAGAUGAUUUUGUUGCUCAAAAAAAUAUAACUCAACAGUCUACAAACUAGCCUUCUCUCAUUAUCUUUAUAUCCAACAAAAUCGAUAAGAAUAGGUUAAUUCUUGGAAAUCUAGACCUCCAAAAUAGUAUUGGUUAUUUGAGAAACCAAUAAACUCCCAAAAGACAACUUACAACUCGCGAGAACAGUAAUACUCAAGACACUCUUUUAUUCAAUAACAUCAAGUUUUAAAUAAAACUUUAGUUCAAAACAAGCAUAAAAAUAGCAAGCAUUAAGCAUGUUCUCCAUCAUGCUCCAUGAAUCCACAAAAUAAGGAACCAACUAACAACUUAAUUUUGACUUAUUAAAAACCAACUACUGUCAAAAUAUAAAGUAAAUAAUUAAAAGAAAAUUAUAAUGGAAAGAUUGUAACAUUUUUUCUAAUUUUUUGUUAUUAUGCUUACUCUAAUGGAUGGGUGGUGGCUCAUAUUGUUAAAUUUUGGAUUGGACAAUUUACUGGCAUGUGAACUAAUUUGUAAUUUAGUUAUAAGUUGUGUGAACAAUAAAAAAACAAAGGGUAAAGUCAGUGGUAAUAUUAUCAGAAUAUUGGAAUUGUUCUAAAAGAUUUUGAAUAAACUGGCAACGAGGAAACUAUAAUAUUGGAACUUGAGUGGGUGAAUUGUUCUCAGUUUUGUUUGUUGAGGAACACAACAGAGCAUCAGUAAUUCCUCCGUUGUUUACGAUUGAUCUAUUUCUUUUUUUCCCUUUACGGUGUAGUGCUCUUUGUCCACCUUUCAGAAGCUUUUUUAGAGGAACUGUACCUGAAAUGUUUUGUUGUUUCUUAGAAAAGGGUUUUUCCCAUGCAGUGACUUUGAAGUGGAUUAUGAGUCUAAUGAGAAUGCAUCAAUUGUGUAUGCGGCAUUAGCUGUUGAUAAGGAGGUGAUGCAUCAUGAUCCUAAGAUCAUACCUUGCUCCUUUAACUUUGUUGCUUCUUCAAUAAAUUCUUACUUGGAUUCAAUUUCCCAAUGCAGUUGCAACCAGACAAAGUGAAAAGGCAGAUAUCUGUCGUUAAUGGGAAACUUUUAGUGUAAGUUUCUGUUCUUUGAUCAUUCAUGGUUAGAAGACUCAUUACAUAACUGAUUUUUCAUUCUUGUCCAAUAUUCAUUCAAUUUGCACCUACUAGUUUAUCCUAUGAGACAAUAUUCAUUUGGAAAUUUUGUGUGGCCUGUUUAAUAAUCAUUUUUUUUUAUGAAACUACGUCUUGAAUAUGAUUCAGCCCGCUCCAAUCUGAUGAAUCGUGAUCCUUCUCCUUCUUUGGAUGUGUGCUUUAAAGAAUUACUUCGUGAAGAGCAACGUCUUGCAACACAAACUAUUCUCCAGUAAAAUAAAAUGCAUGAUAAUGCAAUUGCUUAUGCUGCAGCUCAUGGGAAAAGCAAAAGGAGAGACAUGCGACAAGUUCAAUACUUUAGCUGUAAGGAAUACAGACAUAUUGCUGUUAAUUAUGCAAAGAAAUUUUGCAACUAUUGUAAGAAGCCUAGGCAUAUUAUCAAAGAAUGUCCUAUUCGUCCCCAAAAUCGUUAAGCUAGUUAGGUCGUUGUUGCUAGUUAGGCCGCUGUUGCUAAUCAGGCUAUUGAUGGUUCAACAACUGUUGAUAAAUUAGUUCUUACUCUAGAAAUGGUUAAGUAGAUGAUAAAAGCCUUUUCAGCCUUAAGGCUUCAAGGUAAACACACUAUACCAUCUUUCUUUUGGCUUGUUGAUUUUGGCUCAUCCAAUCAUAUGACUAAUUCCAGCGACACUCUUAGCAAUGUUCAAAAAUAUUAUGGAAACAUUCAUAUUGCUAAUGGUAGUAAGCUACCUAUUCAUGCUAUUGGGGACAUUAAUUUUUCCAUUAAAGAUGUUCUUGUAUCUCCCUAGCUUUCUACUAAUCUUAUUUCAGUAGGAAAAUUGGUUGAUAAUAAUUGUGAUGUUCGAUUUUCCCGUGAUAGUUGUAUUGUGCAGGAUCAGUUGUCGGGGAAGAUACUAGCGAAGGGGCCUAAAGUUGGACACUUGUUUCCUUUGCACUUUUCUGUUUCUAAUUUCGUUUCUUUGGUUAGUAUUGCUGUAAACCAAAAGAGUGAAAUAUGGCACAAAUGUUUAGGCCAUCCUAAUUCUGUUGUCCUGUCUCAUUUAAUAAAUUCAGGUUUAUCGGGCAAUAAAGAUCAGUUUCCUCUCAAUUUUCUUUUGAUUGCUCUGCUUGUAAAUUAGGAAAAAGCAAGUCUUUUUCUUUUCCUUCUCAUGGUAGUUGUGCAGAAAAUUGUUUUGAUAAUUCAUAGUGACGUGUGGGGCAUUACUCCUGUUAUAUCUCAUGCCAAUUAUAAGUACUUUGUCACAUUCAUUGACGAUUACAAUAAGUAUACUUGGAUUUAUUUUCUUCGUUCUAAAUCUGAGGUAUUUUCUGUCUUCAAAACAUUUGUAGCCUAUAUUGAGACUCAAUUUUCUUCAAAUAUUAAAGUGCUCAGAUCAGAUUCUGGUGGCGAAUAUAUGUCCCAUGAGUUUCAUGAUUUUCUUCAGCAAAAGGGAAUUGUUUCCCAACGCUCAUGUCCUUAUACACCUCAGCAAAAUGGUGUUACUGAACGUAAGAACCGUCAUUUAUUAGAUGUUGUUCGAACUUUAUUACUUGAAUCUUUUGUUCCAUCUAAAUUCUGGGUUGAAGCCUUAAGUACACCAGUUUAUCUAAUUAAUCGCUUGCCUUCAAGCGUCUUGAACUUUGAAUCUCCCUAUUAUCAUCUUUAUCAUAAGCAUCCCAACUAUCUUGACAUGCAUACUUUUGGCUGUGUUUGUUUUGUUCAUGUGCCACCUCAUGAAAGUUGUAAGCUUUCUGCUCAAUCUGUUAAAUGUGCUUUUAUGGGCUAUAGUGCUUCACACAAAGGUUAUGUUUGCUACGAUCCAUGUUCUAACAGAUUUCGUAUUUCUCGUCAUGUUAUUUUCUUUGAAAAUCAAUUCUUCUUUUUUAUACAUGUUGAGUCUUCACUAAAGUCACUUGUUCUUCCUAGUUUUGAUGAGGUAAAUACUACUAUUGAGAGAUUCAAGCCUGGAUUUGUUUAUACACGACAACGCCCAACUUUCCAGCCUCCUGAGCUUGAUCCGACAUCUAAGCCUGUUCAAGCUAUUUCUUCCAUGGACAAUCAGCCCUCAAACACUAUUGUUCGCCGCUCUUCCAGAAUCAUUCGACCACCUAAUCGGUAUGGAUUUCACACAUCUCUUCAUACUACUUUGACCAGUGUUUCUAUUCCUUUAUGUUAUUCAGAAGUUGCGAAAUAUGAUUGUUGGUGAGGCUAUGGAAGAAGAACUUCAAGCUCUUGAGGACAAUCACACAUGGGAUAUUGUUCAUUGUCGGACUAAUGUUAAACCUAUUGGUUGUAAAUGGGUCUACUCAAUCAAGCUUCGUUCAGAUGGUUCUCUAGAUCGCUAUAAGGCACGACUAGUUGCCCUUGGUAACAAACAUGAGUAUGGGGUCAAUUAUGAAGAGACUUUUGCUUCGGUUGCCAAAAUGACUACAGUUCGUACAAUUAUUUCAAUUGCUGCCUCAUAAGGUUGGCCACUUCAUCAAAUGGAUGUUAAAAACGCUUUUCUUCAUGGUGAUCUCAAAGAGGAGAUUUACAUGGUUCUACCACAUGACUUGCCUUCCUCCUCUUCUUUAGAUGUCUGUAAGUUGAAGCGAUCGUCUAUGGGUUGAAGCAAGCUCCCUGGGCUUGGUUUGAUAAAUUCCAAUCCACCUUGCUUCAAUUCUCAUUUAAGCAAAGCCAAUAUGACUCAUCAUUGUUUCUUUGCAAGACAUCUACUGGUAUUGUUCUUCUCCUAGUUUAUGUUGAUGAUAUUGUUAUUACUGGGACAGAUUCUGCCUUAAUUGCUCGGUUGCAACAACAUCUUCAAGCCUAAUUUCAUAUGAAGGAUCUUGGUCCUCUUACUUAUUUCUUGGGUUUGGAAGUUCAUUAUGAUUCUUCAGGGAUUUCUUUGAAUUAACAUAAAUACACACAAGAUUUGCUUAAAUUAGCUGGUCUUCAUAAUGCCUCUCCUGUGGAUACUUUGCUAGAAGUCAACACAAAGUAUAGUAGUGAGGAAGGUAAACUCAUUUAUAAUCCUACUAUCUAUCGAUAAUUGGUAGGAAGCUUGAAUUAUUUGACUAUUACGAGGCCGAAUAUUUCCUUUGUUGUCCAGCAAGUAAGUCAAUUCAUGCAACAUCCCGUCAUUUACAUUUAGCUGUUGUUCAUCGUAUCCUUCGAUACCUUCGCAGGACUCCUAGCCGUAGAUUGUUCUCUCCGGCCUGUUCUCCUCCUCAUCUUGUUGCCUAUAGUGAUGCUGAUUGGGCUGGCUGUCCGGACACUCGACGAUCUGUCACAGGCUGGUGUAUGUUUCUUGGGAAUUUCUUGAUUUCUUGGAAGAGUAAGAAGCAAGAUCGUGUUUCUAAAUCUUCAACUGAAUAUGAAUACCGUGCUAUGUCUGCUGCUUGUUCAAAGAUUGUUUGACUUCGUGGACUUCUAGCCGAGCUUGGUUUCUCUCAAUCUAAUCCCACUCCACUCUAUGCUGAUAACACUAGUGCUAUUCAUAUUGCUGCAAACCCGGUUUUCCAUGAGCGUACUAAGCAUAUAUAUUGAGGUGGAUUGUCAUUAUAUUCGUGAAGCUUUGGACACUCGUAUUAUUUCUCUUCCUCAUAUUUCCACUACUCUCCAGAGAGCCGAUGUAUUUACCAAGGCUAUGACACGAAAGCGUCAUCAAUUUCUUGUGAGUAAAUUGAUGCUCCUUGAUCGAUCAGCAUCAAUUUGAGGGGGGAUGACAGCAUAUAUGAAGGUAUAAAUUAUGUAUCCUGGCUGUAUAUAUAUUGUAAUUAGGAGGAUCUGUAAUUUCCUUAUUUAGAUAGAUCUAAUUACUAGAAAUUAGCCUCGAUUUGGUUGAUGUAAUAGCUGAAAAUCAGCCUUGUAAAUCUCUACAGUUUCUAUAUAAUGAGAGGAAUUCUCACAAGGAGAGAUAUUCAAUCCAAUUGAUAAAAAGAAUGCUCGGUUAUGUAAGAAAAUGAAAACAAUUUAUAGUUGCAAUACACUCAUCAAUAAUCUCAGGAAUCUCUGAUGAUUGAAUUACAAUUUUUUAAAAUCCAUUCUAGAAUUCAAGCAUACCUGUUCAUGCAAGAUACUCGAUGCUCUGGAUCCGAAACUUCAUCGGCCUUUGCAUCUAAGGGAUCAUUAACCUUACAAGUCACAGAACCCAAAUGGUCCACAAUAUUGACAGAGCGUUGAUGGCAUAAUCUUUCAAUGUUUCCACCACUCUGCAUAAAUGUGAAGAUGGUUUAUUUUCUCAAUAGAAAAUUGAAAUUAUCAGCUGUAAUUAGAGCAACUCACAUUUGUUUUUGGUCAUCACUGGUGUACCAUAGUUCAAGAUAUUCGGCCUCUGAGUAUAACAUUGUUCUCAGUUUUUUCAAAUCCUGAAAGUAAAGUCGCUUGAGUUAAAAAAAGACCAAAGUAAAUAUUUCCAUAAGAACUCAAAUCUAUUGCAAAUUGGUGCUUUUGUAUUUCCAUAAAUGGCUAUCUACCCCAAGGCUUGUUGAAAACUGAGUAUAAUUUGGAAAUUGACACACGAUCCACCGUUUGAAUCAUAUAAACAAGUAUCGCAUGAUUAAACAAGAAUUGGCUUUGAAGACAUAUGUCCCUAUUUGCCAAAAUCAUUUAUUUUUCUCUUUCUCUUUUCUUAAAAGUGAAUGCUGAAGUGGGUGCAACUUUUAGUAAUAGCUAUUAGUAGCAAAAACAAAGAUUGCACGCUGUAAAACAACUGUAAUAGGGAGACUGGUAUAGGCAUCUAAUCCAACAGAUUAAAACAAAAUAGAGAAACAGUAGUACCUUGAGACUAUCAGAGAACAGCAAGCUCUGCGGCCUUUUCUUAAAAGUGAUUGAUUAUGAUGAAACAUUUAACCUUGUAAUUAAGCCUGCUCCGGUUUGCUUUGUGUUUGGCAUUAUUACAAGACGGUAUUUGCGACAACUUGAUGUGAGCAAUGCCUUUUUACACGGGCAUCUAUCAAAGGAGGUAUUUAUGUCUCAGCUACCUGGUUUUAUUGAUCCCACAUAUCCUACUCAUGUUUGCAAACUUGAAAAGGAACUCUCUGCCCUUAAGCAAGCCCACGUUCUUGGAACAACACUGAGCUUCGAAACUUUCUUCUAUUGACGGGGAUUUUUCACUUGUAUCUAAUCUCAUGCUGGUGUGCAUGAGAUUAUCUUUGUGGGUAAAUAAACUUUCAUCCGUCGCCACAAUGUAGGGGCAUAUUAAAGAUACUCUCAAAGUCACGGUGUAAUUGUGCAAUCUUUUUAUCAUUUGUAUAUUUGACUUUCAUAACUUUAAACUAUAAUUGUGCACUUACUAUAAUUAACUAGCUUUAGUUGUGUAUAUAUUGAAAUCAUAUCAAUAGAAACAGUAAGCUGCGUUGUUAUUUCCUUUCUCUAUAUUAUUUAUUGUAUAAACCUAACAACUUUCAGCCCUUUUUUUCCCCAAAUCUGACACUUUUUUUUUUAUAAAUUUUAUUUACCCACACCUGUGUCGUUUGUCUCACUUUUUCUUUUUAUUUUCACUUAUUUCGUUACCCAGGCCACACUUUCAUAAACUUUGUCCCGGCCCCGCACUCUACUUUUGUUAGUUUUAUCAAAUGAGCAGCAUUAGCAGCACCAUGUAAUUAUACCCCCUUCUGGUAUAUCAGGGAAGCCGAAUAACAAAUACAUCCGCAAAAUAUCUACCAAAGAUAUUUCAACAAGCUGGUCGAGCACUGGACAGGGAAUUCAUCCGCAAUUUCUAUUUGUAUGAAUUGACGAUCUGUCCGGUGUCCCCUUGCCUACUCAUCAUACAUAUAAAAAUUGAAAUUAGGCUAUUUAGGAUUAAAGAUAACAGGGAAUGGAAAUAUGGAAUCGUUAAUUGUUAUACCCAUGACCCAUCUAAUUUGCAAAUGGUUCUUUCUCUUUCAAUAUUGUUUUCAACUGAUUUUGGGGUAGGAAAAUCCAAAAUCAAUCUUCAACAAUGAAUUUAUAUUUUUGGGGGAGAUGGGGUACCUCACUAGUUUAUUGUGUGCGGUGCGGUGUAUCUGAAAUGCGGGGGAGGUGAGAAGGGGAGAGAGAGUGGUAACAAUGGUGGAAGGCCAGAAAUAAGUGAGGUGUCCCUCAAAAUGAGCUUCACGCUUGCAAAACAGUAAAAUAGAGGUUAGAGGUGAAGCCGGGGUACCCCGGCGUUCACACUCCGACGCUCAAGUUAGCAAACUCAAGCUUUAAUGGUAAAGAGAGCUGGCCAGCCCUCUGUAAAUUUAGGGUUUAAGGUUGAAGAAAACCUAUUUUUUGGAGUGUGAGUGUUAAUGGUGAGUGAGAGCAUGAUGGAGAAUGAAACCUAGGCACCUUUAUAUAUGGAGUACCUCAGCUGCCACGUGGCAUACCCUUUUUGGCUAACGUCCUUUUACCUCUUUAUAAUUGUUUUUGGGCCGUUAUUUGCAUGUUCGCGGCGUAUCUCAUCUUUUGGAAACGUAGCGCGCGCUGGAGAGUGGUCCAGGGUACCUCUGCAGUAGCUGUCGGGUAGGCAGCUAGGGACCACUGUCCUUGGGACAGUGUCCUUCACUUUUGGCAGAGGUAGCAGGCGGCUGUCCCUCCUUUUAGCACGUCGCUUUUGAUUCCUAAUUCUGACUAAAUCAAAUGAUAUCUUUUAGGAGGCGGAGACGUUUCUCAUGGCGGGUAUUUUCGGUGGAUUCUCUUGCAUCCGCUUUGCCGGGUACCUUGAAUUACAUGGGGUACCCCCUAUUACGCGGGGUACCCCUAUCUGUAUGGGGUACCUCUAUUUGUAUGGAGUACCUCAUAUCAUAUGGGGUACCUCUAUUUGUGUGGGAUACCUCUAAUUGUGCAGGGUACCUCUAUUUAUACGGGGUACCUCAAGUCAUGCCGAGCACCUCGGAUUAUGCAGGGUACUUCGGAUUGCACUGAAGUUAUUUCAUUCUUCGACACAUGGCGUUCUACUAUCUUUCUUAUUUUUACCCCAAACAACAUCCCCCUAGUUUCUUUUGGCGAGAAGUAUUGGAGGCAAAAGAAACUUACAUAAAAAGUAUGAGCGACACGUGGCGAUAUGACGUUUAGCUCGAUGGACAGCUGAAUAGAGGACGCCUCUAGGGGUACCCUUAAGCUUGGAUAUCCCCUGAGCUAUCUGUUACUUCAUGGCGGGAUAACCCAAUUUUAUCAAACAUAUGGCGAUUCCUUCAAAUAUGCUUGCUGCUUAUCUCAGGCUCUCUUAGUGUAUUUGAGGAGUGACUUUCUGGCGUGGGGUACCUUGGACGUACCCUUAAUUAGUGUAUGGCGAUUUUUAGAAAAAUGCUUACCACAAAUCUUCACAAAACUUGUGGCGAUUCUUUUUGAGAGAUGAUGGAAAACCUCAUGAUCCACCAUUCACUCUACAUCAAAUAUGCAAGACAAAUAGUAAUAAAGGUGGGCUGCUCGCCUACCCUUAUGCAAGAUGGUCAAAAAUCUCAUGAUCUGCCAUUCGCGUAGAAUCAAAUAGACAACAUAGAUUGAGAUAAAGGUGGCUGCUCGCCUACCCUUAUGCGAGAUGGUCGAAAAGCUCAUGAUCCACCAUUCGUAUGGAAUCAAAUAGACAAUAUAGAUUGAGAUAAAGGCGGCUGCUCGCCUACCCUUAUGCGAUAUGGUCGAAAACCUCAUGAUCCACCAGUCGUUGGAAUUAAAUAAACAAUAUAGAUUGAGAUAAAGGUGGCUGCUCGCCUACCCUUAUGCGAUAUCGUCGAAAACCUCAUGAUCCACCAUUCGCUGGAAUCAAAUAGACAACAUAGAUUGAGAUGAAGGUGGCUGCUCGCCUAUCCUUAUGCGAGAUGGUCGAAAACCUCAUGAUCCACCAUUCGCAUGGAAUCAAAUAGACAAUAUAGAUUGAGAUAAAGGUGGCUGCUCACCUACCCUUAUGCGAGAUGGUCGAAAACCUCAUGAUCCACCAUUCGCUGGAAUCAAAUAGACAACAUAGAUUGAGAUGAAAGUGGCUGCUCGCCUACCCUUAUGCGAGAUGGUCGAAAACCUCAUGAUCCACCAUUCGCAUGGAAUCAAAUAGACAAUAUAGAUUGAGAUAAAGGUGGCUGCUCACCUACCCUUAUGCGAGAUGGUCGAAAACCUCAUGAUCCACCAUUCGCUGGAAUCAAAUAGACAACAUAGAUUGAGAUGAAAGUGGCUGCUCGCCUACCCUUAUGCGAAAUGAUUGAAACCUCAUGAUCGACCAUUCGCUCAGAAUCAAAUAUGGUGAACAAAUAAUGAUAAAGGCGGCUCUGAUGUUGAGUAGAUUAUUAUAAUUGGCGAUAGGUAGGGUACCUCGGGUACCCUGGAGUAAGGUGAUCCCUGGAUACCCUCUUGCAUCAUAAUAAACAAUACUUUUACUAGUAGUAUGACUUUUCUUUGUUAGAUUAGUGGCCCAAAUCGAGACUGAAACCGAGUCUUCAACCGAGGUACCCCGUUUUUCAUCUUUGGGUAUUCGAGGAUCCAAAGGUGCCUCCAAUUCACAUUUGAGCUUAAUUUGUUCCCCGUGGGGUAUCCCCGCAUAACUCUAGAGUAACUAGUUAUGGGAUACCCUACCACCGAGGCCUCGAUGGUGGCUCUUGCUGCUCUGGUGGUGGCGAUCUUGGAGGUUGGGGUACCCGUGAGAUACCCUAAGUGUUAAACACUCGUCCCCGCGGGGCAACCCGUGGAGGGCUCCGCAUUUGGGGUACCCCUGGUAUUGGGGCUUCCGUCCUCUUCAGCUUCUUCUUAUUCUUUGUGACCUCGACCUUAUCUUCUUGGCGCUUCAAAUGACAUUUCUCAUCCAUGUCCACUUGCUGCAAUGCCCGGGAACGGGCUUAAUCUGGUCCCCGUGGGGUACCCCGCAUAACUCUAGAGUAACUAGUUAUGGGGUACCCUACCACUGAGGCCUCGGUGGUGGCUCUUGCUGCUCUGGUGGUGGCGAUCUUGGAGGUUCGGGUACCCGUGAGAUACUCUGAGUGUUAAACACUCGUCCCCGCGGGGCAACCCAUGGAGGGCUCCGCAUUCGGGGUACCCUUGGUAUUGGGGCUUCCGUCCUCUUCGGCUUCUCCUUAUUCUUUGUGACCUCGACCUUAUCUUCUUGGAGCUUCCAAUGACAUUUCUCAUCCAUCUCCACUUGCUGCAACUCCUGGGAAUGGGCUUAAUCUGGUCCCCGUGGGGUACCCCGCAUAACUCUAGAGUAACUAGUUAUGGGGUACCCUACCACCGAGGCCUUGGUGGUGGCUCUUGCUGCUCUGGUGGUGGCGAUCUUGGAGGUUUGGGUACCCGUGAGAUGCUCUGAGUGUUAAACACUCGUCCCCACGGGGCAACCCGUGGAGGGUUCCGCAUCUGGGGUACCCUCGGUGUACCCGAUGAUGUCGCCGCCAUUUGAGAAGCCCUUUUGGCGUUUAACUUCUCACGGAGAUCCUCGUGGGUACGCUUUGCACGCCUCGUACCCUGGCUACUGCAGGAAUUGCAAGAGGCGGUAGAACGCUCGUCGCGGGAGCCCAUGGUUUGAAACUUAGAACGGGUACCCGAUGGCCUAGGCUUUGGCUUGCUGGCCUCGGGUACCCCUCUUCUGACCAUAGCUUGGUCGUCCGUUUGAGGUGGUGGAGCUUCUAGCGUCACUGGUGGAAGUGAACUUUUGGGUGCCCGAGAUCCGACCGCCCUAAGUAUUGCGUGAGUAAGAUCCUCAAAACGCUUGUGCGAAAUAGGUUCUUCUUCUUGGCGAACACCCGUCGACUGCUUGACACCCUUGCCCUUACUGAUGCGGGCUACCCUUCUCGCGGGAUCACUGCCUUCACUGCUGCUGUCCUCUCUCAUCCUUGUAGGAUCCCCCAUUAAACCUUCGGGAGGUACGUCGGGUGCCAUGUAUUGGAGUACACACAACAACUAGUUUGGUAACCGUGGAGGAGGCUUUUUGUGCGUUUCCCCACAGACGGCGCCAAUUGUUUUCAACUGAUUUUGGGGUAGGAAAAUCCAAAAUCAAUCUUCAACAAUGAAUUUAUAUUUUUGGGGGAGAUGGGGUACCUCACUAGUUUAUUGUGUGCGGUGCGGUGUAUCUGAAAUGCGGGGGAGGUGAGAAGGGGAGAGAGAGUGGUAACAAUGGUGGAAGGCCAGAAACAAGUGAGGUGUCCCUCAAAAUGAGCUUCACGCCUGCAAAACAGUGAAAUAGAGGUUAGAGGUGAAGCCGGGGUACCCCGGCGUUCACACUCCGACGCUCAAGUUAGCAAACUCAAGCUUUAAUGGUAAAGAGAGCUGGCCAGCCCUCUGUAAAUUUAGGGUUUAAGGUUGAAGAAAACCUAUUUUUUGGAGUGUGAGUGUUAAUGGUGAGUGAGAGCAUAAUGGAGAAUGAAACCUAGGCACCUUUAUAUAUGGAGUACCUCAGCUGCCACGUGGUAUACCCUUUUUGGCUAACGUCCUUUUACCUCUUUAUAAUUGUUUUUGGGCCGUUAUUUGCAUGUUCGCGGCGUAUCUCAUCUUUUGGAAACGUGGCGCGCGCUGGAGAGUGGUCCAGGGUACCUCUGCAGUAGCUGUCGGGUAGGCAGCUAGGGACCACUGUCCUUGGGACAGUGUCCUUCACUUUUGGCAGAGGUAGCAGGCGGCUGUCCCUCCUUUUAGCACGUCGCUUUUGAUUCCUAAUUCUGAAUAAAUCAAAUGAUAUCUUUUAGGAGGCGGAGACGUUUCUCAUGGCGGGUAUUUUCGGUAGAUUCUCUUGCAUCCGCUUUGCCGGGUACCUUGAAUUACAUGGGGUACCCCCUAUUACGCGGGGUACCCCUAUCUGUAUGGGGUACCUCUAUUUGUAUAGAGUACCUCAUAUCAUAUGGGGUACCUCUAUUUGUGUGGGAUACCUCUAAUUGUGCAGGGUACCUCUAUUUAUACGGGGUACCUCAAGUCAUGCCGAGCACCUCGGAUUAUGCAGGGUACUUCGGAUUGCACUGAAGUUAUUUCAUUCUUCGACACAUGGCGUUCUACUAUCUUUCUUAUUUUUACCCCAAACAAAUAUUAUUGUACGUAUUUGCAAGGAAACCUCCUCUAUCUUUCUUGCAAUUAAGCCUUUUGCGUAUCCAAUUGCUGUCAACUGUUUUUGAACGUGUGGAAAAAAACAACUUGAAGACUUAAGAGAGGGCCAGCGUUAAUUCAAAAUCAAGACCAACUUAUUAGCUUGCAGGACUCCUGAUGGUGAGAAAAAAGAGGGUUGACAGAUGCUGGGUAUAAGGUCUAUAAAACUUUAAUUAUUUCAUAAAAUUGAUUUAAUUUUUAUUCCUUAUCACGUUGGGGAUUGCCCCCCAAUGGCCCAUUUUAUUUUCAUGUUUAUGUAGGUCUGUAAUGUUAUUGGAAAUCAACUAUUGCCUCUUUUUUCUCGCUUAUUGAGGACUAUGGAGAAUUAAACAAAACUGACCCAAAAAAUAUAUAAUGAAUAUUUAUUAUAAGAUUUUAGACAAAUUAAUUUUUGAACCGAUUGAAACUUCCAAAAACCCAAAUUUCGAAUUUGUUAUAUAAAUAUAAUCUACUUUAAGUAUCAUUAUCAAAUCCUCCUCUAUAGCACAUGAGCAAAUUUGCAACCUUUCUAGCUUAAAAUCUAGGUUUCAAAUUCUGGCAGCGGAGUUAAUUUUUGUUAUAUAAUUUAGAUCAUAGAUAAUUUUAAAAAUAUAACGAGUAAUUGUGUAAUUCAAUCAAAUCUUAGAGACUAAAGGAAUAUUUACCAAAGAUUAAAAUAUAUAUAUAUAUAUAUAUAUAUAUAUAUAUAUAUAUAUAUAUAUAUAUAUAUAUAUAUAUAUAUUUUAAAGCUACAUUUUGUUUCAUCCAAAUGAAGCUACUGAAUCUAUAUUUUAUUCCAAUAAGACUAUGGCUUCAUUUCAUGUCUUAAUUAAAUUAUAUAAUGAUGAAAUAUUAUAUUCUGAACUUAACUGAAUCCAAUAUCAUUUCACCAAUCCGUCAUAUGAGAUGAAGGGAAAAAAAAUCUGUUGAAAUUAAUUUUAAAUUAAAGUUGAAGAAUGGUGAUGUGAUGCAUACACAUACAUGACUCUGAAUUUGUUAAAUUGAAGAUGUACUCAUCGUCUUGUCGAUGUGACCAAAUACUGGAAUGCGAGAAUGGUCUUUGGACUUUGGAGAAGACUUGAGAGGGCCCAGAGUAAUUAAAAGUCAAGAUUGGCAAUCUGAAGUUAAUCUCUGGCUUUAAAAUGCAGGACUCUCUUGUCGGUGGGAAAAGUUUCUGAAUUAAUAUAGGAGCUAAUACAUGCACUUUCCGAACUAAAGAAAACUGAGUUUAAGCGGCGAAUGGCUGUGCAUCUUUGUCUGGUGUUGUUGCAGAUUAUUGUUUUGCAUCUCAGGCCGAUCAAAGCCUCAGAAAGACUCCCCUGUCCAACUGAAUGUGGAAAUGUCAGCAUCAGCUACCCCUUCGGAAUCGGAGAAGGGUGCUACUUUGACAAGGGUUACGAAGUUAUCUGCGAUCACUCUUCUGGCUCUCCCAAAGCUUUUCUUCCUGGCGUCAACAGGCUAGAAUUAUUGGAUACUCUUUCUUAUGAUUCAAGGCCCGCGGUUAGAGUCAACGUUCCUACAAUUUCUUUAAACAGCAGUAGUAAGCGAACAAGCAAUAUUCUUAAAGGCGUCAACUUAUCAGGUACCCCUUUCGCCUUUUCGUCUGACAAUAAAUUCGCCGCCAUAGGCUGCAACAUGAGAUAUCACCAAGGGAACGGUUCAUCUGUGUUUGAUGCGUGUCUGUCGAUUUGUACUUGUGAUCCUACUCUCUACCCUGCUUGCUAUGAUUUCCUAUGCCCCCUUCCUCGAAAUAUUACUCAUCUUUUGAAUGUAAAUACAUCAUACUUGUUUUCUCAAAGUAUUCCUCAAAAGUGUCAGUCUGUUUUCCUGGUUGAUGAACAUUGGGUCAACAGCAAGUACCUUGAAGAUCCUCAUGAUUUGGAAGAUCAACGAGAAGUUCCUGCAGUGUUGAAGUGGGGAGAAAAGAUAGGCAGUUGUUUUGAAGGGAAUAACUCAUAUUCUAUUUUUUGUAAUUCGGAUAAAAAAGGUUGUUUAACACAAUUAAGCUCAGGCCAUUUAUGUCUUUGCUCUUCUGGCUACGACCUAGAGAAAGGAUACUGCUCAGGUACAGAUUGGAUUAUGAGUUAAAGAGUAAUUUUAUUUUUUUCAAAGAAAAUAUCCGGACGACAAGAAGAAAAGGGAAAAUUCUUGGUGCUCCACGAGCAUUAUGAAUAGAUGCUAUUUCCGUAUAAAUAUUAGCAAUAAGCGUGAAUGAGAAACGGAAAAUGCUAUUGGAGCGCCUAGACUUUAGUAGCAAGAGUUAAAUGUCAAAUGAUGUAACAUUCCUCUAUUGGAUGGUAAGAUGAUCAGAAAAGUGUUGUAAAAUUUAUCAUCCAAUAGAUGAUUGAAAUUACUGAUUUUUAAAAUAUCCAUCGGAUUACUUGCAAACGAGUAAAGUCUUCCAAUUACUGUAACUGUCUAUGUAAACAGAAAAUUAAAGACAAAAAUGGUGGAGUUUAUUUUAUUUAUUAUUUUCUGGACAGGCGACUUGAUCUGUAAUAUCUCGAGCGGCUACAAUUGCUCCAAUUGUCCUGACGGUUAUAAUCGUCUCUCAUAUGGUUGCAUUAAAGUUUUCAACAAAUCUCGGGUUAAAUUCAUUAUUAUAGGUAUGCAUGUCGAUCCUUUAUUUUACAUCAUAACAAAUUAAUAAUGUUUUUUAACAUAUAUUUCAAAUGAAAAUACUAACUGUUCAUUCGUUCGUUUGAUGAUAUCUUUCAUUAUUGUCCUCGAGAGCCACAGGCUGCGGUGGUGGGCUUGCGUUAUUCUUUCUACUCAUUGGAAUAUGGUGGUUGUACAAGUUUGUAAAAAGAAGAAGGGAAAUCAAGUUUAAGCGUAAGUUCUUUAAAAAAAAUGGUGGUUUAUUAUUGCAACAAGAAUUGUCUUCCAAUGAAGGUAACAUUGAGAAAAUGAAGUUAUUUACUUCAAAUGAUUUGGAGAAGGCCACCGACAACUACAAUGCCAAUCGAAUCCUUGGUCAAGGAGGCCAAGGCAUUGUAUACAAAGGAAUGUUAGCAGAUGGAGGAAUUGUGGCUGUAAAAAAAUCUAAAAUAUUGGAUGAGAGUAAUCUCGAGCAAUUCAUCAAUGAGGUAGUAAUUUUGUCUCAAAUUAAUCACAGAAAUGUUGUUAAGUUGUUGGGAUGUUGCUUGGAGACAGAAGUUCCUCUUUUGGUGUAUGAAUUUAUUCCCAAUGGAAGCCUCGAUCAAUACAUACACUACCAAUCUGAAGAGUUUCCAAUCACAUGGGAAAUGCGUUUACGCAUUGCUGUUGAAGUUUCAGGUGCUCUAUCUUAUCUGCAUUCAGCAGCAUCUAUUCCUAUUUAUCAUCGAGACAUCAAGUCUGCAAACAUACUUUUGGACGAUAAAUAUCAAGCUAAAGUUUCAGAUUUUGGGGCUUCUAGAUCUAUCACAAUUGAUCAAACUCACUUGACCACUCAAGUACAAGGAAGUUUUGGAUAUCUAGAUCCAGAAUACUUUCGGUCAAGUCAUUUUACUGAGAAAAGUGAUGUUUAUAGUUUUGGAGUAGUUCUUGUUGAGCUUCUAACUGGACAAAAACCUAUCCGUUCAACUGAAGCUGAAGAAGAUAAAAGUUUAGCAAGAUAUUUUAACCAAGCAAUGAAAGAGAACUGUUUGUUUGAAGUCCUUGAUGAUCGAGUUCUCAAGGAAGCUGAGAAAGUAGAAAUUAUUACUGUUGCUACACUCGCAAAAAGAUGCUUGAACUUGAAUGGGAAGAAAAGACCUACGAUGAAAGAAGUGGCAUUUGAAUUACGGGGUAUAAGAGAAUCGAUUGGAGCUUCCAUUUUGCAGCAAAAUUGUGAAGAGACUGAUUUUGUGGAUGGUGACAUUACUGGACAUGAUUUCGAAAGAGAUUCAUCUUCUAGUGGGUCAACUUUAAAUAGUGUCUCAGUUUCUGUGGAUGCCGACCCUUUAAUUUCAAACAAAUGGUGACAGAGAAGAAUGGCCUUGAAACUGUUUGUAUUUCAUAAAUAAGAUUGUUAGACUUUUCCGAUAUUAUCAUUCUUGAAUCGUUGCGCACCAUCAUUUGUAGUUAAACACUUCCAAGUCAUUUCAAACAAAUUUUCCACUUUUUCAUUGAAUGCGCGGAGGGGGCGCAAAUGGAGGAGAUGAAGGAAAAAUCUGUUGAAAUUAAUUUCGUAGUUGAAGUUUAUAAAUGCAAGAUGAUAUGAUCUCUCAGUCUAUUAAAUACUGAUGUGCAAGAACUUUAGCACUAUGUGACCUAAUAUCUCAAGUAAAUAGGAGAGAACAACUUGAGCACUUAAGAGGGCCAACGUUAAAUAAACUCCAGAGUGGCAUGUUGUAAUUGUUGGCUUAUUGUUAUGCAGAACUUUCCCGGUAGUGAAAUAAAAUCGAGAGGAAGAUGGGAGGAAAUAAAGAUCAAUGCGCUUUCUUGUAUUUCAUGGGUUAAAAAUCUUUUUAUCUGAUUACAAACUGAUAGAUAAAAUACCCUUAUAUCAUUUGUGAUUGAAUCUCUUAGGUCAAAUAUAUAAAGUUAGAACAAUCCUCAACUCAUUAGUUAGAUUUUGAGUAUGGGUUAAACCCAUGAACUUUUAUAUUUUACUAGAGAUAAACUCACCCACGAUUAUGCCCGCACUACCUCCCACAGUACCUUACCACUAGACGCCCUUCACAUGGAGGCUUGGGUACCACUUGAAAAGUCAUUCGAAAGAAAAGUCUGUUUAAAAUUACGUUCCAAUUCUGUAUUGUCAACUCUCCAAGUUAUAAAUUGAUAUUCAACUCUUAUGUUAUAAAAAAAGUAAUGCUGGAGCAUUCCAACUUGAGUACCAAUGGAUGUGGCAUUCAUUCAGUGGAUAGUAGAAUAUUUAUUUUAUCAACUAUAAAAUUUAUUAUUCAAUAGAUAAAUGAUAUAUGAUAGUUGGGACUCAAAUUGGGACUUAAUUGGUGGGUCACAAUCAUUAUUGGUUAAAAACGAUAUACAAAGAUAGCUAUCGUAAGAGGUAAAUCAAAAACUCUUUCUCUCUGCUAAGACCCUUUCUGCCACCAGCUGAAAUUCAAACACUAGUUUUGAUCCAUCAACGUGCCUGAAUUACACAGCCACCACAUUUUCAAACAUCUAAACUUUCAAAUCUAAACUUUCAAAUCUAUUUUUCAACUCCGUUUUUCCAACCACUGCAGUCUCGAACCAACCGGAACUCCACGCUGCUACUUGUAGCUGCCACGUCGCCAAUUUCCCAUUACCACAGCCAAUAAAAUAAAAUAAAAUAUAUAUAUAUAUAUACGGAGGAGAGAACAACUUGUAGACUUGAGAGGGCCAGGGUUAAUUAAAAGUCAAGUUGACUUGCAGGACUUUCAUUGUAUUGGGAUAAAAGCUAAAAGGAACCUAGAAGGAAUUUAAUUAAAGAUCAACGCAUGCAAUUGCUCCGUUAAAUCUUCAUUCUUCCGAGUAAAAAUAUUGAGAAUGGUUGUUCAUCAUUAUCUGGUGUUGCUGCAAUUGCUGAUUUUGCUAGUAUGGCCAAUCAAAGCAUCAAAAGAUUUAUGCCAAUAUGAUUGUGGCAAUGUCACUAUCAUUUACCCCUUCGGAAUCGGAGACGGUUGCUACUUUGAUAAGAGUUUUGAAGUAUUCUGCGAUUACUCCUCUCGCUCCCCAAAAGCUUUUCUUGCGAGCAUCAACAACCUGCAAGUAUUGGACAGUCAUGUUUAUACUGUUUAUGAUUCAUCUACUUCUUUUUAUGUAUACAUGAUUAGGGUAUACAUUCCUGUAAUUUCUUUGAAGAUCAGUAACCUGACAAGCAGUGAUAAAGGGGUCAGUCUAUCAGGUAGCCCUUUUACAUUUUCCCGGUCGCGCAAUAGAUUCACUGCCAUAGGUUGCAACAACUAUUCUACGAUUAUUAAGCGACAGAAUGAUUCAUCCGUUUUUGGUGGGUGCCUUUCGAUUAUCACUUGUGAUCCUGCUCUUAACCCUGGUUGCUACGAUUUCCUAUGCGCCUUUCCUCAAAAUAUUACUGAGGUUUUCAAUGCACAAAUAUCUAAUUUUUAUUCUAAAAGUAUUCCUCAGGAAUGUCACUCUGUUUCCAUUGUUGAAGAUUAUUGGAUCACCUCAGGGUACCUGAAGAAUCCUCACGUUUUGAAAGAUCAUGAACAAGUUCCUGCACUGUUGGAGUGGCUUGAGUAUAAAGGAUAUUGUUAUGAAGAAUAUAAUUCGAAAACUACUUGUAACAAGGACAAUAGAUGUUUAAUACAAUUAAGCUCAGGCUACCUUUGCCUUUGCUUUAGGGAAACAAGCUUUGACCGACACCACCAUGGAUAUUGCUCAGGUACAAUUUCGAAUACUAAUUAAAUUAAUUUCAUAUAUGAAGUGUAUACUACAUUUCCUUGAACCAACUACGUAUCUAACACAAAAUUAGUGAAAGUAAUUGCAGAAUUCGCAUAUGUAAAAAAUGAAAGAUUUAUAUAUAGCCAUAAUUUAUUUUGAUAUUCUAUUUCAUCUUUUGGGUUUGUUUAGGUUUCUUGUUCUAUAAUAUCACAAGCCCCUACAAUUACUCCUCAGGAUGUCCCAAAGGUUACUUUUCAGAUCCCAACUCAAGUAUCUGCGCCCAAAAUCGUAGGACAAGUUCAUAUGAACUUCUUCAAAUUAUGCACAAAAAUUCUCAUGUCAAAUUCAUUAUUAUAGGUAUGCAUUGGAAUUUGCAGAUUUUGUCGACAGAAUUAACUGAUUUUUAAUUACCGUAUAUAUAUGGGCUCACAAACGCAAAAACGUUCUGCACCUGAAAUUUGCAAUAGCAUAUACAUUUAUGAUCUCCUACUCUUAACAGACUAAACAGUUCCUUGCCAUAAAUCGCCGAACGCGUAUUAAAUAUUCUUGUCCUGGAGCGUUGCAGGUUGCAAUAGUGGGCUUGGAAUGUUGUUCCUACUAAUCGGAAUAUGGUGGUUGUGCAAGUUCGUUAAAAGAAGAAGAGAAACCAAGCUCAAACAGAAGUUCUUUAAAAGAAAUGGUGGUUUAUUAUUGCAACAACAAUCGUCAUCAAAUGAAGGUAAUACCGAGAAAACAAAAUUGUUUACUUCAAUGGAAUUGGAAAUGGCUACUGACAACUUCAAUACCAAUCGAAUCCUUGCAUUCAACUACUUGUAUUCCAAUUUAUCAUCGAGACAUCAAGUCUGCAAAUAUACUUUUGGAUGAUAAAUUUCGAGCAAAAGUUUCGGACUUUGGGGCGUCUAGAUCUGUCACGAUUGAUCAAACUCACUUGACCACACGAGUACAAGGAACUUUUGGAUAUCUAGAUCCAGAGUACUUUGGGUCAAGUCAAUUUACAGAGAAAAGUGAUGUUUAUAGUUUUGGAGUUGUCCUUGUUGAGCUUUUAACUGGACAAAAACCUAUCCUUUCAACCGACGCGGAAGAAGAUAAAAGUUUAGCAGGGUAUUUUCUCCGAGCAAUGAAAGAGAACCAUUUGUUUGAUGUGCUUGAUGCUCAAGUUCUUAAGGAAGCCAAGGAAGAAGAGAUUAUUACCGUUGCUAUGCUUGCAAAAAGAUGCUUGAACUUGAAUGGGAGGAAGAGACCUACUAUGAAAGAAGUAACAUUUGAAUUAGGGGGGAUUAGAGCUCAAAAGUGUGAAGACAUUCAUCUUGUGGGUGGAAAUUUUGAAACUGGUUCAUCUUCAACUGGAGCAUUUUAAAUACUGUUGCUUUUUCUGUAGAUGCUAAUCCUUUGCUUUCAAACAAGUGGUGAUUAAAGGGAAAAAUUUUCCUUUAAAAUCUAAGUAUUUCAUUUCAUAAAUAAAUUAAGCUGUGGAUUUUUGCAUUAUGCUUCUCUUAUGGUUAAAAUUUUUCAUCUCUAGAAUAAAAUAUACAGAGUUUAAUGUUCGGUUUGUAAGCGGAGAAAUAAAUUUAGAAGGUAGAUUCCAACAAAGCAUCUGUGGCAAACAUAUUUAAAUGUCUAAGAAGCAAGCUUCUAAUGCUACCAAUAUUUAGGGGCCCUGUGCUUGAAGAAACAGAACUUUGAAGCUGACAGAGUGAGGCAUCUCAGCAUCUGAAUCUGCAUACAAGUGGAACAGGAGAUGCUGACAUGACAUCCUAGGUGGAACUUAUGUGACACAUACAAUGUAUCCAGUUCGUUCCUAAUUCAUACGCUUACAUUGUAACCCCGUUCUGUGUGUUUCGAGUACCAUUGGUGAACCAUCACUUCGUGCCAUUGUAUUGCUAAUAGCACCUUUGCCUUGAUUGAUUUUGCUGACAAUGUAUAGGUUGUGUUUGAAAGUGAAGUACUAUAACUUUUAUGUUACGUUUACUUCCCGGAUUAGGGAAUCGGAAUCAUUAACAACGUUUACCUCGCAAAAUAGAUUUAGGAAUUGGAAUCGGAUUCGUGAGACCCACCACAAUUUGGGAAUGAGCAAUGGGAGACUCACUCCUAGGGGAGGUGGGAAUGAGUCUCCCAUUUUCGGGAUUGACUGUUUUACCCUCCCCCAAAAUUAAAAAUGUUUAUAUUGUCCUCAUUUAUAAUUAAUUAAUAUAUUAUUAUAAUUAAUUAAUAUAUUGUUAACAAUAAUUAUUAAUAAUUUUAGUAUUUAAUAAAUAAUGACAAUAAUUAAUAUAUUAUUAUUAUAAUUAAUUAAUUAUUAUAAUUGUUACUAUUAAUUAAUAUAUUAAUAUAUUAUUAACAACAAUUAUUAAUAAUUUAAUUUUUGAUAAAUAAUCACAAUAAUUAAUAUACUUUUAUUAUAAUUAAUUAAUUAGUAUACUAUUAUAAUAAUUACUAAUAUAAUUAUUUUAAUUAAUUCAUAUAUAUUAUUAAUUUAUUUAUAUAACUAUUACUAUUAAUUAAUAUGUUAGUAUAUUAUUAACAAUGAUAUAUUAAUAAUUAUAGUUUUGAAUAAAUAAUUACAAUAAUUAAUAUAUUUUUAUAAUAAUAGUUAAUAUAAUUAUUAUAAUUAGUUAAAAAAAUUACAAUUAAUUAAUAUAUUAAUAUAUUCUUGACAAUAAUUAAUAAUAAUAAUAAUAAUUUUUGAAUAAAUAAUCACUAUAAUUAAAAAAUAAAAUAAUAAUUAUGACAAUAAUUCAUUAAGUACUUUUUAGUAAUUUGUUACAAUCUAACUCAUUCUGAUUCCAAUUCCAAGAUAAAAUAAACACAUCAGUGGGAUUCUAGUCCAUUCUUAUUCUGAUUCAUGUAGGUCAACUAAACAAUUUAUUCUAAUUUUUAUUCCUCAUUUUGAUUCCAGCCCAUUCCAAUUACUAACAAGUAAACGCAGCAUUAAGAUACAUAUGUUGUGGAGUAAAAGUCAUAGUUGUGGGAUAAAAGCUGCUAGUGUUUAGCAAAUUUUAAUAGUUGUAGAGUAGAAGCUGAUGGUGUUUGGUAAAUUUUAAUAGUUGUAUAGUGAAAGUUGAUGAAUAUUUGUAAUAAUUAAUUUUAAAUAACAUUAUUUUUAAUUAUUAAUUAGUCAAAUUAUUUUUCAUAUUUUGAAUUAUCAUGUUAACUUAUGAUUAUGUUUAUUACUUUGACAAAUCAAAUUAAUAUUUAAUUAAUCAAAGUUAUUUUUCUUCACAAGUUGUAAUAAAUAUUUUUUAAAACAAAAUAAUUUAAAAAUUGAAAAUAAAUAAAUUCUAAUUUUACACAAUGAUUGAAGAAAUAAAUUAUACCAAAUAUGUCUAAUAAAGAUCAUACAACAUAACAUUAUCUAUACAACUUAAAAGUGAUUUUUAACCCGCAAGUAUAAGAGUGUCUUGUUGUAUUAUAGCUCGGUGAGUCCAAGGUCGAUUUACAGAGAAAAUAUUUAAUUUGUUUAUUUUAUUUUAUCUAAAAAUGAAAAUAAAAUUUAAAUAUAAACAACUUAAUUUAAAUCAAAUUAUGAAAUUGAAUUAGUUAGGGUUAUGGAUCCACUCUUAGUAGUAAAUAAAAUUUAAUAAAUUCUUUUUACUAUUUUUUUAGAUUUAUUACCCAAAAGAUUAAUUAUAUAAAUUAUUAUUAUUUUCCUAUUAAUUUUAUUAUGGAUUAAGUAUUUAUUGUGCCAAAAUUUAUUUUUUCUACAAUAAAUCAAAAUACCAUUUUAUCAUACCUUAUAUUAAGAUAUUAAGAAUUUAUUGUGCCAAACUCCCUUUUUUGUCUACAAUAAAUCAAAAUUUCAAAAUAUAAAAUAUGUAUAAAAUUAAAUAGAAAAUAAUUUAAUUUAUUAAAUUAAAAAUAAAUUUUGAUUAAAUUAUAUUUAUUUCCUAAGAGUUUCACCUUACCCUAACUAUUAUUAUUUAGUUAAGUAUAAUUGAAAUAAAAGUAAUUACUAAAAUUAAAUUGAACAUAAUUAAAAUGAAUAAAAAACUAAAAUUGAAAAUAAAACUAAAUUUAUUUAUAAAAAUAAUUAAGCAAAAUAUUAAAAACACACCUGAAAAACAAGAUUACAAGGAGAUUGAGAGAAAUUGAGAAGACGAGAGAUGAUAAAAAACAUAAAAAAUGAGGCUCUAUUUAUAAAAAAAUAAAUUCAUGAUCCAGUGUCUUGCGGUCCAUCAUAAGCUUUAUGCAUGCGCUCUUCACAACCAUUAGAUCAAAGAUCCAACAGCUGCUCAAACUUCAAAAGUCAACAUCACACAUAGCAUCAUGUGAAACGUCCGAUUCGGUCAAAGAACGGUUGAGAUUUGGCGGGUUAAUGAGUUGAUCUGAUUGACCCGAAUACAAAGGUUCGGAUCCUACAAUUUACUUCACCAACCAUUGCCACGUGGCACAAUCGCAGCCAUUGAAUCAUGAACGGUUAAGAUUUAGUUAAAAUUGCUAGUUAUGUCAUGCACUCAUAUAUAUUGUAAGCUCAUUUUAUCAUCCAAUCAGUGCUCAGUCAACUGAAAACGUCAACCUUUUUUUACAACAGCUCAAUUUUAAGCCGAUGUGGACCAAUCUUAAGGUUUUCGAAUCUCCGAAAUCCAAAUUUGACAUCCGUUUAUCUGUUUGGAGCCUCAAACUACGUGAAAUUAAUAUUUUACCUAAUAAACACACAAAAAUAUACAAAAUUAAAUAUAAUUAAGACAUAAUUAAUAAUUCCUAAUAUAUUGGAUAAACACAAAUAUAAAUUAUAAUAUAAACACAAAAUAACAUUUUUAUCGCUUGAUAAUUAAACAACUUUUAAUACUAAUCAAUUAUAAAAUUAAAAUGUAACUAAUUAUAAAAUUCUUAUAAACAUUUCCAUUGUCAUGCCUCCAUUAAACUUGCAACAAUGCCAUCUCUCAAGAUUAUUAUAUUUUGAGCUAUGUUAUCAGUUGUGUUAUAACUUUCUUUAGGAGACGCAAUCUUGCUUAUAUGUUCGCUCUUAGUAUGACUUGGUUCAUCCAUUGUUUCAUAAAAAUGAUCAUGAUUUUGUGAAUAUCUUCUUAUGUAAUUAUGUAAGGCCAUGGUAGUAAUAACACUCGCUUCUUGAAUGUAUCGCUUGGCAUAUUUCGUAAAAUCUUCCACGUGUUCUUUCAAACCCCAAAAGUACCCAUUAGAGUUAGCAGUACUCUAAACACUAAGAGAUUCAGAUGCCUCAUUACUCUCGAAAGGAAAACCAAAUGAGGGAAGCCAAACAUGCUCACUCAUAACCACUGUGUUUGAACAUUAAAUUUAGGUUUUUCUCUAACUCUGGAUCAAUAACAUUUUUUCGAAAUCUACUCAAUUGCAAAUUUUCCUUUAUUUUCUUUUCCCACCAGUCUUCACUUGCAUCAACUAUCCAGGGGCAAAGCUAUGAGGGGGCUAACCCGGGUUGUAGCCAGGGUUAGUAUCUUGAAAGAAAAAAGUUAAUUAUAAAUUUAUUUAAAAAAAACUUAUAGUAAAAUAUAAAAUAUAACGAAUAAUUAUUGUCAAUAUCUAUUUUCUCUAAAUCGAAAAACUCACCUUCCUUGACUAAUUAAUCCAAUUAUCCAAAAUCUAAAUUCCCCAAGACUCAAUUGUUCAAGUCAUUAACUUGCUGCUUUAUGAGUGACAACCAGCCUCUACCGCACCCACAUAAUCAUACUGUCUUUGAAUUAGUUAUUAGCUUAUACUUUUGUCAAAUUUUUUGAUAAAAUAAUUAAUAAUUCUCUAAUAUAUUAUUAUCGCAGACAAUAUCAAUUCAGAUACGAUAAUACAUGAGCUUUCUUUUUUGAAGAAUCACAAGACAAAACUUCUUUGACAGUGUUUUUUUAUUUACAAUGUACCUUUACAGUUUUAUUAUUAGUUUUUUGCUUGUCUAGUGUAUUUUAAUAAUUUCAUUUGUAUAGAAUAAAUUUUUUUGAGAAAUAAAAUUGAAUUAAAAAAAAAAUCUAGCCCACCCCAAAAAAUAUUGCUAGCUUCGCCACUGCAACUAUCCAUAACUUAUGAUUCCACCCUAGACUAGCUUCCUAGCUAAUCAAAUUCUUCCACAGUUUCCAAUCAGUUCUAAUAGAAUCCCAUUUUUUUUUCAUCUGAAUUCUAUUGUAAUCCAAUCCAGUUUCUUUAGUGGAUUCCUUAAUUAAAUUUUCAUAUCCUUUGGAAGUCACAUGAGUCCUAGGACGAUGUUUGGCAUCCACUGCCUUAAUACAUAACUCACAAAAUACAUUUGAAGUCUAGGAGUUCCAGGUCGCCUUACUAGUUGAGCUAUUAGACAUAAUUGCGUACACUUAAACCUAGAAAAUAGAAUAAUAUUUCGUCAUCAAACAACAAUAUAGGAAAGAGAUUAAUUAAGAGCAAUACCCAAUUUUCUUUUUAAAACAAAUAACAUUAAUUAAGGAUGAAUUAUGUCUAGCAACAAGGAUGAAUUAUGUCUAACAUUACAUAUCCUGUUUCAAAAUGAGUUGUUAGAUUAAUAAACCUGGGGUUUCCUCUAAUUACAUACCCUGUUUCGAAGAAAUUAAAAUAAUUUUUCUCAAUAGUUUAAUUUUUUUUAGUUACCUUUAAGUGAAUCCUUUAAAAUUUAUGAGAAGCUGAAAUGAUUUGUUCAAAAACAUGUAUUGUUGGAAUAUAUAGGAAUUGGUUACUUGUUUGUUGCUGCCUUUAAUGAUUUUUAUUAGGGAAAUUUCAUCAAACAAGGAUUGUGCAUGUCUAUAAAAAGCAACUAAAAAAAAUUAAAAAUGCAAUAAAAAUAGUGACUUCAAAGCAAAUAAAUCACACGUGACCAAUCACCUAUUAAUUUAUUCUAAGCAAAAGCUCCGGUACAUUUUGAACAAAAAGGAAGAAAAUAAAAAAUUACAUGUAACAAAGUAAAGGAAAACUCAAAAAAUGAACAACGGGUAAAGGAAAAUGCACAUUUCUUAGAUAUUUUAAAAACAAAGAUAGAAGAACAUAUUUGUAUGAAAAUGACUGGUGUUAGAAUCGCGUCAAUGAGAAUUACCAAUGUUGGAAUUGUAUCGAUGAGAACUGUCGAUGUUGGAAUCAUGCUAAUAAGAACAAUGUUUAGAGUUUGUUUUAUGGAAAAAUCAAUUUGAGUUUAAGUUUAAAAAUGAGGAGGAUAAAAUCAAAAUUAAAUAAUAUGUAACGGUAAUUUAGUAAUUUAAUAUACAGCUAAGAAAAAAUUUUGCUGAGCUGCUAAAGCCCGACUCCAAAGUGUUACUACUGAAAAUGAGGGGAUGAUAUAUGGAAAAAAGAAGCUUCAUUUUAAAUUAAUGAACAAAAACAAUUUAAAGAUUUAAGAGAUCUAAUUUGUCGUUUUAUUUCACUAAAAUGUAUUGAUAGAUAAAAUUAGCCAUUAGGUGUGUCUUAUCCUAAAAUUAAUCUUUCACGAAGUCCUUAGAAACAAUAAAAUACUAUUACAUAGCCCGGAAAGCGUUUGUAUUAAGUUAUAGAAUUAGGUGUCUCUUACACAUAUGUCUUCCCAUGAAUAAAAGCGUUCGUAUUAAGUUAUGAAAUGGUGGAUUAUUAUGCCAAACAAACGGCUCUUUCCCAUUCAAAUUUAUUAAGUUAUGAAAUGGUGGAUUAUUAUACCAAACAAACGGCUCUAUCCCUUUCAAAAUUAUUGGACGUAUUUUUCAAGGAAACCUCCUCUAUCUUUCUUCCAAUUAAUGUCCAGUUAAGACUUCCGUGUGUCCAAUUAAUGUCAAUCGUUUUUGAAUGUGUACAGGAUAACAACUUGAAGACGUGAGAGGGCCAGCGUUAAUUCAAAGUCAAGACUAGGCUAUUACCCUGCAGGAUUCUUGAUAGUAAGGUGAAAAAAAAAAGGGUUGAAAGAGAUUAGGAUUUAACACUGAGUUUAGUUUUUAUUGACCACUAAGUUAAUUAUUAAAAUUUAUUUUGUGCUUUUUCUUUCGUUUAUCUUACAUAACAAUUAUUUAUUGAGAUUCUUGUCCAAUUGAAAGAUAUUAGAUAAAAGGUUAUUAAAACUUUAGUUAUUUUUGUGUAUAAAACAAAAACUUUGGAUUGUUUAGUUUCAAAAGAAAAAAAAUCGAGACUUUGAGCUGGUUUGGAACAAAUUAUAUUUGAAAUUGAAAAGAAGAAAAAAAAACCAUACAACGAGAAAGAGAAAAUAUAAAUGGGGUUAAUUCUAAUAAUAUGUCCUUAAAUAUAAUUGUAUAUAAUAGGGGUUUUAUAAGAUUAAUGAAGAGGUGCCAAUAAUCCAACAUUUUCACAAUUUUUUUUUUAAUUUUUAUUCAUCACCCCGAUGGCCCAAUUUAUUUUCGUUAUUAUGUAGGUGUGGUGUUACUAGAAAUCAAAUGCUGCCUUUUUUUCUUUUUUCUUUUCUUUUCCUCUCCUCUCCUCACUUAUAGUGGAAUAUGGAGAAUUAAACAAAACCAAUUCCUAAUCAACGUUAACAUACGUUAUAUAAUAUAUUACACAUUACAACUAUUUGUAUUUGAACUAAACUAAAAAAUCCAAACUCGAAACAAAAAUUGGGCUGCCGUUUGCUGGAUUUUGUAUGGAACUUAGAGGAGAAACUUGGUGAUGAAGUGUGUGGAGGUGCAAAGCCAACAAUCAGUAGGAGGUAGCAUCAGAUCUGGUCGCGGUCCUCGCAGAACAGUAGAUCGGCUGGCGGUUGGCAUCGGCGGUGAUUGUGGCGAGCCUGUGUUGGCUGCGGCUGUGUGUAUGUGUGUGUGUGUUUCUACUUGUGUUGAGUGUUGACUUGAGGGUGGGGCAGUGACCCAUGAGGCGUGAAGGAGGGGAGCAGAGGCUGGAGUGCGCUGUGUGGUCUCUUGUCGAGGUUUGAGGGGGAGGUAGUGAGGCGUGAGGGAGGGGAGUGAGGCUGCUGGGUACGGCUGGGUGCGCUGAGUGUGUAGUCUACUGGUUUUGUGCCUCCAUCUCUACUCGUUUUGUGUGUCGUAUACGUGUGUGGUGCGUGAGGCUAUGUAGUGUGUGGUCUGUGCUCUGCGGCGUCACUGGUGCUUGACUGCUUGUUGUUGGAUGCAUGUGUGCUGUAUCAGUAUGGGUUGUUCACUUUCUUCUUUAAGCCAACCCAUUCAGGUUAUCGGAUUGGAUCAGAUUUCACCCGAUCCGAUCACGAUCCGAUCGGGUUGGCAACAUUUGAUCCGAUCGGAUAUUAUGGUCAAUCCGAUCCAAUCUGAACCCAAUUUUUUUCGGAUCAAAUCGGGUCGGAUCAGUUAUUUUGCCCACCCCUAUUGCCCAGUGUCCCCCCUUGCCUCCUCACCAUACAAAUAACAAUUGAAAAUUAGGCCAAUUAAAUUAAAGGCAAGACGGGAUGGAAAUAUGGAAUCGUUAAUUAUUAUACCCAUGACCCCUCUAAUUAAUGGUUAUUUCCCUUUCGAUAUUAUUGUACGUGUUUGCAAGGAAAACUCAUCUAUCUUCCUUCCAAUUAAGACUAUUGUAUGUCCAAUUAAUGUAAAUUUUUUUUGAACGUGUAGAGUAUAACAUGACAAUGCAGAGACAUUUAAAGUUGAUUGAUAGAAGGAACAAAAUUUCCUAAAUAAUGAAGUUAAUUGAAAAAAUUUUAAAUUAACAAAACUAGAGUUUUAGAUCUUUUUAUAUAAUAACUUUAACUAUAAUAAAAUUCUCCUAAUCUAAAUAAAAAAUCCAAAAUAAACAGUGCUCAAAUAUGUUAUUUAGGAAAAAAAAGAUAAAAAUUUUAGAAGAAAUAAGAAAAAAUAGAAGAAUAUCUUAAAAACGAAAAAUGACAAGGAAAGAAACAAAUUUUUAGGCUCAAGUAAGGCCCAAAAUGGCAUAAGCUUUAUUAGCUUGAUUUGUCUUCUCGUAAACUUUAAAACAAUAUAUUAUACACUCAAAACGGAUACAUGUAGCCUAAGUUACGCCCUUUGGAAAGUACCAUUCUCAUCCCACACACCCAUCAUACAUUAGUCCCUCUCACUUGGAAAAGAACUCUCCAUCGAGUUUGACUCGUACAACGCCUCAUCAUCUAAAUGAUAUUUAAACAGAUAAGCCAUAUUGAAUGUGUAAAAGAUCUUUUAGUUGUCCGGUAGUGCGAGAACAUAAGCAUUAUUAUUAAUCUUCCUUGCCACACGAAAUGGUCCAUACUUGAUGUGGACAUGCAUCACUUUCCUGUGUCGACGCCUGUUCGCACCGAACUUGUACAUAGCAUUUGUAACCUCCAAAUGAGCUCGUACCUUGGCGUGAAUCUAUAGAGCCCUUUAUUUUCUACCACAUUAUUCACUAUUUUUUAUACGAACCCCAUCAAGCACUAACACGACCCUAAUCAAUUUAGUUCCCAAGAUCGAAUCUAAACCAGGAAUUGAAUAGAACCUCAACCCAAUGCUUAAUGAAAGCACGAACCUUGGUAUGUGAAGACGCCACAAUCAGCUAUGGAUGGUCUGAUUGAUAAGUCAAGAGUUUGAACGCCACGGAAAUCCGAUAAGUUCAAAGAGUUUGUAAAGAACCAAAAAGAAUUAACUCUCUCACCAAUUGCAUCAAAAUUUAUCUCUGUUUAUUGGAUAUGAAUACAUUAUAUAGGGCUGGUUACAAGAAUUUUUGGAAAUAAAUCAUAAGCCAAAAAUCAAAUCUGAAUAUGAAUCUAAACAAAUAGGAAAGAAUAUAAAUCAAAUCAGAAUCCUAAUCUAAGUAAAUAGGAAAGAAUAUAAAUCAAAUCAGGAUCCUAAUUGGCUUAAAUGUCUUACAUCAAUUAAAAUGGAAACUAGUCGAUUAAAAUAGAAAUAAUUGAUUUGUUUCCUUAAUAGCCUCCUCAAGAAACAAGAAAGUAUCUGAAAAAAAAAAAAUAUAUUUUCCCGCCAUAAUGUGCAAGCCAACUCCUUAUUUCAUGGAAAUAAUUAUUUGGAAACUUCAAGAGCCUAAAUCAUGCAUUUAUCAUGUGCGAUUCCUUCAACGGACCUCCACGAAUUUGAUUGAGCCCAAGUUGCUUGAAUCAAUCCAUUACGCGCUUCUUUGAAUUUCUUUGCUCGAGCUCUUGUAACAGGUCCGACGGGAACUUGAGUAGGAUCUGAAUAUGCCUCAUCCCAUGUGCUUGUGAUAGUUUUAUCCUUAAUCUCAUCAUUCCCCUCCUUUUGAAGAGGAUUUGUCCUCAAAUCAUCACCAACAUCAAAAGAACUCAAAUCAGAAACAUUAAAAGUAGCACUUAGAUUGUACUCACCGGGCAAAUCCAGUUUCUAGGCAUUUUCAUUGAUCCGUUCCAAAACUUGGAAUGGGCCAUCCCCUCAAGGUAAUGACAUAGAUUUCCUCCGUUCAAGAAAUCGUUCUUUGUGCAUGUGUAACCACACCUAAUUGUCGGGUUCAAAGACUAGUUUAUGUCGCCCUUUGUUAGCUUGUUUAGCAUAUUGCUCAGUUCUCCGCUCAAUGUUGAACUUCGCCUUCUCAUGUAUUUGUUUAACAAUUUCAGCCUUUUUCUUGCCAUCUAAGUUAACACGAUCAGAAAUAGGUAAUAGAGUUAAAUCCAAUGGGGUUAAAUGAUUAAAACCAUAAACAAUUUCAAAUGGUGAAUACUUAGUAGAAGAAUGAACGGAACGAUUAUAAGCAAACUCAACAUGUGGUAAACAAUCUUCCCAAGUUUUGAUGUUCUUUUUAAUGAUAGCUCGUAACAGAGUAGAUAAAGUUCUAUUCACAACUUCUGUUUGACCAUCAGUUUGAGGAUGACAAGUAGUUGAAAACAACAACUAAGUUCCUAACUUAGCCCAUAAUGUUUUCCAAAAGUAACUUAAAAACUUAACAUCCCUAUCAGAAACAAUUGUCCUAAGCAUACCAUGCAACCUUACAAUCUCCCUAAAGAAUAGGUCAGCGACAUUAUAAGCACCAUCCGUUUUGUGACAUGGAAUAAAAUGUGUCAUAUUUGAAAAUCUAUCUACAAUCACAAAAAUUGAGUCUUUCCCUUGUUUAGACCUAGGUAAACCUAGUACAAAAUCCAUCGAAACAUCAGUCCAAGGUGCACUAGGUAUUGGCAAAGGGGUGUAUAAGCCAUAAGGUUGCACUUUUAAUUUGGCUUGCCUAUAAGUGACACAUUUACCACAAAGUUUUUCAACAUCUCGUUUUAUAUGUGGCCAAUAGAAGUGUUCCUAUAAAACUGCUAGAGUCUUUACAACUCCAAAAUGCCUUAUUAACCCUCCUCCAUGGGAUUCUCUCACUAACAAAUCUCUCAAAGAACAGUUAGGCACACAUAGUUUAUUCUCCUGAAAUAAAUAGUCAUCAUGCCUAAAGUAUUUACUGACUGUGGUCUUUUCACAAGCUUGGUAUUCAACAUUAAAAUCAUGGUCAUUGGCAUACAAUUCCUUAAUAUGUUCAAAACUAAGUAGUUUAGCAUUAAGUGUUGAGAUUAAGACAUAUCUGUUGGAAAGCACAUAUGCAACAACGUUUUUUUUACCUUGCUUGUAACGAAUGACAUAUGGAAAUGUCUCUAUGAAUUUUACCCAUCGAACAUGCCUCUUGUUCAGCUUGUGUUGGCCUUUAAGGUGUUUUGAGGACUUAUGAUCGGUGUGAAUCAUGAACUCCUUAGGCUAUAACUAGUGCUGCGACAUUUCUAAUGCUCGAACCAACGCAUACAACUCCUUAUCAUAAGUAGGGUAGUUUAAGUUUGCCCCACUCAGGUUUCCACUAACGUAAGCAAUUGGUCGUCCCUCUUACAUUAGGACUGCGAAUACCAAUCCUGAGGCAUCACAUUCAAUUUCAAAUGUUUUAUUAAAGUUAGGCAAAGACAAUAAUAGAGCAUUUGUUAGCUUUUGCUUGAUCAUUUGAAAUGUCUCCUCUUGUGCUUCUCCCCACUUGAAUCCAACAUUUUUUUUAUUACUUUAGUAAGCAAUGCGACUAAUGUGCUAAAGUCUUUCACAAAUCAUUGGUAGAAACUAGCGAGCACAUGAAAGCUUCUCACAUUACUUACACUUAUGGGACUCGACCACUCUUGGAUUGCACAUACCUUUUCCUCAUCAACCUGUAUACCAUGUGCACUGACAAUAAAUUCUAGAAACACACAUUUAUUUUCUAAGCAUAUCUAAAAUAGAUUUCAAAUGUAUUACGUGAUCGUUUAUGUUUUUGCUAUAAAUGAGGAUAUCAUCAAAAUAAACAACAACAAACUUGUCAAUAAAAGAUCGCAAGACAUGAUUCAUAAGUCUCAUAAAAGUGCUCGGGCCAUUAGUUAGACCAAAAGGCAUGACUAACCAUUCAUAUAAACCAUAUUUUGUUUUAAAGGCAGUUUUCUAUUUAUCUUCUUCUUUCAUUCUAAUAUGAUGAUAUCCACUUUUUAAAUCAAUUUUGGAAAAUACACAAGACCCAUGUAAUUCAUCAAGCAUAUCAUCUAACCUAGUAAUGAGAUGUCCAUACUUUACCGUUGUGUUGUUGAUGGCUCGACAAUCAACACACAUCCUCCACAUCUCAUCCUUAUUAGGAACUAAUAAAACGGGAACUGCACAUGGACUCACACUUUCUUUCAUGUACCCUUUUUUCCAUCAAUUCAUUAACCUGCCUUCGAAGUUCAUUGGUCUCCUCCAAGUUGCUCUUAUAGGCUGGUCUAUUUGGAAUGGCUGUACCGGGCAUAAAAUCAAUCUGAUGCUUAAUCCCUCAGAUUGGAAGUAAACGAUGUGGUGCUUCCUCAGGAAAGAUAUCCUCAUACUCCUACAAAAGAGAAGUAAUAGAACUAGGCAAGGUAUGGUCAAAUUCGUUAGUGCUUAAAAAUGUCCCUUUGUAUAAAAGUACAAUAAUCGGCUGAUGUAAAAACAAUGUUUUUUUAAUCUCAUUGGCUCUCGCGUAGAAAUUCUUUUGUUUUCCAUAUGAUUUUUGCUUAAUGGGCACAUUUUUCUUUGGUUUUUCUCUCACAUUUUACUCUACCUCUUUUUUAAUUUCACUAUCUUUUUCUCUCAUUUUCUUUUGCUCACUUUCUCUCUGUAAGCUCACUUGGUCUCUAUAAACCUACUUUGGUGUCAAUGGAACAAGAGUGAUGUUGCAUUAAUUAAAUACAAAUGAAUAUUUAUUGGUGAAGCCAUCAUGCUUCACACGCCUGUCGAAUUGCCAAGGCCACCCAAGUAAUAAGUGUCUAGCCUGCAUUGGCACUAUAUCACAAAGCACCUUAUCUUUAUACUUCCCAGUCCAAAAGUCACUAGUACCUACUUGUUCACUUUCACCUCACCAUUGUCAUUUAACCACUAUAAUUUAUAUGAUUGUGGGUGUUUAAGUGUCAGAAGCCCUAACUUCUCUACCAUGAUAGUACUAGCAACAUUAGUACAACUUCCUCCAUCAAUAAUCAUACUACAUACUUUGUCUUGAACAUAGCACCUAGUUCCCGUUGCACUGCUUUGUCUUCCUUUACUUGUACACUCAAACCUCUCCUCACUACUAAAGUCAAUUCCCUAAGGGCUAUUGUUGUGAAAAUUUUAAUAUAUUCGCAAGUGCACGAAUCUAGAAAUAGAAUAGUGGUAACGAGGUCGAUCCCACAGAGAAUGUUAUAAAUUAAAAAGUCUAAUUUAAAUCUAAAAUUAAUAUUAAUCCUAACAUAGUUGAGCAAAUUGAGUUUUAAAAGAAAUUAAACUAAUUAAACUAAGAAAACAAUUAAAGUAAAUGAGAUUUCAAUAAGACAAAAAUUACAAAGGUUUCAGAAUCCAGAUAAUUAUUUCAUUGAAUAAGGUUUCAUCCUUAACCUCAGUAUAAAAAAAUUAGCUAGACAUACUUGAAUUGGGAGCAACAAAAAAAAUAAAAUCAGCCAUGGGAAAAGUAAAUUGCUGCAGCUCUUCCUUUUCCUCUCUGCCGAAUCGCAUUUGCUUCCUUUUUCUUCCUCUAGCGGCUACCCUUCUCCAAAAGCCAAAAGCUUGCUUUUAUAUUUCUCUUUAAAAUGAGCCCCACCGACCUUGUUAUUUCUUAAGCCAAAAGGCUUGGUCUUUUAAUUUUCUUUGCUCUCACUCACGUGCUCACCAAUUAAGCUUGCACUAGGAUUCCUUUUUCCACUUAUGAAAGCCAAGUGUGGGUCCCUUUAAGUUGCUUUCCAUGCAUUACAAUGCCAUGCACAUCCAGCUCACUUGAAAAAUUGAAAUUUUUUUUGAGUGCAAAUUACUCUUGGCUUCACAUGCUAUAAACUCUUAAUUGUGUCACGACUUUGAUUGAUGCUUUCCCAAACUUGUUAUUCUUUAUGCACUUUUCAUUCUUAAUCUCCAAUUAAUUCCCUAUUCAAUAAAACAAUUCAAUAAAUUAAAAAUAACAAAUAAAAAUAACUAGCAAUUAUAUAGUUAAGGGUAAAAUAUGUAUAUAACUUAUGCUCAUCAGCUAUAUACUCUUCGUCUUUAACGUCCUCUAAUGGUGGCAUCUCAUUUUCUUCCGUUUCAUCUUCAGUUACAAUCUUACUAUUGUCUCACAACACUAUAACUCUCUUAUUCACACAUUCACUUGCGAUAUGCCCCUUGUCUUGACAUUUAAAACAAUUAAUGUCACAAUUCCUAAUAGUAAGAGGCACGGUGUUACCUUGUGAAUUGUGCUUGGAGGGCUCAGAUCUUAGCUUAGGUGCAAUAGAUGCUUGUAGCCUCUUGUCUCGUUUCACACAUAGCUGAGCUUCCAAUGAGUGGAACUCAAGCUUGGGGCUGCACGGGCGUUACCCCUCCUCUUGAGUUGCUGCUCAAUCUUGAUGGCUUUGUGUACAAUUUCAUCAAUUUUCACAUAAUGUUGCAACUUAACCUUAUCUGCUCUAUCAUCCUCCACAUUUGCUCUAAUCAUGACAAUCUCCAUUUCAUUAUAAUAAUCCUUCAUGCUUCAGCUACCAUGUGUAAGACUUUGUAAUUUUUUGUACAAGUCUCAAUAAUAGUGGUUAGGUACAAAACGUCUUCUCAUCAAUGAUUUCAUUUCAUCCCAUAUCUCAACUGGACGUUCUCUAUUUUGCCUCCUACUUAUAACAAGCUUAUCCCACUAAGUAAUAACAUAGUAAGAAAACUCAAUCACAACCAAUUUUACCUUUUUUUCCUCUGAAUAAUUAUGGCAAUCAAAUAUGAACUCUUUUUUCUUCUUCCAUUCAAGGUAUGCUUCUGGGUCAGAUUUUCUUUGAAAAGAUGGGAUCUUCAUCAUUAUGCCACUCAAUCCAUCAUCUCUAUUCAUAACUCUCCUACCUCGUCCAUUUCUCCUAUAGCUACCCACUGGGUCAUUCCAUUCAUCAUACUUAUCCCUAUAAUAGUCAUCAAUCUUUCCUCUAGCUGGAGAUCUUUCUCUUCUACGUGCUUGGGGAACAUAUUGUGGCUGCCCCGCACAUGUGUUCUCAACUUGAUCCAAACACUCAUGUAUGAGCUCUAAUUCAGCUCUCAUCAUCCUUCUUAUCAAAUGAUGGGAACCUCGUGUGUUCUCCACUUGGUUGCCCUGCACAUGUGUUCUCCACUUGGUUGCCCUGCACGUAUGUUCUCUACUUGGUGCCUAGGCUUUAAUACUAAAUGAUAGGAACCCAGUCAAGAACUAACGCGGCCUUAAUCAAUUUAGUCUCCAAGAUCGAAUCUAAACCAGGAUUGAAUGGAACCUCGACCCAAUGCUUAAUGAAAGCACGAACCUUGGUAUGUGAAGACGCCACAAUCAGAUGGAUGGUCUGAUUGAUAAGUCAAGAGUUUGAACACCACAGAAAUCCGAUAAGUUCAAAGAGUUUGUAAAGAAUCAAAGAGAAUUAACUCUCUCACCAAUUGCAUCAAAACUUAUCUUUAUUUAUUGGAUAUGAGUACAUUAUAUAGGGUUGGUUACAAGAAUUUUUGAAAAUAAAUCCUAAACCAAAAAUCAAAUCUGAAUCUGAAUCUAAACAAAUAGGAAAAAAUCUAAAUCAAAUCAGAUUCCUAAUCUAAGCGAAUAGGAAAGAAUUUAAAUCAAAUCAUAAUCAUAAUCUAAGUAAAUAGGAAAAUAUCUAAAUCAAAUCAGGAUCCUAAUUGGCUUAAAUGUCUUACAUUAAUUAAAAUAGAAACUAGAUUAUUAACAUAGAUAUAACUGAUUUGUUUCCCUAAUAGCCUCCUCAAGAAAACGGGAAAGUAUCUGAAAAAAAGGAAAAUAAUAUAUUUUCCUGCCAUAAUGUGCAAGCCAACUCCCUAUUUCAUGGAAGUGAUUAUUUGGAACUUUUAAGAGCUUGAAUCAUGCAUUUAUCAUGUGCGAUUCCUUCAACGGACCUCCACGAAUUUGAUUGAGCCCAAGUUACUUGAAUCAAUCUAUUAAGCGCUUCUUUGAAUUUCUUUGCUUGAGCUCUUGUAACGGGUCCGCCGGAACUUGAGUAGGAUCUGAAUAUGCCUCAUCCCAUGUGCUUAUGAUAGUUUUAUCCUUAAUCUCAUCAAUUUUACUCCCUCCAACUACUAUGGGCAUGAUAGCCAUAUCAUAAACAUGGCGUGGGGAACAAGUGUAGACAAUCUCAUAAAAGGUCUUAGCGCCAUGUUAUUGCAAGCAAACUUGACUUGAGGCAAGAUAGCUUCCCAAUUCUGUUGCUUGUCACUAUAAACACAGCACAACAUAUUGAGCAGAGUGCGAUUGACCGCCUCUAUUUGACCAUUUGUUUGCAAAUGAAAAGCACUACUAAACUGUACUGAACUUAUCCUAUAGAUGAUGCCAAAACUUGUUGAUAAACUUCACAUCCAUGUCAGAAGUAAUAGUCUUUAGCAUACCAUGCAAACUUACUACUUCUUCAGAGAACAAAUGUGCAACUGAAGCAGCAUCUUCAGUAUUCUUACAAGCAAUAAAAUGCACAAUCUCUGAAAACAUGUUGAUCACAACCUAUCAAUAUGUUCCCUUUAAAACUUUGAGGCAUAUAUAACUAAUUAGAUUUGAACAGAUAUCCAUCUUGAAUAAGGAAAUCUUUUGCAUUUUGAUGAUUAAUGCACCGAUCUUAAAUAUGCGCAAAGUCUUCAUCCUUAGCGUACAACUCCCUCAAGCAUUCAAAACCAGUAACUUCAAUGAAGAGAACAGUAAAGUUGCUUGCCUACUAAGUGCAUCUGCUAUCUUAUUCUAUUGCCCAGAUUUAUACUUCACAAUAAAAGUGAACUUUUACGUAUAGCUCACCCAUCUUGCAUGCAUCUUGCUCAGAUGUUGCUGGUGUUAAAGUACUUGAUUGCUUGAUGGUCACUAUAAGGUACGAACUCUUUGUAAAUCAAGUAAUGUUCUUAUGACUUCAACACUUUGAGGAUUGCAUAAAAUUAUUAGUCGUAAGUAAACCAUUUCUGUCAUGUUUUAUUUAACUUCUCACUCAUAUACAUAAGUGGUCAUCUCUCUUGAGAAAGAACAACCCCAAUACCAUUACCAUAAGCAUCACAUUCAACCUCAAACAACUUGAUGAAGUUUGGUAAGGCUAACAUAGGAGUAGUAAAAAAAUUCUCUUUUAAUAAAGGAAAACUUGCACUCCGCAAUAAGUGGGGCUAUGGUACUAAACUACAAAUAAAUAUCUUAUAAAACAUCGUCAACCCAUGAAAACUCCUAACUUCACCCACUGUCUUCGGCAUAGGCUAUUCUUUAAUGGCUUGUAUCCUCGACUCAAUAGCUCAAAUCAUAUCUACAUCAGUUAUAAAACCAAAAAUUCCACAUUACUCUACAGAAAGCUACAUCUUUAGAUUAAUGUAAAGUUUAUUUUUUUGCAACAUCUUCAUAAUCAUUCUUAAAUGUUCUAGGUGUGCCACCACAUCAACAGAAUAAACUAAGAUACUUUCAAAAUUCACUACAAUAAAUUUACAGGAAAAAGGCUUAAAACUUAAUUUAUUUAGUGCAUAAAAGUGCUUGACACAUUAGACAAUUGGAAUGGCAUAAAAAAACCACUCAUACAACCCUUUGUUUAUUUUAAAUGUUGUCUUCCACUCACCAUCAGGCCUAAUUCUGAUAUUGUGAUAUCCAUUACGCAAAUAUAUCUUUGAGAAAACUCGAGCAUCAUUUAGUUGGUCUAAUAACUCUUGAAACGUAGAAUAAGAAAUCGAUACUUCACUAUAAUAUGGUUAAUUAGCCUACUGUCUGUACAUAUAUGCCAACUCUCAUCCUUUUUCGGUACCAACAAAGUUAGUAUAGUACAUGAACUCAUGCUCUCAUGAAUGAAACCUUUCCCUAACAAUUCAUCAACCUGCCCUUGUAAGAUCACAUGCUCGUGAGGGCUCAUACGAUAAUGGGGCAAGUUAGGUAAAAUUGCACCAUAUCUCAUAAAGAUGGCAGCUUGUCUAACAACUUUAGUGAUCUAAUAUCAACAAACUCAAUUAAUAAUGGCCGUACUUUUUUCAAAAACAAUCUCAACCUUUAAUCCUUCUUUUUUCUUUAGCUUCUAGCAAUCAUCGCAAUCAUCCUCUUGAUGAUUUUUAACAACCUUAGUAUUCCUCUUUUUGUUCGUUAAAGGCAUCAACGAACCUUUUUGUUAUUCCACCAAAACUCAUACACAUUAUCCUCUCUUCUAUAUUGUAUCAACAUCAAAUUGCUAAAGUCUGCCAAAUAAUAUAUGGCACGCAUCCAUAUUCUUUACAUUACAUAACACAUCACUCUUAUAAAUCUUCCUAAUGGAAAAAAGAACACGACAUACCUUUAUUACUUGCAUUUCUGUCUUUUUAUUUAUCAAUCGUAUUCUGUCAGAUACUGGAUUUUUUUGGUUAAAAGUCCUAUCAUGUCAAAUAGCACCUUUGAAAAUAUGUUCUCGCUACUGCCACUAUUAAUUAUAAUGUUGCACACUUUGUCAUUGAUAAUGCCACAUGUUUUAAAAAUCUUAUUGCGCUGAUUAUCCUCUUUAAAUUUCAAUGCUAAUAAAAUCUUCUAUAUAAUACAAUUUAGUCUCUCCUUCAUUUGCUUCCAACUUUAAAGCUUCUUCGUCAUCCCCAUUCUCAACGUCGUUCAACUCUGUCUUGCUGACUUUAGCCUUUACUAAAUUCAAAUUUUUAAGAUGAUUGUCACUUGAUCGAUGGCCUGGUUCCCUACACUUCAAACACUUGUUCAGCAUAGGCUUCACUAUAAGUGAUUGUAUCUACUAUCUCAUCUUAUAUCUCUUGUUUUAAUCUACCAAUAUAUUUCGUAACUAUUCAAAAUUCUGGCUCAUCCAUAUUAUUUUUAGUGUGUAGACGAUAAAAUUCCUUUAUGUAUUCAUUGACACUGUGAUUUCCUUACCUGCAGUUUUGAUAUUUAAAAUACAGUUGCUACCAGUAAUCUACUGGCAAGAAAUACUCUCUCAUCAUCCUCUGCAUUCUAGGCCACAAUUUGAUUUUUUUUUUUUGCAACUUUUCUUUAGUUUUGUAUGUAUUGCCAUCAUGUAGAAGCUGCGAAAGCUUAACUCACUUCUCUUGAGGAAUCUCUAUAUACUCGAAAAAAUUAUCCACUUGUGAUAUCCAGUCUAAAAAUUUUUCAACAUGCAUCCCACAAAAAAAAAUCCAGAAUAUUAACAUUAAUCUUGUAAUCUGAACUCUUUUUGCGCCCCUAUCAUCCUCCACAUAUUCUUCUUCUUCUUAAUCGUUUCUUAGCUCCUUACGCACGCGUAUUGGUUUUCAUCACGCAGGGCCUAAAUUUUGAGGUACUACUUCACCAUUGAUGCCUUGAGGUUUUAUUUCAUGACCGAUCGCUUGAGGUAUCUCCAUGUAGUUGUAAUCUUCAGGUUGUACACCACGAUUGACUCUUUGAAGUUCUUCCUCGUGAUUAAAUUUUUGAUGUUGACCUCUCUUUCUGUUUUUGUUCAAGCAAAACUUAAGACUCAUGAUUGUCUCGCUCUAUCGCCACCAAUCUCGAGUUAUAAGCUUCCUUAAUUGCUUUCAAGGUUGCUUCUCUAGCUGCCCGUCUGACAGCCUUCACAGUCCUUGCCUGCAUCCCUUUGUUAACAUGUAUGUGUCUAUAAUGAUGAUUUUGAUGAUAACAAAUAAGAUUAAGAAUGAUUAAGUUUUUAAAAACUCAAAUUAUUUUUCAUACAUUUUAAAUAAAUCAUUAUUUUCAUAUAAUAAAGGUUUUAUAUUCAAAGGUAAAGUGAUUUCAUGAAAUUGGUUGUUUUUCAAGUUCAUGGUCUAAUUGAAAAUUUUUUUAGAACUUUGAAAUCAACAAGUAUUGCUUAAAAUUCUAGAAAUGGACUUGUUUGAAAAGUAUCAGAAAGUUUUGGGCCAUAGUAUAAGUACAGAAAGUUUUGGGGCAAAAAUAUAAUUUUAAAAAAUAGUUUCAUUGUAGUAGUCACUAUAGCAAACAGCUAACCGACAAAAAAAAAAGAAUUGAAGAUUAGCCUCUGGACACUAACGGCAAACCGACUUCUUGAAAACGGUAAACCGACAUCUUCUUUGCAAGUCAAUGGACGAUAACGGCGAUCCGACAUUUCAAUAACGGUGAUCCAACAAUUUGAAAUUCUGUUCAAUGGUAACUUGCUCAAGUUAAAACGGAAAUCUGACUUCUAUAUAACGGCGAUCCGACUUAGAGUAAAUUAUCUGUAACGGCUAUUUUUUAGCUCAAACUAUAAAAAAGCUCACUUACACACAAACAAUGGGGAUUCCACCUAUCAUUGAGCAAACUAUUGAGCAUACAAUUUUCAUUGAGCUUUAAAUUCUUGUAUUCAUCUCAAUUAUUCACAUAUUAGGAUUUCAUUUGUAAUCAAACACAUUGUGUGAGAAAGAUUUAUUUGUAAUCCUUUUUGUAAAAUCAAGUUGAGAGGUUGUAAGUGUUGGGAUACACUUGGGUUAAGAGAUUAGGGAUAAUCUCUUAUUGUAAAGGUCUAUUGGUAUCUUGGAAGUCAAUUGUAAGAAGUUGUUGAAGCCUUGGAGGCUUACUUAGUGAAAUCUUCAAGCCCGAUAAGCUUGGAGGCGUGGAUGUAGGCACGAUUGGCGGAACCACAUAAAAAUCAUGUGUUUGCUCUCUCUUACCCUAUCUCCUUAUUUUUUAUUGCACGUUAAUUUUUUUAUUUCAAAUUUGAUUGCCUUGUUUAAAUUGCAUUUAGUUUCUUAGUUGCUUAAAUUUUUUAGAAACUCAAUUCACCCUCCCUUUUGGGUUAAUUAGUAUUUCAUCAUUGAUUGUCGUCUUCGGGACAAUUGCUCCUAUGAUUGUGUGGUCGUACCAUAAUGAUAAGCGAACUUGCUUUGAUACUAUUUAACAAUGCGAAAAUGUUUAAAUUUGAUGGAUAGAAGAAACAAAAGUUUCUAAAUAAUGAAGUUUAUAAAAAUGUCUGAAAUUAAUAAAACUAGGGUUUUGGGCCCCUUUAUAUAAUAAUCAUAAAUAUUUUGAAUUUACCAAAAUAGGUAAAUCUAAAAAAUUAUUUUAUAAUAAAAUUCUCAUAAUCUGAAUAAACAAAUGGUGCCUAAAUCUAAGAUCUUAAAAAAAGAUAAAAAAUCAUAAAAGAAAUAAAAAAAUAAGAAAAUAUCUUAAAACCAAAAAAACGACAAGGAAAGAAAUGGAUUUUUACGCUCAAACACUGCCCAAAACUAUGCAACAAUUCUAGUUUUGAUUCGUCUCGUCACAAGCUUCAAAAUAGUAUAUAAUAGGCCUAAAAUAGACACACAUAACCUAAGUUAUACCUUUCGAAAAGUAUCGCAUUCGUCUUGCGCAUCCAUCCUACAUCAUAACAACUUGAAGACUUAGGAGGGCUAGCUUAAUUCAAAAUCAAGACUAGCUUAUUAACUUGCAGGAUUUUUAAUUGUCAGGGAAAAAAUUGUUGAAAGAUGCUGGUUAUAAAGUUUAUAAAACUUUAAUUAUUUCAUAAAAUUGUUUUAUUGUUUAUUCAUCAUCACGUUUGGAUUAUCCCCAAUGGCCAAUUUUAUUUUCAUUUUUGUAUAGGUCAAAUAAAUGUUACUAGAAAUUGAUUAUUACCACUUUUUUCUCAUUUAUUGAGGACUAUGAAGAAUUAGACAAAACUCAUAAAUGACCUAAAAUAUAUAAUGAAUAUUUAGAUAUUUUUUCAUAUCCAUACGAUAUCUUGGAGUACGACAUAGUCUCCAAAAAUAGCCAAACAUUUCACAUCUAUCACAAGUGCUUUCUUGAAUAUUAUGUUGGGGCAGGUGUUUCGUCGUCAUUUUUUUCUUUUUCUAUGGUUAUUAUACCCAGCACGAGGUUGACAAUAAUUUUUUUCAAGACCUCAAUCUUAAUAAUAGCCAUGACCACAACCAUGACUACAUCUACGGGCAUGGUUAUACCCAUUUUCAUUAUGAUCACAUAGAGAACAUUUGCUCCAAGACCUUGUUUUGUACCAAUAUGAUGAACUUAAUAAUUCACUAUUCUUUUCUACAAAAAGAAGGCAUGCAAUCAAGUACCGACAGAUAGGGGUGGGCGUUCGGGUCGGGUGAACCAAACCAAACCAAUUUCGGGUUUUGGUUCGGUUCGGGUCGAACCUAAAACUCGAACAGAUUGAAAGAGUGAAACAGAACAGAUUUGCUAUUUGGUUCGGGUUAGCCCGAACCAAAUAGCAAAAUUGUUCGGUUUCAUAUUAAAAAAAUAAAAAAUAUAUAUAACUAUCCCAUGAAUCUCGAAAUGCCCAAAUCGCCCCCACUGCUCGCAAAUCCCUAACCUCUCUUAACUCUCACCACUCUCCCAAGUCCUCGACGAGCAUGCCGCGAGCCCCUCGCGCACGAGAGGGAAAAAAACAUAGAAAAAGAUAAAGGAAAAAAAUUAAACACACUGCUUUGCUCGCAGGACCCUGUUCAGCUACAAUAAAGAUCAUGCCUCUACUUAUACCCGUAAGUUUUUCCAACAAUUGGUUAUGUGCAUACUUAAUCCCCAAAUAAACUCUUAUGAUCUUACCAAACUUCCUAGCUGGUUAAUAACGCCACUUACCUGCAUACAUUAAAAAAAAAGAAUCAUUAAAGUUUUUACGCAUUAAAAUGAAAAAUAGAAGUUUACUUCACAAGUUUAUAAUUUGUAUACAAAUUUCUAUCUGUAAAAUGAAAACCAAUGUCAAAAUAAUAACAUACAAUAUCAAUUAGGGGUGGGCACGGGUCGGGUUGAUAGUCAACCCGACCCAACCCGCAUAUAGAACGGGUUGAAAAAAUUCAACCCAACCCAACCCAUUACAUUUUUCAACCCAACCCGCAGAGUUGCGGGUUGGGUUGAUUGGGUUGGGCUUUUGAAAAAGCCCAUUUUUAUGAUCUAAAUAAAAAUAAAAAAUUAAUUAAAAAAAUUAAAAAAAUACAAAUACUAAAAUUCUUACAACAAAUCCAAUAUUUCAAAAUUUAGCAAUCAAAUUAUUAGUACAUAACUAAUGAAAAAAAGUACAUAAAUUUAAAAUCUUGUUUAAUACAAAACAUUAAAGUCCAAAGAGUGAAAUUUUAUAAGUCUUCCAUACAUAGGAAGAGAGUUUCCCGAAACCAUUGCUCAACACCAACCAAUAGGAGUGUAGUGAAGAUCAGUCCAAUGACAUCAAAAUCUAGAUCAAUCCAAAUUAAUGACAUCAAAAAAUUAUUAACUCCUGGAUUACUGGAUGAAUUUGCUUCCAUCUACAAGGAAAAAAUUCCAGGCCAUGAAUAUUUUUUUUAUCCUAUUAAUAAUUAAAAAAUAAUAAAAAAAAUAACAAAUAGUGGUCACAACAAGCUUAAAGCUCUUUUAUUAAUACAUUUAACCAUGUUUUGUCAGUUUUAAUACUACAAUAAAUAAAUAUGAUUAAAAUAAUUUUAUGAAAAAAAAAUCCAUCGGAGAUAGAAUACAUAUGUGAAUUUGAGAGCAUGACUAGUUAAUAGUAAUACUGAAUAUAUUUCUGCAGAACAAUGCCCAGGAGAUGUUUGUCGAAAAGCCUUUUCCCUAAGAUUGUAAUAAUAACAAUUAUUUUAUUUAUGUUAAUCCGAUUGUUGAUUAAGCUUGACACCAUCAUAACAACCAAAAAUUGACCAACUUUUAUCAAUAAAAAAAUAUUAUAAAGCACCAAAUCAUGAAAUCAAAUGACCAACUUGUUUCAAAAUAAUAAUAAAUUAGUAAAAUAGAAAGAAGAAAGAACCUAAGCUUGUGACGAAUCUGACGAUGUGUAGUUUGAGCAGCUUUUCAAGAAACGUUGAGUUGUGAUGUUGUUGUGUUCUAUGCGCGAGCAGAUGAACAGCUGAUCUUUAAACAAGGGAAUUUGAGUUUAGGGUUCAGAGAAGUUGUUAAAUACAUUUUUAUAUAUACGGGUUGACGGGUCGGGUUGGGUUAAAAAUUUGCAACCCAACCCAACCCGCAAAAAUUCAUACGGGUUGGGCGGGUUGGUGCCCACCCCUAAUAUCAAUUGGAAUAGAACAUGCCAUUCCACAGAAUGCACUACUUCUAGAAAUAAUAGAUGUAUUUACUCCAGUCAAACUUCAUGAACAAUCAAAAUCAUACUUUCAGGGUGGCUGAUUACAUGGACUUUCUCACAUAGUUAUUGGUCUUAUUCGUGUUUUGGUGCAUUAAUAUGCUAGUAGUGCUACACAUUCUAAAUUUUUUAUCUCAAAAAACUACUUCAAAUGAUAUAACAUUCAUCAGUUUGUUGGUGAGACAAAAUAGUCAAUUCACUUAAAUCUUAUAAAAAAUUAUCAACCAUUCAAUAAACGACAUAUUAUUUUACGAUGAAAUUUGAGAUAAAAAAUUAGAGAUAUCUAUCAUUAGUCUUAAUAUGCAACAUUGCCAAAGUCUUUGUCUUGAUCAUAACAAACAAGUUAAUUUUGCAUAUAAGGUUGAUUGGUCAAAAUAGUGACCCUAUAAAAAUAAUUUGUUGUUUGAAGUAUUUUAUAGAAUAAAUAAAAAAAAAAUUAUUCCAUGGCGUUAGCCUACCAUCAAUUGUCAGCAGUUAUUUGUCAACUCCACCGCCCUCCAGCAGCAAACAAUUUUGUGUCCCACCAGCAAAUAUCGCCUGAUUUCGAGUCCCACCGGUAAAUGCUGCUGGAUUUUGAGGCUUCCAUAUCCUCGGUCGUCGGCAUUGCAGUAUCCAAGGGUUCAUCUUCGACAUCGUAGGCUCACAGCUCUCUACUUGAUGUUGAUGGUAAUCGGUAAGCAUGUUCUUUUUUUUUUCUUUGUUUCACUAAAUCAAUAAAAUACUGUUAUUACAAGAUUAAUUUUAAAAAAUAUAUGUUUAAUUGCACGUUGUAGCAAUGGAGCUGAUUAUGAGUGAUGAUGCCAGUAGAGCAAACUUGUAUAUUUUGAAGCAAGCUAGCUACCAAAUAAAAAGAUGAAAGAUGGACAAGAAAAAGGAAUCAAAUUUAGUGGAGUAUGAUCAAAUUUCCGUGCAUCAAUUAAUUAAUUUUUUAUGCUCUGCUGUUUAGAAAAAAGGUUUUGGAUUUAUUUGUUGGGGCUUUCUUGUUUUGUCUAUAAUUUGCGUUGUAGUCUCGUUAAAAAAUGUUUAUUUUUAGUUUUUGUAACAAAUUAUGGUUGGAUAGUGCUAAUGCUUGAUUCGCUGUAAUCAGGGGCAUAUUUUACCAAUUGAUUUAAGCUAUUAUGAAUUUUUUGACCCGAAAUUACAACCCCAAACCAUAAUUGGACCCGAAAUAUGAAACUGAACCUGAAUCAAAAUAUGAAACCGAAACCGAACCAAAAUAUGAAACCGAACCAAACCGAACCGAAUUUGAAAUUGAACCAUACCGAACCGAAAUAAUCUUUCAAACCGUUUGGGUUGAAUUCUCAAACCCGAACGGGUUACAACUCGAACUGAAAACCGUAAAAACUGAAUCUCCGACCCCUACCGACAGGCUCUAUAUUGUUGUUGUAGAACCAUAUUGGAAGCAUGAAAUUUUAUAAAUAUUUUUUUUUCAACAUUCCCCAUCAGUAAUAUUUUCCCCCACACAGUUUUAAUUAUUAAGUAAUUUUGUACAAUGCAGAAUUAUAUGUUGGAUCAUAAACUUGAUCCAUACAACUUUGAAACCCAAAUGAUUCUUUAUCUAGUUCAUGGAAGCUUCUUUAGGUAGUUAAGAUUUGUGGUGUUAAAUGUGGUAAUAUGGUAAGUAGAAUUUGUGUUGUCGAGUAUGUUGUUAGGUUUGGUGUGUGGUUAUGAUUUGUGUGGUAGUUAUGUCAAUAUAUGGUUGUGAUUAAAUUGUAACAAGUAUAAAUAUAUGCUCUCUCAGUUGGUUUAAGUAACAAGAAGUAGUAAAGCUUAUUAAUUCUAAAAGAGGCGUAAUUAAGGAGUUGUAUUGAGUUCAUAAGAAAAAGAGUGUUUUGAGUGUUUGAUUAUUCAAAUUCUCCAAUAUUAUAUUUAUGAACUAACUUAAAAUUCACUAAAAGCAUUUGAAAGAAUUACUGACCUUAAAUGACCAUGUUUCUCAUCAAGCUACUUCAAAUGACAUAUGUGUCCUAUAUAGGAAGAUGUCUUGUUUUGAGUGGUAGAUAGAGAUGGAGACAUAGAUAAAUCAUGGUCUUCUCUUGAUCUUGAAGGGAUGAGUCAUUUUUAUUUUUCAUUGUAUCACUAAGCGUCAAGAUGAAUUUCAGCAACAUCAAGCAUUUUUGGAAAAUAAAGUAUAUAUGCUUAACAUUGAAUAUAUUUUUAUAAAUAAAAGCUAACACAAAUGUUGUGCCAAAGAAUCUGUUUAUAUGUUAACUAGACCCAUUUAGGACAGCAGCGUUGCCGACCGGGGCUUUGAUUUGAUUGCUAUAAGUAUAUACUAAAUACUUUUAAUAGAACUUUCGGUUGGGAUGAAUGGUUGAGUAAAAUAAUUCAAAUGAUUUAAGUAAGGAUUUUUUUUAAUAUUUUAAAGAGUGCACAUGUUAAAAUUUAAUAGAUUAGUAUACAAAAUAAUAGAAGAUGGAACUAUCAUACUCUUACUCCGAAACUGCAAUUAGAGUCAAAAUUCUUGUAAUUUCUUUAUGCAACACUAUAUUUCAACAAGCAAUAAUAGAGCAAUAAUAUAGUUAUAAAUUCUUGUACAAAUAUUUUUAUGUACAAAUUGAUUUGGCAUGAUUUAAUUGGUUGGAUUAAAUAUCUCUUAGUUCAAAUGAUUUGUUUUUAUUAUUUUCUAUUUUCACUUAACCAAUGAGUUAAUGUCAAAUUAAUUUAUGCAAAAUAAAUUUGUAUAAAAGUUUUUGCAUGUAUCAUCACUCACAAUAAUAUUACUAGAGGAGUCGAGCUAUAACUUUUCCCUGGGGGCAUAAUAAGUUUACAGCCAUAUGUUGUGACAAUUACACAAUUACCCUAGAGAUUUUUAAUGAUUCAACUGUGCCUAUGUUUGCACGUUAUUUUAUUUUUUAAAAUAUUUUGUGGAAACUACUUCGAAAAAUGAUAUUUUCACGCAUUUAAAAAAUAAUAAUUUAUUACUAUAUUAUUUAGAAUUUAAAAAAAAGUAAUAAAAUUUGAGUUUAUAAGACUUAAAAUGUAUUCAAGUGAACAUUAAAAAAAAUCUAAGUUCAAUAAAAUUUUUUGAACUAAGUCCCCCCCUCAUUUUAGUUUUUGGGUCCUCUGAUUGUUACGAUUUCUUGUGCUCUAUUCCUCCAAAUAUUAGUAAGAUUUUAAAUGCAAAAUAUGAAUAUUCAACUAAAAUUUAGAGUGUAAAUAAUUCCACCCAAAAUUUGAUUAUCUGACAAAUUGUAUGAAUUUCUAUGAGGAAUCCGUUGGCAUUUCACAGAAGCCCAAUAAAAAAUACAUCCGCAAAAUAUCCAUCAAAGAUAUUUCAACAAGCUAGUCAAGUACUGGGACAGGAAAUGGCUCUGUUCCUCAUAAUGAAUUGACGUCCUGUCCAGUGUCCCUCCUUGGCUUCUCAUCACAGAAAUGAAAAUUGAAAUUAGGCCAAUUAGAUUAAAGGCAAGACGGAAUGGAAAUAUGGAACCGUUAAUUAUUAUACCCAUGACCCCUCUAAUUAAAGGCGCUUUCCCUUUCAAUAUUAUUGUACGUAUUUGCAAGGAAACCUCCUCUCUCUUUCUUCCAAUUAAGACUUCUUCUGUCCAUAACAUGUGCGGCCUCGCGCAUUAGAUUAUUUUUCUAACUUUAUACAAGUAAAGUAUCUCUUUUAUACAAGUAAAGUAAAUCUCUUAUUCCUUGCAAAAAAAAAAAAAGUUUUUUUUUUUUGAGUCUUAAUUACGAGAUAUCUUGGGGAGGGCCCCAACUAUGGGAGGCACCUUUAAACCCGUACCACAACUCAGAUUAGAAGUCCCCGCUCGAACCGGAAGACACAGGUUCUCCCAACAAAAGUGCCUUCCUUGCAACGCGAACUGGGAAGCAAAUGUUGGGAAAAUAUGCUCUUUAAAAGCAUAUGUGUUUAUUUAAUUGUAAUAAACUAUUUUUCUGAUUAAUAAAAUAAAUGAGAUAUUUUAUUCAAAUAUCUUAAUUGCAUUAAUACUUGUAUUAAAGUCCAUUUAAUCAUAUUAUAUGUAUUUAUGUGAUCACCAUGUGGAUUCACAGAAGACAUAAAUACAAGUUAUCUUAUGAUUAAAUAAAUUUAGUUCGCAGUUGAUAAAUAAAGUUGGGCACUUUAUUUAGGUAUAGACUGUAAUAAAUUCAUUGAAUGAUUUGUCUUAAUCAUGUAUGAAUUUAUUGAUGUAGUACGACUACAUUGAACAGGAUCACAUAUGAGAUUUAAUUAACUUUGUAAUAACUGUCAGACUUAUUAAAUCUCAUAGGCGUUGAUUUUACUGUAAUCUUAAUCUUGAGUUAAUUAUGAUUUCAUGAUUGUAAUUGUUAUUCCAUUUGAGUUACCAAUGGGCACGACACAUCCUUGUGGUCAAGAUUACCCGGUAUCUUGGUGGGAGCAAUUAUGAGUAUUGGAGUUAUGGAUUAACAAUAUAGAAUUUGUACAACACAUCUCUUGAUGGGUUUUCGGCACUUGAUCAUAGAAUUCUCUGGCCAGAGUGUGUCAACAUAUUUAGUAUGUUGAAAAUGAUCAUUAGAGAAAACCAGUAAAGAUCAAGGAAUAAGAUGUUAUUAAAUUGAUUGGACAGUUGAGAUAUCAAUUUAAUUAACGAUGUGGUACAAAGGAUUGUGCAGUAAAGAAAUCAAUGUGGCUUGGGAUGAAUUAUUAUUCGAGCAUACAAUUAUGGAAGUCAGUUCCAAUCUUUUAGUGGAGUAGAUUUGGAAUUAAAUAAUUGGGCUAGUUUAAUUACAAGCCUAAUUAUUGUAGCCACUAUUGUAUGUUCCCAAAUGAUCCUCGGGUUAGCUCAUUUAAUUGACUGCACCACUACUGGACUAAUAAGUAAGAUAACUAGCUAUUUGGGUCAAAAGCCUAAAUACAUCAUUUAGUGGGAGGCUCCAUUUAAUUAACUUUUGUAUAAGGGGCCUUAUGUUAUUUUACAAGGUGGGUCCCCUAUUGAAAAAGCAAAUUACGUGAGUUUUGUUUUUUGAUAUUUGGAGCCUAGGGUUUUCACUAAAGGGUGAUAUAAAAAAGACUUAUUUUUCUCUAAAGAAUAAAAUAGAAGCCACUUUAUACAGAUCAGAGAAUAAGAUUUUUCUCUCCAUUGUUGAGAGAAAAAUUUUCUCGUGCUAGUUACUUUGGUAGUGAUAAAGGCGCCCACACGUCAAGUGCAGAUCGAACCUGAGUCAUAACCUGGAAGAUCAUUGGUGACAGUUCGUGAUCUAGCAAGCGUGGUGGUGACGGAUCGUGAUCUAACAGGAGUGGUGGUGGCGGAUCGUGAUCUAGGAGCCUAAAUCAUUUCAACGGAAAAAGCCAAAUCGGAUUUUCAAGGUACGAUUUCUAGAAUACAAAUUCUUAUAUAUUAUAUGAGAGCGAUUUUCAAAAGGUUUUAUAAAAAUUUAAAAACCUGAUUUUUCCCCAACAGCAAAUCCAGUCAAGCCACUUAAAGGGGACUCCAUUGUUAGUGGAGCCAACACUUUGUUGGUUAAAGUAUCUCUCUUAUUGUACAAAUAUAAUUUGAUUCGACGUGGCGCACUGGUCGCACUAGAUGAGUGCUCUAACUUUGUUCAAGUAAAACUGUCUCCCUUAUCGUGCAAACAUAAUUUGUCGUGGUUCGGCACCAAAAUGGCAAAAUUUGUCACUCUAUUUCCUGAAAUUUUAAAAUCCGCAACUAUUGGGCUGUGUGGCGGGCUCGCCAAGGUCACAACCCAACCUUUAUCAUGGGCCCUUUCCAAACCUAACUUGCACUCUCCAUAUUCUUCCUCUAUUAAAUAAAACUGAAUAUGACGCAUAUUAACAGAUUCUCACCAUUCACGUAUUUUAUAAUGAAUCUCGCACUAAUUCUAAGUUUUCAUUUUUGUCCUACAAAGAAGAAACUUUGGAGUCUUAAUGUCUGCCUUUUUUUUUUCUUAUCUCGAGGAAAAAAAAAUCUAUAUAAACCUAUCAAAUUAUCCAUUAAACCUAUUUAUUAAAUAAAUCACCAAUUAAAAUUUAAAUAUUUAAAUUUUCAUCUAAAUUUACGUAUUUUAUUUCAUCAAUAAAUGAAAUUAUGGACUUUUGCCUCUAGUGUCUUAUAUGGUUACAAUUUUUGACUCUAAAACCAAGCAUACAGAGUUUGAUGUUCAUUUUAUAAGGGAUAAAGUAGUCAAUGGAGAAAUGGAAAUGGUAAAGCUUAUUUAAGUAGAGCUUUUAUUAGUAGUUUUUUUAUAAAUAGAACUUUUACUAAAAAAAUUUAGUUGUUUGGUUGUUAAUAAGAGCUUUUAUUAAAUAUUUUUAAAAUUACUUUAAUAGACAAGUUUUUUAAAGUUAUAUUAUGAAAAGAAUAAAAUAAAAUUUCAAAUAAAUAGAAGAUAUUUUAGAUUUUUUAACAUUUAAAAAAAGUUUUUCAAUCUCUAUUACCAAAAGCCCAAAAUUUAAGCUUUUACUAGUAGAGGCAAAAUAACUUAUUUAAGUUUCAAAAAUCCUAGUAGAAAAACAACCAAACAAUAACAAAAAUUAUAAUAAGAACUUAUGAGAUUAAAUAAACACUUAUACCCAUUAAAUAAGUCAUAUCAAACAAACAUGUAUACCAACAAAGCAUGAUAAGAUGGCAAACACAUAUAUUAAGUCCUUAGCAAUUGAAAGUUUCAAAGAUCUCACAAGCAAUCUCGUAAUCCUACCAACGAUCGCGCGCUUGAGGGGGUUGAAAUUGAAGAAACACAGGACCUGUAUUACCACUUAGAAGCAGACAGAGUUUUACAUCUCAGGACUCAGCAUCUGAGGAGCUGAUGACAUGAAAAUAAAAUCCAUCCUUUAUGUACGGAACUCUGUAACGCAUGCAAUGACAGGUAACUACGAUUUCUUCUCAUUUUAUUCUCUCAGUCGAUCCGCGCUCUUCUAUUUCAUGUCUUAUUUUAAUUAGAAGGCGUAACGCCCCAUGGGUGCUGCUCAGUUGGCUAUGAAUAUGCUUUGUGCCAGCAGUCACUCAAGUUCAAGUUAAAAUAAGAGAGUAAGAUUGGUGAUUAAUGCUUAUUGAGGUUCCUCGUCCCUAUUCAAAUCUCUAUUUAAAGCCAAAGAGUAAAUACCCAACUCCCAUGUAUGCCAGUGAGGAGUAGCACUUACAUCGUCUAUUAAAGAACAGAGCAAAUACGACCAACCAGUGGAAAGUCUACCAAUGAGGAUGAUGUUAAUGGAAUUCUGAGAAUAGAGGCAAAUGGGUUAAUGAAGACAGACUCUGAAUGUAAGUUUAUAUGUUUCAUAUGUAAGCAAAACGGCAUAAGACGCAUGGGCUUAUUUAGAUGUUUAUUAUUAUUAUUAUUAUUAUUUUAUUGCAGAUACUGUUUCAUAAAUACAUCUUACUUGAAUGUACAUUUAGCUAGUUGUGAAGAGUACUCGGUAAGAAGGGAUAUUUUUCAAAGCUUUUUCACUUGGAAGACACAUCAAGACUUGAUUAUAAUGAGAUUGAGCUACUGGAUUCGUAUGAGUUUACAGGAUAAAGCUUUAUUUCAUGUUAAAAAAAUUAAACAUAAAAUUGACUUAAAACUUGAAGCAUUUCAAGCUUGCGAUGCAUGAUCUAUUAAUUUUGUUUCAUAUUUACAUGUUAUAUACACUCAUUCCACAAUGAACUUGAUACCAUGUUUGGCUAUACAUAUAUCGUGUGUGUUUUUCAGAGUUUGCAACAAAUUCUAGGUUAAAAUUUAAUUGAUUUUAAAUUUCGAUUUUAUUUUAGAAUUAACUACAACAGUUACAAGCUUUUAAUUCAAAUGUUUAAGGCAGUCAUUACAACUCCUUAAUCCAAUUUAUUAGGACCAAAGUGUCCGUCUCACUGUUUAUAAAUUGGAUGCUCCUUUCAUUUAAAAAAUAUAACCAUUGCACAAAAACAGUGCAUAGAGUUUUCCUUCCUCUCCUUUUGACAUUUAUUCGUGUCCAAGAUUCAACCAUGCUGAAAGUUUGCUGAGGAACUAUUCAGAUGUGUACUGAAAUUGUUUCGUUCCGAUUGUAUCCUGAGAAAUAGUUGCUAUUCAAACCUACAGUUCCUGAUAGUAGGUGGCAAAUCUAUUUUAAGAAAACUAUCUAGUGCAAGCCUCGUGUUAUUUCUAUGACUUUAUCUUGUUUACAGUUUCUGUUUAGUUAUUGUAUUUGCUGCAAUCUAAUUUUACUGUUCAGCUAUAAUGUUGGUUGUUGUUUACAAUUUUGUUGCACUUAUAAAAUAUAAAGUUGCAUAUGUUUCUAAUAGACAUAUGUUCGUUAGUUAACUUUUUAUGCUUUCAGUAAUUAGAUACGUUCACAACACCGAUGAAUAUAUGACAUAUCAAGAGCUAUGGAUCAGUUGGGAACAAAUACAAUUAGCUAUGGUAAAAGGAAAGAAAAUAAUCACUUAAUUUUAGGAUAUUUGGUCUGCUAGCCAUUAGAGUCAAUCUUGUAGCCGUAAAUGACUAGUCAUUGUGAUUCACUUUCCGUUGUGGUGUUUAAAUUUCCAUCCAAUGUUAUGGUGGCUGAUCUGCUGCCAAGCUUGGUUAUAACCUUAUCAAUUUACCUAUAUUAAACAGUUUUGCAUCUUCUAUAAUUUUUCCCUUUAAUGUGUUUAUAUUUUGUUGUUGUUUUUACAUUCUUUUUUCUUGCUAAGCAAUCAAUCUACAGCCUCAGUUGCUUUUUAUGUGUGGUGACAGGUUCUUGAGAACAUGAGGGGUUGUACAAGGUUUUUCUGGCGUUGAACCUAAUGUUCUUCAUUGGAAUUUAUUUGGGAAUAGGGAUUUCUCUUUGACAUCGGCAUAGGAGCUUGUUCGUAGGUCUAGAUCUAGGAGUGAGUUUAUUUUUCCUUUUUUUGAUAGUGAAAUAUUCCUUCUUGAAUUUUUUUUCCUGUUGUGAUUAUUACAUGGUUUUUGGUCAGGAAUGAUUCCUUGUGCCCGAGUUGUUUCCGUAUUAUUUCUUGGUGUUUCUAUGUUGGGUGGUUGAGACGGUUAUGCAUUUAUUUUUUGAUUGCGCCCAAAGGUUAGACAGGUUUAACAGUUUUUUUUUUUUUUUUUGUACAAUGAGUUUGCAGUACCUGUAUCUUUUAUCUGCUCAUGCUUUAAUUUGCCUUUUGGUGAUGAUGCACGUAUUCUUUGCGGCGUUUUUGGGUUCUUCUUCCAAGCUUAUCCUAUGGUAUGUUUGGAAGGCUUAAAAUGCUUUUAGGUUUGAUUCCGUUGCUUUUGUUGUAAAUGUUGUUUGUAGGGUGGUUUCUGACCUUAAGCUCUGUAGUUUUGUUUUCGAUUUUAAACCAUCGUAGUUAAAAGGGUGUCUUUGAUACUCAACUUCGGAGGGUUCGUGGAUUAUCCUCCUCCCUAUAGGCUAAAUCGUUUGGUUUCAUAGUUGAGGCUGCUGGCUGAGGUGGUGAAGCUUAAUAUGAAUAGUUGCUCUUGGGGCAAUCCUAGUUUGCAUUUCAUGGGCAGUGUUUGCGUGAUCAUCAAGGUGUGGUUCUGGUUGCUAGCUUUUGGCUAUUUUCUUGGGCACCAGCCUAUUCUUUCUGCUGAGCUAAUGGCUGUUUGCGAGGGCUUGGAUCUUGCUACUAAGCCUGUUUAUUCUGUUCUUGAGGUGGAAUUCGAUCUUGAGACAGUGGUUUCAUGGAUUACUUUUUGGCCAAGUCCGUACUUUAUCUUCUAAUCCUUCAGUCUCUAUUAGACAUGUUUGUAGGCAGGCUACUUCUGCUACUAAUUUCAUGGGCACUUGGGCUUGUUCUCAUUAGACUCAUUAGCAGCUUUUGAGUUAUUGCGAUCUUUCAACUAGUUUGAUUAGCAUUCUUCAUUUGGAUGCUCAUGAGACUCUGCAUGUUAGGAGAUGACGUUUCUCUUUUGAGUUCUUUGCUUGUUUCCUGUGGGCUUUUUGCUUUUGUUUUGUAUUGUGCUUUUUAUUGGAGGUUUUAAGGUCAUGUACUCCUUUUGUUCAUCUUCUUAUAAUUUAUAUUAUAGGUAGAGGUUCGGUCUAAACCCCCACUUUCUUGGUAAUCUUAAAAACAAAAGCCAUUAUUACUUGGCGAACAUAUUCUCAAAAAAGCUAAAGAAAAUUCAUGUGUAUAAGAUAAAUAAAUAAUUACCAUCCCUUUAGCUAAAAAAUUAAAAAAAAAAAUUACCAUCCCCUUAGCUAAAAAAUUAAAAAAAAAAACGAAGAAAGAUGCUAGUACCUCCGCUCUAUGUGAUUAGGUUUUUCAAAGGGAUGAAUGAGAUUAUUAUUGUUUGACACUUAAUUAUAUAUAGUACCACAUACUAGUUUCAAUUUUCAAUUAUAAUUCCUCUAAGAACUAUUUUUGAAAAUGGAGAUAAAAGUAAAACCUCUUUAUAUUUAUAUUCUAUAAAGAAAUAACUUUUUUUUAGUCAUGAAAAAUUAUGGUUCCAAUUUAAGGCAAUUAUAAAUAAGAAUAAACUCCAUAUUAUAAUAAGGUAUAUUUUUCUAGAUUGUGUCUUAAAGAACUUGUCUCUACAUAGUAGUAAUUAUUUAUAUAUUACGAAAAUAUAUGUUAUGUUACAUUAAAGGAACUUACUUCCACAUAAUACAAUUAGACAAUAAGAAAAAAAUUAUUAAAGAGAAUACAAACAUUUAGAGAUUUUUGAGAUGACUUUGCAUAUUCCUAACAGUAGUACAUAGAUAAUGGAUAUAUUGGAUUUGACGUGCUCCAUUAGUAAAUUAUUAAUAUAAUGCAUACUUUAUCACUUUUUUCUUGCAUUAAAGAUAAUUAAGUCAAAAUAAUAAUUUUUGUAACUAUCCCUCUAUUAAGUUAUAACACCCUCAUAGUAAUAAAUUUGUAUGGUCGUAACAUGAGGUUUUACUGUCUUAUUUUUUAAAUGGUGUUUUAAGAAUGAAAAACUAUAUUUGGGAUUUUUUCUUUUUAUUUAUUUAUUUAAAGAAAAUAUGCAAUUUAGCUUCAAAAGAAAAAUAAUAAUAAAAGUGGUAAUAGAUUGUUUUUGAAAAAUAAUUUUUAAAAAAUAGUUGAACAAUAAAAACAUGUUUCUCACUUCAAGAAGUAAAUAGUAUUAUAAUUUUUGAAAAUAGAAAAGAGAAAUUGUCGUAACACUUAUAUUUCAUAAAAUAGGCUGUUAUUCCUUCAAAAUCCUUAUUGAUCCUACAAACAGGGUAAUGGAAGUUGAUACUUGAUAUUCAAGUUAAUGAUUUUUCUAUGUAAAGUUGAUAAUCACAUAUUCAUAUCACUUUCACUUUAACAUGAUCAAUUUUAAAAACCCUUCAAAAUAAAUAUAUGUUAUUAAAAUAACUAAUGGCAUAGGUGCCAAAGUAAUAUUCAAAAUUAACCAAUCAAAAUGAAUGAUGUCAAUGCAAUUAAGAAAUAUACCCUUAGGAAUAUCCCAAUAUGCUCAUUGUCAUCAGGACCUAUCUCAAGGACGUGGCAACCUUUUGUGAUGGCGCUAAGUCUUCACUUAGCCAAUCACUCAACAAUGUCUAGUGGAAACAAAUAAAGUAACAAGCACGCAAAGAUCCACAAUAGAGGUUUACAUAAGAGACUAAUUCCACCAACAACAAUGAACUAAAACAACAAGGAUUAAAGUACACAAAAAUACACACUUAUUGCUUUUUACAUAGGUCCCAGCACUGAAUUUUCUAUUUCUGCAAAUAAGAAAAGAUAACAAAUAGCUUAGGGUUUUGUAUGCUCAAUGACACCACUCUCUUUACCAAAAUCCAAGAUCCGCAAAACAUGCAUUACCUUUACUGUAUAUGUAAGUUUUCAAAUGACACCUCUAUUUGAUAAGGCUAGGUGGCACGCUGCCCUUGUGCCAUCUCAAUUCUUUCUCCUAAUGUUUAGGCACCACUAAGCAUGUUAUGAGGAGGCACAUCUCCACUCCCCCUUGAAUAAAAUAAUUGCUGCCCACUUAGCCUAGAAGCAAGGAUGUUAUAGAUUGUAACCAUUGCUGCCCACCUUUCUUGAUGAGUAACCGUCACAGCCCACUUCUGUUGCCCCCAUUUUCCAGGCAUGUUAUCCAAUUCCAUGCUCUCUCAUUAGUUACACCCACAACUACCUACUUCAUGCUUGAUUUUUAGGUCUCAUUUUUAUUUGUAGCCAAUGAUAACUCUAUGAAAUGAGAGUUAUCAUGGCACUUUUAGACUUAAAUCAAUACUACUUAGAGAGUAAAUUAUGUGUUUCUAUUGCAUUUUUGUUACAUUUUGCAUAAAUAAUCAUUUUAGUCAACCUUAAUAAGUUUUGCUCGAUUUAAAGUAAUUUGUGCUUAAAUUGUGUGCAUAAUUAUAGGUUUCCAGAAGCUUGUAAUUCAUGGAAGGAAUGCUAUGCAAUAGGCUUGCAAAAAUAAGGAAAGAACAUGGCUACAAAAGAGUUUAAACAAAUUUGGAACAGUGCAGUUGCUGUAGAUAUUGUUGUAGCAACCAUUGUUGUAGCCGUUGCUGUAGCAAUCCUGGAACAACGACAGAGAAAAUUCUGCUCAGGAUAACUGUAGAAUUGCGAUCUGCAGUUUCCUAAUCUGACUUAUGCGCGACUUAGGCUUGCGUUUACCUUAAUUUUCAACUAUAAAAGAAGUACACAUCAUAAGAGAGAGAUUGAAGGCUACACAAGAGAAAAAAUUGCAGAGAUCAAUUGAGAGCUCAAUCCUUCUUAUCUUUCUCUUAUUUUCAUGUUUUCUAUUUAUUCAUGGGGAUGUGUUUCAUGGCUAAAACUUUGUUCUUUAUUUUUCUUUUGUAAAUCAUGAACUAAUUUAUUUGUAGUUGAGUGAUAAACAAUCUUAAUGGUUUAUUGACUGGAAAUAUGUGUUGCUGCAUGUUUGCUGUAGCAGUUUGUUUUGAUAGUAUUUAUUUUAUUCAUUAUUUCAAUUGAUCACUCAUUUAAUGAUACUAGCUAAUGAAGAGCCGCAAAAGGGCCUAUCUUAGUGGAACAUAUCAGAACAAUACUUGAUCUUAAAUUGAGUUUCCCGGAUUUAGUUUUAACUUGAGUCCCAAAAGGGCCAUGCUUGAUUUAAGAUUAGUAAUGAACUAGACAUAGGGAUUCGCCUUGUAGGGUAAAUAGAACUUAAGCGUGUAAUGUUAUAUCUUAUGUUGUCAUAACAAUUGAUCACUAUUAGGUUGCAUAUAGAUAUAAGAUAUCCAACAUGCGACGGCUGAUGAUGCAUAAGGAUUAUGCCCAGUGCUGGAGCAAAUACUGCAGCAACCGAUCCAACCAUUAGAAAAUAAUCAAGACCAUUAGGAGAGUUUAUUCACUCAACUACUAUAUAUUCCCAUUAGUUUUAUCCUUGAGCUUGACGUGAUAGUUUACUUUGUUGCAUUUAUUUAUUGCGUUUUUAUUUUAAUUAGUACAUUAGUUUCAUUAAUUGUUUAUUUUAUUUGAACACAAAAUCUGCACUGUUAAGAUUGCUGUAGCAAAUCUGAUAACAUCAAUCCAUGUGGAGACGAUCUUGAAUACUCAUCCCUUUAUUACUUGUUGUGUACACUUGCACAUUGACACCAAUAGCAUUAGUAUUUAUACACCAACAGCCAACAUGCUCUACAUUCAAUUGUCAUUGUUCGCACACAGAGUGCAUGCCAACGCCUCUAAUCUUUGUAGAGUUUGGCCCCUGUGCAUUCCUCAUUGUGAUGCACGUUUAUGUGCUACGCCUACAUACAUUUGCACUAUUGUAAUGCAUCGUCCUAUGCGUCCUUUGAGCCCUAUACAAUCCAAGCCCCCGCACCAUAUGCGUCCUACAUUCGUGGCCUACACGUCCACACACUUAUGAGAUGUUGCGUGCAUUGUCCAUGGCGUCAAACUUGAUAUAAAGUUGAAGAGCAUGUCCUCAUCUAAUUUUUUUUUAUGUACAACAUUAAUGAACUGAAUUCCUUGAUGUAAUCCCUCAUUAAUCUAGUCUGCUUUAGCUUAUUCUUCAAUAUUUCCCUCGUGAGUUAGCUAGCAUUUCUUCGUAAGAACUGGCCCUUUAGUUCUUAUUUGAAUUUGUCCUAUGUUUGUAUUGCGGAUCAAUGCACUUCAGCAUCCUCUUAAAGUCUGCUCCAUAUCCCACAAAAAAAUCUCUAACUCUUUGGCAUUCUGAGUCCCAUUAUAAGCCUUAGGUUUAGGCACCUUAACUUUCAAAGGCCCAUCCUCCGCACGAGAAGUGUUGUUUGCUGCCCGUUUCAACAACCUAACUUUUUUUUCAAGAUCCUUAAUGUCAUAUUUUACCACCUCUGCUAAUGCAGCAACAUCCUCAUCAUCUUAUUCAGCUUGUCCAAAAACUCAUUCACAAACUCUAUGCAAGUAGUUUCACACUCGCUAUCUCGAUGCAGUUGAUUUCUUUGUUCUCAACCAAACUCUCUAAGUCAAGUUGUAAAAUACCCAUAAUUGCCUCUAAGUGUAUUGGCUUGUCCUUUGUUCAUGGCCUCGUCAUAUUGGUUUCCAUUGUUGUUAAUUUCUCUAAAAAUGUACAACUUUGCUAUUGCACCGUAGCUUCCAUGAAACCACGCAAUCAGGUGUCUGCAAACUGAUUGUAAUUGAAGCUUGCAAUCAAUUGCCACAUACAACCAGUUCUAAUAUGCUCUGUAACUGAAUUAUGCAAACCCAACUAUGCAUUCUAAUACUAGUUUCUUCUCAAAAUGAAGCAACCUUUGCUCUGAUACCAGUUGUCACCAAGGUUUAUCUUAAGGAUGUGGCAACCCCGCGUGAUGAUGUUAAGUCUCCGCUUAACUAGUCACUCAACAAUCCUAGUGAAAGCAAAUAAAGCAACAAGCAUGCAAAAACCCAUAAUGGAGGUUUUAUAUGAAAGAUUGAUUCCACCAACAAAAGGGAACAAAAAUAGUGAGGAUUAAAGUUCACAAAAAUGCAUACUAUUUGCUUUUUACGAAGGUCCCAACCCCCAAAUUUUUUAUUUUCACAAAUAAGAAAAGAUUACAAAUAGCUCAAGGGUUUUGUAUGCUCAACAACACCACUUUCUCUACCAAGACCUAAGAUCACCAAAACAUACAUUCUCAUCACUAUAUCUACUAGUUUGCAAAUGAUACCCCUGUCUGCUAAGGCAAGGUGGGGUGCGACCCUCGCACCACCUUAAUUCUUCUCCUAAGUUUAGGCACCAUUAAACAUGUUGUGAGGAAGCACAUCUCUAUUCCCUCUCGAAUAAAGCAACCAUUACCCGCUUAGCUUAGCAGUAAGGAUGUUAUAGAGUGUAACCAGCAUUGCCCACCUUUCUUGAUGAGAAACCACCACUGCCUACUUGUUUUGCCCUUAUUCUCUAGGCAUGUGAUCCAAGGACAUGUUCUCCCAUUAGUUGCACCUACAACUACCCACUUCAUGCUUGAUUUUAGGUCCCACUUUUGAAGAAUUUGUAGCUAACAUGCUCUGCAUUCAGCCACCACUGUCCCAGCACAGCAAGCAUGCGAACGCCUUUCAUCUUCUUGUAGUUUAGCCCCAGUGUAUGCCCUACGGUACUGCGUGUUUGUGCGCUACACUCGCAUGCAUUUACGCUACUGCCUUGCACCAUCCUACAUUCUACCCACAUGGCCGGUGUGCGUGCCAUAUGUUCUGCAUGCCUCAUCUAUCCUCUGUCUGCAUGCCCUAUGCAUAGCUCAUUUGCAUCAUCAUAUCUCAUAAGUAUCAUCUUUAUCUCAAUAUUUGUAUCUUUGUAAUCAUCAUACUGCAUUCAUAUGCCCCCAAAAGGUAAAAGUGCCCAAACACACGGCCCAAAACCUCUAUGUGUUUCAGGCGAGCCCCAAAGGCCUCUCAUCUCAUAUCAUUUGUAUCACUGUAUCUGGAGGGGAAGGGUACUGUCCAAUGAUUUUGCAAAUAACCUUUUAUACACAUGUACAUAAACAUAUAAUCACAUAUGAAAUUUCAUUUCCUUUUUAUUUAACAUAUCUCAAAUCCACUCAAUUUUAUUAUCAUGCAUUUACUCAAAAACGCUAAUAAAAUCAUUAAUCAAACUCAUUUUUAAUAAUAAUAAAUAUCAGCACGUAGAUAAAAAUCUAUUUUCUAGGAAAUCAUCAAAUCGAAGCAUCAAAUACUUAUUAUCAAAACAUGUUGUACUGCAUCGUAAAAUCAAAAUAUACUAUGAAAAUAGGUUUUGGAUAUUCCACUCACAGUAACGAUGUCCAAACUCGGUAUCAACAACGUUCACGGGUCCUCCUAAUCAAGUAAACGACAUAAUUAUUAUUUGUAACAUGAAAUACGGUUAACAAUACAAAAUAAAGCUCGAAAUGAAACUCCCUGAUACAUAAAAUUUUAAAAUUACCCUUAUAUCAAAAAAUUACCAAAAUGCCCCUAACAUCGAAAUUUACCGAAUUUCUGUCGGAACCAUAAUUUAUCGAAUUAUCCUCAAAAUCCUAAAUUACCUGAUUGCUCUUAAUUCAAAUCACAAAAUUAACCACAAGUUUUGCAUACACGGAAUUACCCUUAGAAUGUGAAAUUACUAAAAUGCCCUCAACAACAUAAAUUAGGGAAUUACGCCUGAAAUCUUAAAUUACCUCAUUGUCCUAGUCUGGAAUUACCAAAUCAUCCACCAAUUUCAGAAAAUUAUGAAUUAAUCCCCAGAUUUUGUAAAAUUAUCGAAUUGCCCAUGCCGGUCAACGGUGACCGAAGUUCAGUCAACGGCGACGGGAAGUUUACUACCAAUUAAGCUAAUGCGGGACCCGUGUUGAAAUAAAAAUCCGACUACACAGCCAUUAAAUCGUGUUCGAAUUGUCUCAAUUUUAUGUCAUGACAAAUUUAAAAUAAUCCAAACACGAUUUAUUUAAUAAACGUAUAACAUUUAACAGUCACUACUCAUAAUGUCGGAUAAUCAUGUUGUAUCAACUUCAUCGUAAUAAUUCGGAACAAGUCCAACAAAUUUAAAAUUAAUGUCGAAGGGAAAAAAUUAAAUAAUACACUUAAUUAAGAAAAUUAAAGUGCAUAUGUUAAAAUCCUCCCCACUUAUAAAAAUUUGGUCCUCGAAAUUUACACAUAUGAUGAGAACAGAUGAGGGUAUUGGGCUCGCAUUAAGUCUUCACGUUCCCAAGUAUCCUCUUCCCUUGUGUGAUUCCUCCACAUCACUUUUACUAAAGGAAUGGCUUUAGAACGCAACACUUAGUGUUUCCGUUCAAGUAUCUCCACAUGCUCCUUUUAGUACGUCAAGUCUUCCUUCAACUCAAUUAGUUGUCUCGAUAACACAUGAUUGAGAUCAUAUAUGUACUUUCAAAGCAUCGAGACAUGAAACACAUUGUGGAUUAUGGAUAACUCAGUUGGUAGAGCUAAUCAGUACGCCAAUGGACCAAUACACUCUACGAUCUCAUAUGGUCCAAUGUAACGUGGGCUUAGCUUUCCGCACUUCCCAAAUCGAAGUACUCAUUUCUAAGGAGGUAUCCGUAUGAAAACCUUAUCACCCACUUCGAAUUCAAGUUCCCUCCUACGCUUAUCUGCAUCGCUCUUUUGUCUGUUUUGGGCUACCUUUAAUCUAUCCCGAAUAAGUUGUAUAUUCUCAUUAGUAUUCUAAACCAAUUCGGGGCCAAAAAGCUUCCGCUCGCCAACCUCAUCCCAACAUACCGAAGUUCUACAUUUCCUACUAUACAAAGCCUCAUAAGGUGCCAUCUCGAUGCUAGCUUGAUAAUUGUUAUUAUAAGAAAACUCUAUCAAAGGUAAAUAAAUGUUCUAACUACCCUAAAACUCCAAAACACAAGUUCGCAACAUACCUUCCAAUGUCUGAAUAGUACGCUCUAACUGUCCAUCAGUCUGAGGAUUAAAACAUAUACUAAAAUUCAACUUUGUGCUUAAAGCCUUUUGCAACCUAGUACAAAACUUAAAAGUGAACUGGGAAUCUCUAUCUGAAACAAUAGACACAGGUGCUUCGUGAAGUCGAACAAUCUCAGCCACAUAAAUACUCUCCAACUUAUCCAUCGAAUAAGUGGUCUUGAAAGGUAAAAAGUGAGCAGAUUUCGUGAGUCGGUCAACAACCACCUAAACAUUAUCAUGUCCACUCUGGAAAUAUGGAAGUCCCGCCAUAAAAUCUAUCGUGAUAUGCUCCCACUUCCACUCAAAAAUAGGAAGCGGCUGAGAAGGAAGAGAAACAAAAGCAAAAAGGUAGUCGCACAAAUUGAGAAGACAAAAAGGGAGCAGCCGCGAAAAUUGGAGAGAAAAACGGGGAGAGAAGGAAGAAAAAGAACGAAGCAGCCAUAAGAGAUUUAGAGGGAUGAGGGAAUUAAUUCUUGAGUUUUUCUUUUCCUCUUCUCAAUUCUCUUACUUGAAUGUUUCCAAUUAAAUUCAUGGAUUCUCUUUAUAUUCCCAUGAACUAAUUUAUUUUGCUAGCGCUACGACGUAACCUAACUAUGAAGAUAAUAAGACCUAGAUGAGAUUUAUGUAUUUUUGCUCUGUGUAAUGUAUGUCAUGAAUUGAACGAAAGACAGAGAUGUGCCAACGUGAUUCAUGCAGUUUUUCUAAGAGUUUCCAUAGAGCUUAAUGAAUCUUUGCAUAUUUAAAUUCACAUAGAGAUAUAGUGGGUUAAUAUGUGAAGGUAUUUUUGAUAUUACUCGAAAGAGGAUAUUGAAUAGACUAGGGAAAUUCACUGUAACCAUGGACAAUAAAUUUUAAUAGCAUAGAUGGAGGAUUAAAUUGGAUUAGUUAUGGUGAAAUCAGAUGUCCUAAUGUCUUAAUCUCUUGGUCAUUUCUAUUACUACCUGCAUCUUUUUUAAUUUUUAGUUAUUUUCUUUUAUUUUAAUUUUUAAUCUAAAUUCGCUUAUUCGAUUAUUCAAAUAAUUUAGAGUUAAAAUAAUUUCGGUAGCUAAUAGGAUAUACGAUCUCUAUGGGACGAUACUCUACUCUUCAUUAUAUUAUUUGUGCCGACUAGUACACUUGCUAAUUUAUGCAUCAAGUUUUUGGCACUGUUGCCGAGGAUUAUUUGGAUUAGUAUCGAUACCAACUAACCUUAGUUUAAUUUGAAUUUGAAUUUUAUUUUUUUUGUUUAAUUUUAUGAGAUGUUUAAAAAGCUUUGAUUUAUUGCCUUUUGAUCCAGAGAUUGAACAUACGUGCAGAAGGCUUAAUAGAGAAAGGAGAUAAGCUUUACAGGAGCUACAACUAGUCAUGACUGAGAAGCAUUACACAUAAAUGAGGAUGCGAGACCUUUAAGAGAUUAUGUUGUGCCUAUAAUUAAUGGUGCUCGCUCAAGCAUUGCACGCCCUGCCAUUCAAGCCAAUAAUUUUGAAAUUAAGCCAGCUAUAAUCUAGAUGAUUUAGACGUCAGUACAAUUUACUGAGAUGCCGAAUGAUGAUCCAAAUGCUCAUAUUGCAAAUUUAUUGGAAAUUUGUGACACAUUUAAGCAAAAUGGUGUUUCAGAAAAUGCUAUCAGGCUAAGGCUUUUCCUGUUCUCACUAAGGGAUAAAGCAAAACAAUGGUUAAACUCACUCCCUGCUGGAAUAAUCACUACAUGGGAUGGUUUAGCGCAUAAGUUUUUAGCAAAGUACUUUCCUCCAACAAAAACAGCCAAGUUGAGAAAUGACAUCACAACAUUUGCUCAAUUCGAGAUGGAAUCAUAUAUGAAGCAUGGGAGAGAUACAAAGACCUACUAAGAAAAUGCCCAUAUCACGGUCUACUAGUUUGGCUUCAGGUACAUACAUUUUACAAUGGUUUGGGAUCCAAUACCAGAACAAUGAUUGAUGUUGUAGCAGGAGGAACAUUAAUGGGAAAAACACUAGAAGCAGCUUAUGAAUUAUUGGAGGAGAUGGCCUCUAAUAAUUACCAGUGGUCUUUAGAGCGACUAAUAUCAAAGGGAGCUAUAGGAGUCCAUAAUAUUGAUGUGGUCACCGCUUUAUACGCACAGAUAAUUGCAAUUCGUAACAAGUUGGACAAUCUGAAUAUUCAAACUCAACCGCAAGUAUGUGAAUUAUGUGGAGGGAAUCAUACUAGCGUCAAUUGCCAAGUUAGAAGUCCUUUUGCACCAUCAUCUACUAAACAAGCUCAUUAUGUGUCAAACUUUUAGAGGCAACAAAAUAACCCAUAUUCUAAUACCUACAAUCCAAGCUAGAGAAACCAUCCAAAUCUAUCAUGGAACAACACCCAAAAUGCAUUGGCACCACUUCCAGGGUUCCAACCACAAGAAAAAAAGUCAAACUUAGAAGAUGCUCUUACCCAGCUUACAACAAAUAUGUCUCAAUUCAUGACCAAAACAAAGACAACUUUUCAGAAUCAAGCUGCAUCAAUUCGGAACCUCAAGGUACAAGUGGGUCAAAUUGCAAACUUACUAUCCAGUAGACAACAAGGCUCUCUGCCACGCAACACCGAGACAAAUCCAAGGGAGCAAGUUAAUGCAAUUGUACUUUGGAGUGGUAAACAACUUGAUGAGCCGCAAAAAGAAGCAAAGAAAGUUAAUGAAGGACAAGCUAAAAACACCACCAAGGUUUCAAAGGCAAUAAAUUUAGAAAUACCACAACCUAAACCAGCAGCACAAGUCAAGGCCUAUGUUCCUCCAAUCUCUUUUCCUCAGCGUCUCAGGAAAAAUAACAUAGAUAAGCAAUUUUUAAAAUUUCUUGAUGUGUUUAAGAAAUUGCAUAUUAACAUUCCUUUUGCAGAUGCUUUGGAACAAAUACUACUUUAUGUCAAAUUUAUGAAGGAAAUAUUGUCCAACAAAAGGAAAUUUAAGGAGCAUGAAACUAUAAUGUUGACUGAGGAUUGCACUGCCAUCUUGCAAAAUAAAUUGCCACCAAAGCUGAAAGAUCCAAGGAGUUUUAAUAUUCCAUGCACUAUUGGAAAUACUUAUUUUGAAAAAGCUUUGUGUGAUUUAGGUGCAAGCAUUAAUUUGAUGCCUUUUUCUGUUUUCAAGAAAUUAGGUUUGGGUGAACCUAAGGCAACAACUGUUACCCUCCAAUUAGCAGAUAAAUCUAUAAAGUACCCAAGAGAAAUAGUUGAGGACGGGCUUGUGAAAGUUGAUAAGUUUAUAUUCCCUGUAGAUUUUAUUGUCUUGGAUAUGACUGAAGAUAUAGAGUUACCUCUUAUUCUAGGCCGACCAUUCUUAGCUACAAGAAGAGUUUUGAUUGAUGUUCAGGAAGGGAAAUUGAUUUUGAGAGUUCAAAAUGAGCAAGCCAUUUUUAAUGUGUACACACCUAUCAAGUAUCCAACUGAACUCAAAGAAUGUUUCCAAGAAAGUACCCAAGAGACAUAGUUGAGGACGCGCUUGUGAAAGUUGAUAAGUUUAUAUUCCCUGCAGAUUUUAUUGUCUUGGAUAUGGCUGAAGAUAUAGAGUUACCUCUUAUUCUAGGCCGACCAUUCUUAGCUACAAGAAGAGCUUUGAUUGAUGUUCAGGAAGGGAAAUUGAUUUUAAGAGUUCAAAAUGAGCAAGCCAUUUUUAAUGUGUACACACCUAUCAAGUAUCCAACUGAACUCAAAGAAUGUUUCCAAGAAAGUACCCAAGAGACAUAGUUGAGGACGCGCUUGUGAAAGUUGAUAAGUUUAUAUUCCCUGCAGAUUUUAUUGUCUUGGAUAUGGCUGAAGAUAUAGAGUUACCUCUUAUUCUAGGCCGACCAUUCUUAGCUACAAGAAGAGCUUUGAUUGAUGUUCAGGAAGGGAAAUUGAUUUUAAGAGUUCAAAAUGAGCAAGCCAUUUUUAAUGUGUACACACCUAUCAAGUAUCCAACUGAACUCAAAAAAUGUUUCCAAGAAGACACCAUGGAUAGAAAAAUAGCCAAACAAUUUAAGGAUAAGCAUCUAUCUAACCCUCCUGACAUUUAUACAAUACGUAAGCAGUCUAUUAAUGAAUAUCCAUCUCCUCAUUUUCGUGGGAAGAGAUCUAAUUGCAAGCAACUUGGGCGAGAUCCAUCCAGAUCAUCUCUUUCCAUCCAUGAGCCUCCUUGAACGAUCUCUCCAAAGAUAGUCAAGCUAAUGACUAUAAAUUAAGCACUUCUUGGGAGGCAACCCAAGCUUUCUAAACCUUAUUAUUGUCAUUUUUGUCUUUUCUUAUUUUUUUUGUCUUUUCUUAUUUCUUAUGUCUUUUCUUAUUUCUUAUGUCUUUUCUUUUACUUAUUUUAUUUUGUUUUGUUCUAGGUUUUUGCAUAAGUUUGGGGGUGGGAAUAUUUGCUUUCAAUUUUUUCUUAAAAAAAAAAAGAAAAAAAAUCUAAAAAAAUUAAAUUUUUUUUUAUGCCUUUGAUGAGUAUAUUGUUGAAAAUGAAUAUGGUUCUUAGAAAGGGAUGAAUAUUGUCUUAAUUUAUACUUGAUUCUUGUGUUAUUUUCGUCUUGAUUAUGAUUCUUUAAAUAUUUUGCGCACUUAUAUCAAUUUUUUUAGAAUUUCGACUUAAGAUUUGAGAUUGAUACAGCCUGAGUUGAGAAUUUUAGAUUGAGUAAAUGAUUGUUUGCCUCGAUUCUACAUUACUUAAGUACCCAGGCAUCAUAGUCAGAAAUAACUACCUAUAACCCUUAAGAGUGAAGCUAUCAUUGAGUAAUUUGGGCCUAUGUACCACCGAUAUGUAGAGGAUAAUCUACCAUGAGAAGAAGACUACCUUAAGGGGUAGAGUGAAAGCUCCUGACUACGAAAAAUCAAAAGAAAAUGCAAAUUAUGCUUGUGAAAAAAAAAGAGAGAGAUCAAGAUGAUGAGGUUAGUUUGACCUACUCUGUUUACUAUUCAAUACAAGGGCUAUUGAUAAUGAAGAUUUUGAGAAUGAGUUUUGAUUGAAUUGAUUCACACACAACACAGGAAUCCAAUAUGAGAUGAGGCUGACCAUUGAAUUAAAGUUAGAAGUUUGCCAAUACUUUUAAUUUUCUUUGAGAUGUAUACUUUAUGCAAUCUUUGAGGCAUUUUUAAUGAUGUUUGUGGGUAUCAUCGCUGAAAACCCUCACGAGACUAUAACUUGUCCACUAGGGCCGCCUAGGGGUUUACAGGCUUGUUGUAUACGUUAAAUGCAAUCGCGAUCACCUGGGAAAGUUGUUUAGUUAGGAUUUUCUUUUCAUAGUUUUUAUUUUAAUUUUUGCUCGAGGACUAGCAAAAUGUUAAGUUUGGGGGUAUUUGAUGUGCCAAUCAUUUUCAUAUUAUUUUAAUGCUUCCAUAACUUAAUUUUAUGUUAAAUUAUAUUUUAUUUCAUUAAUUUUUAUCUUAAUUUUUAUAUUUUGUCAUUGUAGGAAUAUUGGGAAUAUUCAUGAGAAAGGAAGCUUAAAGAGGAAACAAAUUGGAGCUUAAUGGAAAUAAUUGCAGAUUGUGAGAGAAAAGAGGAAAGAAUAAUGCUUAAAGAAUAAUUAUUAGAUUUAUUACCAAAUAAUUUUAGAAAUUUAUUGGCUAUUUGUACAAGUCACGUGGAUGAUUACAUAAAGCAUUGGCAUUUGUCAAGUGGGCUCACAUAAGCAUGGGCUUAAAAGGGUGGCUAGGUUUGUUUUGUUUUAAAAUCCUUUUGAUUUAAGGAUUUGGGGACUGAGCAAUAAUAUAAAAAGGAGGAGAAACAAAAGCAAGAGGGUAGCCGCACAAAUUGAGAAGACAAAAAGGGAGCAGCCGCGAAAAUUGGAGAGAAAAACCGAGAGAGAAGGAAGAAAAAGAACGAAGCAACCAUAAGAGAUUCAGGGGGAGGCUGGAAUUAAUUCUUGAGUUUUUCUUUUCCUCUUCUCAAUUGUCUUGCUUGAAUGUUCCCAAUUAAAUUAAUGGAUUCUCUUUAUAUUCCCAUGAACUAAUUUAUUUUUCUAAGGCUACGACGUAGCCUAACUAUGAAGAUUUAAUUCCAUAAAUCUAUGUUAUUUUUAGUUUAUUAUUCCAUCGGUGAGUGUUCAUUAUUGUGUUUAAUGCUUUUAAAUAUCUGGCUAAUAUUUAAAUGAUUUGAGGAUACAUAAUGAGACCGGGAGAAGAUUUAUAUAUUUUUGCUCUAUGUAAUGUAUGCCAUGAAUUGAACGAAAGACAGAGAUGUGCCAACGUGAUUCAUGAAGUUUUUCUAAGAGUUUUCAUAGAGCUUAAUGAAUCUUUGCAUAUUUAAAUUCACCUAGAGAUAUAGUGGGUUAAUAUAUAAAGGUAUUUUUUAUAUUGCUCGAGAAAGGAUAUUGAAUAGACUAGGGAAAUUCACUGUCAACAUGGAUAAUAAAUUUUAAUAGCAUAGAUGGAGGAUUAAAUUGGAUUAGUUAUUGUGAAAUUAGAUGUCCUAGUGUUUUAAUCUCUUGGUGAUUUCUAUUACUGUCGCAUCUUUAUUUAAUUUUUAGUUAUUUUAUUUUAUUUUAAUUUUUAGUCUAAAUUUACUUAUUCGAUUGUUCAAAUAAAUUAGGGUUAGAAUAAUUUCGAUAGCUAAUAGGAUAUAUAAUCUCUGUAGGACAAUACUCUACUCUUCAUUAUAUUACUUGUACUGACUAGUACACUUGCUAAUUUACGCAUCAAGUUUUUGGUUAUUAGCUUUCAACUUAACUCCUAAAGAUCUCAGCUCGAUCAACAAAGUCAUAUAUAUCACUCAUAAAUGAGCUAUAGAGCUGGAGGACUUCCUACUUAACGCAUCAACUACCACAUUUGCUUUGCCCAGAUGAUAAUCAAUAGUGCAAUCGUAGUCCAUAAUCAGCUCGAUCCAUCUCCUCUGUCUCAAAUGUAACUCUUUCUAAGUAAAUAAAUACUUCAGGCUCUUAUAAUCGAUGAAAAUCCGACGCGUUGCCCCGUAUAAAUAGUACCUUCAUGUCUUGAGUGCAAACACCACUGCUACUAGCUCUAAAUCAUGAGUUGGAUAGUUUUGCUCAUGCUUCUUAAGUUUUCUAGAAGCAUAGGCCACUACUUUCCCAUGUUGCAUUAGCACACAUCCCAAUCCUUGUCUAAAGGCAUCACUGCAUACCACAAAUCCUUCAUUACCCAAUGGAAGUGUAAGAACUAGGGCUGAAGUAAGACAUGUCUUAAGUUCUUGAAAACUCUUUUCACAGUCAUCAUCCCAUUGGAACUUAACAUUCUUUCUGGUUAAUCGUAUCAAAGGAAUAACAAUCUUGGAAAAUCCCUCCACAAAUCUACGAUAGUAGCCAGCUACUUCGAGGAAACUCUGAAUCUCUGUGACAUUUAUAGGUCGUUCCCAAUUUACAACUGCUUUGAUCUUUUGAGGAUCGACAUAAAUUCAUUCAGCUAAUAUCAUAUGGCCCAGAAAUACUAGUUUAUCCAACCAGAACUCACACUUGUUGAACUUGGCAUACAACUGCUUUUGCCUUAAAGUCUGUAAAACAGUUCGCAAAUAUUCUGCAUGUUCCUCCUGGUUCCGAGAAUACACCAAAAUAUCAUCAAUGAACACAAUCAUAAACCGAUAUAGAUAAGGGUGAAAUACUUUAUUCAUAAAAUCCAUAAAAGCUGCUGGAGCAUUAGUCAACGCAAAUGGCAUCACCAAGAACUCAUAAUGUCCAUAACAGGUUCUGAAUGUUGUUUUAAGAACAUUGACCUCUUUAAUUCUAAGCUGAUGAUAUCCUGAGUGUAAAUCAAUCUUAGAAAAUACUUUCACUCCAUGAAGUUGAUCAAACAAGUCAUCAAUAUAUGGAAGUGGAUACUUAUUGCGUAUUGUAACUUUGUUUAAUUAUCUGUAGUCAAUGCAGAGUCUAAAAGCACCAUUCUUUUUCUUAACAAACAAAACCGGAGCACCCACGGAGACACAUUAGGUCUAAUAAAUCACUUAUCCACCAAUUCUUGCAGUUGAAACUUAAGUUCCUUUAGUUCAACUAGAGCCAUCCUGUACGGUGCUAUAGAUAUAAGAGUUGUUCCAGGGACUAAAUCAAUAGAAAACUCAACCUCCCUAUUAGGUGGCAUCCUUGGAAGUUCAUCUGGAAACUGUUGGACUACUAGAAUAUCCUCCAAUCUCAACUCCCGAACUUUAGUGUCUAUCACGUGCGAUAUAAGCUGAGCAACCUUUUCUUAGUAACCGUCUAGCACCAAUGGCUAAUAUGACAUAUGACGGUAAAACUCUACACUCACCACAAAAUUUCACCUCAGUUUUCCCUGACUUUUCUAAACAUAACUUCCUUUUUGAAACAAUCCAUAGUAUCAUAAUGAGAUGCAAGUCAAACCAUGCCCAAAAUGUUAAUGAAAUCUCGAAUGUCUAAAAUAAUCAAAUUCGCCCUAAAUUCUUGCUCACCCAAUUUAAUCAUACAAUCUUAAUACACACUCUCGGCAAGCAUUGACCCCCUAUAGGUGUAUUAACAACUAAACCAUAAUCCAGUGGUUCAUGCUCUCUCUCUCAAAUGCAUAGCAAAAACAUGAGAAACAAAAGAAUGCGUGGAUCCAGGAUCAAUAAGAAUAUAAGCCUAAGUAAUUGCAACAUGUCAUUGAUAUUGAUGUUCUACUAUUUGCCACCAAUGAUAAGCUUUAUCCUCAAGUAGAAAAGUGGCAAAGGAAAGUCCAUCCUCCUCUGAGCAACUCAUCAUAUUAAAAAUACGUUCUAACUUGACAAACCACGACUCUGCCUCAGGUGGAUCUCCAAAACCAUUAAAACUCUUUGCCCCUAAAUUUUGUACACGCUCGAUAGUGUAUACAUGACCGGCAUACAGAUGAGUCUGAUUAUGUACCAUUGUAGUCACAAUCUCAGCUAGUUUAUCAAUUGACUGCUCAAGGUUGGGUACAUUUCCUGGUGCCUGUUGUGCAACCUCGUGCGUUGAAGACUCAACUACUCUCUCGUUUACAGCAUUAUUUUCCGCCGCAGGUACAUCUCCUGGAGUCAACCCAUCUACUGAUUUAGUACAGCUACAACCACCCCUAUUGCUACAACGAAUCAUGAUAGUGCUCACAAAAUAUCAAUUACGACUUUGACAACAGCAAAACUUAUUCUAAUCACAACAACAAAGUCUACAUAAUCUAAAACUGUGCUCUGAUACCAACUGAAACGACCCGCCCCGAGUCCCCAGGACGAGUCUAUCUAACUCGCCUAACCAAAUUAAUAAUAAUUCUAAUGUCUAAGAAUUCUACCAAAAUUUCGGCAAAGUCUCCUAUAUAAUUAUGACAUCCCCAAACUGCAAUUUAUAAAAUUAACACUCCAAAAAAUGAUACAAUAUUCAAUCAACCUCCACAACUAACUUCCUCAAUCAAAUACCAGUAUCCUUCAAACAUAUAAUGUCAAGAAUAUAAUAAUUUGUCCUUAAUCACAAAUAAAUAAUAAAUUAUAUAAUUCAAAAUAUCUCAACAAAACAUCUAGGAUUAACACCAUCACGUGGCCAUAGUUUCAAAUCUAACUAUUGUUGCUGGGUCGACUGAUGCAUCUGCAAAUCUCCUGUGGCGGGAAAAAUAUAAUAAAAAUGGGGUGAGUAUAAAACUCAAUGAGUGGAUAGUAGUUUUUGAAAAAUAAUUUUUUUUAAAAUGAUUUAAUCUUUCCCAAAUCAAUUUCAUUAAAAUAUCAUAAGAACUUAAAUUAACAUAUUUAAUUAAAAUCAUGCACUGAAAUAACAAUAUUACAUAAAUCUGCAUAACAUCAAUGAAAUCAUAACAUUCAUAAUAUCAAAUACUAAAUACCAAAAACUAUCACCAAACAAGAACCCAAGGGAAUAAACCCAUCAUAUCCGGACCUCGACGGACGGACAAUCAAGGAACUAUCAUGCCUUGGAGCUACAACGGAUAGACGUGGAAAUGCCAUUUCAUAUCUCAUAUAUCUCAUCAUAUAUGUGCAUGUAUAAUCUGGUCCCCAAAGGAUAAGGUGCCCAAGUAUACGGCCCAAAACCUCUAUGUGUACUCAAACGGGCCCCAAAGGCUUCUCAUCUCAUCUGUAUCAUCAUAUCCCAUCUAUAUCAUCUGUAUCUCAAUAUCCGUAUCUUUGUAAUCAUUAUACUGGAGGCAUAUACCCCCAAAAGGCAAAAGCGCCCAAGCACACGGCCCAAAGCCUCUAUGUAUAUUCAGACGGGCCCCAAAGACCCAUCAUCUCAUAUCAUUUGUAUCAUUGUAUCUAGAGGGAAAGGGUAUUGUCCAAUAAUUUUGCAAACAACCUUUUAUACACAUGUACAUAAACAUAUAAUCACAUCUGAAAUCUCAUUUCCUUUUUAUUUAACAUAUCUCAAAUCCACUCAAUUCUAUUAUCAUGCAUUUACUCAAAAACGAUAAUAAAAUCAUUAAUCAAACUCAUUUUUAAUAAUAAUAAAUAUCAUCACGUAAAUAAAAAUCCAUUUUCUAGGAAAUCAUCAAAUCGAAGCAUCAAAUACUUAUUAUCAAAACAUGUUGUAUUGUAUCGUAAAAUUAGAAUAUACUAUGAAAAUAGGUUUUGUAUAUUUCACUCACAGUGACGAUGUUCAGACUCGGUAUCAACAACGUCCGUGGGUUGAUUCUCAUUCACGGGUUGUUGGUGAAUUACUCAAUUGCUAUUGAUGCCAAUGUGCAAGUGUACACAACAAGUAAUAAAGUGAUGAAUAUUCUAGAUCAUCUCCACAGAGACUGAUGUUACUAGAAAUGCUACAGCAAUCACAAUAGUGCAAUCUACCUUUAUUUCAUGAUGAACCUAGUUAAAGUUGAUUACUACCGAAAUUAAAAAUUGUAAAGAAAUAAAUCAAAUAAUUGCAUUAAUGAAAUAAAUUAGAUAAAUUGCGUAAAAAAAUGAAAUGAGAAUGAGGUAGUUGAAUGAUCAAACUCUCUUCAUGGGUUGACUGCUUUUCAUCAAAUUAGCACAAGUUGCUACAACAAUUCCUACAGCACUGGGCAUAAUUAUUUUGCAUCCUCAGCUGUCGCGUGUUGGACUUCUCAUACCCUUAAGUAUCUUAACAAUGACCAGUUACUAUUCUACCUACGGCAUGGCAUUAUGAACAUCUAUUCUCUCCACCCUACAAGAUGAGUGUCUAUGUCUAGUUCUUCACAAAUCUUAACUUCAAGUAUAGCCCUUAUGGGAUUCAAGAUAAACUUAAUCCAGGAAACUCAAAUUAAGAUCAAGUAUUACUCUAAUAAUAUCCACUAAGACAGGCCUUUUGCGACUCUAUCUUAACUUGAACCAUUAAAUGGGUGAUCAACCGAAAUAACAGUUAUAAUAAUAGCUACUAGAGUAAAAUGCUACAACAAUUAUAUAGCAACUCAUAAGAAUAGUCAAAAACCCAUUGAGAUUGUUUGUCACUCAACUACAAGCAAGUUUAGUUCAUACUUUGAAAAAGAAAAACACAUAGCAAACUAUUGGUCACGAAAUACAUCGGUUCAAUCAAAGAGUAACGAAAAGAACAAUGAAGAUUGAAUCCAAAUAACUAUGCUGGAUUCUUCACUGAUACAGCUUGGUUCUCUUGAAUUCAUAUUGUUUUCUUCUUUUCCUCUUGAUUUUUCCAAUGUUAAUUCCUUUCCGCCGUUUUAUGUGAUGCGCGCCCCUUUUUAUAACUGAAACUUAGGGUAAACAAAAGCCUAGGGCGAGCAUGAGUCAAAUUAGAAAACUGUAGAUUGCAAUUCUGCAGAUAUCCCGUGCUAAGUUUUCUCUGUCGUUGUUCCAGGAUUGCUACAGCAAUGGUUGCUCCAGCAACAGCUAUAACACUGCACUGAUCUAGGUUUUGUUUCCCUUAUUUUUUGGUCAUAUUCUUCCUCCUUUUUGCCAACCUAUUGCAUCAGCAUCCCUUCCAUGAAUUAUAAACUUCUGAAAACCUACAAUUAUGCACAUGUUUUGAGCACAAAUUACUUUAAAUCAAGCAAAACUUAUUAAGACUAAACUAAAAUGAAUGUUUAUGCAAAACGUAACAAAAAUGUAAUAAAAACACAUCAUUACUUUCUAAGUGAUCUUGAUUUAAGUCUAGAAUUGCCAUAAUAACUCUCAUUUCAUGAAGUUAUCACGGGUCCUCCUAAUCAAGUAAACGACAUAAUUAUUAUCUGUAACAUGAAAUACAUCUAACAAUACAAAAUAAAGCUUGAAAGGAAACUCUCAGAUACAUAAAUUUCAAAAUUACCCUUAUAUCCAAAAAUUACCAAAAUCCCCCUGACAUCGAAAUUUACUGAAUUGCUAUCGGAACCAUAAUUUAUCAAAUUAUCCUCCAAAUCCUAAAUUACCUAAUUGCUCUCAAUUCAAAUCACAAAAUUAACCACAAGUUCUGGAUUUAUGAAAUUACCCUUAGAAUGCAAAAUUACUAAAAUGCCCUCAACAACAUAAAUUAGCGAAUUUCCCCCGAAAUCUUAAAUUACCUCACUGCCCUAGUCUGAAAUUACCAAAUCAUCCACCAAUUUCAGAAAUUACGAAAUAAUCCCAGAGUUUGCAAAAUUACCAAAUUGCCCAUGCCGGUCAACGAUACCGAAGUUCAGUCAACGGCGACGAGAAGCUCAGGUCUGAUAGUUCUUACCUCGAUCAGUCCAAUGGUGCCAAUGAUGACCCCCCAGGCGUAGCGACAAUGGCGGAUCGAACUUCCCAAACCGCAAGAUUUCUGACAGUUGUUCGCAGCCAAAACGGCAGUUAUAGAUGGCGGGGUUGGUUGGAAAACGACGAGGGUGAGCUGAGGAUCAAGAUCUAAGUGGUGAUGCGGCCUAAAUUCGGCGAAAUCAACUGCGACAAAAGCGAGUUGAGUCGCGGUCCUUGAAGCUUCGAUCACCCGUGUUCUGGCUGUUUUUCGGCGACGAUGACAGCGGGGAUAUGACCGGCAUCGCUCAAACUUCAGAUCGAUACCAAACUUGACUGGAACGGUGGCCGAAAACAAGAGUUGGAGUCGGGUCGGCUUCGCUAGUCAGGUUGGGUCAAAUGGGUCAAUUUCUCUUUCUCUCACGCGCCCCCUCUCUUUCCAUUUUUGGAAACCAACUCCCCUCUUUCUAUUUAUAGAAACUAGCUUCCAUUUUUUUUUAAAGCUUACUACCAAUUAAGCUAAUGCGAGACCCGUGUUGAAAUAAAAAUCCAACGACACAGCCAUUGAAUUGUGUUCGAAUUGUCUCAAUUUUAUGUCGUGACAAAUUUAAAAUAAUCCAAACAUGAUUUAUUUAAGAAAUGCAUAACAUUUAACAAUCACCACUCAUAAUGUCAGAUAAUCGUGUUGUAUCAACUUCACCGUAAUAAUUUGGAACAAGUCCGACAAAUUUAAAAUUAAUGUCGAAGGGAAAAAAUUAAAUAAUACACUUAAUUAGGAAAAUUAAAGUGCAUAUGUUACAGUUUUAUUAUUAAUUAUUGACUUAUUAUUUUUUGCAAUUUAUUGUGACACAUAAAAAAUCAUAUUAUUGAAAUUCCCAAUUGAAUAUAUAAAGUGAGUAAGUAUAACGUUACUCUUUCCAUAAUUGAUAAGGAUGGCAAAAAGACUAGACCAUGUUCUUGUCUGAUUGACCUAACUUUAAUUUUUAGGGUUUUUAAUUGAAUUUAAAGGGUCAAGGAUCAAGUUUCGACCGGAUUACAUUCAAGUCUGGGUUAGGACUUUAUAAAAAAUCCUAACUCAACCUUUGACCCUUAAAUUAAUUUUCAAAAUUAAAAAAAUAAUACUUAAAAAUUAGAACACAUACACUACAAAUGUGGUCAAAACUCACUCCUCAAACUGAUAGUAUUUUGUAUUCGAUUUAUUUACUUGCUAAUUUGGUUAGAUUUUUACAUGUUGGAUUUUCAAUAAAGCUAAAUAAAAAGUUAAUUUAUUAAAUGCCUUACAACCAAAUUUAUCAUAAAAUGGAACAAUAAUAGUACAAUAUAAUUAAUAAAGAAUGAAGAGUUGGAGUCCUACUAAAGUAUCUAAAAAUUAAAAGGUUAUUGCAAAGUGUGGAUAAAGCUCGAGCCUGAACUUGACUUGAAAAAGGCCGACCCUAGUCCAACCCUUACUUUUGAGGAUCAAACUUUUGAAAGUUAAGACCCUUUAUUUUUAAUUAUAAGGGCAAGGCUAGGGGUUGGCCAAGCCUGAGCUCAACUAGAUCAAUUGCCAAACUUAUUGAUAAGAAAAUAAUUAAUAGAGUUGUGAUAUUUGACCCCCUCGUUGUACCUCACCAGCCCCCACUAAUUACUUUUAUACUAAUAUUUAUUUUAUCUUUGUAUGAAAUGAUUUAAAAGAGUAAAUAGCUUUUAAGUGCACCCACAUGAUAAUUUCCAUUAAUAUAUAAUUUAACUAAUUUAUUUUCUUAAACCUUAAUUUUUUUAAACUUUUUAAUUCUUUCUUAAAUAUUGUAUACUUUACUUUUGGAAGAAAUUAAUUUAUAGCACGCAAUAGAAGAUGAUGAAGAAAUAUUAAUUUUUUUAUGGUUAUGGUAAUGAUGGAUAAAUCUUUAAAAAGAGAGAGAGAGAUUAUAGUGAUUUUGAGAUUUUUUUUUCUUUUUGAAAUAGAUUUUAUAAGUUUCAGUGCUUGGAAAAAAGAUAAAAAAUCGUAAUAAAGCUAAGUUCGCGAUUCAAUGAGGUAUGUUGAUAUAUAAAGUUUAGUUUAAAAUUUUUAAUAGCGUUAACUGAAAGGGGUUGGUAAAAUAUAAUAAGUGGGUCAAAUCUACCACCCUAAUUAGUAUCAUUUUACUCGAAAGUUUUACUUAUAAAUUUUGGAUUUUGACCAGCUUUAAAUCUAUAAAAAAAAUUCAGAAAAAGUUACUUUAAAAAAUCUAUACAUUAUCCCAAAAGUUGUACCCAAAAAAAAUAAAUAAAAAUCGGCCCGUUCUGGUUAAAUUCAAAAUGAAAAAACCCGGCCCGUUUCCCUACUUAAGACCCUCCUAGCAGUUUUAAAAAAAAUUUCCCAGCGAAGAAUAGAAGUGAUAGCAGCUGCUCUGUCUUGCGACCCAUCGCAAUGGGAAUUUAGCUGGUUUUAAUUCUCUCUCUUAGCUGUUUCUGUUUCUUUAAUUUAACAUUGUGAUAUAUAUUUAUUAUGCUAGAGGUUCAACUAAGUCUCCAUUUACUGGGACUUUUCUCAUCUUGGGAAAUGUUAAUUUUGCCUUAUUUAUUCAAUAUUGUUAUCUUCCUCUGUCAAUAAAUUUUAUGCUUCGGUUGGUUAUUCAAUGUGGGUUUGUUCCAUUUUGUUCUUACGCUGUUUGUAUAAAUAUUAAAGGUUUGUUUUUUAAAAUGGCUUUCAGUCAAUUGCCUUCAAAGCUUUAUUUCCUAAAAGAGGAAAGAAAAAUAUACCAAAAUGUUUAAUUUCUACUGCUAUAUGUUUGCGUUUUUAGCUUCUGCUAUGCUUUGUAUUGUGUUGUUUGUGUUGGUAUUAAUGCUAGAAAGAUGUUUUCUUCUCAAAUCUGAUUGCUUAGAAUGAAUAUGAGGUGGUUAUUGAGUUGCAAUAUAUCGAAUAAAUUGAAGACGUCUGCUUCAUAGGUUUUGAUUCUAUUAAUUGUUUUCAUUUCAAGCAUGACACAAUUGCAUGGGUGUUCGAGGAGGCUAACGAUGAUUUCUUAGGGUUGAAGCUAUAACUUUCUUUUAUUAUUGUCUAGUAUCAAAACUUGAAAACAAAGUUUAAAGAUAAUACUUAUGAUACAAACACAAAUGAUUGGAAAGGUAACUUGAACAAAAUAGAAGGAAAUCAAUAAGAAUAGGUUAAUUCGAGGAACUCUAGACCUUCAAAAUAAUAUUGGUUAUUUGAGAAACCAAUAAACUCACAAAAUUUAAUUUACAAGUUGCGAAAAUAAUAGCACUCAAGACACUCUUUUAUUGAACAACAUCAAGCUUUAAAUAGAGCUUUACUUCAAAGCUACAAGUAUAAAAAUAAGCAAGCAUUAAGCUUGUUCUCCAUCAUUCUCCAUGAAUCCACAAAAUAAGGAACCAACUAACAACUUGAUUUUGACUUAUUAAAAACCAGCGACACUUAAAAUAUAAAGUAAAUAAUUAAAACCAAUAUUAAAAUGGAAAGAUUGUAAAAUGUUAUAGUGUUUACUUUAAUCAAUGGGCCGUGGCGCAUAUUGUUAAAUUGUGGAUCGGAUAGUUUACUGGACACGCGAACUAAUUUGUAAUUUAGUUAUAAGUUGUGUGAACCAUAAAAAAAUAAAGUCAGUGGUACUAUUAUCAGAAUGUUGGAUAGUUCUGAAAGAUUUUUGAAUAAGCUGGCAUUGAGGAUAAUAUACUAUUGGAAGUUGAGGAACAGGACAGAGCAUCUGUAAUUCCUCUGUUAUUUACGAGUUAUCUAUUUUUAUCCCAUGACAGUGUAGUGCUCUUUCUCCCCCUUUCAGAAAGUUUUUAGAGGAACUGUACCUGAAAUGUUUUGUUGUUUCUUAGAAAAUGGUUUUUCCCAUGCAGUGACUUUGAAGUGGAUUACGAGUCCAAUGAGAAUGCAUCAAUUGUGUAUGCAGCAUUAGCUAUUGAUAAGGAGGUGAUCCACCACGAUCCUAUUCCCAAGAUCAUACUUUGCUCCUUUAACUUUAUUGCUUGUUCAAUAAAUUCCUACUUGAAUUCAAUUUCCAAGUGCAGUUGCAACCAGACAAAUUGAAAAGGCAGAUAUCUGUGAUUAAUGGGAAACUUUUAGUGUAAGUUUCUAUUCUUUGGUCAUUCUUGUAACUGAUUUUUCAUUCUUGUCCAAUAUUUAUUCAAUUUGCAUCUAUCAGUUUAUCCUAUGAGACAAUAUUCAUUUGGAACUUUUGUGUGGCUCGUUCAAUAAUCAUUUUUCCCCUUUUCCUGAAAAAUUUUCAAAUAUGUUACUUCAGAAGAGUUCUUCCUCUAAGAUACCAUUGUUCUUUAGUAUAUCAACUUUUCUUGGACAUUUUGUUUAUUUUCUCAUCUGAUUCAGGCACUUUGAGGCAGUUGAGGCAGGGUUUCUUCGUGCAUCAUUUUCUGCUUUUGUAGAUGUGCUUACACUUGCGACAAAAACAAUCGAACAGUUUGGUCAUGGAACGGAAUUGUAACAUCAUACUAUCUUUGGCAGUUGGAGAAUCAUUCAUAGUAGGAACUGUAUUACUUUAAUUCGCCAUCUUGUUUCGGAUUAGUUGACGUGUUUGUAACAAGAGAAUCUAUAGUGUUCGUUUUAUAAUGUAAACCUUCAAAUUAUCGGAAAGCUGAAAUCUUCAAAGCUGUGAAUUAUAAUUUUUUUUUUUCAAUCAUUGGGUUUUAGCAAGAGGUUGCAGCUGUAAAUGUUACAAUCCUCCCUUAGACCUUUUCAAUAAAGUUAUUGGCAAGCUAUCUCCAACUCUUUCAGUUUGGGCCUAACUAGAUUGCCAGACCUCACUUCUAGGGCUUUUCUGUUUACCCUCAAAACAGUUCAAUCUGAUAUUGAUUUCGUAAAGUGAAUAGAAUGAAGAAUUCAUUAGUGCUAAUAUUCUUCCAGCCAUUGAUGCAAUUCUUUACCAUUGUGUGACGCAGGAGGUACCUACUUGGCUACCAAGUGGCCCUCAGCUUAACGUGCCUCGAUAGCCUUCAAGCUUUUAGAAUUCAUCUAGCUGGUGGAAUCCUAUCAGGCGUCUCUCUAUAAGUUCGAAAAUCAAGAUUUUUCUAUAGCAAGCGUCAAGGGAUUUCUUGUCACCCAAAAGGAACCCAGAAAAGAUAAAAUCGUAGACAGCACUGUUUCACAUGCUGGAAUUCUCGGGAGGGUGCUUAUCAUGUGCUUGUGGCUAUAAAUAUGCUCGAAAAAAAUUGGAAAUUGAUGCUGCAAUCCCUCUGCCUGAAGCCUCAAAGAAAAAAAAAAUGCAUUUUUAUAGCAUUGCUAAGAUGAAAGAUUACAGACUUAGCAACGCUGACAUUGAGCAACAAUUUUCUGCAUACACUUUAUCUUGGGCAGAAUCACCAAAAGUCGAUGCAUCUUUAAAUUUAGAAUAAAAGCAGAUUCGACUUGUAUUAUAAGAAAUUCAAAUGGGGUGUCACGGCUGCUUCCAUCUCUAGGAAAACUUGCUUAGAAAAAAUGCUGAAUGCUUUGGCAAUUCUUGAUGGCAUCAAAAUGGCAGUUGACUCUGGACUGCACCCACCACUAACUUGAAUCUGACUAUUUUAAUGCAGUGAAAUCAAUCUUAAAGAAGAGACUUCGGAUGGAUGAUCAAAGGAAUGCUCGGUUAUGUAAGAAAAGGAAAACAAUUUAUAGUUGCAAUACACUCAUCAAUAAUCUCAGGAACCUCUGAUGAUUGAAUUACAAGCAUACCUGUUCAUGCAAGAUAUUCGAUGCUCUGCAUCCGAAACUUCGUCGACCUUUGCAUCUAAGAGAUCAUUAACCUUACAAGUCACAGAACCCAAAUGGUCCACAGUAUUCACAACAGCUUUGCUGGCAUGAUCUUUCAAUGUUUCCACCACUUUGCGUAAAUGUGAAGAUGGUUUGUUUUCUCAAUAGAAAAUUGAAAUUAUCAGCAGUAAUUAGAGCAACUUACAUUUGUUUUUGGUCAUCACUGGUGUUUGUGGGAUAUUCUUCAACGAAGACCAACACUAAUGAGCAGACAUCUGGUAGCAGGGCUCCUCGAACAUGUAUAUCUGGUAAGAAUCUGGUAUCCGGGGGAGCAGGAGCAGGAAUAUCCGGCUCGUCCACGAGUACGCCAUCCACAAGGCCAAUCUUCGGCUGGAAGCAUAAAGCCAUUCCUACUGCAUUCCUGCUAAGGGCUGAGUAGAGGAGACCCGGUCAACGACAGUUGGUGAGACAUGCUCUCCAGUCCGAUAAUCAAGGCACAAAGGCCACGCAACCAUCCACGACUACGGAAAUGGGGCAUCCACUUACGAGAGGUGGGGAGAUAACAACCGCGAAUGGAGGGAAGGCUUGAGUUCAGAGGUGGCCUAUAAAAAGGUAGCCAACGAAGGUAAAAGGGUUAGCAUUUUUGAGAUUAUAACUGAGAAAAGAGAGCUCUAAAGAACGGGUACUAGAGAAAAGCCAUAAGAUUCGUGGCAAACAUUCCCAGAACCUUCAUAUCUGACUUGAGCAUCGGAGGGUUUACGCCGGGGAAACAACCGGCGUACUCUGACCUGCUUCUGUGUACGCAGGAACUUUCGGAGAAGAAGCCUUAUGAGGAGAGAACCUGAUCUGGUAGAGUUGGUCGAGCAGAGGUCCUAGUCUUGGUAGAAAAGGCAACCAGAAUCUCGCAUCAACAUUUUGGCGCCGUCUGUGGGGAGCUGAUCAAAAAGCUUCUAUUGAUAGUAAGAAGAGGAGUAAAGCAAGUGGAAAAAACAAUGGAGGCAGGAGGAAGUAGUGCGCAAAGGGGUGAUUUGCGGCUUAAUGAUUCCGUGACGUUGAGGGAGAUAGCCAGUGAAGCACGGGAAAAAGCCAUGUCUGACCGGAUGGAACGGAUGGAAAAGCAGAUGGAGACCCUGACAACCAUCCUACAUGAGCUGCGGAGUGAACGAAGGGGAACCCAGGAGGAAAGGGUGAGAAAUGGUGGAGUGGCACCAGGUCACGAUAGUAUAAGGAGAAGUCAAACCACCAGGAGAUUUGGUGGUGAGAGAGGUAACCUAUCUCUGCAGGGAGAAAUUCACAGAGAGGAAGAGCAAUCCCCAGCAAGAUAGAUUUUUGAUGAGGAUGAUGGGGUGGCAAAUGCAGAGGAAACAGAGCUCAGGCAACACUUACAUGAUGUAGAGCAAGAGCAGGAUCAAGUUGCAGCACGUGACCCUGGUCGUGUAGUGCAGCUGGAGGAGGAAGUGCGCAGAUUGGCGUAGGCAAUUGAUGACAUGCAAGGAAAGAGCAGAGCUCCUGGUUGGAGGAUAAUGCUGGACGGAGAAUCAUCGCUCGCAGCAGAGAUCAUGAGGGCAAUCAUUCCAAGAGAUUUCCGCCUCCCAGACCUUAGAUAUUCGGGACGAACUGACCCGCUGGUACACAUAGAGCGCUUCAACGAUAUAACCGGGGUACAAGGAUUAUCUCAAGCCCAAAGGUGCAGGGUGUUCCCACUAUCCCUAGAGGGACGUGCACGCGAGUGGUACAGGAAACUGCUUCAGGGGAGCAUUAAAACCUUAGAGCAGAUGUGCCAGGAAUUUACAGAGCAGUUUCGUGAGGCAAUGGCACCAGAAGAUGACAUGAUGGAGUUGAAAAGCAUGAAGCAAGGGGAGCAAGAAACCCUUUAGGAAUUCAUCAAAAGGUUUCAUUGUGUUGUCCUCGAUUUGGGAGCCUUCAACCAUCCUCAGGCACAAAGGGGAUUGAAAGAGGGAGUGAAGAUAGGAAGGCUGUGGUACAACUUGAGAAGCCCAACUAUUCAGACGUAUGCAGCUGCAUACGAGCAGGCUAAAAGAGACAUAGAGAUCGAGGAAGAAAAGGCAGCUCGGAUUAAGACAGACCAGCUGGAAGGGUUGGGAAAGAAAGAGAAGAGAGCAUUACCAAGAAAUGGGCCGAUCAGGAGGAAGGACCACCAGACCGCAGGUAGUGGUGCAGGAGGUCGGAUAACCGCUUACUAGCCUUAUCAAAGGCCACCAUAGUAUCAGCGCAGCAGGGCACAACCUCUUCGCUCACCAGCUAGGGAGCCUUGGAGAAGGCAUGACUCGGCAUUAGGUGGUCUUCAUCCACACUCCCACGGUAGUAGAGGGAGCAGACCAGAAGCACUGCCACCGCCUCCAACUCAGAACAGCGCAAAUAGUGAAAGGGCAGUGCACAUGAUCGACCAAAACCAGGACUAUGGACGGUAUACCUCCUUAAAGAUGCCCCUGGACGAGGUGUACGAGGCUAUAAAGGACUGGGGACUACUGUACCUCCCUGCCCCAAUAACAAAACUACCCAGCAUGAGGGAUAGAGGACGCUAUUGUAAGUUCCAUGGCACUCAUGGCCAUACCACUGCAGAAUGCAGAGAUCUCAAAACCCAGGUUGAAGAUUUGGUGAGAAAUCAGUACCUGGAUGAGUUCAUAGAUGGGACUUUCCCGAUGGUUGCCUCGACAUGUGAAGGCGAGCAAAAUCCCCAAGUAUCGAAAUAUUCACUAAGGCAUGCAAAGGCUCACCAAGUCUCAAAGCCUGUUUUACAGCGAGACAGAAGCCAAGCGUGCCAAGAUUUGCUGGACCGAACGAAGGCGAGCAGAAUCCCCAAGCAUCGAAAUAUUUACUAAGGCAUGCAAAGGCUCACCAAGUCUCAAAGCCUAUUUUAUGGCGAGACAGAAGCCAAGCGUGCCACGAUCUGCUCGACCGAACGAAGGCGAGCAGAAUCCCCAAGCAUCGAAAUAUUCACUAAGGCAUGCAAAGGCUCACCAAGUCUCAAAGCCUGUUUUAUGGCGAGACAGAAGCCAAGCGUGCCAGGAUCUGCUUGACCACGCGAAGGCAAGCAAAAUCCCCAAGCAUCGAAAUAUUUACUAAGGCAUACAAAGGCUCACCAAGUCUCAAAGCCUGUUUAUGGUGAGAUCAGAAGCCAAGCGUGCCAGGAUCUGCUCGACCGAACGAAGGCAAGCAGAAUCCCUAGACAUGCAAAAAACUAAGUCUAAAAGCCAGUCAUGUGGCAAAACCAUAUGCCAAGCCUAAGCCCGCUCGACCGAGUGAAGGCGAGCAGACUCUCAAAUGGAAAAAUAGCUCGUAAUUACAAACAUAAGAAAGUAAUCAAAAACAUUUUUCAUUAAUUUGUUAAUAACUAACAAAGCCGAUAAUCAAUACACAUAUUGUUCAUUACAAUACAAGAAACAUAUUUAAGAAGACGGUAGGUCAGUAAGCCGAGCAGCCUCAGUUGGCUGGUCCACCUCAGGUGCUGGGGGAGUAUCACCAGUUGCGUCCGGGGGGGUGCUCGCCUCACCCACAUCAAUAAGAACGGCACGAGGGGGAGAGUUUUCCUCCUCAACUACGAUUGGUUCCACCCAUUCGGCAUCUUCCUUUGGCUCCUUGUCCAUAUGUUGAGCAACACCAACUGCAAGAUCAUCCAUCUUCAGAUCAGGAUGCUGCUUUCCGAGGACGGCCAUGAUGCAGCGAUAGAAAUGCCGGAGUCCCUGGUCGUACUGGUUGUCGGCUUCCCUCUCCAAGUUCUCGACCUGAACUCGGUGAGAAUCGCGGAGAGAUUCGAGCUGAGCCUCGUACAUAGCCUUCUGCCUUUGAAGAUCCUCAUUGACCUUGAUCAGCUCUUCCUCGAGGGUAAUGGCUUUUGCUUGAGCAAGAGAUUCCUGCUCUAUCAGCUUCAGAUUCUCGACAUUCAGCUCCCCUACUUUCUUCUCGGCAGCGUCAGCUCUGGUCAUCGCCGACUGAAUGUCCUCCUUCAUCUUUCUGUCAUAACGGCCAACCUUGGCCUUAUAGUAGGUGGUUAUGCAGCUGAAAUGGAAAGCGCUAUACUACAUGGCCCCCACCAACUCGCCUAGGGUGCAGCCAUCAAAGUCCUCCAGGUCCUUUUUGCUCACAAGUUUAGAAAGCUCGUUUAGAUAGGGGACCAAGUGUUCUGCUCGAUUGUCAGGCAAACGAGAUCUGGGCCCGAUAGGGGGAGAAGAGGAAACAGGAUCAGUGGCUGCUCCACUAGUUUCCCCGACUUUGGCAGAAGGAGGAGGUAAAGUGUUCAAGAGAGAGACCUACUGCACGAUGUUGGCCCGCUUUGCAGUAGGGGCGUCUUUGUUCUGGUCCCUCUUCGCGGUUUGAGCUAGAGAACGUUUCUGGUUCAGAGCCCCGAUCACAGCAUCCUCCAUCUUAUGGUCGGGAAGCACCAAGUCAGAUUCGAUCAGGUUGUAAGUGGUUAGUAGCUCUCGUUGCGAGCAGGAAUUGGCCAGUACAGCCUUGACCCGUUUGAGCUGGUCAGGUUUGAGUGGGAGGUGAACACCCUAAGAACCUGUAAACGAGCAGACAUUUGGUUAAAGACAAAACAACAAAGUAAGAACAAUUAUGAAGACAAGACAUCUAAAACGAGCAGGCAACCUAGGACCACGAAACGGAGUGGGACACGACAAUCUUUCCCGUCAAUUUGUGCAACUUGACCCCAAGAACCCCCAGCGAAAAAUAUUUUUUUCUUCCAAGUCCCACCACCACCAGUUGGAAGAUCAGUUAUGGGUUUUUUGCUCUUGGUACUAGAUUGGAAGUAGUACCAGCUGGCAUCUUUGGGGCUGCUCUUUAGCUGGUACAGGUGCUUCACCUCAUCAAUUGUGGGCUCGCUUUGGCAACAUCUGUCCCACAAUAUGAACAGACCAGAGAGCAAUCUCCACCCGUUGGAGUUCAGCUGACCAGGAGCUAGAUUUAGCCCGUUGAGUAUCCGGGCAAAAUAGGGUUGCAAGGGGCACCUCAGCCCAUACUUAAAACUCUCCAGAAACAGGGUAACAUAUCCCCUAGGAGGUUUGCUAGGAGUAUCCUUUUUUCUUGGGAUCCUAAGGGGUAUUUCACUAGGAAUAUGGUACCUAAGCCAGAGGUCAUCGAGCUCAUUGAAUGUGGUCGUGCACGUUAUGUAAUCAAUAGCAUAAUCCCGUGACAGGGCUCUACCUCCUACUGUAUCCCGCCCUUCUGGUCGCGAUGUUCCCGGUGAGGAUCCCUCACCAGAGUCACCUCCUUGAUCUUCACUUUGAAAUACUAACUAGGCAACCCAAGAGGGGGGUGAAUUGGGAUUUUAAAAAUUAUCUUAGGCAAACCACACAACAAUUUAAUCUAAUGCCUUAAUAAAUUCGAAAACAAUAAAUUCAAUAAAAGCACAAUAAUAAAUUAGUAGGGGAAGAGAAAGCAAACUCAAGGAUUUUUACGUGGUUCGACAAUCCCCGCCUACGUCCACGCCUCCAAGCACCCCGGGCUUGAGGAUUCCACUAAGCAAGCCUCCAAGGCUUCAAACGCUUACAAUUGACUUCCAAGGUGUCAAUGGACCUUUACAACAAGAGAUUAUCCCCAAUCUCUUAACCCAAGUGUAUCCCAACACUUACAAUCUUUUAACUUGAUUUUACAAAAAAGAUUACAAAUGAAUCUCUCUCACACAAUGUGUUUGAUCACAAGUGAAAGCUCAAUGUGUGAAUGAAUAAGAUGAAUACAAAGAUUUAAAGCUCAAUGAAAGUUGUAUUCUCAAUAUUUUGCUCAAUGAUGAUUGUUGGAAUUCUACUUGUUUGAAUUGGAUUGAGCUUAUUUAUAGUUGGAGCUGAAAAACUAGCCGUUAUAGACUGUCGGACAGAAAAUGGUUCGCCGUUAACCCUAAACGGUUAACCGUUUCGGUCGGUCAAAGUUACCGUUGGGCUAAUUUUCAAAUAAACGGUUAGCCGUUUAGGCUUACCCUUUCGCCGUUAAUUUCCAGAGACCUGCAAAACAAAUUUGGUUUAACCGUUCUUACUAAACGGUUCAAGGUUAGCAAACUGGAAAUAAUCGGUUAACCGUUUUCAAUAAACGGUUCACCGUUAGUUUCCAGAAUCAUCAUAUUAACAAUACUUUAAAGAACAUGCUUUCUGGAAAUUAUCGGUUAGCCUUUUUAAAUAAACGGUUAGCCGUUUUUAAAUAAACGGUUAGCCGUUUGCUACAGUGAUUGCUACAGUAACCUGCACAGUGCACUAUUUUUUAAAAUUACCGUUUGACCCCAAAACUUUACAAAACUAUACCAUAGCCCAACACGUCAUGAAACUUUGCAAAUAGGUCCAAUUUCAAAAUUUCUAAAUAAUGCUUUGUUAAUCCCAAAACUUUCUGAAAUUAUGUUAUAGCCCAAAAUGCUAUGACACUUUUCAAAUAAGUCCUUCACCAAAAUUUCAAGCAAUACUUGUUUGUUUCAAAGUUUUCAAAAUGCUUUCAAUUAAACCAUAAACUUUGAAAAACAACAAAUUUCAUAAAAUCAUUUUUCCAUUAAAUAUGAAACAUUUAUAAUGUGAAAAUAAUGAUUUAUUAUUUAAAAAGAAUAAAAACAAUCAAUUUCAUAAAAUCAUUUUUCCAUUAAAUACAAAACAUUUAUAAUGUGAAAAUAAUGAUUUAUUUAAAAAGAAUAUUAAAUAAUUUGAGCUUAAAAGAUUAAUCAUUCUUAACUUUGUUUGUUAUCAUCAAAAUCAAUAUUAUGGAAACAUAUAUGUUAACAAUCUCCCCCUUUUUGAUGAUGACAAACAUUUCAUGUAUUUAAAGAAUGAUUCCACAAAUUGCUCCCCCUAAAUAUAAUCUUCUUUUACAACUUGCCAAUUAGCUAAAUUAAUGAUUUAAAUACAUGGAUUUUUCUCCCCCUCAUCAUCAAAAAGAAAAACUUAAUUGGCAAAGACAAAAGUAGCAAAUUUUUAUAGAUUUGAAAACAUGUAUUCUUCUCCCCUUUCAUCAUAAAAAAGAAAACGUAAAGGAAAAGAAUAAAAGUAGCAAAUUUGUUACCCAUGUUGUUUGAGUAGAAAUUUUGAAAGAAUCUCCCCCUAACAACAAGCAUUACCUCAAAUACAAGAUUAGUAAUAUUACUCCCAAAUUAUUAUAGAUCAUGAUAAAAGCCAACUCCAUACACAAAUCAUCACACCAAAAUAUCAUGAACCAUUAUUCCAUUAAUCACCAAAUCAACAACUCAUAACAUGAAAUUUAUCAUAUAAAACACCCAUGAAAUCAAAUCGUCAUUAUAUCUCAAAAUCAUCACCAUAAUCAAAUAUCAUCAAAAUGAUCACCAUAAUCAAAUAUCAAUUAUCAAAAGAAUACUCAAAGUGCAUAUUAUUCUCCUCCCUUUUGAUAACAUUGAAAUGAUAUAUUAGUUUAUCUCCCCCUUUGGACAACAAAAAAAUUCAAAAUGCAUAUUAUCCAAAAUCAUAUUAUAUGCUCCCCCUAAAUAUAUGGCCAAUUUUAAAUUUUAACCACAAUGAUUUUAUCCAAAAACAUAUCAUAUUUAUCUCCCCUUAAAGAUGAGCAAAUUCUCAAAUACUCAACGUGAUUAAAAAAUAUUUCCAUAUAAGCUUCAACAAUUAUAACAAACCAAUAACUCCUUCAAUUCAUCAAGCAACGCACAUCUAAUCAUCAAUUACCAAAAUCAUCAAGAAAUCAAAUCAUUCCAAGUUUAUGCCGAAUUUUUGAAAAUUCUUCUUCGCAAAGAGGUUUUGAUUUCUUUACCAAAUUGGCAUGCAUAUUAUCAAAUAUUCAAGCUCCAUAAUUAUCAAUCACAUUUUAUAAAUAAAGACAACUAAACUCAUCAAAUAUCUAAUGUGACAUUCAAUAUAACAAAAAAAUCUCAUAUACUUAAAACUCUCGAAGUAUAUGUAUUUCUCCCUUUUUCGAUAUCAUUUAAAAUAAGUAAGACAUAUUCAACAAUACAUCGAUAAAGUACAAAAAAUGCAUUCAUUCACUGAUCAUAGAUUGCAUAAGAUCAAAGCUUCAUCAAAUACAAUGUAAUCAUCAAUGCACAAACUUUAUCAUCAAAACUUAAGCAAAGCAUAAGUACAUAAUGACAAUGUAUAAAUCAUCAAAAUCAACAUAUGCCAAUAUAUGGAUCAUCAAAAUUAACAUAACUAUUAAGAAAAGCCAUAAUUAUGAGUUAAAUAACAAGUGAUCAAAUCCAUACUUACAUAUAUUUUUAAAUGAUGAUCUAGUAAUUACAUCUUGUGAUGGAUCUUUCAAAAUUAAGUCAUUAGGGUGAGAAGAAACAUACCUCCACUCUUUAGGGAGUGUUUGAGAAGUACUUUCAUUUUACUCCGCGUGUUGCUCCUCUUGAUUUUCAAGUGGUGUGUUCUUUUGGCUAUCAUUUGAUAAUCUUCUUGUAGCUUUUCAUCUACAUUAUCAUCAACAACAACUUUCUCCAUAGAGGAAGAAUUAGACUCAUCAAAUAUAACAUGUAUAAAUUCUUCCACAAUCAAAGUUCUUUUGUCAUACACUCUAUAAAUUUUGCUUGUGAUUGAAUAACCAAGAAAAAUACCAACAUCAAAUUUUGGAUCAAAUUUGCCAAGAUUAUCUUUUGUGCUCAAAAUAAAACAUUUGCAUCCAAAAAACUUUGCAAUAACUAAUGUUGGGUUUUCUAUAAUUCCAAAGCUCAUAGAGAGUAUUACUGAGAUGAAGUCUAAUCAAUGUGGUCCUAGCCAUUUUUAUUUUUUUUAAUAGACCUAUUCUUUCUCUCUACAACUCCAUUUUGUUGUGGAGUCCUAAGUGAUGAAAAUUUAUGCUUAAUGGAAAAUCAUUAAAAAAAAUCUCAAAUGCAUGAUUUUCAAAUUCUCCACCAUGAUCAUUUAUAAUACAAGAAAUAACAUAUAACUCAUCUAUCAUGCAUAUACCUCACACAAUCAUGAAAUAUGUAAGUAUUCAAAGAUUGAGAAUUAAAGCAUAUCACUUAUUUUUCAUGCUUAGGCAUUAAAUAAUCAUUAAAAUCAAAACAAAUUCAUCAUGAUGAGUUGACAAGCUAUCAUCUUAUAUAUAACCAUGCAUCAUGAUAAAGCACUAAAUGUUAAACACAAUGAUAAUUCCAUCAUGUAAACAUACAAGCAUACUUUCGUAAAUUCAUUUGUCAUGAUUCACUCAAUAUAGUAAAUAGGCAAGAUAAACUUAUCCACUUCAUGUUAAUGCACUCAAUGUUAUGAUACCAAAUGAAAUGUUAAAUAUUUACUAAGAUUAAAAGACCAUAACUUAUAAUCAAUAAGGCAAUAAUAGUUACCAAAACAAUUAAAUCAUUUUGCCUCAUUAUUUUUGCUUAGACCAUGAUCAAGUGAUUAUCCUCAUAAGCUUCAUCAAGGAACUCUCCACCAUUCCUUGAUUGUGGUUCCUACAAAGAGAACAUUCACGUUGUGCCCUUUGGUACCCAAAUACUCUUGGGUCCUUGAGUGUUAGAUUUAGUUCCUUUCGGAACCCAAAUACAUUUAACUCCAUAAUACACAUUUCUUUUAAUUUGACAUCUAUUCUUCAUAUGACCAUUUUGAUUGCAAUAAUGACAUACAAUUUGAUCAUUUGUGGAGGUAGCCUUAACAAAAUAAUUCUUAUAAUAUUUUGUUUCAAGUAAGGCUUAUACCCAAGUCCUCCUUUAUCAAACACACAUUUUUGUGAAUUAAGCAUGUUAUCCAACAUCUUUUGCCCAUUUGUGAAUUUCAAAACAAUCUCAUUCAACUCAUUGCUCCUUUUCUUAAGCGUUUCAUUUUCAUUUAUUAAUUCAUCAACAUGUGAUUUCUCAUGCUCAUACAAAGUACUUUGUUUACAUGUGAAUGAUGCAAUUCUAUCAUGUAACAUUUCAUUAUCUAAUUCCAAUUCUUUGAUCUUUUCAUUUAAUGAAACAUUGGAUUUUUGCAAGGCAUCUUUUUCAUUUUUCAAGUCAUUUACAUGUGAUUCUAGAUGCUUGUGUGAAAUGUUAGGUUUCUCAUUUGAUAAUGCAACUCUAUCAUACAAUGUUUUAUUCUCUAAUUCUAGGCAUGUAAUCUUUGCACAUAGAGAUUCAUUUUCAUUUUUGAGCUCUACCAUUUUCUUUUUAAGACAUGCAUUCUUUUUACCAAUUUUCAUCCACUCAUCAUACAAUUCUUUAAACGCAUCAUGUAAUUCAUCAUAAGUAAGAAGAUCAUUUACCUCAUCAAGUCCAUCAUCCGAGUCAUCUCCAAUUGCCAUAAGUGCCAAAUUCGACACUUCAUGAAAUUCCUCCUCCUUUGUAGUCUCCUCAUACACAAUUUCAAGUUUUCUCCAAAUUUCAUAAGCAUUAGAACAAUUUGAAACUUUAUGAAAUUCCUUUUUAUCUAAGGCACAAAAUAAAGCAUUCAUAGCCUUGGAAUUUAAUGACAUCUUUUUCUUAUCCAAUUCACUUAAAACAUUCUUCCUAGGAAUGAAUGAAUCAUCACAAACUAUUUCCCAUAGUUCAUAAUCUAAGGCUUGUAAAAACACUCUCAUCCUAGUUUUCCAAUAAGGAUAGUCAUUACCAUCAAAGAACGGUGGUCUAAUUGUGGAUUGUCCUUCCCUAAAAAUUGAGUCAUUAUGGGUUGCCAUGGAUCUUUAACUCUAGACGGUUAAGUCUACACAAGAGCACCUCUCUCUGAUACCAAAUGAAAUACUAACUAGGCAACCCAAGAGGGGGGUGAAUUGGGAUUUUAAAAAUUAUCUUAGGCAAACCACACAACAAUUUAAUCUAAUGCCUUAAUAAAUUCGAAAACAAUAAAUUCAAUAAAAGCACAAUAAUAAAUGAGUAGGGGAAGAGAAAGCAAACUCAAGGAUUUUUACGUGGUUCAGCAAUCCCCGCCUACGUCCACGCCUCCAAGCACACCGGGCUUGAGGAUUCCACUAAGCAAGCCUCCAAGGCUUCAAACGCUUACAAUUGACUUCCAAGGUGUCAAUGGACCUUUACAACAAGAGAUUAUCCCCAAUCUCUUAACCCAAGUGUAUCCCAACACUUACAAUCUUUUAACUUGAUUUUACAAAAAAGAUUACAAAUGAAUCUCUCUCACACAAUGUGUUUGAUCACAAGUGAAAGCUCAAUGUGUGAAUGAAUAAGAUGAAUACAAAGAUUUAAAGCUCAAUGAAAGUUGUAUUCUCAAUAUUUUGCUCAAUGAUGAUCGUUGGAAUUCUACUUGUUUGAAUUGGAUUGAGCUUAUUUAUAGUUGGAGCUGAAAAACUAGCCGUUAUAGACUGUCGGACAGAAAAUGGUUCGCCGUUAACCCUAAACGGUUAACCGUUUCGGUCGGUCAAAGUUACCGUUGGGCUAAUUUUCAAAUAAACGGUUAGCCGUUUAGGCUUACCCUUUCGCCGUUAAUUUUCAGAGACCUGCAAAACAAAUUUGGUUUAACCGUUCUUACUAAACGGUUCAAGGUUAGCAAACUGGAAAUAAUCGGUUAACCGUUUUCAAUAAACGGUUCACCGUUAGUUUCCAGAAUCAUCAUAUUAACAAUACUUUAAAGAAUAUGCUUUCUGAAAAUUAUCGGUUAGCCUUUUUAAAUAAACGGUUAGCCGUUUUUAAAUAAACGGUUAGCCGUUUGCUACAGUGAUUGCUACAGUAACCUGCACAGUGCACUAUUUUCUAAAAUUACAGUUUGACCCCAAAACUUUACAAAACUGUACCAUAGCCCAACACGUCAUGAAACUUUGCAAAUAGGUCCAAUUUCAGAAUUUCUAAGUAAUGCUUUGUUAAUCCCAAAACUUUCUGAAAUUAUGUUAUAGCCCAAAAUGCUAUGACACUUUUCAAAUAAGUCCUUCACCAAAAUUUCAAGCAAUACUUGUUUGUUUCAAAGUUUUCAAAAUGCUUUCAAUUAAACCAUAAACUUUGAAAAACAACCAAUUUCAUAAAAUCAUUUUUCCAUUAAAUAUGAAACAUUUAUAAUGUGAAAAUAAUGAUUUAUUAUUUAAAAAGAAUAAAAACAAUCAAUUUCAUAAAAUCAUUUUUCCAUUAAAUACAAAACAUUUAUAAUGUGAAAAUAAUGAUUUAUUUAAAAAGAAUAUUAAAUAAUUUGAGCUUAAAAGAUUAAUCAUUCUUAACUUUGUUUGUUAUCAUCAAAAUCAAUAUUAUGGAAACAUAUAUGUUAACACACUUAGGGUGUUUUCCGAGCCAGAAGAUCCCUCCUCACCGCUACUUCCGCUCGUGGAGGUUGUUUGGGGAGACAUCCUCCUAGCACUAGUCCCGACACUAGACCUAAUGGGUUCUAAGGGGAUCCCGGGGUCAAAAGCAGGAUCGAUGAGCAGACUAGGCAAGAAACCUAGUUCGUCGUCAUCAAUCUCAACGACUUUCUCUUUGCCUUUCGACAUUCCCUAAAUUAUAACCAGAGCACCACCACCAACCACUACCCAAACAAAGCACAGAGAAAAGAAAUUAUCUACAACUAACCAAGACCGAGAAAAUAGAAGAAAUACCUGAAGUAGGGACUCGGUCAAAGAGAGACAGGGAUGAAAGCUUUAAUGCCGAGGUUCAUUCGCCGGAGAGACAAGAAGGGAGAAAAUGCAUAUUUUGGGUUAUCCUAAUUGUUGAGUGUUAGAAAAUGCAUAUUUAUAAAGGAGAAAACCGUCAUUUUACCUUUCAAGCCUUACUAACAACCCUUACUUUUAUAUAUUUAACCUUCUUGUAAUUUAAUUACGUGUCUGUUAUUUUAAUUAAGUAUUUUAUGUAUUUUAGGGGCAUUAUAGUCAUUUCACAAUAAAGGAGAGAUCAGACGGCAAAACGGACAUCACUUUUGAACUUAGGACAGUCGAAAACCUUAAGAGGAGCAUAAAAGGAAAAAUGACACUAUUCACAUGUACGGUACUAUUCACGUAUACGGUACUGUAUACGUUACUGUUCACGGCAUUGUUUACCCUCGUCAACUAACGGUCAAACCGUAUGUAUACUAACGGUAGGGGAGGUAAGUGAGAAUACAAUCAAACUCGCCAUCUAAGUGAAAUUAUAUCAAACCUCAGGGGAGGUUUCUGAAAAUUGCCCUUUGUAUGAAUUGACGACCUGUCCGGUGUCCCCUGGCCUACUUAUCAUAAAAAUAAAAAUUGAAGCCCAAUAACAAAUACAUCCGCAAAAUAUUCAUCAAAGAUAUUUCAACAAGCCAGUCAAGUACUGGGACAGGGAAUGGCUCUGUUCCUCAUAAUGAAUUGACGUCCGGUCCAGUACCCCAGUGUCCCUCCUUGGCUUCUCAUCACAGAGAUGAAAAUUGAAAUUAGGCCAAUUAGAUUAAAGGCAAGACGGAAUGGAAAUAUGGAACCGUUAAUUAUUAUACCCAUGACCCCUCUAAUUAAUGGCUCUUUGCCUUUCAAUAUUAUUGUAGGUAUUUGCAAGGAAACCUCCUCUAUCUUUCUUCCAAUUAAGACUUCUUGUGUCCAAUUACUGUCGAUUCUUUUUGAACGUGUAAAGGAUAGCAACUUGAAGACUUGAGAGGGCCGGCGUUUAUUCAAAGUCAAGUACAGGGACUGGGAAUGGCCCUGUUCCUGAAGUAUGAACUGACGUCCCGUCCGGUGUCCCCUUGCCUACUCAUUAUACAAACAAAAAUUGAAAUUAGGCCAUUUAGAUUAAAGAUAAGACGGAGUGGAAAUAUGGGAUCGUUAAUUAUUAUAGCUCUGACCCAUCUAAUUUGCAAAUGGUUCUUUCCCUUUCAAUAUUAUCGUACGUAUUUGCAAGGAACCCUCCUCUCUCUCUUCUUGCAAUCAAGACUUUUGCGUAUCCAAUUACUGUCAACUGUUUUUGAACGUGUAGAAGAAAACAACUUGAAGACUUGAGAGAGGGCCGCGUUAAUUCAAAGUCAAGACAAGCUUAUUCUUGCAGGAUUCUUGAUGAUGAGGGUAAAAAAGGGUUGACAGAUGCUGGUAUAACGUCUAUAAAACUUUAAUUAUUUCAUAAAAUUGUUUUAUUUUUUAUUCGCCAUCACGUUUGAGAUUCCCCCCCCCAUGGCCCAUUUUAUUUUCAUUUUUUUUUUUAUGUAGGUCAGUACUCAGUAGUGUUACUGGAGUCUGGAAAUCAACCAUUGCCUCUUUUUUCUUAUGGAGAAUUAAACAAAACUCACCAAUGACCUAAAAUAGGACAUGGCUACGGUACAGAGGCUGCAAGUAACAGCUUCGAACUUUCCCAUUUCCAUCACCUUGCAUUGGGACCUCUUUCUCUCUUCUCUAGCACCCGUGGAAGUUCUCCAUUGGCUGCUGUUACUUACAGAAGCCGUAACAUAGACUUGUCCCCUAAAAUAAAUAUAUAAUGAAUAUUUAUUAACAGAUUCUAGACAAAAUUAAUUUUUCAACCGAUUGAAGCUUCCAAAAACUCAAAUUUCGAAUUUUUAUAUAAAUAUAAUCUAUUUUAAGUAUCAUUAUUAAAUCCUCCUCUAUAGCACAUUAGCAAAUAUGCAACUUUUCUAGCUUAAAAUCUAGGUUCAAAUCUUGCCAGCAGAGUUGAUUUUCGUUAUUUUUUAAGUCAUAGUUAAUUUUGUUAUAUAAUUUCGAUCACAUAUAAUUUUGAAAAUAUUACGAGUAAUUGUGUAAUUCACUCAAACCUUAGAGACUAAAGGAACAUUUACUAAAGAUUAAAAAAAAAAAAUUUUUAAAGCUACAUUUUGUUUCAUCCAAAUGAAGCUACUCAAUCCAUAUUUUAUUCCGAUAAAACUAUGGCUUCGUUUCAUAUCUUAAUUAAAUUAUAUAAUGAUGAAAUAUUAUAUUCUGAACUUAACUGAAUCCAAUAUCGUUUCACCAAUUGGUCAUAUGAGAUGAAGGAAAAAAAUCUGUUGAAAUUAAUUUUAAAUUAAAGUUGAAGAAUGGCGAUAUGAUACAUACACAUACAUGACUCUAAUUUUAUUAAAUUGAAGACGUACUCAUCGUCUUGACGAUGUGACCAAAUACUGGAACGUGAGAAGGGUCUUUGGACUUUGGAGAAGACUUGAGAGGGCCCGGAGUAAUUAAAAGUCAAGAUUGGCAUGCCGAAAUUAAUCUCUGGCUUUAACUUGCAGCACUUUCGUGUCGGUGAGAGUUUUAUGAGGAGCUAAUAUAUGCACUUUCUGAACUAAAGAAAACUGAUUUUAAGCGGCGAAUGGCUGUGCAUCUUUGUCUGGUGUUGUUGCAGAUUAUUGUUUUGCACCUAAGGCCGAUCAAAGCAUCAAAAAGACUCCCCUGUCCAACUGAAUGUGGAAAUGUCAGCAUCAGCUACCCCUUCGGAAUCGGAAAAGGGUGCCACUUUGACAAGGGUUACGAAGUUAUCUGCGAUCACUCUUCUGGCUCUCCCAAAGCUUUUCUUCCUGGCGUCAACAGGCUAGAAUUAUUGGAUAUUCUCCCUUAUCCAAAUCCCGCGGCGGUUAGAGUCAACGUUCCUACAAUUUCUUUAAACAGCAGUAGUAAGCGAACAAGCAAUAUUGCUAAAGGCGUCAACUUAUCAGGUACCCCUUUCGCCUUUUCGACUGACAAUAAAUUCGCUGCGGUAGGCUGCAGCAUGAGAUAUCACCAAGGGAACGGUUCAUCUGUGUUUGUUGGGUGUCUGUCGAUUUGUACUUGUGAUCCCACUCUCUACCCUGCUUGCUAUGAUUUCCUAUGCCCCCUUGGUCCAAAUAUUACUCAUCUGUUCAAUGUAAAUACAUCAUACUUGUUUUCUCCAAGUAUUCCUCAGAAAUGUCAGUCUGUUUUCCUGGUUGAUGAAGAUUGGGUCAACAGCAAGUACCUUGGAGAUCCUCAUGAUUUGAAAGAUCAACAAGAAUUUCCUGCAGCGUUGAAGUGGGGAGAAAAGAUAGGCAGUUGUUUUGAAGAGAAUAACUCAUAUUCUAUUUCUUGUAAUUCGGAUAACACAAGUUGUUUAAAACAAUUAAGCCCAGGCCAUUUAUGUCUUUGCUCUUCCACCUACUACCUACUGAAAGGAUACUGCGCAGGUACAUAUUGGAUUAUGAGUUAAAGAGUAAUUUUAUUUUUUUCAAAGAAAAUAUCCGAACGAGAAGAAGAAAAGGGAAAAUUCUUGGUGCUCCACGAGCGUUAUGAAAUUAUUGAUUUCAUAAGUGUGAAUGAGAAACAGAAAAUGCUAUUGGAGCACCCUAGACUUUACUAGCAAGAGUUAAAUGUCAAAUGAUGUAACAUUCCUCUAUUGGAUGGUAAGAUGAUCAGAAAAGAGUUGUAAAAUUUAUCAUCAAAUAGAUGAUUGAAAUUAUUGAUUUUUAAAAUAUCCACCGGAUUACUUGUAAAUGAGUAAAGUUUUCCAAUUACUGUAACUAUCUAUGUAAACAGAGAAUCAGAGACUAAAAAUGGUGGAGUUUUAUUUAGUUGUAGCCAUGAUUUAGUUUGAUCUUCUCUUUGAUUUAUUUUUUUAUUUAUUAUUUCCUGGGCAGGCGACUUGAUCUGUAAUAUCUCAAGCGGCUACAAUUGCUCCAACUGUCCUGACGGUUAUAAUCGUCUCUCAUAUGGUUGCGAUAAAGUUUCAACAAAUCUCGGGUUAAAUUCAUUAUUAUAGGUAUGCAUGUCGAUCCGUUAAUUUACAUCAUAACAAAUUAAUAAUGUUUUUUAACAUAUAUUUCAAAUGAAAAUACUAAGUGUUCAUACGUUCAUUUGAUGAUAUCUUUCAUUAUUGUCCUCGAGAGCCGCAGGCUGCGGUGGUGGGCUUGCGUUAUUCUUUCUGCUCAUUGGAAUAUGGUGGUUGUACAAGUUUGUAAAAAGAAGAAGGGAAAUCAAGCUCAAGCAUAAGUUCUUUAAAAAAAAUGGUGGUUUAUUAUUGCAACAAGAAUUGUCUUCCAAUGAAGGUAAUAUUGAGAAAAUGAAGUUAUUUACUUCAAAAGAUUUGGAGACGGCCACCGACAACUACAACGCCAAUCGGAUCCUUGGUCAAGGAGGCCAAGGUAUUGUAUACAAAGGAAUGUUAGCAGAUGGAGAAAUUGUGGCUAUUAAAAAAUCCAAAAUAUUGGAUGAGAAUAAUCUCGAGCAAUUCAUCAAUGAGGUAGUAAUUUUGUCUCAAAUAAACCACAGAAAUGUUGUUAAGUUGUUGGGAUGUUGCUUGGAGACAGAAGUUCCUCUUUUGGUGUAUGAAUUUAUUCUAAAUGGAAGCCUCGAUCAAUACAUACACUACGAAUCAGAAGAGUUUCCAAUCACAUGGGAAAUGCGUUUACGCAUUGCUGUUGAAGUUUCAGGUGCUCUAUCUUAUCUGCAUUCAGCUGCAUCUAUUCCUAUUUAUCAUCGAGACAUCAAAUCUGCAAACAUACUUUUGGACGAUAAAUAUCGAGCUAAAGUUUCAGAUUUUGGGGCUUCUAGAUCUAUCACAGUUGAUCAAACUCACUUGACCACUCAAGUACAAGGAAGUUUUGGAUAUCUAGAUCCAGAAUACUUUCGAUCAAGUCAUUUUACUGACAAAAGUGAUGUUUACAGUUUCGGAGUAGUUCUUGUUGAGCUUCUAACUGGACAAAAACCUAUCCGUUCAACUGUAGCUGAAGAAGAUAAAAGUUUAGCAAGAUAUUUUAUCCUAGCAAUGAAAGAGAACCGUCUGUUUGAAGUCCUUGAUGAUCGAGUUCUUAAGGAAGCUGAGAAAGAAGAAAUUAUUACUGUUGCUACACUCACCAAAAGAUGCUUGAACUUGAAUGGGAAGAAAAGACCUACGAUGAAAGAAGUGGCAUUUGAAUUACGGGGUAUAAGAGAAUCAGUUGGAGCUUCUAUUUUGCAGCAAAAUUGUGAAGAGACUGAUUUUGUGGAUGGUGACAUUACCGGACAUGAUUUCGAAAGGGAUUCAUCUUCCAGUGGUUCAACUUUAAAUAGUGUCUCAGUUUCUGUGGAUGCCGACCCUUUAAUUUCAAACGAAUGGUGACAAACAGAAGAAUGGCCUUGAAACUGUUUCGUAUUUCAUAAAUAAGAUUUUUAGGCUUUUCCGAUACUAUCAUUCUUGUAUCCUUACAGUUUCUUUGGGCACCAUCAUUUGUAAUUAAACACUUCCAAGUCAUUUCAAACAAAAUUUCCACUAUUUCAUUGCAUGCGCUGCAUCUUUCUCUUUUUUUUUGGGGGGGGGGGGGGAUGGAGGAGAUGAAGGAAAAAUCUGUUGAAAUUAAUUUCGUAGUUGAAGUUUAUAAAUGCACGAUGAUAUGAUCUCAGUCUAUUAAAUACUGAUGUGCAAGAACUUUAGCACUAUGUGACCUUCUCAGAGUCUAUUAAAUACUGAUGUGCAAGAACUUUAGCACUAUGUGACCUAAUAUCUCUAGUAAACAGGAGAGAACAACUUGAGCACUUAAAGAGGGCCAACGUUAAAUAAACUCCAGAGUGGCAUGUCGGAAUUGUUGGCUUAUUGUGAUGCAGGACUUUCCCGGUAGCGAAAUAAAGUCGAAAGGAAGAUGGGAGGAAAUAAAGAUCAAUGCGCCUUCUUGUAUUUCAUGGGUUAAAAAUCUUUUUAUCUGAUUACAAACUGAUAGAUAAAAUACCCUUGUAUCAUUUGUGAGUGAAUCUCUUAGGUCAAAAAUAUAAAGUUAGAACAAUCCUCAACUCUUUAGUUAGAUUUUGAGUAUGGCUUAAACCCAUGAACUUUUAUAUUUUAUUAGAGAUAAACUCACCCACGAUUAUGCCCGCACUACCUCCCACAGUACCUUACCACUAGACGCCCUUCACAUGGAGGCUUGGGUACCACUCGAAAAGUCAUUUGAAAGAAAAGUCUGUUUAAAAUUACGUUCCAAUUCUGUACUCUCAACUCUCCCAAGUUAUAAAUUGAUAUUCACUCAUGUUAUAAAAGAGUAAUGCUAGAGGAUCCCAUAUUGGGUACCAAUGGAUGUGGCAUUCAUUCAGUGGAUAGUAAAAUAUUUAUGUUAUCAGUUAUUAUUCAUAGAUAAACGAUAUAUAAUAGUUGGGACUCAAAUCGGGACUUAAUUGGUGGGUCACAAUCAUUAUUGGUUAAAAAAAAUAUACAGAGAUAACUAGCGUAAGAGGUAAAUCAAAAACUCUUUCUCUCUCUCUGCUAAGACCCUUUCUGCCACCAGCUAAAAUUCACUAGUUUUGAUCAAUCAACGUGCCUGAAUUACACGGCCACCACAUUUUCGAACCUCUAAACUUUCAAAUCUAUUUUUCAACUCUGUUUUUCCAACCACUGCAGCCUCGAACCAACCGAAACUCCCUGCUGCUACCUCUAGUUACCACGUCGCCAAUUGCCCAUCACACAGCAAAAAAUUAUACUAAAGGAGUUUCAGUCGGGGGAGAGAACCAGUAGGUCUAUCCUUUUUUCUUAUUUUCUAUUUUUCUUCUAUAUUUCUUUUAUUUUUAUUUUUGUCUCUGCUUCUGUUAUUGUGCUUGUUUUUAUGUUUUUAUGUUUUCUAAGAUUUUAUACUGCUCCUAAGGUGGUUCUGGUGGUCUCUACAUAGAUGGUGUUGUUUCAAUGUCCAAAUCGAGAUUGUGUCAGUGUUCGGAUUGGAACGGUAUGCCUAUAUCGAAGCUGUUGAGGACUUUAAUAGUGGUACAUCAAGGUUCUAAUAACCUAAGGGGAGGUUCUGAUGGCCUAGGUCAAGGGCUCAUUGAGAGGCUUUCUAGUGAACCGUAAGGUUGGUUUUUUUUUGGUUGCAUUUUGUGGUUUUUUUUAUUGUUAUUUGUUUGCAUUCUGUUGUUACAAUUGUAUUUUCUUGUGCUCUGUUGUAUUAUCAAACACGAGGGGGAUUUCAGCUAUAGUAGCUAAGAUUGGUUCCUCUAGUUUUUCUUUGGAUUUUAAUUUGAGCUUAUUGUUAUCUUAUGUAUUGUACUUAAGCCUGUUAUUAUUAUUACAGGUCCGUCAUACUUCCUUUAAAAUAAAAAGAAAAAAAGAAUAUAUACGGAGGAGAACAACUUGUAGACUUGAGAGGGCCAUGGUUAAUUAAAAGUCAAGUUGACUUGCACGACUUUCUUGGUAUUGGGAUAAAAGCUAAAAGGAAGCUAGAAGGAAUUUAAUUAAAGAUCAACGCAUGCAAUUGCUCUGUUAAAUCUUCAUUUUUCCGAGUAAAAAUAUUGAGAAUGGUUGUUCAUCAUUAUCUGGCGUUGUUGCAAUUGAUGUUUUUGCUAUUAUGGCCAAACAAAGCUUCGAAAGAUUUAUGUCAAUAUGAUUGUGGGAAUGUCACUAUCGAUUACCCCUUCGGAAUCGGAGACGGUUGCUACUUUGAUAAGAGUUUUGAAGUAUUCUGCGAUUACUCCUCUGGCUCCCCAAAAGCUUUUCUUGCGGGCAUCAACAACCUGCAAGUAUUGGACGGUUAUGUUUAUGAUUCAUAUACUUCUUUUGAUGUAUACAUGAUGAGGGUAUACAUUCCUGUAAUUUCUUUGAACAGCAGUAACCUGACAAGCAAUGAUAAAGGGGUCAGUCUAUCAGGUAGCCCUUUUACAUUUUCCCGGUCGCGCAAUAGAUUCACUGCCAUAGGUUGCAACAACUAUUCAACGAUUAUUAAGCGACAGAAUGAUUCAUCCGUUUUUGGUGGGUGCCUUUCGAUUAGCACUUGUGAUCCUGCUCUUAACCCCAGUUGCUACGAUUUCCUAUGCACCCUUCCUCAAAACAUUACUCAGGUUUUCAAUGCAGAAAUAUCUAAUUUUUAUUCUAAAAGUAUUCCUCAGAAAUGCCACUCUGUUUCCAUGGUUGAAGAAGAUUGGAUCAACUCAAAGUACCUGAAGAAUCCUCACGAUUUGAAAGAUCACGGACAAGUUCCUGCAGUGUUGGAGUGGGCUGAGUAUAGAGGAGAUUGUUAUGAAGAAUAUAAUUCGAAAACUACUUGUAACAAGGACAAUAGAUGUUUAAUACAAUUAAGCUCAGGCUACCUUUGCCUUUGCUUUAGGGAAACAAGGUUUGACCGACACCACCAUGGAUAUUGCUCAGGUACAAUUUCGAAUACUAAUUAAAUUAAUUUCAUAUAUGAAGUGUGUACUGCAUUUCCUUGAACCAACUACGUAUCUAACACAAAAUUAGUGAAAGUAAUUGCAGAAUUCGCAUAUGUAAAAAGGGCAAGAUAUAUAUAUAUAUAUAGCCGUAAUUUAUUUUGAUAUUCUAUUUCAUCUUUUGGGUUUGUUCAGGUUACUUGCUCUGUAAUAUCACAAGCCCCUACAAUUGCUCAUCAGGAUGUCCCAAAGGUUACAACUCUUCAAAUCCCCCCUUCAGUGACUGCCGAAAUGAACUUCUUCCAAUUUUGCACAAAAAUUCUCAUGUCAAAUUCAUUAUUAUAGGUAUGUUUUGGAAUUGCAGAUUUCGUCGACAGAAUUAACUGUUCUUUUUUUUUGUUAAUUUCAGUAUAUAUAGGCUAACAAACGCAAAAACUUCUGCACCUGAAAUUUGCAAUAGCUUAUACAUUUAUGAUCUCCUAUUCUAAACAGUUCCUUGCCAUAAAUCCCCUCGAACGCGUAUUAAAUAUUCUUGUCCUGGAGCGUUGCAGGUUGCACUAGUGGGCUUGGAAUGUUGUUCCUACUAAUCGGAACAUGGUGGUUGUACAAGUUCAUUAAAAGAAGAAGAGAAAUCAAGCUUAAGCAGAAGUUCUUUAAAAGAAACGGUGGUUUAUUGUUGCAACAACAAUCGUCAUCAAAUGAAGGUAAUACCGAGAAAAAAAAAUUGUUUACUUCAAUGGAAUUGGAAAUGGCUACUGACAACUUCAAUACCAAUCGAAUCCUUGGUCAAGGAGGCCAAGGCACAGUGUACAAAGGAAUGUUGACAGAUGGAAGAAUUGCGGCUGUGAAAAAGUCGAAAUUAGUGGAUGAGAGUAAUAUUGAGCAAUUCAUCAAUGAGGUGGUAAUUUUAACUCAAAUUAACCACAGAAAUGUUGUUAAAUUGCUCGGAUGUUGCUUGGAGACAGAGGUUCCUCUUUUGGUGUAUGAAUUUAUUCCAAAUGGAACUCUCUAUCAAUAUAUACAUGAAAUUGAGGAGUUCUCAAUCACAUGGGAAAUGCGUUUACUCAUUGCCAUAGAAGUUUCAAGUGCUCUAUCCUAUUUGCAUUCAACUACUUCUAUUCCAAUUUAUCAUCGAGACAUCAAGUCUGCAAAUAUACUAUUGGAUGAUAAAUUUCGAGCAAAAGUUUCAGAUUUUGGGACUUCUAGAUCUGUCACGAUUGAUCAAACUCACUUGACCACACGAGUACUAGGAACUUUUGGAUAUCUAGAUCCAGAGUACUUUCGGUCAAGUCAAUUUACAGAGAAAAGUGAUGUUUAUAGUUUUGGAGUUGUCCUUGUUGAGCUUUUAACUGGACAAAAACCUAUUCGUUCAACCGACGCUGAAGAAGAUAAAAGUUUAGCAGGGUAUUUUCUCCUAGCAAUGAAAGAGAACCGUUUGUUUGAUGUGCUUGAUGCUCAAGUUCUGAGGGAAGCCAAGGAAGAAGAGAUUAUUACCGUUGGCAUGCUUGCAAAAAGAUGCUUGAAUUUGAAUGGGAGGAAGAGACCUACUAUGAAAGAAGUCGCAUUUGAAUUAGGGGCGAUUAGAGCUCAAAAGUGUGAAGACAUUGAUCUUGUGGGUGGAAAUUUUGAAACUGGUUCAUCUUCAACUGGAGCAAUUUUAAAUGCUGUUGCUUUUUCUGUAGAUGCUAGCCCUUUGCUUUCAAACAAGUGGUGAUUAAAGGGAAGAAUUUUCCCUUGAAAUCUAAAGAAUUUUCUUUUGAAAUCCAAGUAUUUCAUUUCAUAUAUAAAUAAAUUAAGUUGUGGAUUUUUGCAUUAUGCUUCUCUUAUGGCUAAAAUUUUUCAUCUCUAGAAUAAAAUAUACAGAGUUUGAUGUUCAGUUUGUAAGCGGAGAAAUAAAUUUAUAAGGUAGAUUCCAACAAAGCAUCUGUGGCAAACAUAUUUAAAUAUCUAAGAAGCAAGCUUCUAAUGCUACCAAUAUUUAGUGCACUAGAACUUUGAAGCUGACAGAGUGAGGCAUCUCGGCAUCUGAAUCUGCAUACAAGUGGAACAGGAGAUGCUGACAUGAUAUCCUACGUGGAGCUUAUGUGACACAUAUAAUGAGUCCAGUUCGUUCCUAAUUCACACGCUUACAUUGUAGCCCCGUUCUUUGUGUUUCGAGUACCAUUGGUGAACCAUCACUUGGUGCCAUUGUAUUGCUAAUAGCACCUUUGCCUUGAUUGAUUUUGCUGACAAUAUAUAGGGUGUGUUUGGGAGUAAAGUCCUACAACUUUUAUGUUGCGUUUACUUUCCGGACUUGGGAAUCAAAAUUAUUAACAGUGUUUUUUUCCCAAAAUAAAUUCAAGAAUAAGAAUCGGAAUCAUGGAGCACACCACAAUUUUAGAAUGAGGAAUGGGAGACUCAUUCCUAAGAGGGACGUGGGAAUGAGUCUCCCAUUUUCAGGAUUGACUAUUUUACCUUCCUCAAAUUUUUGUCCUCAGUUAUAAUUAAUUAAUGUAUUAUUAUUAAUUAAUUAAUAUACUACUAUAAUAAUUAUUAUAAUUAGUUCAAAUAUUAUUAAUUAAUUAAUUAUAAUUGUUACUAUUAAUUAAUAUAUUAAUAUAUUAUAAACCAUAAUUAUUAAUAAUUUUAAUUUUUGAUAAAUAAUCACAAUAAUUAAUAUACUUUUAUUAUAACUAAUUAAUUAGUAUACUAUGAUAAUAAUUACUAAUAUACUUAUUAUAAUUAAUUCAUAUAUAUUAUUAAUUAAUUUAUAUAAUUAUUACUAUUAAUUAAUAUAUUAGUAUAUUAUUAACAAUGAUAUAUUAAUAAUUAUAGUUUUGGAUAAAUAAUCACAACAAUUAAUAUAUUUUUAUAAUAAUAAUAAUAAUUAUUAGUUAAAAAUUUGUACAAUUAAUUAAUAUAUUAAUAUAUUCUUGUCAAUACUAAUUAAUAAUAAUACUUUUUGAAUAAAUAAUCACUAUAAUUAAAAUAUAAAAUAAUAAUUGUGACAAUAAUUCAUUAAGUGCUUUUUAGUAAUUUUUUACAAUAUAACUCAUUCUGAUUCUGAUUACAAGAUAAAAUAAAUACAUCAAUAAGAUUCUAACCCAUUUCUAUUCUGAUUCAUGUAGAUCAAGUAAACAACUUAUUCUGAUUCCUAUUCCUCAUUCUCAUUCCAGCUCAUAAUGAUUUCAACUCAUUCUGAUUACAGUCCAUUUCGAUUACUAACAAGUAAACACAACAUUAAGAUGCAGCUGUUGUGGAGCAAAAAUCAUAGUUGUGGGAUAGAAGCUGCUGGGGUUUAGCAAAUUUUAAUAGUUGUAGAGUCAAAAUUGAUGGUAUUUGGUAAAUUUUAAUUGUUGUAUAGUGAAAGUUGAUGAAUAUUUGUAAUAAUUAAUUUUAAAUAACAUUAUUUUUAAUUAGUAAUUAGUCAAAUUAUUUUUCAUAUUUUGAAUUAUCAUAUUAACAUAUGAUUAUUGUUUAUUACUUUGACAAAUCAAAUUAAUAUUUAAUUAAUCGAAGUUAUUUUUCUUCACAAGUUGUAAUAAAUAUUUUUUAAAACAAAAUAAUUUAAAAUUGAAAGUACAUAAAUUCUAAUUUUACUCAUUGAUUGAAGAAAUAAAUUAUACCAAAUAUGUCUAAUAAAGAUUGUACAACAUAACAUUAUAAAAUUAAAAUGUAACUAAUUACAAAAUUCUUAUAAAUAUUUACAUUGUCAUGCCUCCAUUAAACUUGCAGCAAUGCCAUCUCCCAAGAUUAUCAUAUUUUGAGCUAUGUUAUUAGUUGUAUCAUAACUUUCUUUAGGAGACGCAAUCCUGCUUAUAUGUUCGCUAUUACUAUGACUUGGUUCAUCCAUUGUUUCAUCAAAAUGAUCAUGAUUUUAUGAAUGUCUUCUUAUGUAAUUAUGUAAGGCCAUGGUAGUAAUAACUCUCUCCACCUGCUUCUUGAAUGUGUAGCUUGGCAUAUUUCGUAAAAUCUUCCAUGUGUUCUUUCAAACCCUAAAAGUACUCAUUAGAGUUAGCAUUACUCUCAACACUAAGAUAUUCAAAUGCUUCAUUACUCUCUAAAGGAAAACCAGAUGAGGGAAGCCAAACAUGCUCACUCAUAGCCACUGUGUUUGAACAUUAAAUUUAGGUUUUUUUUCUAACUCUAGAUCAAUACCAUUUUUUUUCGAAAUCUACUCAUUUGCAAAUUUUCCUUUAUUUUCUUUUUCCACCAAUCUUCACUUGCAUCAACUAUCCAUAACCUAUGAUUCCACCUUAGACCAAUUUCCAAGCUAAUCAAAUUCUUUCACAAUUUCCAAUCAGUUCUAAGAGAAUCCCAUUUGUUUUUCUUUUGAGUUCUAUUGUAAUCCGAUCCAGUUUCUUUAGUGGAUUCCUUAAUUAAAUUUUCAUAUGCUUCGGAAGUCACAUGAGUCCUAGGACGAUGUUCGGAUCCACCACCUUAAUACAUAACUCACAAAAUACAUAUGAAGUCUGAGGGUUCCAAAUAGCCUUACUAGUUGAGUUACUAGACAUAAUUGCGUACACUUAAACCUAGAAAAUAGAGUAAUAUUUCUUCAUCAAACAGCAAUAUAGGAAAGAGAUUAAUUAAGAGCAAUACCCAAUUUUCUUUUUAAAACAAAUAACAUUAAUUAAGGAUGAAUUAUGUCUAGCAGCAAGGAUGAAUUAUGUCUAACAUUACAUAACUUGUUUCAAAAUGAGUUGUUAGUUUAAUAAACUUGCGGGUUCCUCUAAUUACAUAACCUGUUUCGAAGAAAUUAAAAUAAUUUUUCUCAAUAGUUUAAAUUUUCUUUAGUUACCUUUAAGUGAAUCCUUUCAAAUUUGUGUGAAGCUGAAAUGAUUUGUUCAAAAACAUGUAUUGUUGGAAUCUAUAGGAAUUGAUUACUUGUUUGUUCACUACUAGAAAAAUGGGCUUUACUGACACUAAAUUAGUGUCAGUAAUUACUUUUCCUGACACUUGUUAAUUGUGUCAGUAAUGCUCCAGCCAGAACACACUGACACUAAUUUUUAGUGUCAGCGAUUUUUGUGUCAGUAAUUCAUGUCAUUAUGGUAUCACUAAAAUAAUGACACGAUAGCAUUAGUAUUUAAUGAUACUAUUUAGAUGUCAGUAAUUUAUGAGACUACAGUAUCAAGAGCACACUGACUCAAUAACAUCAAAAAUUAUUACUGUCAUUUUAAACAUUUAGUGUCAGUAUUUAGUGAUGUUAUGAUUCUUUUGGUUAAUAGUAUACUUUGAUUUUAAUUAUAUUUUCCUAUUUGUUUUACAACUGAAAGAAAACUCAAAAUAUAUUAAAUAUACAAAAUCUCGCAACACAAUUGCAUAAGAAACAUCUCAAAUACAUCACUUAAAUUCAUAUAAUUCAACUACAUCAUUGUUUGGAAAAGAAAAAUAUAAGUACUAAAUUAAGUCUUGGACAAGCUCUUAACAACCAAGUACUAAGUUAAGAUUCAACAAAUAUUAACCAACAGAAAGAAGCACAUAAUGUCAUUGAACAUCCACAAGCAGCUUCAUUGUUCUUUUCCCACCUACAAGUACAUAAAAUCAAUUAGUAUACCACAAAAAAUAAUUCUUGGAUUUUUGGGAGAAAAAACAAUCAGGCCAAUUUCAGUGUUCAAAGAGACUAACAAAGAAUGGGGCAAAAACAAUACAUAGCUCUCUUAGUGCAAGCUAAUUGUAAUAGGUAGUAUUGUGAAGAAUAUUUAUCUGCUAAGAAUUGAAUUUGAGUGGAUUUUCCUACAGAUCUAUACACAACUCAACUUAAGUAGAAUACAAAAAUAAAAAAUAAAAAAUCCUAAGGAUUAAGAAAGAUAAAUGGAGAUUUAUUAGUAUACAUCCAAAAUUAAAAACUCAUUAAACAAUCCAGGGGUAAAAAUUGAGGAAUAAGAAUAUAGCGUAUCUCAGGAUAAGACCAAAGACAUAAUAACAGAAACAUUUGAGGCAAACCACUACAAAGUUUUUACAUAAUAACCCAAAGCAAAGCAAACCAUUAUAAAAUUUUUACAUAAUAACCUAGAAACAAAACAGACGAAAAUUGGGCAAGUCCAUAUCCCAAACCUCUGUUAGGAAAAAUGUGUUCAGCAGACUCAUGGCUCCAACAAUAGAAAUUAACCCGCACACAAUGAAACAAAUUAAUUGAUAUAAAAAACAGUCAAAGACAAAGCCAACUAAGAAGAUUAACUAAUUUGGAGAUUGAAUUACAUAGUUAUUUUUACAAAAAUAUAGCAUAAGCCCAUUGUAUUUCAUAGUAAGCAACUGCAAAAAUGCCUAGAGGUAAAUUCAUAAAGAAACAGUAGAUAGAAGAAAAAAAAGACGAGGAAAUAAACAGCAUGAAACAAACAAAUCACCUAACACAUCAUGGGAAUUGACUUGUUAACGUUAAAGAGCAAAAUAAAACUUGGCACCUUCAUCCAAACAAGAACAGACGCUUACCCCUUACAGAGAAUGGCUUAGGUUUUUCGUUGGAGUUUGAGGCUGAUUUAUAAGAAUAUGAAGAAGAAAUGAUUGUUGAAGUUUGAUAGUGAUCAAGGAUUGAGUAUUGGGCUUAAAAUACAAAUUGGCAGUGAGGGCUAGUUUUCGAUCAUAAUGUUGAGAGACCACUAAUCCCCAAUACUUGUACCGUCUCACAUAAAAAUCCACAUUUAAUAAACAUGAACUAAAUCCAGUGUAUUGAGUGUUAUUAUUUAAUGGAACAUAAAAUCUCUGGGUCAAAUAAUUCUAAAGUUAAACCAACAAUAAUCCCAAAAGCUAAAGUUGAUAAGAAAGGCCCAACAGUAUACUUCUAUCACACAAAAUUUGAAGAUAGAAAAAAGAAGGGCCUUUUUUUUUUUAACUGAAACUGAAAAAAGAUUCAGUAUUAACAAUUCAAUAAUUUUAACAUUGAAAACUUGGUGUUUAUAUAUCCGAAUAUAAUUAAGCCAAAAAUUUUAAUUUAUCACUAAAUAGGAAAACAACUAAAUAAGCUGCAUAGUUUUAUUUUCCAAUAAAUGCUUAUAAUAUUUAUACCUAUCCUUCAUUAUUUAUUUAUUUUUUAUAGGAAACAGAGAAAUUAGUAUUAAUAUGAACAAUAAUUACAAAAUGUCAAAAAGGAGUCCACAAAAAAAGGCUAUUGAAGUAUCACACACCAAGAGAAGAAUAAAUAGAAAAAUAGAAAACACUGAGGCAUUCAAACCCUCAACAAUAAACUCAACAUAUCAACUUUAAACAAAUAGAUUCUUGGCUGUUCUUAGUGACAUUAAGAAACAAAUCAAAAGAAGGAAACUCCCCAGAAGAAUUAUAAUAAGUGAGAAGACAUAUUGUAAUUCUAUCAUCAAAGAAAGAUAAGCUUAAUCAUUUUUAAUUUUUUCUCAAAUAUCCAGUAGUACCUUAAGGUAAUAGGACAAGAUCGCUGAAGUUGUCAUGAAGAGUGUAAAGCACUAAAUAACAAAAAUUAUGCUAAUAAAUAAAACUCAAUUUAUUUUCUCCCUCAAUCAAUUGCUUUGAGCUUACUAUGAAUUCAACUAUGAAUUUGAGGAAAAAAUAUAGACCGCAGUUUGCCAACUUCUUGUUCAUGAGAUUCAGCCGCAGUAAAUGCAAACCUCCAUUUCUCGUCAAGCAUUGUUAACCUCUACGACAAAUUGAAGGUAAGAAGAUGAACAAAAUAAGUGUAAUGUGCAGGAAAAAAAUGAAGUCUAUGGGUACAACAACACUUCAAGAUUUUUCAAGUUCUAGUUCAUUUAAAUAGACAUUCCUUGAACUUCAGCAGCAAAGAAAGUACAUUAUAGCAACAAUUUCAAUUCAUUCCAAUCUUUAGAAUUUUUUAUUUUAAAAAAAUAAAUUCCUUCAAACUAGUGAAAGGAAAAUAAAAGUGUGUUUACAGAAGAAAAAUUAUGGAAUGAAUUAAUGACCAUGCAAGUGAGGAAACACAUAAAUUUCUGAAUAAGAGCGAAACUAACCGUGCAAAUGAACAAAGAAAAUGUAAGUCUUCAAGUGCUACAACAAGCAAAACUACCUAAAAACAAGCAUUUUCUUCUUGAAUUAAAGACAAAUCAUGAACUUUGUGCAAUCUCAAAACAUUCAGACAAGCAUGAACUUAGUUAAUUCAUAUCAUAGUCAUUGUCUCUAUUAAAAAUCUUCCAACUGAAAAAAAUAAAAAAAUAAACAUGUUGGUUUCUAUAACAUAAUUUCCUAUCUUUACAUGAAACAGAGCAAUAAAUAACACGUAAUAAUUAUGAAAUACACAGCCAUUCAAUCUAUAUAAUAUAGAAAUAUAGGAAAAAAAGAAAAAAAAAUUCAAAUUACAAUUAAAUAAACAAAAAAUAGAUAUGGAAAAGAAAUCCCACCAAGACUGCACUACUGGGAGAAUUUCUCAACAUCUGCAACAACCCAAAAAAUUAAAUUAACAAAAAACCCCAAUAAUCAUAAGCUAAAAUAAAACAAAUCUAUUAAUUAAUUUGACAAAGAAAAUAAAAUAUUAAGCCAUUACUAGCAGUUAAGCCUUAAUCAAGGCAACAUGUUUGCCCUUAAAGUCAUUGAAAAUCUCCUUCACAGGUCUACGUAUAAGGUGUGGUAUCCCUUCCAUAGCAAGAAAAUUAACUAAUUUCUCAAUAAUUUUAUUCAAAUUCAAGAAAAUGGGUUUUGAAUAUUGAACAAAAAAAAGAGAAAUUUGACCAUAAAAAGAAAAAAAAUUGAUGAAAGAAGCCUCGAUUACGGUUUUGGUCCGUUUUUCAAUUUGGGAAAAAAAAAGGAAAAAGGGAAUAAAAGCCUCACUUAGGGUUUUAGCUUUAUAUUAUCUAUUUGAGUUAAAUGAACGAAUUUGUGAAUGGACAGAAAAAAAAGGAAAGAGAUCGAGAAGAGAAAAAGGAAAGAGAAAGAGAAAGAGAAAGGCAAGAGACAGUUUUGGGUUUGAGUUUGGGUUAGAGAUUUGUGUGUAUAAAAGACAACGAGACGGGGACAAUUGCUAAGUUUGGGAUAUGUUUUACUUUCGUUUUACAUGUUUUAAAUUCUUAAUUUAGUACCUGCAGUGUCGAACCACUUGAACGGAAGUGACAGUGGCAACGGCGUGGGGGUGGGUGCAGCCGUGGGGGUUGGGCGCGGCCGUGGACGUGGGCGUUUGGGCCUUGUCAUUCGGCAUCUUUCACGAUAGAGAAGAAGAAGUCAAGAAAGGCAAGGAUAUUAUGCAGCAGCUGCAGCAUGGGCUCUAUUGCACAAUGGAAAAGGGGAAUUAGGGUUUGGUUUUUUAUAUGUUAAUAUUUUAUAUAACAUUGUAAUUCUAACUCAAUUUUAUGGGGUCCAGUGGUUUGCAAUCUAAACGUAAAAGUUUUGAGUUUUAGAAGUCGCAGGUUCGAGUUAAAAUCAAAACACAUUUUAAUGAUUUUUUUUAGAUCUCUGAUGCUGAAGUAUCAGUAAUCUCUAAUAUUUAAUUUACUGAUACAUUAGUAUUAAUAAUUUGUGACAUUUAUUUGUUAAAAGCAGAAAAUGGUGCAUAGUUAGGUAAUUACUGACAUUUUUUUCAAAGUGUCAGAAACAAAGUGUCAGUAAAAGUCAUUUUUGUAGUAGUGUCGUUGCUGCCUUUAAUGAUUUUUAUUAGGGAAAUUUCAUCAGAUAGGGAUUGUGCAUGUCUAUAAAACCAACUAAAAAAAUUAAAAAUGCAAUAAAGAUAGUGACUUCAAAGCAAAUAAAUCACACGUGACCAAUCACCUAUUAAUUUAUUCCAAGCAAAAGGCCCAGCACAUUCUGAACAAAAGGGAAGAAAAUGAAAAAUUACAUGUAACAAAGUAAAGGAAAACGCACCUUUCUUAGAUAUUUUGAAAACAAAGAUAGAAGAACAGAGGUGUAUGAAUAUGAUUGGUGUCAAAAUCGCGUCGAUGAGAAUAGCCGCUUUUGGAAUUGCAUCGAUGAGAACUGUCGAUGUUGGAAUCAUGCUAAUAAGAUCGGUGUUUAGAGUUUGUUUUAUGGAAAAAUCGAUUUGAGAUUAAGUUUAAAAAUGAGGUGGGUAAAAUUGAAAUUAAAUAAUAUGUAAGGAUAAUUUAGUAAUUUAAUACACAACUGAGAAAAAUUUCUGUUGAACUGCCAAAGCCCAACUACAAAGUGUUACUACUAAAAAUGAGGGGAUGAUAUAUGGAAAAAAAGAAGCUUCAUUUUAAAUUAAUGAACAAAAACAAUUUAAAGAUUUAAGAGAUCUGAUUUGUCGUUUCAUUUCACUAAAAUGUGGAUAGAUAAAAUUAGUUAUUGGGUGUGUCUUAUCCUAAAAUUAAUCUUUCACGAAGUCCUUAGAAACAAGAAAAUACUAUUACAUAGCUCGGAAAGUGUUAAUAGUUAUAGAAUUAGGCGUCUCUUACACAUAUGUCUUCCCAUGUAUAAAAGCGUUCGUAUGAAGUUAUGAAAUGGUGGAUUAUUAUACUAAACAAACGGCUCUUUCCCUUUCAAAAUUAUUGUACGUAUUUUGCAAGGAAACCUCCUCUACUUUGUUUCUUCCAAUUAAUGUCCGGUUAAGACUUCCGUGUGUCCAAUUAAUGCCAAUCGUUUUCGAAUGUGUACAGGAUAACAACUUGAAGACUUGAGAGGGCCAGCGUUAAUUCAAAGUCAAGACUCAAGACUAGGUUGUUACCCUGCAGGAUUCUUGAUAGUGAGGUGAAAAAACAAAAAGUUGAAGGAGAUUAGGAUUUAAUGCUGAGUUUAGUUUUUAUUGACCACUAAGUUAAUGAUUAUAAUUUAUUUUGUACUUUUUCUUUUAUUUAUCUUAGUUAAUAAUUAUUUAUUGAGAUUCUUGUCCAAUUGAAAGAUACUAGAGAAAAGGGUUUUAAAACUUUAGUUAUUUUUAUGUAUAAAACAAAAAAUUUAAAUUAUUAAAAGAAAAAAAAAUGUAAUUUUAAGAGACAUCUUUUAAGGUUUGACAUAUUAAUAUUUAGAUAAAAAAUAUGCCUCUAAUUACAGAGAUCUUCCCGCCGUCUAUACUCAGUUUCGUAUAUUGUCAGCUAGGAGGGUAAAUUAGUAAAAGCGCAUUUAAAAUUGAAAUAAGUAAAAAGCUAAUUUGAAGAUAAGCCCACUGAAACACUCAAAAAAUCCCGAUGAAAAUCAGUUACCACUAACUAGAGGAUGGAUGAAUGCUUGCUCUCUUUCAUCAACCUAACUCAUCACAAAACCAUUUUCUCUUUCAAUCAACCGAGGCCCACAUGCACUCCUCAUCUCUAAAUGCUUUGAAGAUGAAAAAAAUCAGAUUUUUAUUGCCAAGUUCCGCAACUUUAGCUUAGAUUUAUUAACAAGAAAAGCAUCGAUGGUGGCCUAAGGGUGGUGUCAGGUGAAAAUAGCUGACUAUUCGGCGUCGGACAUGACUGUUAUUGACUUGAAUUCAAAGAAGGUUAGUCUUUGAAACAAUUUUGGAUUUAAUUUUUUUUUUGUUUUAAUAUGUUUUAUAUUUUAAAAUAAAAUUGAAAUUUUAUUUCAUUUUAAUCAUAGAUUGUUUUUUUUUUGUUUGAAAAUGAAAAUGGGCUGAAGUGUUGGAGAACAGUUGGCAUUGUGUUGUUCAUAAAAAAAAAAGAUAUCAAAUUGUUGAUGUAUUAGAGAAGAUGCAUGUUGUUUGUUACUUUCAGACCGUAGCUAUUUGGAUUUUUCAAGUUAAGAGCUAAUCAUAACAUAUGUGUUGGAAAUUAGUGAUUUUUAUGUGACUUCUUUGUCAAAUGAAAAUGGGUUAGCACUGUUAUGAAGAAUAUGGAUGCUAUUUGGAGGAAUUAACUUCUUAACAUGUGCUUGAACUAAAAAUACCAAUGCAUAUUAGAAAUUAGUGAAGUUAUAUGCAUUAAUAAUAUUGGAAAUAAGGGUUUGUUUGUGAUGCUUUAAAGAAGCUGAAAAGGGUAUUGCUUGUGCUCCUUAAUAUGGAGAAUUUUUAGUUGCUUGAUAAAAAAAGCAUUAGUGACAAAUAAAAUGAAGAAAUUUUGGAUGAUGUUUGUGUAAAAGAUUUAAAUUAUUUAUUUUAUUGAAGCUGUACUGUGUUUUUAUUUGUGAUUUAACCAUUAAAACGGCUCUGUAACAUUGAUUAGAGGCUGCAUGUGCUCUUUUUAUAAAAAAAGUAGUGGCAUUCCUAAGUGGAGUAAUGAGAUGCUAAGAUGGGAAUGUAUGAAUAUUUAAUUUUGUUCUUGCUUUAAACUAUGACUAUAAAUCCUAAGUCUUCUAAAAUGAAACUCAAUUAUGCUUUUAAGAUGUAAAAAGGCAUCAUUGCCAUUUUUAAGUGACUUUGAUAAUGCUUCAAAUGGAAGUUCGCAUUGGUUUGUCAAAAUCUUUUGUUAAGCAGGGUGAAAUGAUUCAAUUUGCAUUGAAUAUGCGAAAGUUUCUAAGCGAAUAACUUGUGGUCUCAUGUUAUUUUUUUUCAGAUGAUGCUCUAGUGGAGGUCGAAAAGGAAAAGAGAGUCUUUGUUAAAAAAAAAAAAAGCAGGGAACAAAUAUGCCUUUCUAUAAUUGUCUUCCUUUUAACAUGUAUGUCAGGAUUGGUGUGCAUAAAUGGCCUUUAUUGACUAAAUAAUAUAAUCAUGAACAAGUAAAAAUAUAAUUUUUUUUAGUACUUUUCCUACUGAUCAUAUGUGAAUUGAAUCAAUUGUGUUGAAAAUGUUGAUCAAGGCAAAAAAGCUCUCAGCCUUUGCUACAUUCGAAAAUAGCAAGAAGGAAUUUUGUAAGCCCAAUUGAAAAAGAUUGAGGUAACCUGUCUCUUCUUAUUCUAGAUUCUUUUUUUUUUCUUUGUUUUACUUCCCAUUUCAUCUUCAACAAAUCUAGUAAUUGGCAGGAAAUAAUUGGAAGGAAAGAAGGCUGAAUAUGCUGAAAAUCUAAAAAAUAAGGCAGCUAUACGUCACAAAGAAAUAGAAGAGAAAAGGGCAACGGUUGAAGUUAGUGGUGGAGAUUGAAUUCUUAAGUUAAAGGAGAUGGUUGAAAAAAUCGGUGUAACUAAGAGCAUUUUAAUGAUCAAUGGAAUUAAACAAAUGUUAACAAUAGGUUGUUGUCUAUUAGAUAUACCAAAUUUGACUUUGAACUGUUGUAUUAUGUUAAAUUUCUAAAUUUUAUUUCACUGUAUAGUAUCGCUAGCCCUAGUUUCCCUACGAUAUUUUUUUUUUACAAUUGAUGAAUAUUUGAUGUCAAAUUUUUAUUUCCCAAGAGUGGUAAAGUGUAAUGAUUAAUUUGAUAUUUAGUACUACUAAAUUUUUAAAUUUUAGUUCACUGUAUACUAUCGCUAGCCCUAGUUUCCUAGUAAUUUUUUUUACUUUUAACAAUUGAUGAAUAUUUGAUGUCAAAUCUUUGUUUCCCAAGUGUGUUAAAGUGUGAUGAUUAAUUUGAUAGUUAGCAAUAAGGCUGUUUAGGUCUUUUCUCAAAUCAAGGGUAAUUUUUACAUAUCACUAGUCAACUAACAUUCAAGGAAACUGAGUACAGACAGUAGGGGAGGUCUCUGUAAUUAUGAUUAUACUUUCUAUUUAAGUGUCAAUAUGUCAAAUCUCCGAGGAGGUCCCUAAAAAUUAUCCAAAAGAAAUCGAGACUUUGAGCUGGUUUGGAACAAAUUAUAUUUUCAAUUGAAAUUGAAAAGAAGAAAAAAAAAUAUAUAAGAGAGGUUUUAUAAGAUUAAUGAAGGGGUUCCAAUAAUCCAAUAUUUUCACAAUUUUUUCUUUUAAGUUUUAUUCAUCACCCCAUAGGCCCAAUUUAUUUUCGUUAUUAUGUAGGUGUGGUGUUACUAGAAAUCAAAUGUUGCCUUUUUUUCUUUUUCUUUUUUUCCUCUCCUCUCCUCACUUAUGGUGGAAUGUGGAGAAUUAAACAAAACCAAUAUCCUAAUAUAUAAUUAAUAUUUUGAAAUGACCCGCCCCGAAUCCCCCUAAGCAAGUCUAUCUAGUCUCAUCAAAACAGACUUGAUAAAAAUUCUAUUAGUAAAGAUUCUGCCAAAAAUUCGGCAGAAUCUCCUUUAUAUAUAUAACACUCCCAAUCUAUAAAUAUGAAUAUAACACUCCCAAUACAAUUCAAUAUACAACAAACUCCAGUGAUUAACAUCCUCAACUAAAAUGCUGAGUUUUAUAUCUCCAGAGUCUCAAAAGAUAAUAUUAUAACUAAUAUUAAUAUAUCAGUUUAUUCUUAAUCCCAAAAGAAUAGUAUAACAAAAUUAUACAAUCCCAACAGAACGAGAUAACCAAGAUGUCCUAACAAAAACAUUUAUAUCUUCUAACACCAUCACGUGGCCAAGACUCAAAAUAUAUUUACAGUCGCUGGGUCGGUCUGGUGUACCUGCAACCUCCUGGUGAGGGAGGGAAAAUAUAAUAAAAACGAGGUGAGUUUAAAACUUAGUGAGAUCAGUGAGUGGAUAGUAGUUUUGAAAAUUAAUUCUUACUUUAAAAGAAAUAAUCAUAUCAUUUCCAAACACGAUUUCAUUAAACCAUAAGCGAGAAACCAGUAAUAAAUCAUUAAACAUUUAAAUCAGAUUACUAACCAUGGAAAUCAUAUCACAAUAUCAUAUAGAAUUCACAAAUCUGAAAAUCAUCGCCAAACAAGUACCCAGGGAAAUAAUCUCGUCAUAUCCGAAUCUCAACGGAUGGGCAAUGAUGUACUAUCUGGGUAACGUCACGCCCCGGAGCUACACGGAUAGAUAGGGAAAUCUCAUAUCUCAUCAUAUCUGUGCAUGCAUAAUCUAGUCCCCAAGGGACAAAAGCGCCCAAGCACACGGCCCAAAACCUCUGUGUGUACUCAGACGGGCCCCAAAGGCCUAUAUCUCAUUUGUAUCAUAUGUAUUAUUUGUAUCAUAUGUAUUAUUUGUAUCUCAAUAUCUGUCUGUAUCUCAUAUCAGUAUAUCUGUAAUCAUCAUACCGCAUGCAUAUGGCCCCAAAAGGCAAAAGCACCCAAACACACGGCCUAAAGCCUCUAUGUGUCAAAGGCCUCUCAUCUCAUCUCAUCUGUAUCACUGUAUCUGGAGGGAAGGGUACUGUCUAAUGAUUUCAAAAACAAUCAUUAUACUCAUUCACAUACCUCUUAACCAUAUUUUAAAUCAUACCACAUUUGAAUCCACUUUUCUUAUCUUUAAAAUACUAUCAUGCUUAUUCAAAGUCGAUACGCAAAAUCAUUAACCAAACAUUUUAAUAAAAUAUCAAUGCGUGAAUAAAAUCCAUUUCGAGAAAUCAUUAAAUCAGAACAUUUAAAAUACUUAUUUCGCAAACAUGCUUUACUAUCAUCGCUAACUAUGAAAAUAAGUUUUGUAUAUUCCACUCACAGUGACGGUGUUCACGGUCGGUUAUCGUCCACGUCCGCGGACCGGUUCUCGCUCGCAAAUCCUCCUAAAUUAAGGAAACGACAUAAUUAUUUUCCGUAAAUCGGAAUUAUGACUAAAUUUUAUGCAAUAAACUCGAAACGAACAUCUAUCCAUAAUUUACAACUCCUGUGUCCAUAAAAUUUCUAAAAUGCCCUUGAGUCCGUAGAUCAUUAACAUGCUCUGAAAUCGUAAAUCACCGAAUUACCCUCGGAAUCGUAAUUACACCCAAUCCUCAAUUCUAGGAAUUACUAAAAUAUCCACAGGCUCAGAAAUUACAAAAUUGCCCUCAUAGUGUGAAAUUACCAAAAUGCCCUUGCCGAUCAACGGUCACCGGAAUUUGGUCAACACUGGCUAGGAAGCUCAAAUCUUAAAGUUCCAAUCACGCUGAGUUCAAUGGUACCGACGGUGAGCUCCAACGCGCGGCAACGACGCCGGAAUCUAGCUCGGCAGCCGUGAAUUCCAAGAAUCGACCGGCGGCAAAACAGUGACUCUCGGUGCCUAUGAAUGGUCGGAAAUGGAAGAGGGAAUCGUGGGGAACAAAAUCCAACUGGUGGUGUCACCCAAAACCGGCGAAAAUCCCGGCGGAGUAAAGUGAAACAGUCGCGGGUUUCAAGCUUCGAUCUCCGGUGUUCCGGUUGGUUUUCGGCGGAGAGGAUGGCAUGGGAACGACGGUCGGCUUCUAAGCUUCAGAUUGGUACCAAGCUCGGCCAAAACGGUGGCCGGAAAUGGGAGAUAUGGCCGGGUCACGUUCGCAGGUCAGGUCGGGUUUUUUCGGGUCUGUAGUUGGGUUGGUUUGGUAGCUUCUCUCUCACUCUCUGUUACACGUGCAUAUGUUUCCUUUGUUUCUAGCUUAUUCUUUUACUUAUAAAAUCCUUAACCGCCUCAUUUUCAUUUUAAAUUCACAUAUGUUACAUAUUUAUUAACAGAUUUCAGAAAAAAUUAAUAUUUUAAAAUAUUGCAAACUGCCAAAAAGUCAAACUUUUAUUUGCUACAUAAAUAUAAUCUAUUUUAGAUAUCAAUAUCAAAUUUGUUAGGUUAAAUUCUAGGUUCAAAUCUUAGCAGGCAGAAGUUUGAGUUAAAUUGGUAAAUGAAUUAUUUUUUAAUUAAUUUCUUCUUUUUGAUUUUGAAAAAAACAUUCGAGAGAAAGAGAGGAAGUUGAAACUGAAGCCGAAUCAACUGGAGCAGCAUCAAGCAUCUUUUGAAAUUCUUCUACAUGCUGCUUUUUUUCAGCUUUUGUUUUCAAAUGUUAUUGAGGGCAAAUAAAGUCUGUAUGCUUGAUAUUGAACAUAAUUUUUAACAAAUAAAAACUAACACUGACGUUGUGCCAAAGAAUUUGUUUCUAGCUUAACUGGGCCCAUUUAGGAUAGCUAAGAUAGCUGCGCUGCCAAACAGGGCUUUGAUUUCAUUGCUAUAAGUAUUUAUCAAGUAUUUUUAAUAGAUUUUUUUGGGUGGGCUGAAUGGUUAAGUAAAUUAAUUAAAUGGUUUAAAUAAGGAUAUUUUUUUAUAUUUUAAAAAAUGUACGUAUUAAAAUUUUAUAUAUUAAAUAUACAAAAUAAUAGAAUGUUUAGAAUAAUUUUUAGACAGCAAGCAGCCCUACUCAUUUUAUUAAUCAAGACUUAAGUGUCACUAAACUAAACCUCCAUAUUCCAAAUCUAUAGAAAAAAACGAGAAAAGGUACCGAAUGCAAGCGAUCUGCUGUUCAUCAAUAUUAUCUGGUGCUGUUGCAGAUCAUUUUGUUAUUCUGGUCCAUCAAAGCAUCAAAACAAUUUGUCUGUGAAAACGAUUGUGGAAACGUGUAGAUGAUAUUCCCCUUUGGAAUUGGAGAAGGGUGCCACUUUGGUAAGAGUUAUCACGUAAUAUUCACUCUUCUGGCUCUCCCAAAGGUUUUCAUCCUAGUAUCAAGACGGAAUAUCGUACCGUUACUCCGUAACUAAAACUGGAGCAACAUUCCUAUAGUUUCUAUACACAGUGCUAUUGCCACAAGCAAUAAUAUUGCUAGAGCAGUCAAUAUAUAUGGUAGUCCUUUUACCUUUCCCUGGGGGCUCAAUAAAUUUACAGCCAUAGGCUGUGACAAUUAUGCAAUUAACCUGGACAAUGAUAAUGAUUCAGCUGUGCCUGUAUGUCUGCACUUGCGAUCCUUCUCAGAAAAGUGGUUGCUUUAUUUGUUCAGAGUAAAAUUUGGAAUGUAAAAAAUUCCAUCCAAAACUUUAUCAUCGAACAAUUUGUAUGAAUUCCUGUAAGGAAUACGUUGGCAUAUCACAGAAGCCCAAUUACAAAUACAUCCGCAAAAUAUCUACCAAAGAUAUUUCAGCAAGCUUGUCAAGUAGUGGGACAGGGAAUGGCUCUCUGUUCCUGAGGCAUGAAUUGACGUCCUGCCCAUCGUCCCCCUUUGCCUCCCCACCAUACAAAUAACAAAUGAAAAUUAGGCCAAUUAAAUUAAAGGCAAGACGGGAUGGAAAUAUGGAAUCGUUGAUUAUUAUACCCAUGACCCCUCUAAUUAAUGGUUCUUUCCCUUCGAUAUUAUUGUACGUGUUUGGAAGGAAACCUCCUCUAUCUUUUUUUCCAAUUAAGACUAUUGAAUGUCCAAUUAAUGUAAAUUGUUUUUGAACGUGUAGAGGAUAACAUGACAAUGCGGAGACAUUUAAAGUUGAUUGACAGAAUGAACAAAAUAUCCUAAAUAAUGAGGCUAAUUGAAAAAUUUUUAAAUUAACAAAACUAGAGUUUUAGAUCUUUUUAUAUAAUAACUUUAAAUAUAAUAAAAUUCUCUUAAUCUGAAUAAAAAAUCCAAAACAAAUAGUGCUCAAAUCUAUUAUUUAGGGAAAAAAAGAAAUUAGAAAAAAUAGAAGAAUAUCUUAAAAAUCGAAAAAUGAUAAGGAAAGAAAUAAUUUUUCAGGCUCAAGCAAGGCCCAAAAUGGCAUAAGCUUUGUAGGCUUGAUUUGUCUUCUCGCAAACUUUAAAACGAUAUAUUAUACACUCAAAACAGACACAUGUAGCCUAAGUUAUACCCUUUGGAAAGUACCCUUCUCAUCCCACACACCCAUCAUACAGUAGUCCCUCUCACUUGGAAAAGAACUUGCCCUCGAGUUUGACUUGUACAAUGCCUCAUCAUCUAGAUGAUAUUUAAAUAGAUUAGCCAUAUUGAAUGUGUAAGAGAUCUUCUAGUUGUCCGGCAGUUAGAGCACAUAAGCAUUAUUAUUAAUCUUCCUUGCCACACGAAACGGUCCAUACUUGAUGUGGACAUGCAUCACUUUCCCGUGUCGAUGCAUGUUCACAUCGACCUUGUACAUAGCGUUUGCAGCCUCCAAAUGAGCUCGUUCCUUGACAUGAAUCUGUAGAGCUCUUUUUACCACAUUAUUCACUAUUUUACUCCCUCCAGUUGCUAUGGGCAUGAUAGCUAAAUCAUAAACAUGGGGUAGGGAACAAGUGUAGACAAUCUCAAAAAGGGUCUUACCACCAUGUUAUUGAAAGCAAACUUGACUUGAGGCAAGAUAGUUUCCCAAUUCCGUUGCUUGUCACCACAAACAUAGUGCAACAUGUUAACCAGAGUGCGAUUAACCACAUCCAUUUGACCAUUUGUUUGCUAAUGAAAAGCACUACUAAAUUGUACUGAACUUAUCCUAGAGAUGAUGCCAAAACUUACUGAUAAACUUCACAUUCAUGUCAGAAGUAAUAGUCUUUAGCAUACCAUACAAACUUACCACUUCUUCAGAGAACAAAUGCGCAGCUAAAGCAGCAUCUUUAGUAUUCUUGCAAGCAAUAAAAUGCAUGAUCUUUGAAAACCUGUUGAUCACAACCUAUCAAUUUGUUCCCUUAGAAUUUCGAGGCAUAUAUAACUAAUUAGAAUUGAACAGAUACCCAUCUUGAAUAAGGAAAUCUUUUACAUUUUGAUGAUUAAUGCAUCGAUCUUAAAUAUGCGCAAAGUCUUCAUCCUUAGCGUACAACUCCUUCAAGCAUUCAAAACCAGUACCUUUAAUGACGAGAGUAGUAAAGUUGCUCGCCUACUGAGUGCAUCUGCUAUCUUAUUAUGUUGCCCAAAUUUAUACUUAACAAUAAAAGUGAACUUUUACGUAUAGCGCACCCAUCUUGCAUGCAUCUUGCUCAGAUAUUGCUGGUUAUUAAAGUACUUGAAUGCUUGAUGAUCACUAUAAAGUACGAACUCUUUAUGAAUCAAGUAAUGCUCCUAUGACUUCAACACCCUAAGGAUUUGAUAAAAUUCUUAGUCGUAAGUAGACCAUUUCUGUUAUAUUUUAUUUAACUUCUCACUCAUAUACCUAAGUAGUCGUCCCUCUUGAGAAAUAACAGCCCAAUACUAUUACCAUAAGCAUCACAUUCAACCUCAAACAACUUGAUGAAGUUUAGUAAGGCUAACACAGGAGUAGUAAAAAAAUUCUCUUUUAAUAAAACAAAACUGCACUCUGUAAUAAGUGGGGCUAUGUUACUAAAACUAUAAAUAAAUCUCUUAUAAAACAUCGUCAACCCAUGAAAACUCCUAACUUCACCCACUAUCUUCGGCAUAGGCCAUUCAUUAAUGGCUUGUAUCCUCGACUCAAUAACUCGAAUCCUAUCUACAUCAGUUAUAAAACUAUAAAUUCCACAUUACUCUACAGAAAGCUACACUUCUUUAGAUUAAUAUAAAGUUUAUUUUUUUUUUGCAACAUCUUUAUAAUCAUUCUCAAAUGUUCUAGGUGUGCCACUGCAUUAACAAAAUAAACUAAGAUAUUGUCAAAAUUCACCACAAUAAAUUUGCAGGAAAAAGACUUAAGAACUUGAUUCAUUAAGUGCAUAAAAGUGCUUAACACAUUAGACAACCGGAAUGGCAUAAAAUACCACUCAUACAGCCCUUUUUUUAAUUUUAAAUGUUGUCUUCCACUCACCAUCAGGCCUAAUUAUGAUAUUAUGAUAUUAUGAUAUCCAUUACACAAAUCUAUCUUUGAGAAAACCCGAGCAUCAUUUAGUUGAUCUAAUAACUCUUAAAACGUGGAAUAAGAAAUCGAUUCUUCACUAUAAUAUGGUUAAUUAGCAUACUAUCUGUAUAUAUAUGCCAACUCUCAUCCUUUUUCGAUACCAACAAAGCUAGUAUAGUACAUUAACUCAUGCUCUCAUGAAUGAAACCUUUCCCUAACAAUUCAUCAACCUACCCUUGUAAGAUCACAUGCUCGUGAGGGCUCAUACGAUAAUGAAGCAAGUUAGGUAAACUCGCACCAUAUCUCAUAAAGGUGGCAGCCCAUCCAACAACUUUAAUGGUCUAAUAUCAACAAACUCAAUUAAUAAUGGCUAUACUUUUUUCAAGAACAAUCUUCACCUUUAAUUCUUCUUUUUUCUCUAGCUUCUAGCAAUCAUCGCAAUCAUCCUCUUGAUGAUUUUUAACAACCUUAGUAUUCUUCUUGUUGUUCGUUAAAGGCAUCAACGAACCUUCUUGUUAUUUCACUAAAACUCAUACACAUUAUCCUCUCUUCUAUACUGUAUCAACAUCAAAUUACUAAAGUCUACCAAAUAAUAGAUGGCACACAUCCAUAUUCUUUACAUCGCUCAACACAUCACUCUUAUAAAUCUUCCCAAUGGAGAAAAGAACACGACGGUCCUUUAUUACUUGCAUUUUUGUCUCUCUAUUUAUCAAUCAUAUUCUGUUAGAUACUGGAUUUUUUUGGUUGAAAGUCCUAUCAUGUCAAAUAGCACCUUUGAAAAUAUGUUCUCGCUAUUGCCACUAUUAAUUAUAAUGUUGUACACCUUAUCGUUGAUAGUGCCACAUGUUUUAAAAAUCUUAUUGCGCUGAUUAUCCUCUUUAAAUUUUCAAUGAUAAUAAAAUCUUCUAUAUAAUACAAUUUAGUUUCUCCUUCAUUUGCUUUCAACUCUAAAGCUUCUUUGGCAUCCCCAUUCUCAACGUCGUUCAGCUCUGUCUUGCUGACUUUACCCUCUACUAAAUUCAAAAUUUUAAAAUGAUAGUUACUCGAUCGAUGGCCUAGCUCCCUACACUUCAAACACUUGUCCAGCAUAGGCUUCACUAUAAGUGAUUGUAUCUACUAUCUCAUCUUAUAUCUCUUGUUUUAAUCUGCCAAUAUAUUUCGUAACUAUUCAAAAUUCUGGCUCAUCCAUAUUAUUUUGAGUGUGUAGACAAUAAAAUUCGUUUAUAUAUUCAUUGACACUAUGAUUUCCUUACCUGCAGUUCUGAUAUUUAAAACUGCUGCCAGUAUUCUACUGGCAGGAAAUACUCUCUCAUCAUCCUUUGCAUUCCAGGCCACUAUUUGAUAAUUUUUUUUGCAACUUUUCUUUAAUUAUGUAUGUAUUGCCAUUAUGCAGAAGCUGGACAAGCUUAAUUCACUUCUCUUGAGGAAUCUCCAUAUACUCGAGAAAAUUAUCCACUUGUGAUAUCCAGUCUAAAAAUUUUUCAACAUGCAUCCCACCAAAAAAAUUCAGAAUAUUAACAUUAAUCUUGUAAUCUAAACUCUUUUUGGGCCCCUAUCAUCCUCCAUAUAUUUUUCUUCUUCUAAAUCGUUUCUUAGCUCCUUACGCACGUGUACUGGUAUUCAUCACGUAGGACCUAAAUUUUGAGGUACUACUUCAUGAUUGAUGCCUUGAGGUUUUAUUUCAUGACCGACCCCUUGAGGUAUCUCCAUGUAGUUGUAAUCUUCAGGUUGUACACCACGAUUGACUCUUUGAAGUUCUUCCUCGUGAUUAACUUUUUGUUGUUGACCUCUCUUUCUGUUUUUGUUCAAGGAAAACUUAAGACUCAUAAUUGUCUUGCUCUAUCACCACUAAUCCCGAGUUAUAAGCUUCCUCAAUUGCUUCCAAGGUUGCUUCUCGAGCCGCCCGUUUCACAGCCUCCACAGUCUUUGGCUACAUCCCUUUGUUAACAUGUAUGUGUCUAUAAUAAUGAUUUUGAUGAUAACAAACAAGAUUAAGAAUGAUUAAGUUUUUAAAAGCUCAAGUUAUUUUUCAUACAUUUUAAAUAAAUCAUUAUUUUCAUAUAAUAAAGGUUUUUUUUUCAAAGAAAACGUGAUUUCAUGAAAUUGGUUGUUUUUCAAGCUCAUGGUCUAAUUGAAAAAAUUUUGAGAACUUUGAAAUCAACAAGUAUUGCUUAAAAUUCUAAAAAUGGACUUGUUUGAAAAGUAUCAUAAAGUUUUGGGCCAUAGUACAAGUAUAUAAAAUUUUGGGGCAAAAAUAUAAUUUUAGAAAAUAGUUUCAUUGUAGCAGUCGCUGUAGCAAAUAGCUAGCUGUUUGGAAGAUAACAGCUAACUUACAUUGAACAGAAUUGAAGAUUAGUGUUUGUAUACUAACGGCAAACCGACUUCUUGAAAAUGGUAAAUCGACAUCUUCUUUGCAAGUUACUGGACGAUAAUGGCGAUCCGACAUUUCAAUAACGGUGAUCUGACAAUUUGAAAUUCUGUCUAAUGGUAACUUGCUCAAGUCAAAACGGCAAUCCAACUUCUAUUUAACGUUGAUCCAACUUCGAGUAAAUUAUCUCUAACGACUAUUCUUCAGCUCAAACUAUAAAAAGGCUCAUUUAAACACAAAUAAUAGUGAUUGCAACUACUAUCAAUGAGCCAUGUAGAUGCUGUGGUUCAAAACGAAAAUAGAAGAGUGUGGAGAUGUACCAGUAUUUAUGGCCAUCCAAAAUUGACCUAAAAGCACCAUACUUGAACUCUCUUGAAAAGGUUAGCAGCUCUCUCUUUUCACCCCUGGUGUUGCUUUGGAGACUUCAAUGAGAUUUUGUAUUUGCAUGAGAAAAAAAGAGGGAAUGAUAGAAACCGAAAUGUGAUAGCUGAUUUUAGAGAAGCUGUCCAAGCUUAGAAUUUGGUUGAUAUUGGGUAUCACGAGUAUCCUUAUACAUGGUUGAAUAGGAGAUUUGGCCCUCACCACAUAGAAGAGAGGCUAGAUAGAUUCCUGUGCAACAAGGAUUGGUGUGAUAAUUUUCAAGCGUCAACAACAAUUAAUCUGGUGAAUUGGGUUUCAGAUCACUACGCAGUUGUUUUUUAUUGUAAUGAGAGAGGUAGAAACAAAAGCUAGAGGAAACAACAUCCCACUCGAGAGCAUUACGAAGACACGUGGAGUCCCUAUAAAGACUGUAAGAGAAUAGUUAGUGAAGAAUGGGCUCACUAUGGAGAGAAAUCUUGGGAGAAUCUGGCGCAACAAUUCCAAAGGGUAGCUAAAAAUUCUUUAGCUCAGCUCAAGUUGUGGAGUAAAGAUGAGUUUGAAGGCAACCAAAAAAAAACAAGAAAAGCUUAUCAAACAGCUGGAGAACCUCAGACAGAGCAACGAUCAAAUGAGGGAAGGGCUGAAAUUAGAAGAAUUGAGAAUCAAAUUAAUAACAUGCUGAUUGAUAAAGAAGUCUAUUGGAAGUAAAGAUCAAGGGCUGAUUUGCUUAGAUAGGGAGAUAAAAACACCAAGUUCUUCCACUCCAAUGCUUCAGAUCGGGGGGUAGAAAACAAUCAAGGCCAAUGGACAGCGAAGCAGGAUGAAGUCGAGAGGGAGUUCUGCAAUUAGUUCCAAAGCUUAUUGACAUCAUCCAGCCCAACCUACAACCAAAUUUAAGCUGCCUUAGAGAAACUUCCAGCAAAGGUCACCCCAGAGAUAAACGCCUAUCUGGAAGAGCCUUUCAGUCUUGAGGAGAUUGUCAAAUCUCUAUCUCAGAUGCCGCCCACAAAAGCUCCAGGCCCUGAUGGACUUCCUGCUGCUUUUUUCCAAAAGCACUGGAAAUCAGUUCAUAAAGGAGUGGAAGAGACUUGUUUAUACAUCCUUAAUGAGCAAGGUAACCUCGCUCCUCUAAAUCAUACUUUCAUUGCUCUUAUUCCUAAGACAAACAAGCCAAGGAAAGUCUCUGAGUUUAGGCUAAUCAAUCUCUGCAAUGUAGUGUACAGAAUAGUUGCCAAAGUUAUUGCAAAUAGACUGAAACCAAUACUCUCCCAAAUUAUCUUCCCCACCCAGAAUGCCUUUAUUCCAAAUCGGAUAAUUACGGACAAUGUGAUAAUUGGCUAUGAAUGCAUGCAUAAGAUCAGAAGCAGUAGAGGGAAAAGAAAGGGUUUGGUAGCUCUAAAGUUGGAUAUGAGUAAGGCAUACGAUAGGAUUGAGUGGCCUUUUCUGAAGCUCACAAUGGCUAAGCUCGGCUUCUCUCAAAAGUGGGCAAAGUUGAUAAUGAACUACAUACAACAACAGCCACCUUCUCAGUCUUAAUCAACGGCAGUCCCAAAGGUUUUAUCCAACCUGAGAGAGGUCUGAGAUAGGGCUGUCCCCUUUCCUAUUAUUUAUUUAUUUUGUGUGCUGAGGUUUUCUCAAAUUUAUUGCUCCAAGCAGAGAAAAAUCAGCUGAUCAGGGGCUUGAGGUUUGCCAAAGAAGUCACAAUUUCUCACAUACUGUUUGCAUAUGAUAGCCUUAUCUUCUCAAGGGCUACAAAAUCCGAUUGCAGGCACUUGAAGAGAAUAUUUGACUGUUAUGCUAAAGCCUCUGGGCAGAUCUUUAAUUUUGAAAAGUCAUCUAUGGUGUUUAGUGGCAAAGUGCCGAACAACCAGAUUACAGCAAUCAAAGAUAUCCUCAACUUAAAGGUAGUCUUCAGCCAUGAAAAAUAUCUCGGCCUCCUAUCCAUGAUAGGCAGAAAGAAAACCAAUUUUUUCAAGGACAUCAAGCUGAAAAUCCUGAGUAAAAUUUCAAGCUGGUAUCACAAGAUGUUCUCAAGUGGUGGGAAUGAAACUCUUAUUAAAGCGGUAGCCCAAGCAGUCCCAGCCUAUGCCAUGAGCACAUUUAAGCUUCCAAAGAGCUUAUGUGAAGACAUACAAAGAGCCAUUGCAAAGUUCUGGUGGGGAUCUAAGGAGGAAAAACAAGGCAUCCAUUAGGCAAAAUAGAGCAGACUCAGCCGUGCAAAGAGUAGAGGGGGUAUGGGAUUUAGAGAUCUCUUCAGCUUUAAUCAAGCUUUGGUGGCCAAACAAGGCUAGAGGUUGAUGCAGUAUCCUAACUCUCUGGUUUCCAAAGUGCUGCAGGCACGAUAUUACAAAAACUCCACCUUCUUAAAUGCAAGCAUAUGAUCCAACCCAUCUUAUAUAUGGAGGAGUAUCAUAUGGGGGCGGCAAAUCAUCAAGGAAUGAGCUAGAUGGAGAAUAGGUAAUGGUAAAAAUAUUCGGAUUUACAAGAUUGCUGGAUUCCAAGACCAACCUCUUUCAAGCCGAUAUCUCUACCAAGCUUGUCUACAGAUGCUAUCGUGGCAGACUUGAUAAACGCAGAAAACCAAUGGGAUGUGGAAACAUUAAACCAGCACUUCAUGCCAUCAGAUGCCGAUUUGAUCUUGAAGAUCCAUUUGCCACAUAGGCAAUCCGAAGAUGAAUUAAUGUGGCAUUUUGAUAAGAAAUGAGAUUAUUCAGUGAAAAACGGCUACCAAAUAGCUUUAAAAAUAAAUCUUCCAGAAGAGCCUGGCUGCUCAGGAAGCAAUUCAAACCAAUGGAAAGGAAUAUGGUCUCUUGCUUUGUCCGAAAAGAUUAAAAUUUUCUUAUGGAGAGCUUCAAUAACCUGCUGCCAACAGCUGAGAAUUUGUGGAGGAGAAAAAUCAUUCAAGAUCCAAUUUUUCAAAGGUGCAGAAGGUCCAUUGAAUCAAUAAGUCAUGCGCUCCUAAUCUGUAAAUCAGCAAAGAAAAUCUGGAACCAUGCCCCUUUUCCAGUGAACAAACAUGAAUUUUAUUCCCAGGACAUCUUCACUAUCAUCCAGGACAUGAGCAUCAGAUUUAGGAAGGCUGAUAUAGAGCUAAUGGCAGCAUACUUGUGGGUUUCAUGGUAUGCAAGAAACAAGUUCUUGUUCGAUGGGAAGAACCUGAAGCCAAGCAUCUUAACAGCUAAGGCAUAAUCAACAGUGGAAGCAUACCAGAGGGUAAGGAAGAUAGGGCUUUCUCAUAUUAGCAAUACCAUCAACAAGAAGCAGGAAAGAUAGAUCCCCAUCCAGACAACUCUUUCAAAGUCAACGUUGAUGCAGCCAUAAACAGCAAGAACCAAACAGUGGGCAUAGGUGCAGUUAUCAGGGAUUCAAAAGGCAUUGUGAUAGUAGCAGGCAUCCAGUAGACCACGCUAAAAGGAGAAGUCAGCUUUGCCAAAGCAGAGGCUAUGAGGUGGGGUUUGCAGAUUGCAAAGGAAGCAGCCUUAUCGAAUCUAAUAGUUGAGACAGAUUGUCAAGAGGUGGCUGAGUUGGUUAACAACACAAAGGGCAGCAAAACUGAAAUUUUCUGGAUUGUGUCUGAUAUCCAAGACCAGAGAAAGUAUUUCCAGAAGACUACAGUGCAAUAUGUUCCUAGAUAUUGUAAUGCUUAUGCCCAUUCCUUAGCAAAAUUUGCGUUAGGAAGAAAAACAUCUGCGAUCUAGUUUUAUCCAUUACCAGCAGAGAUAAUGAAUGUAUUUGACAGUGUUGUUUGAAGUAAUGAAAGUCUUUACUUUCUUUUAAAAAAAAAAACUACUAUCAUUGAGCAAACUAUUGAGCAUACAACUUUCAUUGAGUUUUAAAUUCUUAUAUUCAUCUCAUUUACUAACAUUUUAAGAUUUCAUUUGUAAUCGAACACAAUGUGUGAGAGGGAUUUAUUUGUAAUCCCUUUUGUAAAAUUAAGUUGAGAGGUUAUAAGUAUUGGGAUACACUUGGGUUAAGAAAUUGGGGAUAAUCUCUUGUUGUAAAGGUCUAUUGGUAUCUUGGAAGUCAAUUGUAAAAAGUUAUUGAAGCCUUGGAGGCUUACUUAGUGAAAUCUUCAAGUCCGAUGAGCUUAGAGGCAUGGACAUAGGCACGGGUGGCCAAACCAAGUAAAAAUCACGUGUUUGCUCUCUCUUACCCUAUUUCCUUAUUUUUUAUUACACAUUAAUUUGUUUAUUUCAAAUUUGAUUGCCUUGUUUAAAUUGCAUUAAGUUUCUUAGUUGCUUAAAUUUUUUAGAAACUCAAUUCACCAUCCCUUUUGGGUUGUCUAGUUAGUAUUUCACCAUUGAUUAUCGUCUUCCGGGCAAUUGCUCCUAUGAUCGUGUGGUUGCACCAUAAUGAUAAGCGAACUUGCUUUGAUACUAAUUAAAGAUGCGGAAAUGUUUAAAUUUGAUUGAUAGAAGAAACAAAAGUUUCUAAAUGAUAAAAUUUAAAUGUCUGAAAUUAAUAAAAUUAGGGUUUUGGGCCCCUUUAUAUAAUAAUCCAAAAAAUUUUGAAUUUACCAAAUAGGUAAAUCUAAAAAAUUAUUUUAUAAUAAAAUUCUCCUAAUCUGAAUAAAAAAAUCUAAAACAAAUGGUGCCCAAAUCUAAGAUCUUAAAAAAAGAUAAAAAUCAUAAAAGAAAUAGAAAAAAAAAUAAGAAAAUAUCUUAAAACUAAAAAAACGACAAGGAAAGAAAUGGAUUUUUAGGCUCGAACACUGCCCAUGCAACAAUUCUAGUUUUGAUUCGUCUCGUCACAAGCUUCAAAAUAAUAUAUAAUAGGCCUAAUAUCUCAUUCGUCCUAUGCAUCCAUCCUACAUCAUAACAGCUUGAAGACUUGGGAGGGCCAACUUAAUUCAAAGUCAACACUAGCUUAUUACCUUGCGGGAUUUUUAAUUGUGAGGGGAAAAAACUGUUGAAAGAUGUUGGGUUUAAAGUUUAUAAAACUUUAAUUAUUUCAUAAAAUUGUUUUAUUUUUUAUUCGUCAUCACGUUGGGAUUAUCCCCAAUGGCCAAUUUUAUUUUCAUUUUUUUAUAGGUCAAUAAAUGCUACUAGAAAUUGAUUAUUACCUCUCUUUUUCUCAUUUAUUGAUGACUAUGAAGAAUUAGAUAAAACUCAUAAAUGACCUAAUAUAUAUAAUGAAUAUUUAGAUUUUGUUUCAUAUCCAUACGAUAUCUGGGAGUAUGACAUAGUCUCCAAAAAUAGCCAAAUAUUUCACAUCUAUCACAAGUGCUUUCUUGAAUAUUAUCUUGUGGCAGGUGUUUCAUCCUCAAUUUUUUUCCUUUUCUAUGGUUCUUAUAACCACCGUGAGGUCGACAAUAAUUUUUUUUUUCAUGACCUCAAUCUUAAUAAUAGCCAUGACCACAACCAUGACUACAUCUACGGGCAUAGUUAUGCCCACGACCAUGCCCAUUUUCAUCAUGAUCACAUAGACAACAUUUGCUCCAAGAACUUGUUUUGUAUCAAUAGGAUGGGCUUAAUAAUUGAAUAUUCUUUUCUACCAAAAGAAAGCAUGCAAUCAAAUCAGAAUAUUUUGUAUACCGACGAGCUCUAUAUUGUUGUUAUAGAACUGUAUUGGAAGGAUGAAAUUUUAUAAUUUUUUUUCAACAUAUCCCCAUCAGUAAUAUUUUCCCCACAUAGUUUUAAUUAUUUAGUAAUUUUGUACAAUGUAGAAUUAUAUGUGUUGGAGAAAAAUCAGUUUUUUAAAUUUUUAUAAAACAUUUUAAGAUCGCUCUCAUACAAUAUAUAAGAAUUUGUAAUCUAGAAAUCGUACCUUGAAAAUCCGAUUUGGCUUUUUCCACUGAAUUGAUUUAGGCUCCCAGAUCACGAUCCGUCACCACCACUCCUGUUAGAUCACGAUCCGUCACCACCACGCUUGUUAGAUCACGAACUGUUACCAAUGAUCUUCCAGGUUAUGAUUCAGGUUUGAUCUGCACUUGACGUGUGGGUGCCUUUAUCACUACCAAAGCAGCUAGCACGAGAAAAUUUUUCUCUCAACAAUAGAGAGAAAAAUCUUUUUCUCUGAUCUGUAUAAAGUAGCUGCUCCCCUUUUCUUUAGAGAAAAUAAACCUUUUUAUAUCUCCCUUUAGUGAAAACCCUAGACUCCAAAUAAUGAAAAUCAAAACUCACGUUACUUGCUUUUUCUAUAGGGGAUCCACCUUGUAAAAUAACAUAAGGCCCCUUACACACAAGCUAAUAAAAUAGAGCCUCCCACUAAAUGAUAUAUUUAGGUUUUUGACCCAAAUAACCAGUUAUCUUUUUUAUUAAUCCAGUAGUGGUGCAGUCAAUUAAAUGAGCUAACCAGGGGAUCAUUUGGGAACAUACAAUAGUGGCUAUAACAAUUAAGCAUGUAAUUAAAAUAGCCUAAUUUUUUAAUUCCAAAUCUACUCCACUAAAAGAUUGGAAUUGACCUCCAUAAUUGUAUACUCGAAUAAUAAUUCGUCCCAAGCCACAUUGAUUUCUUUACUGCACAAUCCUUUGUACCACAUCAUUAAUUAAAUCGAUAUCUCAACUGUCCAAUCAAUUUAAUUACAUCUUGUUCCUUAAUACUUACUGGUUUUCUCUAAUGAUCAUUUUCAACAUACUAAAUAUGUUGACACACUCUGGCUAGAGAAUUCUAUGAUCAAGUACCGAAAACCCAUCAAGAGAUAUGUUGUACAAAUUAUUGUUAAUUCAUAACUCCAAUCCUCAUAAUUGCUCCCACCAAGAUACCGGGUAAUCUUGACCACAAGUAUUUGUCGUGCCCAUUGGUAACUCAAAUGGAAUAACAAUUACAAUCAUGAAAUCGUAAUUAACUCAAGAUUAAGAUUACAGUAAAAUCAAUGCCUAUGAGAUUUAAUAAGUAUGACAGUUAUUACAAAGUUAAUUAAAUCUCAUAUGUGAUCAUGUUCAAUGUAGGCGUACUACAUCAAUAAAUUCAUACAUGAUUAAGACAAAUCAUUCAAUGAAUUCAUUACAGUCUAUACCUAAAUAAAGUGCCCAACUUUAUUUAUCAACUGCGAACUAAAUUUAUUUAAUCAUAAGAUAACUUGUAUUUAUGUCUUCUGUGAAUCCACAUAGUGAUCACAUAAAUACAUAUACUAUGAUUAAAUAGAUUUUAAUCAAAAUAUUAAUUUAAUUAAGAUAUUUGAAUAAAAUACCUCAUUUAUUUUAUUAAUUAGAAAAAUUAUUUAUUACAAUUAAAUAAACACAUAUGUUUUUAAAGAGCACAUUUUCCCAACAAUCUCCUAAUAGCUCUCAAAGCAUAUUUGGCAUCUCACGCAUGCCCAUGGAUUCUAAGUGCAAGUUAAAAGGUUUCCCAGGUAUGGCCUUAGUAAAAGGAUUUGCCAAGUUUUGCUCUGACGCAAUCUGAGUAACCUCCACAUCACCUCUCUGCACUAUAUCCCUUAUAAGAUGAUACUUCCUCUCAAUAUGUUUUGUUUCUUGUGGUUCCUUGGUUCCUUAGAUUGAGCUACUGUACCACUAUUAUCGCAAAGUAGUUUAAGGGGUGCAGUUAUAACAGGUACCACCUCAAGAUCUUGUAGGAACUUGCGGAGCCAUACAACUUCUUUUGCAGCUUCGGAUGCAGCCAUAUAUUCAGCUUCAGUUGUGGGGUCUGCGAUACAAGAUUGUUUCACACUCCUCCAACUAAUAGCUCCACUUCCCAAUGUAAACACAUAGCCGGAAGUUGAUUUUCUGGAAUCCUUAUCUGACAUAAAGUCAGAAUCAGUAUAACCCAUUGGAAUGAGUUCAUCACCAGAAUACACAAGCAUAUAAUUUUUAAUUCUUUUCAGAUACUUCAUUAUAUGCUUGACCGCAGACCAGUGUUUAGGUCCAGGAUUAGAUUGAUAUCUACUAACCAUCCUUAUUGCAAAACAAAUGUCUGGCCUAGUGCAAAGCAUGGCAUACAUGAGACUUCCCACAGCUUCUGCAUAGGGAGCUUGUCUCAUUUUCUCUAUCUCUUCAGAUGUUUUAGGUGAUUAAUCCUUAGAGAAUGUAAUUCCAUGUCUGAAUGGUAAUAAACCAGUCUUGGAAUUUUCCAUGCUAAAUCUAGCUAAUAUCUUAUCGAUAUAGACCGCUUGAGACAAGGCUAAAGUUUUAUUCUUCCGGUCUCGUACUAACUUGAUAUCAAGAAUAUAACUUGCCUCUCCUAGGUCUUUCAUAUCAAAUUGUUUUGCUAACCAACUCUUUGUUGUAGUCAAUACUCCUAUAUCAUUUCCAAUUAGGAGAAUAUCGUCUAUAUAAAGAAUUAGGAAGGCUACAUAUUUUUCUUGAAUCUUCUUGUACACACAUGGUUCAUCAAUGUUCUGAAUGAAUCCAAACGAUUUAAUCGCUUGAUCAAAUAUGAUGUUCCAUGACCGGGAUGCUUGCUUCAAUCUAUAAAUGGAUCUCUGCAACUUACAUACCAUGUGUUCUUGGCCUUUUUGUAUAAAUCCAUCUGGUUGCUGCAUAUAGAUGUUUUUUUCAAGAUGCCCGUUAAGAAAGGCAGUCUUGACAUCCAUUUGCCAAAUUUCAUAAUCUAGCACUGCAGCAAUAGAGAGCAGAAUCCUGAUGGAUUUAAGCAUAGCAACCGGAGAAAAAGUUUCCUCAUAAUCGAUUCCCUCUUUCUGAGUAAACCUUUUGGCUACCAAUCUUACUUUAAAUGUUUCCACCCUUCUGUCUACUUCUCUUUUUCUCUUGUAGAUCCACUUGCACCCUAUAGGUUUUACCCCAUUUGGUGCCUCAACAAGUUCCCAGACUUUAUUGGAAUACAUAGAUUCCAUUUCUUGAUUCAUGGCCUUUUUCCAAAAUUCAACAUCUCUAUCUAUUAGAGCUUCAUUGUAACUAGUGAGAUCUUGUACAUGUUCAUAUGAGAUAGCUGUAUAGGUUUCUCCCAAAAGUAUGUAUCUCAUAGGUAACCUAGUUACCCUCCCACUACGACGAGGUUCUAAAAGUGAUGGUUGUUCAGGGAUAAUCCUGUAUUGAUCAUCUGGUUGUUGAUGUUCUUCCUGUUCUGUAACAGGCGUUGAAAGCUGACCAUCAACUUGAUCACCUGACAGUUCUUCAAGUAUUACCUUACUCUUAGGUUUAAAGUUAUUCAUAUAGUCUUCCUCGAGGGAAGUGAAAUGUGUGCUCACGAUCACUUUCCUAUCUUGAUGACUAUAAAAUAAACCUCUCCUUGUUCCUUUGGGAUACCCCACAAACAUACAAAUCUCAGAACGUGAAUCCAUUUUGUCUGCCUUUGGUUUCAGUACAUGUGCUGGUGAUCCCUAAAUACGAACAUGUCGUAAACUUAGUUUGCGACCUGACCAUAAUUCUAUUAGGGUUUUAGGCACUAACUUAGAUGGAACUAAGUUCAAGAGGUAAACUGCAGUUUCUAGUGCUAGUCCCCAAAAAGAGAUUGGUAAUAACGAAUAACUAAGCAUAGAUCUCACCAUAUCCAAAAGAGUUCUAUUUCUUCUUUCAACUACCCCAUUUUGUUGUGGUGUUCCCGGGGCAAUCAACUGAGAUAUAAUCUCAUUUUCAACCAGAUACUCUUUGAAAUCUCCUGAGAGAAAUUCACCACCUCGAUCAAAUCGAAGUUUCUUUAUGUUCUUAUCUAAUUGCUUUUCUGUCUCAGCCUUAUACUCUUUGAAUUUCUCAAGAGCUUCAGACUUAUGAUGCAUCAGAUAAACAUAAUCGUAUCUCGAGUAAUCAUCAGUGAAAGUGAUGAAAUACUCAUAACCUCCUCGAACUUGUACAUUGAUUGGUCCAUAUACAUCUGUAUGAACUAAGUCAAGUGGUACUGUUGCACGUACUCCUUUGGCCGAGAAUGGCCUUUUGGUCAUUUUCCCUUCUAAAUAGGAUUCACAGAGUGGAAAUGAUUCAUUUUCUAAUGGACCCAAAAUCCCAUCUUUGAUCAUUCUCUGUAUCCUAUUUUGGUUUAUAUGACCCAAACGUAAAUGCCAGAGGUAACAUUGGUUGGAAGAAAUAUUUAUUUUCUUAGAUAAAUGUGUAUGCUCAUCAUUAUUUAUCACUGUGUCGUGCAUAGAAUGGAUCAUUGGACUUAAAUGAUAUAAAUUAUCUUCCAAUGUACCAGAACAAAUAAGUCUUUUAUUAUAAAAAAUAAAAACAGAGGAUCCAAAAUUUACAGUGUACCAUUGCUUUGACAAACAAGCUACUGAAAUUAAAUUCUUCUUUAUGUCUGGAACAUAAAGAAAAUUAUUCAAAAUUAAAGUCUCAUUAUUAAAAGAUAAUAAAACAGAUCCGGUCUUCACUGCUGACACGAACUAUCUUGUCCCUAACUGCAGCUUGACGCUUCCUUCACUUAUUUUCCUGGUUUCCUGAAACCAAUAAAGUGAAUUACAAAUAUGAUUAGUUGCUCCUGAAUCCAACACCCAAGUGUCAAUAGGAUUCUGAACUAAACAUGCCUCAAUUACAAAAAGAUUUCCCAUACCUGAUUUCACAAUCGUAGGGCAAUCCUUUUUCCAGUGACCUUUCUGUCCACACUUGAAGCAUUUGCCUUUUGGAAUUGACCUCCAUAAUUGUAUGCUCGAAUAAUAAUUCGUCCCAAGCCAUAUUGAUUUCUUUACUGCACAAUCAUUUGUACCACAUCAUUAAUUAAAUCGCUAUCUCAACUGUCCAAUCAAUUUAAUUACAUUUUGUUCCUUAAUACUUACUGGUUUUCUCUAAUGAUCAUUUUCAACAUACUAAAUAUGUUGCACACUCUGGCCAGAGAAUUCUAUGGUCAAGUGCCGAAAGUCCAUCAAUAGAUGUGUUGUACAAAUUCUAUAUUGUUAAUCCAUAACUCCAAUACUCAUAAUUGCUCCCACCAAGAUACCGGGUAAUCUUGACCACAAGUAUGUGUCGUGCCCAUUGGUAACUCAAAUGGAAUAACAAUUACAAUCAUGAAAUCAUAAUUAACUCAAGAUUAAGAUUACAGUAAAAUUAAUGCCUAUGAGAUUUAAUAAGUCUGACAGUUAUUACAAAGUUAAUUAAAUCUCAUAUGUGAUCCUAUUCAAUGUAGUCGUACUACAUCAAUAAAUUCAUACAUGAUUAAGACAAAUCAUUCACUGAAUUCAUUACAGUCUAUACCUAAAUAAAGUGCCCAACUUGAUUUAUCAACUGCGAGCUAAAUUUAUUUAAUCAUAAGAUAACUUGUAUUUAUGUCUUCUGUGAAUCCACAUGGUGAUCACAUAAAUACAUAUAAUAUGAUUAAAUGGAUUUUAGUCAAAAUAUUAAUUCAAUUAAGAUAUUUGAAUAAAAUACCUCAUUUAUUUUAUUAAUUAGAAAAAUUAUUUAUUACAAUUAAAUAAACACAUAUGCUUUUAAAGAGCACAUUUUCCCAACAAUAUGUUGGAUCAUAAACUUGAUCCAUACAACUUUGAAACGCAAAUGACUCUUGAUCUAGUUCAUGCAAGCUUCUUUGGGUAGUUAAGAUUUGGGGUGUUAAAUGUGGUAAUAUGGGAAGUAGAAUUUGUGGUGUUGAGUAUGUUGUUAGGUUUGGUUUGUGGUUAUGAUUUAUGUGGUAGUUAAGUCAACGUAUGGUUGUGAUUAAAUUGUAACAAGUAUAAAUAUCUACUCUCUCAGUUGGUUUAAGUAACAAGAAGUAGUAAAGCUUAUUAAUUGCAAAAGAGUCGUAAUUAAGGAGUUAUAUUGAGUUAAUAAGAAAAGAGUGUUUUGAGUGUUUGAUUAUUCAAAUUCUCUACUAUUAUGUUCAUGAACUGACUUAAAAUCCUACAACUUAAGGGCAUUCCAUUCAUUACAAGUAUUUGGAAGAAUUACUAACCUUAAAUUACUAUAUCUCUCAUCAAGCUAUUUCAUAUGACAUAUAUGUCCUUUAUAGGAAGAUAUCUUGUUUUGAGUGCUAGAUGGAGAUGGUGACAUUGAUAAAUCGUGGUCUUCUCUUGAUCUUGAAGAGAUGAGUCAUUAUUAUUUUUCAUUGUAUCACUAAGCAUCAAGAUAAAUUUCAGCAACAUCAAGUAUUUUUGGAAAUCCUUCUUGUUCUUGUUUUUUUAUUUCUUUUUUUUGUCAAGAUGACCAUUUUUUCCCCGAAUGUUAUCGAGGGCAAAUAAAGCAUAUAUGCUUAACAUUGAAUAUAUUUUUAUAAAUAAAAGCUAACACGAACGUUAUGCCAAAGAAUCUGUUUAUAGGUAAACUAGGCCCAUUUAGGAUAGUAGCGUUGCCGAACAAGGCUUUGAUUUGAUUACUGUAAGUAUAUACUAAAUAUUUUUAAUAGAAUUUUUGGUUGGGCUGAAUGGUUGAGUAAAAUAAUUCAAAUGGUUUAAGUAACGAUUUUUUUAAUAUUUUAAAGAGUGCACAUGUUUUUUUUUUUGAAAAGAAACUUCCAUUAAAUCGAAGAAGAGAAUAAAUACAUCAAUUGUGAAGGGUAAGAACCCAUCCAAACAACAUUUUCACAUUUCUCUAAUGCUAACUUAGAUAGAGAAUGGGCAAUGGCAUUACAAGAUCUAUGAGUAUAUUUAAUGCUAACUAGCUCAAAAUUCCUCAUUAAGUUUUGAAUCUUCAAAAUUAUCCAAAAGAUCUCAGAAUUGCCGCCUUGCUUGUUGUUAACUAACUUGACUACGCUUUGAGCGUCUGAUUCAACAAUUAAAGCCUUUGCACUUGCAUUCCUAGCAAUCUGUAAUCCCUAUUCCAAGGCUUCUGCUUCAGCAAAGGAAACAUCUCCAUGAAAUUUCCAAAUCUUGAUUGCAGCUGCUAUGACAUUCCCCCGAUCAUCUCGGAUUAUAGCUCCGAGCCCUGCAAGGUGCUUUUCUGAGUUUGUAGCAGCAUCCACAUUGACUUUAACAAAUCCACUUCGGGGGGGAUUCCAAAUUCACUAAGCCUGAACCUACUGAAUUUCAUUUUGAGCUUGCUCUGGUUUUUGAACUCUUUUGUAAGCCUCCAUUACUGCUUCAGCUUUAGCAACCAGAGCCUGGGGGUAAAGAGUGCACAUGUUAAAAUUUAAUAGAUUAGUGUACAAAAUAAUAGAAAAUGGAACUAUCGUACUCUUACUCCGAAACUGCAAUUAGAGUCAACAUUCCAGUAAUUUCUUUACACAGUACUAUAUUACAACAAGCAAUAAUAGAGCAAUAAUAGAGUAAUAAUAUAGUUACAAAUUCUUGUAUAAAUAUUUUUGUAUACAAAUUGAUGUAGCAUGAUUUAAUUGGUUGGAUUAAAUAUCUAUUAGUUUGAAUGAUUUGUUUUUAUUAUUUUCUAUUUUCACUUAACCAAUGAGUUAAUGUCAAAUUAAUUUAUGCAAAAUAAGUUUGUGUAAGAGUUUAUAACUAUAUCAACGCUCACAAUAAUAUUGCUAGAGGAGUUGACUAUUACUUUUCCCUGGAGGCAUAAUAAGUUUACAGCCAUAGGUUGUGACAAUUACGCAAUUAACCUGGAGAAUGUUAAUGAUUCAACUGUGCCUAUGUUUGCACUUGGGAUCCCACUCAGAAAAGUGGUUGCUACGAUUUCCUGUGCUCUAUUCCUCCAAGUAUUAGUAAAUUUUUCAAUGCAAAAUAUGAAUUUCUAUGAAGAAUCCGUUGGCAUUUCACAGAAGCCCAAUAACAAAUACAUCCUCAAAAUAUCCAUCAAAGAUAUUUCAACAAGCUAGUCAAGUAAUGGGACAGGGAAUGGCUCUGUUCCUCAGAAUGAAUUGACGUCCUGUCCAGUGUCCCCCGUUGGCUUCUCAUCACAGAGAUGAAAAUUGAAAUUAGGCCAAUUAGAUUAAAGGCAAGACGGAAUGGAAAUAUUGAACCGUUAAUUAUUAUAGCCAUGACCCCUCUAAUUAAUGGCCCUUUGCCUUUCAAUAUUAUUGUAGGUAUUUGCAAGGAAACCUCCUCUAUCUUUCUUCCAAUUAAGACUUCUUGUGUCCAAUUACUGUCGAUUCUUUUUGAACGUGUAAAGGAUAGCAUCUUGAAGACUUGAGAGGGCCAGCGUUUAUUCAAAGUCAAGUACAGGGACAGGAAAUGGCCCUGUUCCUGAAGUAUGAACUGACGUCCCGUCCGGUGUCCCCUUGCCUACUCAUCAUACAAACAAAAAUUGAAAUUAGGCCAUUUAGAAUAAAGAUAAGACGGAAUGGAAAUAUGGGAUCGUUAAUUAUUAUAGCUAUGACCCAUCUAAUUUGCAAAUGGUUCUUUCCCUUUCAAUAUUAUCGUACGUAUUUGCAAGGAAACCUCCUCUCCCUUUCUUCCAAUUAAGACUUCUUCUGUCCAAUUACUGUCAAUUCUUUUUGAACGUGUAGAGAGGAUAAUAACUUGAAGACUUGAGGGCGCCGGCGUUUAUUCAAAGUCAAGACUUAAUUAGCCUGCAGGACUCUUGAUGGUGAGGGGAAGAGAAAAAGAUGAAAGGCGCUGGGUAUAAGACAUAUAAAACUUCAAUUACUUCAUAAAAUUGUUUUAUUUUUCAUUCGUCGUCACGUUGGGGAUUACCGCAAAUGACCCAUUUUAUUUUCAUCUCUAUGUAGGUCAGUAGGGUCACUGGAAAUCAACUGUUGUCUCUUUUUUCUCACUUACUGAGGAAUUUGGACAAUUAAACAAAACACAUCAAUUACCUCAAAUAUAUGAUGAAUAUCUAGAUUUUUUCGAAUCCACAUGAAGUGUGGAAAUACGACAUUCUCUCCAAAAAUAACCAGAUAUUUCACAUCUAUUACAAAUAUUUUCUUGAAUAUUAUGUUGGCCAGAUAUUUUCUCCUCAUUUUUCUCUUUUCCAUCGAUAAUAAUUUUUUUCAUAACCUCAACCUUGAUAAAAGCCACGACCAUGGUUACAACUAUGUCCACAGUCAAUAAUAAUCUUGCUGAGAAAUUAUUUCUAAUUAAUUUUUUUGUGGUGCUUUUAAUGACACAACAUAAUAACCUUUUUUUAUCUUUAUUUUGUUCCCAAUAAAUCUCAAAACUCACAAAUUUGCACCAUUAUACAUAUGAUAUCUUUUUUCUUCCGUUUAUUAGCUUUAUAGAAUUUUGAUAUAAUACGUGCGUCGCACUCAUAACAUGUACGGCCUGGCGCAUUAGAUUAUUUUUCUAACUUUAUAUAAGUAAAGUAUCUCUCUUAGCGUACAAAUAUAAUUUGAUGCGACGUGGCGCACUGGUCGCACUAGAUGAGUGCUCUAACUUUGUUUAAGUAAAAGCGUCUCCCUUAUUGUGCAAGCAUAAUUUGUAGUGGUUCGGCCCCAAAAUGGCAAAAUUUAUCACUCCAUCGCCUCAAAUUUUAAAAUCCGCAACUAUUGGGCUGUGUGGCGGGCUCGCCAAAGUCACAACCCAACCUUUAUCAUGGGCCCUUUCCAAAGCUAACUUGCACUCUCCAUAUUCUUCCUCUAUUAAAUAAAACCGAAUAUGAUGCAUAUUAACAGACUCUCACCAUUCACGUAUUUUAUAAUGAAUCUCGCACCAAUUCUAAGUUUUCAUUUUUUUCCUACAAAGAAGAAACUUUGGAGUCUUAGGCCCCGUUUGGUACUGUUUUGCAAGUUAUGUUUUCGUUUUCAUUUUUAUAAUACACACAUAAAUCAUGUUUGGUGGAUUUAUUUCACAAAAUAAAUUACAAAACACAAAAUCCGGAUUCAAUAUUAUAACUAUACAACUGAAAACAAGUUAAACAUGUUCUCCAAAUUUUACAAACUAAAUCCAAAAAUGAAUUAAAAAACAACAAAAAAAUCGUGACCCUGCAGCCCUCACUUUUCUCUUCACUGCAGCCCUCACUCUCAAUCCAGUUCACUGCAGCUCCCUCUUUCCCCUCAAUUUUCUCAAUCUAGUUGCAGCAAAUCUCUCUCUUGGUCGCUCUUGGUGUGCUAGCCACUGCCGCAGCUCUUUCUCCGCCGUAACCGCUGCUGCUCCGACUCCGUCCAGCUGCUGCUACUUCGUCUUUGCUCUCUCGGAUCUGCACUUGCUCUCUUGGUUCUUUGCUCUCUCGGAUCUUCGUCUACUGCUACUUCGUUGUUGCUCACUCGGAUCUGCACUUGCCCAACCAUUGUUGCUCUCCCGGAUCUGUCACUUGCUGGUGGGCAGUUGAAGCAUGUUAUCGGAAGGCCAAUAUUUAAAACUGAUCAGAAAGAAGAUUGCAUUUCAAUGGCAGUUCUGUAUUCACCUCCAAGCAUCACUAGCAGCAGCAGCAGCAGCAUCACCUACAUUCCUGAGAAGGGAAAAACUAUUUCCCUUGGCCAACAAUUUAUGAUUGCAAUAUUUUUAACUCUUUUGUAUCACUUUUUGGUUUAUGUUUACAAAAAAUUCUGAUUCUGUCAAGAUUUUUAUUUUUUAUUUUUUCCUUUCAAUUGAUGAAAAUCACACACAUUCACGUCCAUCAAUCAUGAUCCACAUUGUCUAUUGCCCUUUUUUUUUUAAAAAAAAAGUAAAGCUUUCAUUAUCAUUUAGAAUAAAUUUGUAAACAUACUUUGCUCAUUAUAAAAUUAUUGUUAUUAAAUAAUUUAUUUUUUCAUUGUUUUAAAAUUAUUUUCAUUUUAUCAAUAGAAUUGAUUAUAUCAAAUAUUAGGAUUAAAAUAUAGUUAGGGUCCAUAAUUAAUAAAGACAUUUUAGUGGGGAUAAUAUAAGGAUCUUAAAGGAGUGUGAAAAGCAUUACUCUAAUUUUUUUAAAAGAAUAUAUACAGUAUAUGAAUAGGCAUAUAAAAUUAAAGCCAACACCAAAUACACAAUUAAAGCCCAAAUUAAAAAAAAAUGAAAAGACUCAAAUUCUCCACCAAUCCGCCUAAAAAGAUAAGAAAAUAAGGUCUUAAUCAAAAACACUACACUAGCAUACCAAAUAUCUGGGUGGGUAUUUCCGUGGUAAAUGAUUCCCAAAUCUUCAAGUUGUAAGCUGUCCGCAUUGAGUAACAAAUAACCAAGUUCAAAAAGCAAGUUCAGGCUUUUAGUUAUCAAUAUUAAUGCAAAAAGUCAUAGCAAUGCAACCUUUAUGCUGAUUACAUUACUGAAAUUGAGUGGGGGAUUAAUAGCAUGUACUGAAAAUUGUAUGUUAUAAUAUUGAAUCCGGAUUUUGUGUUUAUUAGCUAAAUAAUUAAUGUUAAUUCUUAAAAUUUAUUAUCGUGUAAUUUUUUUAUAUUAAAUUUGGUUAAAUUAUUUUGUUGUAUUUGUGUGUAUUAGGUAAAUAAUUAUUUUAUGACUAUAAAUAUAAUGUAAAUGAUUAGUAAAAACUGUUUUUAAAAAAAGCAUUACCAAACGCAUAUUCUCUGUUUUAAUCAUUUUCAACUGUGUCUACCAAACGCAUAUUACUGUUUUCAGUUUUAAAAUAUAGGAUACAGAAAAUGAUACCAGACGCAUAUUUAAAUUCGAAAUACAGUAACUGCAAAACACCAUUUUCAUUUUCGUUUUUAUUCUCAGAAAAUACAAAUUCAAAAACAAUACCAAACAGACCCUUAGUGACUGCCUAUUUUUUUUUCUUAUCUCGAGGAAAAGAAAAAUGCUAUAAUAACCUAUCAAAUUAUCCAUUAAACCUAUUUAUUAAAUAAAUCACCGAUUAAAAUUUAAAAAUUCAAAUUUUUAUCUAAACUUACGUAUUUCAUUUCAUCAAUAAAUAAAAUUGUGGACUUUUGCCUCUAGUGUCUUAUUUGGUAACAAUUUUUGACUCUAGAACCAAACAUGCAGAGUUUGAUGUUCAUUUUAUAAGGUAUAAAGUACUCAAUGGAGAAAUGGAAGUGGUAGAUAUAUACCAACAAAGCAUAAUAAGAUGGGAAACAUGUUGUGCGCAAAAUGCGGAAUCAAACGCACCGAAUAAUCACAGAAAGGACACAAGAAUUAUGUGGUUCAACAAUAUGCCUACGUCCACGGGAGUAAGAGAAAAAAUAAUUGUAUUAUUAACAAUUAUUUGAAUACAAAUUUGAGUAAAGAAACCUCACUUUCCCAGAACCCAAAUACACCCAAUACUCUCACACACACUCUACAAUUGCUCACACUCUCAGAACUCUCAAAAGCUUAGAAACUUAUAAGCUUAACAAAUUUUUAGGAUGCAAAAACCUCUAUGAAUGAAGCUCUAUUUAUAGUUAAGCUUCAUUGCAAAAAGUCUUAAAGUAGUUGGCAAAAGUCCUAUAAUUUGGUGCCGACUUGAAAAACAAAAGAAAUGCAUGUGGGUCACCUUUUCUUUUUCAACCAAUUUGAAUAAACUCACCAAAAAUCUUUGACUUUUUAACAAUUCUCCACCUCGUCAAAGAUUUGUCCAAAUAUGAGUCGACUACCAAUAAACCAUCAUUCUCAAAGUGAUCAUUCAAUAAGGAUCCAGAAUGGCUGUGUCGCUUUGACUGCCUACGUACCCAAAAUUUGGGAUCAAGCCAACCGUAGUUCAAAAUUCCCGAAUGACAUAACUUAAUACAAUCGAAGGAUUUGAAUUAGUUUUAAGCAAUGUUGAAACUUAACUCUAGAAACUACCUUCGUCAACAUAUCUGAUGGAUUAUCUUUGGUAUCGAUCUUUCUCAACAACACAACACCGCUCUCGAUAAUCUCCCUCACAUAAUGAUAUUUCACAUCUAUGUGCUUUGACCGAGCGUGAUAUGUUUGAUUAUUCGCAAGGAAUAUCGCACUUUGAUUAUCGCAGAAGACCGCAAUGUUCUCUUGGAUUAUUCCUAAUUCACCUAACAAGCUUUUCAACCAGAUAGCUUCUUUUACAGCUUCAGUUGCUACCAUAUACUCUGCUUCCGUAGUGGACAGAGCAAUUGUCGAUUGUAAAAUCGACCUCCAGCUAACCGGACCUCCAUCCAAUGUGAAUAAGUAGCCCGUUGUUGAUCUUCGCUUAUCUAGGUCUUCGGCGAAAUCAGAAUCACAAUACCCAACACAUUGUUGACCACAAUCCUUCUUGAACAAUAACCCAACAUCAACUGUCCCAUACAGAUAUCAGAGAAUCCACUUUACCACAAGCCAGUAAUUUUUACCCGAAUUGUGCAUGUAUCUACUAACUAUGCUCACUAAUUGAGAUAUAUCGGGCCUUGUGCAUACCAUAGCAUACAUAAGACUACUCACAACACUAGCAUAUGGAACACGAGCCAUGUAAUCACGCUCUUUUUGAGAUCUAGGAUAUGAAGAAGAGCUUAAUUUGAAAUGAGGAGCUAGAGGUGUACAUACUGGUUUAGUUUUGUCAUCCAUACCGAAUCUUUCUAGCACUUUUUUCAAAUAAGACUUUUAAGUCAACCAUACGCUCCCAUUCUUCUUGUCUCUACGAAUCUCCAUCCCAAGUAUUCUCUGUGCAUCACCCAAGUCUUUCAUCUCGAACUCAAAAGCCAGCUGCUUCUUUAAUCUUUCGAUCUCAUCUCUAUUCUUCGAAGCUAUAAGUAUAUUGUCGACAUAGAGUAACAAAUAGAUGAAAGCUCCAUCUAGUAGUUUUCUGAAGUAAACACAAUGAUCGUGUUCACUUCUGGUGAAUUUCUGCCCUUGUAUAAAUUGAUCAAAUCUUUUGUACCACUGCCUUGGCAAUUGCUUCAGUCCGUACAAAAAUUUAAUCAACUUACACAAAUGAUUCUCCUUUCCAGCAACUCUAAAACCACAAAGCUGAGUCAUAUAGAUUUCCUCCUCCAAAUCUCCAUGUAAGAACGUUGUCUUAACAUCUAAUUGAGCCAACUCUAACUCAUAUUCUGCAAUUAAGGCAAGUAGGAUACGAAUGCACGUAUGUUUUAUAAUUGGAGAGAAAACUUCAUUGUAGUCAAUACAUUCCUUUUGAGCAAAACCUUUUGCAAGGAGCCUUGCCUUGUAUUGAAGAGUUGAUUGAUUUAGAGAUCCUUGCUUCUUGGUGUAGACCCAUUUAUUGCCAAUACCCUUUUUCCCCUUUGGUAACUCCACAAGUUCCCAAGUCUGGUUUUGAUGGAGAGAUUUCAUCUCUUCUUCCACGGCUAACUUCCAUUGAUCACUUUCACUGCUGCAUAAUGCUUCACCGAAAGUGUUGGGGAUGUCAUCAUUAAUAACUGGAAGUGCAUAGGCUACUACCAUAUCUUUAAUAAGCCAUCCAGAUUUUUUUAUCUCUCUUUUUAGCCUCCUUGUUGCUAUAAAAUCAUCGUUUUCUACAUCAUCAAUUGUUUCUUCAUUUUGGGGGACAUCAGAAGAAAUAACCUCUUCUUCAACUCUAAGUGUCACCUCCAUAGUUGAACCAUUCUUUGAUGUAGAACUAACUGGUACAUAUGAAGUUACAUCAAACUCUACCUGCUGCAAUACCUCUUUGGUCUUGUUCUCCACUUGCUGAGAACUUGAAGCUUCAUCAAACGUGACAUCUCUACUACACACAAACUUUUUAUCUUCGAGAUCCCAAAGCUUGAAGCCCUUUACUCCAUCUUUGAAUCCCACAAAGAUAACUUUUCUAGCACGAGGAUCGAAUUUACCAUUUUUGACAUGAUAAUAAGUUGGACACUCGAAUAUACGAAGGGAAUCAUAGUUUUGUGCAUGUUUUCCAGACCACAUUUCCAUAGGAUUUUUACCUCCAAUUACAGCAGAAGGAAACCGGUUUAUUAAGUGACUUGCGUAGCUCACAGCUUCAGCCCAAAACUUUUUAUCUAAACCAGCAUUAGAUAACAUACACUGUACUUUCUCCAGCAAAGUACGAUUCAUACACUCAACCACACCGUUCUGUUGCGGAGUAUGUCUCACCGUGAAAUGUCUUUUAAUACCCUUAUUCUGGCAUACUUGCAAGAAUAGAUCAGAAGUAUAUUCACCCCCAUUAUCAGAUCGUAAUACUUUGAUCUUUCUAUCAGUUUGAGUCUCCACCAAUUUCUUCCAUUUCACAAAAAUCUCUAGAACCUCAUCCUUUGCUCGCAUGGUAUACACCCACACACGUCUAGAGAAAUCAUCAACAAAUGUAACAAAAUAAUAGUUUCCACCAAUUGAUGCAGUCUUGGUUGGUCCCCAUACAUCACUGUGAACAUAUUCAAAGAUCUCACGAGUAUCGUGAUUAGCCGUACCAAACUUGACCCUUAUUUUCUUGCCUACUACACCAUGCUCACAGAAAUUUAAUUUACAGGUUUUGGUACCUUUUAGAAGUUCAUACCUCAUCAGAGUUUUCAAAGACUUCUCUCAAGCAUGUCCUAGUAGAACAUGCCAUAACUUGGUGGUGUCACUGUGGGCCUCAGCAACAUUUGCUUCAUCAGUUGUACCUCCCUUCAAAUAGUACAAAUUGUGACGCCAAACUCCCUGCAGAAUGACUAUAGCCCUAUGUGCAAACUUCAUUGUGCCAUCUUCAAUAGUAACCUUGUAGCCUUUAGCUUCCAACGCACCCACAUAAAUUAGAUUUUUCUUUAAAGCUGGAACAAAUCUAAUCUCUUUAAGUUCUCUAAUCGUUCCAUCAAACAUUUUGAGCCGAAUUGUUCCUAUCCCCAUUGUACGACAAUGUUGAUCAUUCCUCAUCACAACAGCACCGGAUUCCAGAUUACGAAAAUCCGUAAACUAUUCUUUAAUAGGACACAAAUGAUAGGUUGCCCCAGUAUCAAGUAUCCACUCGCUCGAACUAGCCACGUAUGCUGCAGGAGUAAUAAUUAGUGAAUAAUCAAAGUCCUCAUCUUUUCGUGCCAUGUUUGUUGAUGCGGGUUUCUUCCCAUCUCUCUUUUGAGCUUUUGGACAAUUUUUCCUCCAAUGGCUUUUUUCAUGACAAAAGCCACACUCGUCUCGAGCUAUAUUUCUACUUCUCGAUUUAGAUCGAAAAUUCUUUCCACCAUGCUUAUUCUUUUUCUCCAUCGCCUAAUCUCUGCUCACCAAAGCUUCAGACGAUGCAUGUUCAUAAUUUUUAUCAUUAUUUCAAAUCUCUAAGUUAGUCAAUGCUGUGCAAACAUCUUUGAAGAUGAUCACACUUUUCCCAUAUAUCAAGGUAGUCACAAAAUGGCUAUAUUCCUCUGGUAGUGAGUGUAACAAAAUCAUAACCUUGACUUCAUCCUUAAUAUCUUCAUCAAGAUUCUUCAAAUCAGCAAGUAACUCUGGUAGUGUGUGAUGGUGCUAAGUCUUCACUUAGCCAGUCACUCAACAAUAUCUAGCGGAAGCAAAUAAAGUAACAAGCAUGCAAAGAUCCACAAUGGAGGUUUACGUAAGAGACUAAUUGAUGGUAUUCGAAGUCAGCAAAAAUAAAUACAUACUCUAAAUAAAUUGUGUAUAGUGAUUGAGUAGGGUCGUGUCCACAGAGAUUGGUAAUUAUUUAAAUCUUUUUAAAAUGAAAAAUGCAAAAUGGGGGAAUUGUUGACAAUAAUAAAAAUCAAAUUAAAAUAACAAGAAUGCAAAUUAAAAUUGUAAUUCAAAUUGGGAAAAGCUUUGGUUGAAGGAAUUAACUCAGCUUGAUUCGACUACUGAUCAUUGAUUCAAAUAUAAAUCAUUACUAUUAUGAAUAGACCAGUUAUAGCUACUGAGACCCUCUAAUAGCCAAUCUCUCCUUAACUAGUCGAUAACCAAGGUACGACCAUUGGUUAUUUCCCUAAUCAAUAGACAACCCUAGAUACGAUCAUAGGGUUUAAUCAAUUGACAGCCUGAAAAACCAGAGAGACCCAAAUCCUAAUCAACAAACGCAUACGAUGGUUCAUUUAAAUUAGAUUGUUUAUUCUCAUAACACAACGCACUGCUAUGCUAUUUUGUCACAAACAUUAAAAUCUUCAUACGAUGAAUCUUUUAAUUGACAAUAGAUUAAGUUGAUAAUUAAAUAGUGGCCAAUUAUCUAAUUAACAAACAUAAUCAUGACAAUAAUUUAGAGAAUGAACAAAUAUCCAAAAAGUAAUAAAACAAUUAAAGCAUAAGAAAGAUCUCACAGUAAUGAUGAAUCAAAGCUUUAUUAACCUUCAACCAGAAUAAUAGAUUUAGUUCUUCAUAGAGAGAAGAGAAAAAUUUAGAUCUAGAGUUUCUUUUUCUUCCCUCCUCUUGAAAAAUUCUCCUCCCCUUUGUUUUUCAUGUCUCCUUUCUCUUAUAGAGUUUUUCCAAAAAUAAAAUACUAAUAUCUAAAAUAUUAUCUAAAUAUUAAAUUCAAAAUUACAAAAAUAACCAAAAAGGUAAAACACGUUAAAAUAAAAACUGCAGGUCCUUAGUCGACAGCACGCGCCCAUGCCUUAUCAACAAAGUUCUUCUGAAGCUCAUAAUUUCUCUAGGAAAACAAUCAUCUUCAAACAUCAUCUUGUAGCUCAAUUUUAGCACCAAUCAAUAGAAUUGUACCUACAAAAAUAAAACAGAAGUAAAUCACUAUUAUUAAGUGCAAAACAUCGAUAUUAAAGGAAGUAAACAAUGCAAAAUUAGUGCAUAGAUUGCACUCUAACAAAUUCCCCCACACCAAGAUAAUGCUUGUCCUCAAGCAUAUAACUCAAGACUAAUCUCAAAUCUCCACUCAAUUCUCAUCUCAACUCAUCCAAAAACAAUCUUAAGCAAAUAUAUCUUAAGAAUUUAAGUCAAUCAACAUUCGAGAGACAAGGAUUUUAAAGCAUAGGAUCUCAUAAGCUAGUAUAAAAACAUUCAACCACCCAGAAAAUCCAUUCAAAAUUCAAGUGCAACAAGUUUUAAUAGCCCUCUCAUUGACUUCACUCCAUCUCAAAGUGUUUAGGGUAUCAUUUAUGCACUCCAAUCAAAUCAAAGAAUGCUAUUACCGUAAGCUUGCUCAUAUAUCACAUCUCAAUCCACAAAACAAGAAUUAAAUGCAAAAAUUUAAGGGUCUUAAAAAGGUUGUAACGGGGUUAAAUGGGUUGAAUGAAAAAUAAAGGUCUAUGAAAGAAAAAGAGGUCAAAAUGAGAAGAAUGAACUCAUUGAAUGAACCUUAUGAUAUCAAAAUGCUUAUUUCUACUCAAGUCGCCAAGAAUGUAAACACUUUUUUUUUCAUUCAUUUUUUUUUCAGUAAUGGUGAACCAAACAAAAGAAAUGAACCUUGCAUAAUUUAAUUCAAGCAUAAUGCUUGUUGAUCUAAUUGAGAAACUUUAAUUCAAGGUAGCAAGAGCAACAAAAUAUAUACAAAAUAUAUCCAAACAAUGAGUCCAAAAAUCUCCUUAAAUUGAGGCUCAAAAAGAAGGAAAAUGGGUAAGUAGUUGGAGAGAAUUAGAUGGGUAAAAAUAAUAAUAAUAAUAAAACAAGUGAAGAGAAUGCUUAAGGCUCAAACAAAGAUAACAAAUAAAGGUCUUCGGGUGGAGAAAAAGAAGAAAAAUGCGAAAAUAGAAAAAUGGAAAUUGGUUUGCCCUUAUCAUUUUAGUGCAUAAAAUCCCGUAAUGCAGCUUCAACAUGCAUAACAAAGCAAGUUCUAGCAUAAACAAACUAAGAUUGAUAUUCACAUAACAAAAAUAAUUAGAGCAAAGUGGUUGCUCAUAGGCUCAAAUCCUCACAAAGUUGGUAAAUUUGCCAUCAAAUCAUGUACACUCUUCAAAUGAAUCAACCAUCAAUAGUGGUGUAGAAUGAAAAGAAGAUAUGAGUGAUAUAUAAAAGGAAAGGUAAAAAGGAUAAGAAGCGAGAAAGAUAUAUGUAGUAAUAUAAAAAAUAAAAAUAGAUGUAAAUAAUUUGAAAUAGAUGGGAAAAGAGUAGUGAGAAAGAAAAGAAAAUUAAAAAUAAUAUAUGAAGCAUACUAACUCCAAAAUCAUUUAAGGAUGAACAGAGUGAAAAUAAUACUUUCAGACAUCAAUAUUGCAAAAAUCCCUCCCCCACACCAUGAACUCACAUUGUCCUCAAUGUAUGAUAAUCAAAGCUCACAUAAAGAAAUAAAGCGUAAGGAUACAAGAUUAAAGGCAAAACGUCCCUGAAUUGUGAGCUUUGAUCCACAUAACGUAUAUGGGCUUGGCGGAAAUGGUGGGAUAAAUCCCACACUCUCGAAGUAUGCGGCCAAAUUCUGCUCCAUCUUGUUCAGCUUGUGCUCCAUUUUCUCUAACUAAAUGCUCAAAGGUGGUGCAGAUGUAGAAGGAAUAGUUGGUGGGGCAGCAGUUUCGUCGUCAAACUUGUCAUCAGAGGUAGCACCACUCCUAGCAUAAAGCUUCUUUAGAAGUUGAGUGGGUCCUGGUUCAGUAAACUGAAAUCUCCCCUCCUUGAAUUCGACCACACCUGUUUUUUCAAACAAAGACAUAUCCAAAAAUUCCUUUUUGCAAGCAGGAUGUAAAUCAUUAUUGUUAGGAUCAAGCACACAUAAGUUUAUAGCUAACAGAGUAAUGUAUGGACCAAGAAAUAAAGUCCUAUACCUUUUAAGCACACUCUGAAAUUGAUCUGCUAACCAAAAACCUAGAUUAGGCCUCACAUAAUUUAACAUGCACCAGAUAAAAUAAAACUCAGUUUGAGAGAAAACUUCAGAGUAAUCUUUCUUUCAUAAAAAGUUAUAUGCUAAGAACCGAUGCACACAUUUCAAAAUAUGAUCACGUAAGAAAGAGCUCUUUGAUUUACUCGGGUCAUAGGCAUUGUGAUCAAAAGAUAAAUUACGCCAAAGACCAUAAGGCUCAAAAUUUUCUCUAAAAUCACAAGUUGUCCCUAAAGAUGCAUCAUUAGAAGAAUAAUCAUCAUCAAUGAAUCCUAAAGCUAGGUUAAAAUCUGUGAUAGAUUAUGAAAAAUUUCGUCCCAUUAACCUAAACUUUAUAACAUUCGGAGUAUGCAAAGUAAAAUUAUUUGGUAUAUUAAAUUGAAAAGUAGCAUAGAACUCCCUAAUCAACUCAACAUAACCGAAACAAUCAACAUCAACAAAAUUACGCAAACCAAUCUUAUCUAUCAAAGAAUUAAAAUUAUCUUUAACAUUCAAUUAUUCAAGAGUCGGGUAAUGAAUAUACUUAGCUGGAAGUAUUUUUCGCUUGGAAAUAUCUUUGUACUUUUCUUUCUUUUGUUGAGCCGUGAAUGUGAGGCACCCUCCGAGGUUGGAUUUAGCAAGUGGCAAAACACUCAUGCCUUUUCCAUGUUUCGAUCUUUGUCUCACGGCUCGGCGUGAAUUUGAAACUGUGUUCCAUGGGACCGUAGUGGGAGCAGCAGUCUUGGAUUUCUUUGCGACGGGUUUUGUUUUAGACGUUGAUGACUUGGAAGUUGAUGCUUUCCUCUUCGGCAUUGUUACAGUAAUUUCACUCACGGGUUUUGUUUGAAUGCGAAAAGCGGCGGUUCUUUGAACAGAGGAGAGUGAGGCUGUGCGAGUUGCUGGACGCGGCAAGGAUGUGCUGGAAACCGAUUGCAACGCGCUGGAAACACUGGUACAGUUGGUUGCUGGACUGGUUGUGCUGCUGGAGUGAGGAGAUGCGGCUGGUGCUGCGCUGCUGGUUGCUGGAGAUGCGGCUGCUGGAGUGAGGAGACGCGGCUGGGGACGCGAGACGUGGCUACUGACGGGAUGUUGGAUGCGGCUGCUGCUGGGAUGCCAGUCAUACGUUAGGGAUUAAAACCCUGAAAAAAAAACCUUUUUUCCGAUUAAUUUUUCAAAUAAAAUAAAAAAAAACCUUUUUUUUUCGAUUUUUUUGUAUCAAAUAAAAUAAAAAAAUAAAAUAUAUAAAAAAAACCUUUUUUAUUUUUUUAUUAUUGAAACUAAAAACUAAAAGAGACUUGAGACAUAAAAAAAAAUUCCAGAAGUACUUUUUUAAUAAGCAUAUGGGCAGCCCUUAAAACUAUUUUACUUUAAAAUCACAAAACUACUUAUUAGUAAAAACAUGGGCACGCCUAACCAAAAAUUUUCUUCUGGCCAAAAUAAGAAAAAACAUUAUUUAAACAAUCUGAAUCAAAAUUAAAACAAAUGAUAUAACAAAAAUCAAAAUAAAUAAAUCAUUUGGGUUGCCUUCCAAAAAGCGCAUUUGUUUUAUGUCUUUGGCUAGACACAUUCAUGCAUCAAUCUUCAUAAAUUGGACUCUCGAGAGCCACUUCCUCCACAAUAUACACCAAAAAACCUUUAUAAAAAGGUUUUAAGCGAUGUCCAUUAACCUUAAAAACUUUGUCAGAGGUUGGACUCCGAAUCUCAACUGCACCAUGAGGAAAAAUAUUAGUAACAAUAAAAGGUCCUACCCAACAAGAGCGUAAUUUACCAGGAAAAAGUUUAAGCUUAGAAUGAAAAAGAAGAACUUUUUGACCAACAAAGAACUCCUUUCUCAAAAUCAUUCUGUCAUGAAAUGUCUUCGUCUUUUCCUUGUAAAAUCGCGAACUCUCAUACGAUUUGUUUCGAAUCUCCUCCAACUCUUGCAGCUGCAACUUUCUCUGCUUUCCCGCUUCAUCCAUCCGCAUAUUGCAUUGUUUAACCGCCCAGUAUGCUCUGUGCUCAAGCUCUACAGGUAAAUGACAAGGAUUACCAAAUACUAAACGAUAAGGAGACAUACCUAUGAGAGUUUUGUACGUGGUGCGAUACACCCACAAUGCAUCAUCUAAUCGUAAGCUCCAAUCCUUUCGAUUUAGACCAACCGUCUUUUCAAGAAUAGACUUGAUUUCUUUGUUUGAUAUCUCAGCUUGUCCACUUGUUUGUGGAUGAUAGGCGGUAGUCACUCGGUGGGUAACAUGAUAUCUCUUAAACAAAGCCUCCACCACCCGAUUACAGAAAUGAGUGUCUCUAUCACUUAUCACUGCUCUCGGUACACCAAACCUGAGAAAAAUAUUAGACUCGACAAAAUCUACAACUUCAUCAUUGUUAGUCCGGGUGGCCUUAGCCUCUACCCACUUAGAAACGUAAUCCACUGCUAAAAGAAUGUAAGCAUUGCCAAAAGAUGAGAGAAAAGGUCCCAUAAAAUCAAUGCCCCACACAUCGAAUAUUUCACACACAAGAAUAAGGGUAAGUGGCAUUUGAUUCUUAUGACUUAAAUUGCCAGCCUUUUAACAAUUCUCACACGACUUACAAAACAUGUAUGAAUCAUAAAAUAAAGUAGGCCAAAAUAUACCACAUUCUAACACCUUAGAUGCUGUCCUUUUGGGACCAAAAUGACCACCACAUGCAUAUGAGUGACAAAACUGAAGAAUAAAAGUUAUUUCAAACUCAGAUACGCACCUUCUGAUGACUUGGUCAGAGCAAUGUUUCCACAAGUAAGGGUCAUCCCAAACAUAGUACUUAGCAUCGCUUUUAAUCUUAUCUUUUUGAGCCCUCGUCAGAUCACUAGGUAGAGUUCUUGUAACUAAGUAAUUGACAAUGUCAGCGUACCAAGGAACCAUACCUUGAGUUACAAAGAGAUGCUCAUUUGGAAAAUCAUCCUUCAAAGGUGUUACUUCUUCACUCGUGGUCAAUCUACUAAGGUGGUCUGCAACCAAGUUUUCUGCUCCUUUCUUGUCACGGAUCUCCAAGUUGAACUCUUGAAGUAGUAGGAUCUAGCGGACGAGUCUCGGUUUCGCUUCCUUCUUGGCGAGCAAAUAUUUGAGAGCUGCAUGGUCAGAAAAAAUAAUCACUUUAGUGCCCAAUAAAUAUGAACGGAAAUUUUCUAAAGCAAAAACCAUAGCCAAAAUUUCUUUUUCCGUUGUUGCGUAAUAUAUCACAUGAGCAGCUCUUCCAACCAUUUGUCGGAGAACAACACCAACAGCAUAGUUACUGGCGUCGCACAUUAUCUCACAAGGGAGGCUCCAGUCGGGUGGCUGUAUAAUUGGAGCUGAAGUCAAUAACUCCUUGAGCUUAUCAAAUACUACCUUGCAUGCUUCAUUAAAAUCAAACGUCACAUCUUUCUGAAGCAGCUUGCAUAGAGGCUGAGCUAUCUUCGAAAAAUCCUUGAUAAAACGUCGAUAGAAACUUGCGUGACCAAGGAAAAAACGAACUUCCCGCACACAUGUGGGAUAGGGUAAAGAUUUAAUAACAUUUAUCUUACCUUUAUCUAUCUCAAUUCUUCUAGCAGAGACUACAUGACUUAAAAUAAUGCCUUGAUCUACCAUAAAAUGACAUUUUUCAUAAUUCAAGAUAAGGUUUGUUUCAAUGCAUCUUUCAAGCACUUUCUUCAGAUUAUAGAGACAAUCAUCAAAAGAAUCAGCAUAGACAGUAAAAUCAUCCAUAAAUACCUCUAUAAUGUUCUCUACAUAGUCUAAAAAAAUACUGACCAUGCACCUCUGAAAAGUGGCGGGAGCGUUACAAAGACCCAAUGGCAUACGUCAGUAUGCAAAGGUUCCGAAAGGACAUGUAAAGGUAGUCUUCUUCUGAUCCUCAAGGGCAACUGGUAUCUGAUGAAAACCUGAAUAGCCAUCAAGACAACAAAAGUGAGAUUUUCUGCCAACCUUUCAAGCAUCUGAUGAAUAAAAGAAAUAGGAAAAUGAUCAUUCCUUGUGAGUGAAUUAAGCUUUCUAAAAUCAAUACAAACCCUCCACCCAUUCUGAACUCGGGUGGGUACUAACUCACCAUAAGAAUUCUCAACAAUUGUUAUAUCAGUUUUCUUCGGUACCACUUGUACCGAACUUACCCAUUUGCUAUCCGAAAUUGGAUAGAUUAUACCUGCAUUAAGAACUUUCAGAAUUUCUUUCUUCACUACUUCCAUCAUGAGUGGAUUCAAACGGCGUUGAGCUUGAAUCGAAGGUUUGGCAUCUUCCUCCAGCAGUAUUCUAUGCAUGCACGUGGAUGGACUUAUCCCUUUAAUAUCAGCAAUUGUCCACCCAAUAGCCUUUUUGUAAUCCUUCAACACUCUAAUAAGCUUUUCUUCCUCUAAAGUAUUAAGCUUUGAAGAGAUGAUCACCAGAAGUGUCUCACUAUCUCCUAGAAACAUGUACUUUAGAUGACUCGGCAGUGGUUUAAGCUCUAUUUUCGGUGCCUGCAAAAUAGAUGGAAGAAGUUUUACAUGAGAUAAAAGUAAUUCAAUAUAAGACAUAUGAUGAGUUAAAGUUCUCAAAGAAUUUAAUUCAUAAAUUGUCUCUUGCAAUACAGAAUUUAAAACAAACUCAUUUUCAUCAUUUUGCAAUCCUUUGAGGCCUAAACUGUUAUUUAAAGCAGCUAUCAAUGAAUCUUCAACAUCCAAAUAAAAAACUUCCUGCACUAUAGGGUUAAUAACAUCCACAGAAAAUACCGAAUGUUCCUCACGAGGAUAUUUCAUGGCAUAAUUCAUAUUGAACUCUAUAACCUCUCUAUCAAACUCCAUAGUGAGAGUGCCUUUAUGUACAUCCAUUUUAGUCCUAGCAGUCUUAAGAAAAGGUCUUCCUAGCAAAAUUAGGACAUAAUUAGAAGAGUUAUCCUCUUCCAUAUCAAGUACAUAAAAAUCAGUAGGAAAAACCAACUCAUUAACUUGUACUAAGACAUCUUCUAAUACCCCAUCAUGAUAUGCAUUAGACUUAUUAGCUAGUUGAAUUAUCACGCCAGUUUCUUUUAAUGGACCAACAUUCAAAGAUGAAUAAAUAGAAUGAGACAUGACAUUAAUAGAAGCUCCUAGAUCUAACAUAGCCUUUUCAACUCUAACACUACCAAUUUUGCAAGGGAUAGUAAACAUACCUAGAUCCUUGCACUUAGGAGGUAGUUUCUUUUGGAGAACUGCUGAAACAUUCUCCCCCAUGUGAACUCUUUCAUCUCCUCUUAAUUUUCUCUUGGAGGUGCACAGCUCCUUAAGGAAUUUAGCAUAUCGAGGUAUUUUUUUAUAGCAUCUAAUAAAGGAAUAUUUACCUCAACCUUGCGAAAUGUCUCAAGAAUGUCUUUCUCUUGUUCCUCCUUCUUGGAUUUUGCAAACUGGCUUGGAAAAAGAAGAGGUAUCACCACAAGUAGGGGUUUUGCUCUGGUGGGUUGAGCAUCUUGAGAUUUAGGCAUCAAUUCAUUCUUCUCAAGCUCAUCUUCUACAUGCUUUGUCACUUUCUUACUAGGCUCUUGCAACUCCUUCCCACUUUUAAGGAUGACAGCACUAGCGUUUUGCUUUGGAUUCACCUAAGAUUGUGAAGGCAAUCUCCCUGAUGCUUGAGACUCCAGGCGGCUUAUUGUAGUCGCCAAUUGACUAAUUUGGUUCUCCAAAUUCUAAAUGCUUGUUGUAGUUGCCUGAUAAAAUUGUUGAGUAUUAGUCCAAGUGAUUUAAUAAUUUCUUCAAGAGAUAUACCUGACUUGGAGUUUGACUGUGGAGGGGCUGGUUGUCUUGGUGAGUAUUGUUGUGGGAAUCCUGAUGGUCUAACUCCAUAGCUGAAGUUGGGAUGAUCCUUCCAUCCCGGAUUGUAUGUUUGUGCAUAAGGAUCAUACCUCCUCUGAGGCAUGCCUGGAAAUCCUCCAACUACAUUGGCUUGUUCAACGAGUUCUUCUUGAAGUGUCGGACACAUAUCAGUUGAAUGACCAUAUUAGAACAAAUGCCACAAGUCUUCACCUGUUGCACAUUACCUACAAUAAACUUUUUCACAAGAGAAGUAAGUUUAUCUAAACGUUGUUCAAUAGAAGAAAUAUUUACCUCAUUCACCUUCCUUAAAGUGGGAUCUUGCAUGCUGCCAAACUGUUGUGCAUUGGCAGCCAUAUUUAAGAUCAACUCCCUUACUUGAGUAGGGGUCUUGUUCACCAAUACACCUCCACUAGCAGCAUCUAUCAUACUCCUAUCCAUCAAUGACAGUCCUUCGUAAAAGUAUUGAAUAAGAAGUUGAUAAAAAAUCUGAUGCUGAGGACAACUAGCACACAAUUGUUUGAAUCGCUCCCAAUACUCAUACAAAGUCUCCCUAGGAAGUUGUCUGAUCCUAAAAAUAUCUUUUCUGAUGUUAGCAGCUCUUGAAGCAGAAAAGUACUUCUUAAGGAACUGCUUCUUCAAACCAUUCCACAUUGUAAUCGAUCCAGGAGGCAAGUAGUACAACCAGUCUUUAGCUAGCCCAUCUAAAAAGAAAGGAAAAUCACGCAGCUUAAUCUGCUCUUCAGUCACGCCUUGUGGCCUCAUACUUGAAUAGACAACAUGAAACUCCUUGAGAUGUUUAUGAGAAUCUUCACCGGCAAAACCAUGAAACUUGGGUAACAAAUGAAUAAGACCAGACUUUAAUUCAAAAUUUACCUCCAAGUCUACAUAUUGAAUGCAGAGUGGUUGCUGAUUCAAGUUUGGUUCAGCUAACUCUCUAAGAGUUCUUUCUACAAGUGUAACUCUAUCCAUCACUUGUUCUUCUGAAUCGCUAGAUGAUUCAACCAAAUCAGGCACCGUAUCUGUUUCAUAAAGCAAAGGCGACGAGGAUUGUUACUUAGCUCACUUCGUCUGCUGUCUCAGCUGGUGAGCUGUCUUCUUAAUUUCAGGAUCAAACGAAAGUGUACCUGUACGAGAAGUACGAACCAUACACCAAGUAAAACGUAAAAAGGAUUAAAUAAACGACACCAAUCCCCGGCAACGGCGCCAAAAUUUGAUGGUUGUCGAAGCCUGCAAAAAUAAAUAACUACUCUAAAUAAAUUGUGUAUAGUGAUUGAGCAGGGUCGUGUCCACAGAGAUUGAUAAUUAUUUAAAUCCUUUUAAAAUGAAAAAUGCAAAAUGGGGGAAUUGUUGACAAUAAUAAAAAUCAAAUUAAAAUAACAAGAAUGCAAAUUAAAAUUGUAAUUCAAAUUGGGAAAAGCUCUAGUUGAAGGAAUUAACUCAGCUUGAUUCGACUACUGAUCAUUGAUUCAAAUAUAAAUCAUUACUACUUAUGAAUAGACCGGUUAUAGCUACUGAGACCCUCUAAUAGCCAAUCUCUCCUUAACUAGUUGAUAGCCAAGGUACGACCAUUGGUUAUUUCCCUAAUCAAUAGACAACCCUAGAUACGAUCAUAGGGUUUAAUCAAUUGACAGUCUGAAAAACCAGAGAGACCCAAAUCUUAAUCAACAAACGCAUACGAUGAUUCAUUUAAAUUAGAUUAUUUAUUCUCAUAACACAACGCACUGCUAUGCUAUUUGUCACAAACAUUAAAAUCUUCAUACGAUGAAUCUUUUAAUUGACAAUAGAUUAAGCUGAUAAUUAAAUAGUGGCCAAUUAUCUAAUUAACAAACAUAAUCAUGACAAUAAUUUAGAGAAUAAACAAAUACCCAAAAAGUAAUAAAACAAUUAAAGCAUAAGAAAGAUCUCACAGUAAUGAUGAAUCAAAGCUUUAUUAACCUUCAACCAGAAUAAUAAGUUUAGUUCUUCAUAGAGAGAAGAGAAAAAUUUAGAUCUAGGGUUUCUUUUUCUUUCCUCCUCUAGAAAAAUUCUCAUCCCCUUUGUGUUUCAUGUCUCCUUUCUCUUAUAGAGUUUUUCCAAAAAUAAAAUACUAAUAUCUAAAAUAUUAUCUAAAUAUUAAAUUCAAAAUUACAAAAAUAACCAAAAAGGUAAAACACGUUAAAAUAAAAACUGCAGGUCCUUAGUCGACAGCACGCGUCCAUGCCUUAUCAACAAAGUUCUUCUGAAGCUCAUAAUUUCUCCAGGAAAACAAUCAUCCUCAAACAUCAUCUUAUAGCUUAAUUUUAGCACCAAUCAAUAGAAUUGCACCUACAAAAAUAAAAUACAAGUAAAUCACUAUUAUUAAGUGCAAAACAUUGAUAUUAAAGGAAGUAAACAAUGCAAAAGUAGUGCAUAGAUUGCACUCUAACACUAAUUCCACCAACAACAAAGAACUAAAACCACAAGGAUUAAAAUACACAAAAAUACACACAUUUGCUUUUUACGGAGGUCCCAACAGUGAAUUUUCUAUUUCUGUAAAUUUGAAAAGAUAACAAAUAACUCAGGGUUUUGCAUGCUCAAGGACACCACUCUAUUUACCAAAACUCAGGAUCCCCAAAACAUACUUUCCCAUCACUAUAUAUAAGGCGAGGAGGCACACUGCCCUCGUUCCAUCUCAAUUAUUUCUUCUAAUGUUUAGGCACUACUAAGCAUGUUGUGAGGAAGCACAUCUCCACUCCCCCUUGAGUAAAACAACCGCUACCCACUUAGCCUAGAAGUAAGGAUGUCAUGGAGUGUAACCGUCGCUGCCCACCUUUCUUGAUGAGUAACCGUCACAGCCUACUUCCUUUGCCCCCAUUUUCUAGGCAUGUUAUCCAAGGUCAUGCUCUCUCAUUAGUUACACCCACAACUACCUACUUCAUGCUUAAUUUUAGGUCUCAUUUUUAUUUAUAGCCAAUAAGCUCCACAUUCAACUGCCAUUGUUUGCACACAGAGUGCGUGCAAACGCCUCUUAUCUUUGCAUAGUUUGGCCCCUGUGCAUUCCCUAUUGUGAUACGCUACCUCUACAUACGUUUGCGCUACUGCCACGCGUCAUCCCGUGCGUCCUUUGGGCCCUAUGCGUCCUGCGGUCCUGCACCAUAUGCGUCCUACGUUCACGACCUACACGUCCACACACUUAUGAGAUGUUGCGUGCGUUGUCGAUGGCUUCAAACCCGACAUAAAUUUGAAGAGCUUGUCCUCAUCUAACUCGUUCUUAAUGUACAACAUUAGUGAACUGAAUUCCUUAAUGUAAUACCUCAUUAAUUCAUUAUGCCUUAGCUUUUUCUUCAAGCUUUCUCUCGCGAGCCAGCUAGUAUAUCCUGGUAGGAACUGACCCUUUAGUUUUCAUUUGAGUUUGUCCUAUAUUUCUAUUGCUGAUCACUGCACUUCAACAUCUUCUUAAAGUCUGCUCCAUAUCCCACAUAAAACUCUUCAACUCUUUGGCAUUCCGAGUCCCAUUAUAAGUCUUAGGUUUGGGCACCUUAACUUUCAAAAGUCCAUCCUUCGAACGAGAAGUGUUGUUUGCUGCCCGCUUCAACAACCCAACUUCCGUUUCGAGAUCCCCAAUGUCAACUUUCAGCACCUUCGCUAAUGCAGCAACAUCCUUAUCAUCUUAUUUAGCUUGUCCAAAAACUCAUUCACAAACUCUGUGCAAGUUAGUCUCACACUUGGUAUCUUGAUGGAGUUGAUUUCUUUGUUCUCAGCCAAACUCUCCAAGUCAGGUUGUAAAAUACCUACAAUUGCCUCCAAGUGCACUGACUUGUCCUUUGUUGAUGGCCUCAUCAUUUUGGUUUCUGUCAUUGUUAAUUUCUCCGAAAUUAUACAACUUUACUAUUGCACCGUAGCUUCCCUAAAACCACACAAUCAGCUGUUUGCAAACUAAUUUUAAUUGAAGCUUGCAAUCAAUUGCCACCUACAACAAGUUAUAAUCGUGCUUUGUAACUGAAUUCUGCAAACCCAACUAUGCCUUCUAAUAUUAGUUUCUUCUCAAAAUGAAGCAACCUUUUCUUUGAUACUAGUUGUCACCGAGACUUAUCUUAAGGAUGUGGCAACCCCACGUGAUGGUGUUAAGUCUCUGUUUAGCCAGCCACUCAACAAUGCUAACGAAAGCAAAUAAAGCAACAAGCAUGCAAAGACUCAUAAUGGAGGUCUUACAUGAAAGAUUGAUUCCACCAACAAAAGGAAACUAAAAUAGCGAGUAUUAAAGUUCACAAAAAUGCAUACUAUUUGCUUUUUACGAAGGUCCCAACCCCUAAAUUUUCUAUUUCUGCAAAUAAGAAAAGAUUACAAAUAGCUCAAGGGUUUUGUAUGCUCAACAACACUACUCUCUCUACCAAGACCUGGGAUCGCCAAGACAUACAUUCCCAUCACUAUAUAUACUAGUUUGCAAAUGACGCCCCCGUUUGCUAAGGCAAGGUGGAGCACAACCCUCGCACUACCUCAAUUCUUCUCCUAAAGUUUAGGCAUCAUUAAACAUGUUGUGAGGAAGCACAUCUCUACUCCCUCUCGAAUAAAGCAACCACUACUCGCUUAGCCUAGUUGUAAGGAUAUUAUAGAGUGUAACCAGCAGUGCCCACCUCUCUUGAUAAGUAACCACCACUGCCUACUUCUUUUACCCCUAUUUUCUACGCAUGUGAUCCAAGGCCAUGUUCUCCCAUUAGUUGCACCCACAACUACCCACUUCAUGUUUGAUUUUAGGUCCUACUUUCGAAGAAUUUGUAGCUAACAUGCUCUGCAUUCAACCACCACUGUCCCCACACAGUGAGUGCGCGAACGCCUCUUAUCUUCGCAUAGUUUGGCCCCCGUAUAUGUCCCACUGUGCUGCAAGUUUGUACGCAACCCCCGCAUGCAUUUGCGCUACUGCCUCGCGCCAUCCUGCAUUCUACCCACAUGGCCUGUGCGUGUCCUAUACGUCCCGCACGCCCCAUGCAUCCCCUGCCCGCAUGCCCCAUGCUUCCAGUGCUCGCACACCUGCAUUUCCAUGCGCUUAUGAGAUAUUGUGUGCAUUGCCACUGCAUGCCCUUGCGCACGCUUUCUCACUCUCUCUGUGCUUUUCCUUUAGCUUACGCUUGUUACCGUGCCCCAAUCUACGCAUUAGCCUUGCCUUACUUUCGUGUUUGCCUAGGAGCAUGCUCAUGUUGCUUCCACGCUUGGCAUAAGGCGACAAGCCAAGCCUAGGCAUUUGGUCAUCAUGACUCACGACAACGACACUCACCUACUAUACAAUGCAAAACCAAACAAACAAGUUACACCUCUCUAGUCACUAGUCUUGACGUACAAGUCUUUCAAUUCAUGUCUCAACUCUCCCUCAAACACUCCAUUCCAUACGUCAGUGUGUUUGAAAAAUAUGAGUUAUUUAAUGUUGUAUGAUAUUAAUUGGUUUUAUUAUUAAUUAUCAACUUAUUAUUUUUGCAAUUUGUUAUGACACAUAAAAGAUCAUAUUAUUCAAUAUCUCAAUUGAAUAUAUGAAGUGAGUAAGUAUAAUAUUACUCUUUCCAUAAUUGAUAAGUAAGGAUGGCAAAAAGACCAGACCCCGUCCUUGUCUGAUUAACCUAAUUUAAUUUUUAGGAUCUUUAAUUGAAUUUAAAGGGUCAAGGAUUAGGUUUCGGCCCGAUUACAUUCAAGUCUAGGUUAGGACUUUACUAAAAAUUCCUAACUCAACCUUUGACCCUUCAAUUAAUUUUCAAAAUUAAAAAAUAUAAUACUUAAAAAUUAAAGCACAUACACUACAAAUAUGGUCAGAACUCACUCCUCAAAUUAAUAGUAUUUUGUAUUCGAUUUAUUUACUUGUUAAUUUGGUUAGAUUUUUACAUGUUGUAUUUUCGUUAAAGCUAAAUAAAAAGUUAAUUUAUUAAAUUCCUUACAACCAAAUUUAUCAUAAAAUGGAACAAUAAUAGUACAAUAUAAUUAAUAAAGAAUGAAGAGUUGGAGUCUUACUCUAAAAAAGUAUCUAAAAAUUAAAAAGGUUAUUGCAAGGUGCGGAUAAAGCCCAAGGCUGAACCUGACCUGAAAAAGGUUGACCCUGGCCCAACCCUCAGUUUUGAGGAUCAAACUUUUGAAAACUAAGACCCUUUAUUUUUAAUCAUAGGGGCAAGGCUAGGGGUUGGCCAAGCUUGAGCUCAACUAGAUCGAUUGCCAAACUUAUUGAUAAGAAAAUAAUUAAUAGAGUUGUGAUAUUUGACCCUUCGUUGUAUCUCACCAGCCCCCACUAAUUACUUUUAUAUAAUAUUAUUUUAUCUUUGUAUGAAAUAAUUUAAAAGGGUAAAUGACUUUUAAGUGCACCCACAUGAUAAUUUUCAUUAAUAUAUAAUUUAAGUAAUCUAUUUUCUUAAACCUUAAUUUCUUUAAAUUUUUUAAAUUAUUAUUUCUUCUUAAAUAUUGUAUACUUUACUUUUGGAAGAAAUUAAUUUAUAGCACUCAAUAGAAGAUGAUGAAGAAAUAUUUUUUUUUAUGGUUAUGGUAAUGAUGGAUAAAUCUUUAAAGAGAGAGAGAGAGAAAGAGAAAGAGAUUAUAGUGAUUUUGAGAUUUUGAGAUUUUUUUUUCUUUUUGAAGUAGAUUUUAUAAAUUUCAUUCGGUGGGUGCUUGGAAAAAAAGAUAAAAAAAUCAUAAUAAAGAUAAAUUUGCGAUUCAAUGGAGUAAUAGACAAAAAUUAGUUUAAAAUUUUUAAUAACGUUAACUGAAAAGGGAUUGGUAAAAGGGUCAGGCUACAGUGCAACGGGUGGUACCGUGCCACAGUUUCACCAGCCGUUGGGUUCACUCAAAUGCGUGGGGUCUACUUGAAUAAGUGGGAAUCCAACGGUUGGGUGCAACUGUGGCACGGUACCACAGUUGCACCACAAUUUUAUCCUUGGUAAAAUAUAAUAAGAGGGUCAAAUCUACCACUCUAAUUAGUAUCGUUUUACUCAAAAGUUUUGCUUAAAAGUUUUACUUAUAAAUUUUGGAUUUUGACCAGCUUUAAAUAUAAAAAAAAAAUUGAGAAAAAGUUACUUUAAAAUAUCCAUACAUCAUCCCAAAAAGUUGUACCCAAAAAAAAAAAAAGGCCCAUUCUGGUUAAAUUCAAAAUUAAAAACCCGGCCCGUUUCCCCACUUAAGACCCUCCUAGCAGUUUUAAAAUUUUUUCCCAGCGAAGAAUAGAAGUGAUGGCAGCUGCUCUAGCUUCCGACGCAUCGCAAUGGGAAUUUAGCUGGUUUUAAUUCUCUCUCUUAGCUAUUUCUGUUUCUUUAUUUAACAUUGUGAUAUAUAUUUAUUAUGCUAGAGGUUCUACUAAGUCUCCCUUUACUGGGACUUUUCUCAUCUUGGGAAAUGUUAAUUUUGCCUUAUUUAUUCAAUAUUGUUAUCUUCCACUGUCAAUAAAUUUUAUGCUUUGGUUGGUUAUUCAAUGUGGGUUUGUUCCAUUUUGUUCUUACGCUGUUUGUAUAAAUAUUGAAGGUUUGUUUUUGAAGAUGGCUUUCAGUUAAUUGCCUUCAAAGCUUUAUUUCCUAAAAGAGGAAAGAAAAAUAUACCAAAAUGUUUAAUUUCUACUGCUAUAUGUUUGCGUUUUUAGCUUCUGCUAUGCUUUGUAUUGUGUUGUUUGUGUUGGUAUUAAUGCUAGAAAGAUGUUUUCUUUUCUAAUCUGAUUGCCUAGAAUGAAUAUGAGGUGGUUAUUGAGUUGCAAUAUAUCAAAUCAAUUGAAGUCAUCUGCUUCGUAGGUUUUGAUUCUAUAAAUUGUUUUCAUUUCAGUUACGACACAAUUGCAUGGGUGUUCGAGGAAAUCUAGUACUUCAAAAUAGUAUUGAUUAUUUGAGAAACCAAUAAACUCCCAAAAUACAAUUUACAAGUUGCGAAAAUAAUAGUACUCAAGACACUCUUUUAUUGAAGGAAAAUUAUCAGUCAUAUAUUUUUAAAUGACACCUGUAUCAAAUAUGUGUGAACAUUUUUCAAGUGUAUAACUCGUAUAUCCUAAGUUGAUAAAACACUUCUGCCGUCCACUAAUCCAUUAACUUCUGUUAGAAAAUGAAUAGAAUUAUGGUAAAUUGACUAUUUCGCCCUUGAAACUCAAAAUGAGGUAAAAAAAAAAUUUACCCCAAAAAUUAACAUAAAUUUUUAAUACACAUUUUUUUUUAUUUUGUUAUUAACAAUACAUUUUUUUGAUUAAAAAAAUGAAUUAUUAAUGGUACAUAUUAUUAACAAUUAUCCGUCAAAAUAUCUAUAUUAUACCAUAAAAAUUAUUAACAACAUAUAAUUUACAAUUAUACAUAUUAUACCAUAAAAAAUUCCAGUUGGAGCUUGGAGGAGUAGAUCUUCAAAAAUUUAGAUUAAAUUUUGGAGUAGAUUCGGUUGUAAAGUAAUAUUUUUUUAGCAAUUAUUAACAAUUAUCCAAUAAAGGGAAUGACAUGUCAUUUUUAUCAAUAUAUAUCAUAUGACAUGUCAUUUUUUACUAGGUAAAUGGGAUGACAUGUCUUUUUUUAAUCAAAGUUUCGUCCAUCUUAAAAGACUAGAUUACCCUUAUGAUGUCAGCGUUUACAAACGGCAGUUAACGGAUUGGUGGACGACAGAGGUAUUUUGUCAACUUAGGGUAUACGAGUGAUAUACCUUAAAAGUGUUCACACACGUUUGAUACAUGUGUCAUUUAAGAGUAUAUGACUGAUAAUUUCCCUUUAUUGAAUAACAUCAAACUUUAAAUAGAACUUUAGUUCAAAGUUACAAGCAUAAAAAUAGCAAGCAUUAAGCAUGUUCUCCAUCAUUCUUUAUGAAUCCACAAAAUAAGGGACCAACUAACAACUUAAUUUUGACUUAUUAAAAAACAGCUACACUUAAAAUAUAAAGUAAAUAAUUAAAACCAAUAUUAAAAUAGAAAGAUUGUAACAGCUUUUCUAUUUUUCUGUUAUUGUGUUUACUUUAAUCAAUGGGCCGUGGCACAUAUUGUUAAAUUGUGGAUCGGGUAGUUUACUGGACACGUGAACUAAUUUGUAAUUUAGUUAUAAGUUGUGUGAACCAUAAAAAAAUAAAGUCAGUGGUACUAUUAUUGGAAUAUUGGAUAGUUCUGAAAGGUUUUUGAAUAAGCUGGCAUUGAGGAUAAUAUACUAUUGGAAGUUGAGGGGGUGAACUGUUCUCAGUUCUGUUUGUUGAGGAACAGGACAGAGCAUCUGUGUAGAAAAUAUAAAUUGAACAAAGAAUUGCUGUUUGGCAGCUAGGAAAAUGAAAGGAAAAUUUCUUAUUUCAUUUGAUGAACUGAUAUUUUGCACAUACUGAAAAAUCCAGAAUAUGUAGCUAUUUAUAUAUGCAUUACACACGCUAACUAAUUGAGAACUAACUAACUAUUAGUAAAACUAACUUUCACUCAGCUCACACUCAACACAUAUACAGAGGCUGUAUAAUAGAGUUAGUUAGGCUGUUAGCUGCUGCUGAUUUGGAUUCUCUGACGUGGCACUAAUGACAGCUGGCAACUUGACAUUCUUGAUACGAGACUUGAAAACAGACUGAUUCUUCUUCUUCACUUCUGCAUAAUGAGCUAUCUUCACAAUCUGUAAUUCCUCUGUUGUUUACGAGUUAUCUAUUUUUUUCCCAUGACAGUGUAGUGCUCUUUGUCCACCUUUCAGAAAGUUUUUAGAGGAACUGUACCUGAAAUGUUUUGUUGUUUCUUAGAAAAUGGUUUUUCCCAUGCAGUGACUUUGAAGUGGAUUACGAGUCCAAUGAGAAUGCAUCAAUUGUGCAUGCAGCAUUAGCUAUUGAUAAGGAGGUGAUCCACCACGAUCAUAUUCCUAAGAUCAUACUUUGCUCCUUUAACUUUAUUGCUUGUUCAAUAAAUUCUUACUUGAUAAGGAGGUGAUCCACCACGAUCCUAUUCCUAAGAUCAUACUUUGCUCCUUUAACUUUAUUGCUUGUUCAAUAAAUUCUUACUUGAAUUCAAUUUCCAAGUGCAGUUGCAACCAGACAAAGUGAAAAGGCAGAUAUCUGUGAUUAAUGGGAAACUUUUAGUGUAAAUUUCUAUUCUUUGGUCAUUCUUAUAACUGAUUUUUCAUUCUUGUCCAAUAUUUAUUCAAUUUGCAUCUAUCAGUUUAUCCUAUGAGACAAUAUUCAUUUGGAACUUUUGUGUGGCCCGUUCAACAAUCAUUUUUCCCCUUUUCCUGAAAAAUUUUCAAAUAUGUUACUUCAGAAGAGUUCUUCCUCUAAGAUACCAUUGUUCUUUAGUAUCUCAACUUUGCUUGGACUUUGCAGUUUACAAGUUUCUACAUUUUGUUUAUUUUCUCAUCUGAUUCAGGCACUUUGAGGCAGUUGAGGCCAGGAUUCUUCGUGCAUCAUUUUCUGCUUUUGUAGAUGUGCUUACACUUGCGACAAAAACUAUCGUACAGUUUGGUCAUGGAACGGAAUUGUAACAUCAUACUAUCUUUGGCAGUUGGAGAAUCAUUCUUAGUAGGAACUGUAUUACUUUAAUUCGCCUUCUUGUUUCGGAUUAGUUGACGUUUUUGUAACAAGAGAAUCUAUAGUGUUCGUUUUAUAAUGUAAAUCUUCAAAUUAUCGGAAACCUGUAACAAAUUCUUCAAAGCUGUGAAUUAUAAGUUUUUUUUUUUUUUUUUUUUUAAUCAUUGGGUUUUAUCAAGAGGUUGCAGCUGUAAAUGUUAUAAUCCUCCCUUAGACCUUUUCAAUAAAGUUAUUGACAAGCUAUCUCCAACUCUUUCAGUUUGGGCCAAGCUAGAUCGCCAGACCUCACUUCUAGGGCUUUUCUGUUUACCCCUCAAACAGUUCAAUCUGAUAUUGAUUUCGUAGAGUGAGUAGAAUGAAGAAUUCAUUUGUGCUAAUAUUCUUCCAGCCGUUGAUGCAAUUCUUUACCAUUGUGUGACACAGGAGGUACCUACUUGGCUACCAAGUGGCCCUCAGCUUAACGCACCUCGAUAGCCUUCAUGCUUUUAGAAUUCAUCUAGCUGGUGGAAUCCUAUCUGGAGUCUCUCUAUAAGUUCGAAAAUCAAGAUUUUUCUAUAGCAAGCGUCAAGGUCAAGGGAUUUCUUGUCACCCAAAAGGAACCCAGAAAAGAUAAAAUCGUAGACAGCACUGUUUCACAUGCUGGAAUUCUGGGGAGGGUGCUUAUCAUGUGCUUGUGGCUAUAAAUAUGCUCGAAAAAAUUGGAAAUUGAUGCUGCAAUCCCUCUGCCUGGAGCCUCAAAGAAAAAAAAAAAAAAAAAGCCCUUUUAUAGCUUUGCUAAGAUGAAAGAUUACAGACUUAGCAAGGCUGACACUCAGCAACAAUUUUCUGCAUACACUUUAUCUUGGGCAGAAUCACCAAAAGUCGAUGCAUCUUUAAAUUUAGAAUAAAAGCAGAUUCGACUUGUAUUAUAAGAAAUUCAAAUGGGGUGUCACGGCUGCUUCCAUCUCUAGGAAAACUUGCUUAGAAAAUAUGCUGAAUGCUUUGGCAAUUCUUGAUGGCGUCAAAAUGGCAGUUGAUUCUGGACUGCAACCACCACUAACUGUUGAAUCUGACUAUUUUAAUGCAGCGAAAUCAAUCUUAAAGAAGAGACUUCGGAUGGAUGAUCAAAGGAAUGCUCGGUUAUGUAAGAAAAGGAAAACAAUUUAUAGUUGCAAUACACUCAUCAAUAAUCUCAGGAACCUCUGAUGAUUGAAUUACAAUUUUUUUAAAUCCAUUCCAGAAUACAAGCAUACCUGCUCAUGCAAGAUAUUCGAUGCUCUGUUGGAAAAUUUUCAAAAUAAAUGGUGUCUUAUGGUAAAGAUAUGUCCUAUUAAUUGUGCCUUAUAGAAAAUGUAUCUUCACUAAAGACAUGUCUAAUUAAAUGAUGUCUUAUUGUAAGAACAUGUCAAUUUAAUUGUGUCUUAUAGAAAAUGUAUCUUUUUACUAAAUAAUCUAACUUUUCAUGGUAACAUUUCACUUAGAGAUGCAUCAUUUCAUGGUGACAUUUCAUUUGAAAUGGUGAUGGUUCAAUUUGGACCAUUGAUUAAAAUUAAAUCUAGAUCCAAUGGCCAUGAAUGAAAGGAUAUCAUGAAAGAUGACAACCCGAAUGAAGGGGCACAAGUAUAUCUAUAAAUAGGGGUCAUGUUUAAGCCAUUUAGACAUGAAAUUAAUGAUCCUACACCACUCUUUUCUUGGCAUUCCUUUCUAGUACGAAUUUCAACACAAAACACCCAUUUCUUUUGUGCAUUAAAAAUCCAAUAUAUUGUUUUCUGCAGGAACAAUAUAUUGUUUCUUGGCAGACUUGCAACAUUCAAGAGUAUUCUGGUUUGCUUUCGUCGAUGCAUAACGCAAGCAAACAAACAAGUGCUUCAUUGUAUCCUGAAGGCGUAUUUGCUUAACCCAUGUGCAUCACUCAAUUGGUGGGGGCAAAUAACGUCUUAAGGAAAGCGACAUUUGUAACGUGCCUUGAAACACACAAAUUUUCUGCAGUUUACUUAUUAAUAUUAUUUUUCUUCCUACAUACAGAGUUAGUUGUAAACACAUUACUUUACGUAAUAAAGUUCCACCAUUAUUGUUGCAUUUCUCUACAUUUGCCAUUCCCCACAAUUUCAACCACCAACAAUCUUAAGACGUUAUUUAUGCAACAAUGGCACCAAGUUCAUCUUUUCGACAAUUCGCAAUAGAUUUUGUUAAAUUGGAGCGAUUCGAUGGUGGCAACUUUAUUCGUUGGCAGAAAAAGUUGCAUUUCUUGUUGACAAGCCUCAAUGUGGUCUAUGUUCUCACAACACCAAAGCCUCAAGAACGUGAGGGUGAGACAUUAGCAUAAACCAGAGUGCGGUAGAAGUGGGAGCAAGAUGACUAUGUGUGCAAGGGACACAUUUGCAAUGCAAUGUCUGAUACUUUGUUUGAUCAAUAUCACAACAAAACUACAGCAAAAGAAAUAUGGGACUCAUUAGAGACUAAGUACAUGAUGGAAGAAGCCACAAGUAAGAAAUUCUUGGUUUCUAAAUUUUUUAAUUAUAGAAUGGUUGAUAAUAGACUUGUGGUUGAACAAUAUAAUGAGAUUUUGCAUAUUCUUGAUCAAUUCAACCAACAUAACAUGAAAAUGGAUGAGUCUAUUAUUGUCUCUUCAAUUAUUGAUAAACUUCCUCCCUCUUGGAAAGACUAUAAGAAAAGUCUUAAACAUAGCAAAGAGGAAAUUAGUCUGGAUGGCUUAGGCCAAAGUCUUCGUAUUGAAGAGGAACUCAAACUUAAUAGUCUUGAGGACCAGGCUACUAUGUCCUCUAAAAUUAAUGUUGUGGAGGAGAGGAAGGAGUUUAAGCAUUUUAAUCACCCUAAGAAUAAGCAAAAGAGAAAGUUUGAUUCCAACGAGAAUCAAAACAAUAAGAGGAAAAAGAAGGGUACAUGCCACCACUGCGGAAAACUUGGCCACUUCAAAAGAGAUUAUUGACUUCUGAAGAAACAAAAGGAAGUUUCGAACACAAAUUUUGUGGCCAUGAUAUUUGAGAUUAAUGUUUUCGAAGAUGAUAAUGCAUGGUGGAUAGAUUCUGGUGCAACUAAGCGUGUAUGCAAAGAUCGUAGCCUUUUCAAAUCUUAUAAAGCAAUGGAUGAUGGAAGUGUUCUUUACAUGGGAAAUUCCUCCAUUGCAAUAGUUAAAGGAAAAGGCAAUGUGCAACUACAGUUUACUUCUGGAAAAACUUUAACUCUUACUGAUGUUUAUCAUGUUCCUGAAGUUAGGAAAAACCUUGUAUCUAGUGGGCUUCUUGAUAAGUUUGGCUUCAAACUUAUUUUUGAGUCAAACAAAUUUAUAUUGUCUAAGGGUGGUACCUUUGUUGGGAAAGGAUACAUGUAUGAAGGAAUAUUUAAACUCAAUAUCAAUAAUAUGAAUGUUUCUUUUGCUUAUAUGGUUGAUUCAUUAUCUUUGUGGCAUAAUCGUCUAGGACAUGUGAAUGUUAGAAGAUUGCAUGAUAUGGCUAAUUUGGAGUUAUUUCCUAAGCAUGAAAAUGAUAUGCAUGAAAAAUGUAAAGUAUGUGCACAGACUAAAUCACAAGAUCUCCUUUUUCCAAAAAUUGAAAAAACAUCUUCUUUAUUGCAUUUAAUUCAUAGUGAUGUGUGUGAUAUGCAUAGUAAUCCUACUAAAGGUGGUAAAAAAUAUUUUGUAACAUUUAUUGAUGAUUUUUUAAAAUAUUGCUAUGUAUAUUUAUUACAUUCUAAAGAUCAAGUGUUAGAGAAAUUUAAAACUUAUAAAAUGAAGUUGAGAAUUUUUGUGACACUAAAAUUAAAUGCCUUAGAAGUGAUAAAGGAGGUGAAUAUGCUUUUUUUGAAUUUUGUGAAUCUGUUGGCAUUGUACAUGAAACUAGCACUGCAUAUACUCCACAACAAAAUGGCGUAGCUGAAAGGAAAAAUAGAACAUUAAUAGAAAUGGUUAAUGCUAUGCUUUUUACUGCUGGGCUUGGUAAAGGUUUUUGGGGUGAAGCUAUUUUAACUGCAUGUCAUAUCUUAAAUAGAGUGCCUAAUAACAAGACAAAGGUGACCCCAUAUGAAUUAUGGAAAAAGAGAAAGCCUAAUAUUUCUUAUCUAAGAGUUUGGGGUUGCCGAGCCAUUGUAAGACUACCUGAACCUAAGAUAAAGAAAUUAGGAGAAAGGGGCAUUGAAUGCAUAUUCUUGGGAUAUGCUAAGCAUAGUAAAGCUUAUAGGUUUCUUGUAAAAGAACCUAAUAACUUUGUUGAGAUCAAUACUAUAGUGGAAUCUAGAGAUGCAAUAUUCUAUGAAAAUAGAUUUUUCACUAUACCAAAAAGUAUUGAUUCUCAAGAGAAUGAUAAACAAAUAGAAAUUAGUCAAAAGUGUGAUGCUAAUAAUGAGCAAAAUCAUUUGAGAAGAAGUAAAAGAAUAAGGACUAUAAAAUCUUUUGGACCAGAUUUUAUAGUCUAUUUAGUGUAAGGGACAAGAGACUUACAAUCAAAACAGACCAUGAUCACACCUACUGUAAAGUCUGAUCCCCUCACCUAUGAAGAGGCAAUGAAGUCUCAAGAUGCUGCUUUUUGGAAAAAGGCCAUUAAUGAUGAAAUGGACUCUAUUAUGGGUAAUAAGACUUUGAAAUUAGUUGAUUUACCACCUGACUCUAAUCCUAUAGGUUGUAAAUGGAUUUUCAAAAAGAAGAAGAAAGUUGAUGGAACAAUUGAAGGAUUUAAAGCAAGACUAGUAGCAAAAGACUUUACACAAAAAGAAGGCCUUGAUUAUUUUGAUACUUAUGCACUUGUUGCAAGAAUUGCUACUAUUAGAGUCUUGAUUGCUUUGGCUUCAAUUUAUCAUUUUGAAAUCCAGCAAAUGGAUGUAAAAACAGCUUUCUUAAAUAGAGAAUUAGAUGAGGAAAUUUACAUGAAACAACUAGAAGGGUUUGUUAUGCCAGGACAAGAACAUAAAGUUUGUAAACUAGUCAAGUCUUUAUAUGGUCUUAAACAAGCUCCAAAGCAGUGGCACGAAAAGUUUGACAAAGUGAUUGUCUCAAAUGAAUUUAAUAUUUAUGAAUCUGAUAAAUGUGUCUAUAGCAGAUUCAAUGGAAAUAAAGGUGUGAUUAUUUGUUUAUAUGUAGAUGACAUGUUAAUUUUUAGUAUUGAUAGUGAGAGCAUUGAACUCACUAAAUCAUUAUUGUCAUCUAAUUUUGAUAUGAAAGACAUGGGACUUGCUGAUAUGAUUUUAGGGAUUAAAAUUAUAAAAAAUAAGAAUGGCCUAGUAUUGACCCAAUCACAUUAUAUUGAGAAAAUUUUAAAGAAAUUUAAUUAUUAUGAUUGUAAGCCUGUGUCAACACCUUUUGAUUCAAACAUAAGAUUGUAUCCUAACACUGGCAGAUCAGUAUCCCAAUUAGAAUAUGCACGUGUUAUUGGGUGUCUUAUGUAUGCGAUGACUUGUACUAGGCCUGAUAUUGCUUUCGCUGUUGGAAAACUGAGUAGAUAUACUAGUAAUCCAAGCCAAGCACACUGGCAAGCAGUGUACAAAAUUCUAAAAUAUUUAAAACAUGCAAUGGAUUAUGGUAUAUACUACAUUGGAUAUCCUUCUGUUUUGGAAGGAUUUUCGGAUGCUAGUUGGAUUACUGAUCGAGAUGAUCAUACAUCCACAAGUGGUUGGAUUUUUAAUCUUGUUGGAGGAUCUAUUUCAUGGGGCUCAAAGAAGCAAACUUGUAUAGCAGACUCCACCAUGGCUGCAGAAUUUGUAGCUUUGGCUUCAUGUUGCACGGAAGCUGAAUGGUUAAGGAAUUUGCUUAUAGAAAUUCCUAUUUGGCCUAAACCAAUGCCUCCUAUGUCCAUUCAUUGUGAUAGUGAGGCAACUUUGUCAAGGCCAUAUAGUAAAAAAGAAUUGUGUAUUUUUGAAAAAGUUAAAAAAAACAGGUGGACGGUGGAUAUUUUCCCAUGGAGUUAUCAUAAUUGACUUUGUGAAAUCAUGCCAAAAUUUGGUGGACCCCUUAACUAAAGGCCUUAUAAGGGAUAUUGUAUUUAAACCUUCUAAGGGGAUGGGACUGAAGCCAGCAUCAUCUUAUUACCAAUGAUGGAAACUCAACCAAACACUUGAAAUAUCAAGAUCUUGGGUUCAAUGAGCAAAAGUACAUCAUAUGUUGUGAUAGCAAAUACUAUAAUAUUUUUAGAUGUAUCCCAAAGGUUAGUGCUUGAUACCUGUAACAUAUGGGAAAGGUUAAGCUACUUAACUUUUAAUAGACUUAUAAAUGUUUUAGUUACAGGGACAUUUUAGAUAAGUCUACCUAUAUGAGUGUAGGAGAUGGUGCCACUUCCUAUGUAACUUGGCUGGUUACUAAAGCGCUCAUGAAAACAGGAUAUAGACACAGGGCCAAUCCACGUGUCGGCUAAAGAAUAGUUGAGAAUUUGAAAACUUAUGUGUGAGAUAUAUCCGGUUAGUCGAUUAAGGUCGCUGGUUCAAAGCUUUUCUACCAUGCCACCUUGAUUAACCUUGAUGUAUUGUCACUAAGUGAAGGUUCAAGUCCAAAAGACACCUUUAUCUAUGCAUAAGUUUUCCAAGCCUGUGCAAGAUAAUUUUUUAAAAUUCAUUUAUUUUGAAAAUGGUGGGGGAUUGUUGGAAAAUUUUCAAAAUAAAUGGUGUCUUAUGGUAAAGAUAUGUCCUAUUAAUUGUGCCUUAUAGAAAAGAUACCUUUCACUAAAGACAUGUCUAAUUAAAUGAUGUUUUGUUGUAAGGACAUGUCAAUUUAAUUGUGUCUUAUAGAAAAAAGGUAUCUUUUUACUAAAUGAUAUAACUUUUCAUGGUAACAUUUCACUUAGAGAUGCAUCAUUUCAUGGUGACAUUUCAUUUGAAAUGGUGAUGGUUCAAUUUGGACCAUUGAUUAAAAUUAAAUCUAGAUCCAAUGGCCAUGAAGAAAGGGGUAUCAUGAAAGAUGACAACCCAAAUGAAGGGGCACAAGUAUAUCUAUAAAUAGGGGUCAUGUUUAAGCCAUUUAGACAUGAAAUUAAUGAUCCUACACCACUCUUUUCUUAGCAUUCCUUUCUAGUACGAAUUUCAACACAAAACACCCAUUUCUUUUGUGCAUUAAAAAUCCAAUAUAUUGUUUUCUGCAAGAACAAUAUAUUGUUUCUUGGCAGGCUUGCAACAUUCAAGAGUAUUCUGGUUUGCUUUCGUCGAUGCACAACGCAAGCAAACAAACAAGUGCUUCAUUGUAUCCUGGAGGCGUAUUUGCUUAACCCAUGUGCAUCACUCAAUUGGUGGGGGCAAAUAACGUCUUAAGGAAAGCGACAUUUGUAAUGUGCCUUGAAGCACACAAAUUUUAUGCAGUUUACUUAUUACUAUUAUUUUUCUUCCUACAUAUAGAGUUAGUUGUAAACACAUUACUUUACGUAAUAAAGUUCCACCAUUAUUGUUGCAUUUCUCUACAUUUGCCAUUCCCCACAAUUUCAACCACCAACAUGCUCUGCAUCCGAAACUUCGUCGACCUUUGCAUCUAAGAGAUCAUUAACCUUACAGAACUCAAAUGGUCCACAGUAUUCACAAUGAUCUUUCAAUGUUUCCACCACUCUGCGUAAAUAUGAAGAUGGUUUGUUUUCUCAAUAGAAAAUUGAAAUUAUCAGCUGUAAUUAGAGCAACUCACAUUUGCUUUUGGUCAUCACUGGUGUACCAUAGUUCAAGAUAUUCGGUCGCUGAGUAUAACUGUGUUCUCAGGUUUUUCAAAUCUUGAAAGUAAAGUCGCUUGAGUUAAAAAAAAGACCACAGUAAAUAUUUCCAUAAGAACUUAAAUGUUUUACAAAUUGGUGCUUUUGUAUUUCCAUAACUGUGCUUUUGUAAGGCUAGUCGAAAAAUGAGUAAAAUUUGGAAAUUGACACACGAUCCACCGUUUAAAUCAUAUAAACAAGUAUCGCGCGAUGAAACAAGAGUUACCCUUGAAGACAUAUGCCCCUAUUUGCCACAAUCCUUUUUUUUUUUACUUUUUCUUUUCUUAAAAGUGAAUGUUGAGGUGGGUGCAACUUUUAGUAAUAGCUAUUAGUAGCAUAAAACAAAGAUUGCACGCUCUAAAACAAUUGUAAUAGGGAAACGGGUAUAGACAUACAAUCCAACAGAUUAAAACAAAAUAGAGAAACAGUAGUACCUUGAGACUAUCAGAGAAUAGCAAGCUCCGCUACCCUUUUCUUAAAAGUGAUUGAUUAUGAUGAAACAUUCAGCCUUGUAAUUAAGCUUGCUCCGGUUUGCUUUGUGUUUGGCAUUACUACAAGGAUGGUAUUUGCGACAACUUCGGUGUGAGCAAUGCUUUUUUACAUGGGCACCUAUCAAAGGAGGUAUUUAUGCCUCAGCUACCUCGUUUUAUUGAUCCCACGUAUCCUACUUAUGUUUGCUAACUUAAAAAGGCACUCUCUGGCCUUAAGCAAGCUCACGUUCUUGGAACAACACUGAGCUUCGAAACUUUUUUUCUAUCGACGGGAUUUUUCACUUUACUAUCAGAUUCUUCUUUAUGUAUCUAAUCUCAUGCUAGUGUGCAUGAGAUUAUCUUUGUGGGUAAAUAAACUUUCAUCUGUCGCCAUAAUGUAGCUAGGCACCAAUUAUCCUGUAUAUUACUGUCGCAUGAAACACAUAGCCAUUGACUUUCACUUUGUUCAUCACAAAAUUCAAAAUGGUGUUCUCCGGGUGUCUCAUUUAUCAUCUCAAGACCAAUUAGCAGAUGCCGUCACCAAAACUCCAUCUCAUCAACGAAUAAGUCUUCUUUGUUCCAAGCUCGGUGUCGCAAAUGGUAGCGCCAUCUUACAGGGGCAUAUUAGAGAUACUCUCAAAGGCACGGUGUAAUUGUACAACCUUUUUAUCAUUUGUAUAUACGACUUUCAUAACUUUAAACUGCAAUUGUGUACUUACUAUAAUUAACUAGCUUUAGUUGUGUAUAUAUUGAAAUCAUAUCAAUAGAAACAGUAAGCUGCGUUGUUAUUUCCUUUCUCUAUAUUAUUUAUUGUAUAAACCUAACUUUUUUCAGCCCUUUUUUUCCCCCAAAUCUGACACUUUUUUUUUAAUAAAUUUAUUUACCCACACCUGUGUCGUUUGUCUCACCUUUUUUUUUUUUUUUUCACUUAUUUCGUUACCCAGGCCACACUUUUAUAAACUUUGUCCUGGCCCCGCACUCUACUUUUGUUAGUUUUAUCAAAUGAGCAGCACUAGCAGCACCGUAUGAUUAUCUUUUCAGACCCCUUCUGGUAUAUCAAAGAAGCCCUAUAACAAAUACAUCCGUAAAAUAUCUACCAAAGAUACCUCAACAAGCUAGUGAAGCAGGGAAUGACUCCAUUCCUUAAGCCCAUGUUUGGUUGGGAGAAAUGAUAGAAGAGGAGAGGAAUAGAAAGGAAAGAAUGAGGGAAAAAUGAGUGUAAAUGAUGGUCAAAUUCAUUUGCAUUGUUUGGUUGGAUAUGGAAUUCAUCUUUUUUUCCUAUUUCUUUCCUCUCUCUUUUCCUCUCCUCUUCUCUCCUCAUAUUUCUUAAAACCAAACAUGCCAAUUGACGACCUGUCUGGUGUCCCCUUGCCUACAAUAAAAAUUGAAAUUAGGCCAUUUAGAUUAAAGAUAAGACGGAAUGGAAAUAUGGAAUCGUUAACAAUUAUAGCUAUGACCCAUCUAAUUUGCAAAUGGUUCUUUCCCUUUCAAUAUUAUUGUACGUAUUUGCAAGGAAACCUCUUCUAUCUUUCUUGCAAUUAAGACUUUUGCGUAUCCAAUUACUGUCAACUGUUUUUGAACGUGUAGAAGAUAACAACUUGAAGACUUGAGAGAGAGCCAGCGUUAAUUCAACGUCAAGAGUAGCUUAUUAGUUUGCAGGAUUCAAGAGUAGCUUACUGUCAACUGUUUUUGAACGUGUAGAAGAUAACAACUUGAAGACUUGAGUGAGAGCCAGAUGCUGGGUAUAAGGUCUAUAAAACUUUACUAUUAUUUCAUAAAAUUGUUUUAUUUUUUAUUCCUCAUCACAUUGGGGAUUACGCCCCCAAUGACCCAUUUGAUUUUCAUUUUUAUGUAGGUUAGUAGUGUUACUGAAAAUCAAAUAUUGUCUCUUUUUUUCCACUUAUUGAGGACUAUGGAAUUAAACAAAACUCACCAAUGGCAUAAAAUAUACACACUACUAGAAAAAUAAGCUACUAUGACAGAAUUUUUGUGAUAGAUAUUCAAAAAUUAGUCAUUUAUCACAAAAAUAUGAUAGAUUCGUGAUAGAAUUUUUAUAUAUCAUAAAGGCAUGAUAAAUUUGUGAUAGUUUAUUUAUUUAUCACAUACACAUGAUAGCAUAUUAAUAUUUAAUGAAACGAUGAGUUUUGAAUGGGUUAAUUUAGACAUAGAACGACACCGUAUCUUAAAAAAAAAAAUCAUAAGUGGUAGACUCUCCUUUCACUUCAAUUGGCAAACCCUAAUUUCCAAAUCAUACACAAAAACAAAAUCACGCUGCCGACAAAAAAUUUGGUCCUCUGCUGCGCUGCUUGCCGACAACAAAUUUCUACUCUUCGUCUUCGUCCUUACUCUUUAAUCUGCUGCUGCUACUACUUGCCGAUGAACAACACGCUCAAGUUCAGCUAGGUCUUUACUUCCUCUUUUUCUUAUAUUAUAUUCUUUUGAUUUGAUUUGAUUUUUCUGUGAUCUAAACGCCGUUCUUGCUGAUAUUGGUGAUGAACAGUCCUUGUCACAAUUUUGACCGAUCUGAUUGCUAUUCAUAUAAGUGAUUAUUCUACUAUUAUAUAACCUGCACUGGGUUACUCAAUAUGCAAGCCUUUACGUUUUAUCUUCAGAAUAUGCAAAGGUUCCUUGGUUUGAUUCAGUUCUUGCUGAUAUUGGUGAUGAACAGUCCUUGUCACAAUCUUUAUCUACCUUCUCUAGCCACUUGAAACAAAUAGGUGUAAGGAUAUUCACCUUUCAGAAGCAGUUAAUCAAGUUUGUUUGGAACAAAUGCCCCUUUUUCAACGCUAUUCUUUCUCAUUUUUGUAUUAUGUCAACAAUCUUUAUAAACUGCUUUGAUUCUUUGCAGAUAAUUUUGUUUUCUUAUAAAUUAUUAAGACAUUUAACAAGAAAAGGCACAAGCUCUUGUUGGGAUGUACUUAAUACGAUUUGCAACUUGUGUCAGUGAUGGAUCUCAUGAACUCCUAAGCUUAGUUACUAUAUUGUCAGUCCUGAAUCACUUAUGAUAAUGCUGGUUUUAUUUAUUUAUUUAGUUAUUUUUGGGAUAUUACUAGUUUGUAUUAUAAUACAUUCAUAGUACUGUUGUAGUUUUAUGAUUCCAAUUUAAGUUGACUGAAGCCAAAUUGCUCCUUUGGCAGUAACUACUUCUUCGAGAAUGCUUGUAUGGAGUUCGAUAAAGUUAAAUUAAAGCCAACUUACAAGGUCCUUUGGGGGUACCAGGUUACAUAAUUAUAACUUCUAUUUAUUUGAUGUCUGAAGUGUUAAUGAGUUUAUUAAUUUGGUUUUUUCAAGCCUUAGUGAUUAGAGCUGUAACUAUAAGUUGGCUUCUCCUAUAAAUUACUUCUUGUAGAUAUUAUAUGAAUUGCUAAGAACUUACUUAUGCAAUCUCUAGGUACGUAGAUAUUUGUUUACUUUUCUCCAGAUAAAUGCCAACUGAAACAACUAUUAAAUGCCCAGACUGAAUAUUAAAUGUUACUUAAACAAUUGAAAAUUUUUAUUCUCUUGUAAAUUUCGCUUUAGAAGUAUUGUAUAUUCCCUCUUUGAGCUAAUAAUACUAGUUGGUAGUCGUGCUCUGAACUUUUGGAAACUAAUAUUUUUCCCCGAGGAACUAGUGAUAGCCGGCUUUCUUUGAUGGUAUCAAAAUGAUUUAUUUUUUGUUUAUUUAUUUAUUUAUUCUUUUGUUUGGGCAGCAGCUUCAUGUAAAAUGACUUAAGAGUGUGGUACUGAUUGCAGGUUGUUCAAAAUGCAACUCUACGGUGCUGCUAGUGCUGAGAUUAAUAAGGUAAUAUGCCUUAGAGGUAAUGCAUGUGUAAAAACUUAGCAUCUUUUUUAGCUAAUAAAAAGUUUACAUGUUAUUUUUUCCUUUUGUAAACAGAAGCAAAAUUUUAGUUUUAAGUCUCACAUGUUGUGACUUAAGCAACAGACAACCAGUUUACCUGGUAGGCUAAUUAAUUACCUUUGGGAAUUAUAUGGUCAAAAGAAAAUUCAUACAUAAAACAAAUGUGAUCAGGUAAUAGUCAGUACAUGAUGAGCUUACAUGAUGGAAUUAUGGUCAAAAGAAAAUUCAUACAUAAAACAAAUGUGAUCAGGUAAUAGUCAGUACAUGAUGAGCUUACAUGAUGGAAUUAUGGGAAUCUAAUUUUUUGCCAGUAUAGCAAAGGCCACAGAUAACUUCUCAAGUUGCAAUAAACUGGGAGAAAUUAGAUUUGGGCCAAUGUCCAAGGUAAUAUUGUGGCAUUCUACUGAAAUUAGAUCAUAUUUUCUUUUUAUACUAACUAAUAGGCAGAUCUAUGGUACAUAAAUAGAAAGGCAAGAAAUUACAGUUAAAAGGCUGUCAAAAGGUUCCAGACAAGGAAUGGAAGAGUUCAAAAAUGAAGUUACAUUGAUUUUUGUUAGUAAUUAUAGGUUUUUGUUACACGUGUGAAAUUCUUCAUUAUUCUUGAUUAUUGAACUGUGUGAUGACACCUUAUGAAUUUGAUUAACUAUAAGUGGCCGAUAUGUUAAUUUGCAUUUUUUUGGUACUCAUCUUAAUGUCAUCUGCUUUUCAGGUGAUGUUGGUGGCUUUUGGGAAUUUACCAUCAAUGUUUUUUUUAUGGAUUAAUUAUUUUUCUAGGAUGGGUUGGUGAUUGGAUAUUUUAGGUGAUUAGAUAUUGUAAAUGAUUUAUGAGAUAUUAUUGUGGAUUUGAUUCACCAUGUAUUUUGAUGAUGCUAUUUGAUGGAAGUUUCCAGUGAUUAAAUAUAUGAUGCCCAAAAAGCUAAGUGGUAGUGAAUUUUUUGUAUGCUGGUAUUGUUCUAGAUGAUAGUGAAUCUUGAUAAAGUCUAAGUGGUAGUGAAAUUUGUAUGCUGAUAUUGUUUGAUAAAGUCUUAAGUAGUAGUGAAUCUUGAUCAGCCUGGUAGUGUUUCAGAUGAUAUAUAGUGUUGUGAUGUUUUUGUAUGCUGGUAAUGAUCCAGAUGGUAGUGUUGGGAUGUAGAUUUGUGAUAAUUGAAUAGAUGAUGUUUUGACAAUGUUAUGGUUAUUUCAAGUGAUGAUUUAGUGAUGUUUUGAUAAUAUCGUUGAGAUAAUUUGGAUGUAUUGAUUUUAUACAUAUUUUGAUUUUUAAAUUUCAAUGGAAUUUAUAAAAUAAUAAAAUAAUAAUAUUAUUAUUUAAAAUAUUAAAAAUUAUUUUCUAAUUUAACAAUAUUAAAAAUGAUUUAAAAUAUUAUUAUUAUUUAAAAUAUUAAAAAAUUUUGAUUUUAAAAAAAUUAAAAAGUCUUUUAAUAAUAUUAUUAUUUAAAAAAAAUUCUCAUCAUGACACCAUAUUAGCAUCAUAAAGCUGCGACACAUAAUUACACGCCAUAAUUUAAAAUUGAAUUCAUAAUACCCGCCAAAUGUUUUUUCACAAUAAAACAAAUUUACCACUAAAAUAUUAAAACGAUGUUGCUUUUGUUGUGACACAUUUGUGAUAGCUAUAAGCUGUCACAUACACCUGUGAUAAAUAAAUUAUUGUCACGGAUUUAUGAGAGGGGCUACAAUGAUAGAUAAAAACUCUGUCAUAAACAGGGUCGGAUGAUAGAUAUUCUCUGUCAUGGUAGCCCAUUUUUCUAGUAGUGACAAUGAAUAUUUAUUAACAGAUUUGACAUAAAAUUAAUUUUUGAACCGAUUGAAACUUCCAAAAACUAAAAUUUCGAAUUUGUUAUAAGAAUAUAAUCUAUUUUAAUUAUCAUUGUCAAGUCCUCCUCUAUGGAACAUUAGCAAAUUUGCAACCUUUCUAGCUUAAAUUCUAGGUUCAAAACCUCGCGGCGGAGUUAAAUUUUGUUAUAUUUAAAAGCUAAAUCUUGAAGAUGAAUUAUUUUCUAAUUAAUUUUUUUGUGGUUCUUUUAUAACGAUGGCAAAAUUCUCUACAGGUUUCGGACCCCACCCCAAAUGGCGUGAAUUUUGAAUAUUUUUUAGAAAUGGGGUGAGAAAUGGAUAAAAAUUAAUCCCUAAGUUUUUAAUGGGGUGAACUUUUAAUUAGAUAGAAACCUAUCCGUUCAAUUGAUGCUGAAAAAAUAAAAGUUUUGCAGGAUGUUUUCUCCUAGUAAUGAAAGAGAACCGUUUGUUUGAUGUACUUGAUGCUCCAGCAAUGAAAGAACCUUAGAAGAGAAUGAAAUGACAACAACAUCAGAGAAUCAAGGCAGAGAACAGCCUAUUGAUAAUAAAUAAUUUAAAAAAUAUAAUGACUAAUUGUGUAAUUCAAUCAAACCUUAUAGACCAAAGGAACAUUUGCCAAAGAUUAAAAUAUGUAUAUAUAUAUAUAUAUAUAUAUAUAUUAAGGCUACAUUUUGUUUAAUCCAAAUGAAGCUAAUCAAUCUAUAUUUUAUUCCAAUAAAACUAUGGCUUCGUUUCAUAUCUUAAUUAAAUUAUAUAAUGAUGAAAUAUUAUAUUCUGAACUUAACUGAAUCCAAUAUCAUUUCACCAAUCGGUCAUAUGAGAUGAAAGAAAAAAAUCUGUUGAAAUUAAUUUUAAAUUAAAGUUGAAGAAUGGUGAUAUGAUACAUACAUAUACAUGACUCUGAAUUUAUUAAAUUGAAGAUGUACUGAUCGUCUUGACGAUGUGACAAAAUACUGGAAUGUGAGAAUGGUCUUUGGACUUUGGUGAAGACUUGAGAGGGCCCAGAGUAAUUAAAAGUCAAGAUUGGCAAUCUGAAAUUAAUCUCUGGCUUUAACAUGCAGGACUUUCUAGUCGGUGAGAAAAGUUUCUGAAUUAAUAUAGGAGCUAAUACAUGCACUUUCUGAACUAAAGAAAACUGAGUUUAAGCGGCGAAUGGCUGUGCAUCUUUGUCUGGUGUUGCUGCAGAUUAUUGUUUUGCGCCUCAGGCCGAUCAUAGCAUCAGAAAGAUUUCCCUGUCCAACUGAAUGUGGAAAUGUCAGCAUCAGCUACCCCUUCGGAAUCGGAGAAGGGUGCUACUUUGACAAGGGUUACGAAGUUAUCUGCGAUCACCCUUCUGGCAUUCCCAAAGCUUUUCUUCCUGGCGUCAACAGGCUAGAAUUAGUGGAUAUUCUCUCUAAUGAUUCAAGAGCCGCGGUUAGAGUCAACGUUCCUGCGAUUUUUUUAAACAGCAGUAGUAAGCGAACAAGCAAUAUUGCUAAAGGCGUCAACUUAUCAGGUACCCCUUUCUCCUUUUCGACUGACAAUAAAUUCGCUGCCAUAGGCUGCAAAAUGAGAUAUCACCAAGGGAACGGUUCAUCUGUGUUUGAUGGGUGUCUGUCGAUUUGUACUUGUGAUCCUACUGUCUACCCUGCUUGCUAUGAUUUCCUAUGCCCCCUUCGUCCAAAUAUUACUCAUCUUUUCAAUCUAAAUAAAUCAUACUUGUUUUCUCAAAGUAUUCCUCAGAAAUGUCAGUCUGUUUUCCUGGUUGAUGAAGAUUGGGUCAACAGCAAGUACCUUGAAGAUCCUCAUGAUUUGGAAGAUCAACGAGAAGUUCCUGCAGUGUUGAAGUGGGGAGAAAAGAUAGGCAGUUGUUUUGAAGAAUAUAACUCAUAUUCUAUUUUUUGUAAUUCGGAUAAAACAGGUUGCUUAACACAAUUAAGCUCAGGCCAUUUAUGUCUUUGCUCUGCUGGCUACAACCUAGAGAAAGCAUACUGCUCAGGUACUUGUUGGAUUAUGUGUUAAAGAGAAUUUUUUUUUUUUUUCAAAGAAAAUAUCCGAACGACAAGACUUGGUGCUCCAGGAGCAUUUAGAUGCUAUUUCCGUAUGAACAUUAGCAAUAAGUGUGAUGAGAAACGGAAAAUGCUAUUGGAGAACCCUAGAGUUUACUAGAGUUAAAUGUCAAAUGAUGUAACAGUCCUCCGUUGGAUGGUAAGAUGAUCAGAAAAGAGUUGUAAAAUUUAUCAUCCAAUAGAUGAUUGAAAUUAUUGAUUUUUAAAAUAUCUAUCGAAUUACCUGUAAAUGAGUAAAGUUUUCCCAUUACUGUAACUAUCUUUGUAAACAGAGAAUUAGAGACUAAAAAUGGUGGAGUUUUAUUUAGUUGUAGCCAUGAUUUAGUUUGAUCUUCCCUUUGAUUUAUUUUUAUUUGUUAUUUUCCGGGCAUGUGACUUGAUCUGUAAUAUCUCAAGCGGCUACAGUUGCUCCAAUUGUCCCGAGGGUUGUAAUCGUCUCUCAUAUCGUUGCAUUAAAAUUUUCAACAAAUCUAACAGAUCUAACAAAUCUCGGGUUAAAUUCAUUAUUAUAGGUAUGCAUGGCGAUCGUUUAUUUUACAUCAUAAUAAAUUAAUAAUAUUUUUCAACAUAUAUUUCAAAUGAAAAUACUAAGUGUUCAUACGUUCAUUUAGAUUGAUGAUAUCUUUCCUAUCAUGAUAUCUUUCAUUAUUGUCCUCGAGAGCCGCAGGUUGCGGUGGUGGGCUUGCGUUAUUCUUUCUACUCAUUGGAAUAUGGUGGUUGUACAAGUUUACAAAAAGAAGAAGGGAAAUCAAGCUCAAGCAUAAGUUCUUUAAAAAAAAUGGUGGUUUAUUAUUACAACAAGAAUUGUCUUCCAAUGAAGGUAAUAUUGAGAAAAUGAAGUUAUUUACUUCAAAAGACUUGGAGAAAGCCACCGACAACUACAAUGCCAAUCGAAUCCUUGGUCAAGGAGGUCAAGGUAUUGUAUACAAAGGAAUGUUAGUAGAUGGACGAAUUGUGGCGGUUAAAAAAGCUAAAAUAUUGGAUGAGAGAAAUCUCGAGCAAUUCAUCAAUGAGGUAGUAAUUUUAUCUCAAAUUGACCCCAGAAAUGUUGUUAAGUUGUUGGGAUGUUGCUUGGAGACAGAAGUUCCUCUUUUGGUGUAUGAAUUUAUUCCAAAUGGAAGUCUCAAUCAAUACAUACACUAUCGAUCCGAGGAGUUUCCAAUCACAUGGGAAAUGUAUUUAUCCAUUGCUUUUGAAGUUUCAGGUGCUCUAUCUUAUCUGCAUUCAGCUGCAUCUAUUCCUAUUUAUCAUCGAGGCAUCAAGUCUGCAAACAUACUUUUGGACGAUAAAUAUCAAGCCAAAGUUUCAAAUUUUGGGGCUUCUAGAUCUAUAACAAUUGAUCAAACUCACUUGACCACUCAAGUACAAGGAACUUUUGGAUAUGUAGAUCCAGAAUACUUUCGGUCAAGUUAUUUUACAGAAAAAAGUGAUGUUUAUAGUUUUGGUGUAGUUCUUGUUGAGCUUUUAACUGGACAGAAACCUAUCCGUUCAACUGACGCUGAAGAAGAUAAGAGUUUAGCAAGAUAUUUUAUCCAAGCAAUGAAAGAGAACCGUCUGUUUGAAGUCCUUGAUGAUCGAGUUCUUAAGGAAGCUGAGAAAGAAGAGAUUAUUACCGUUGCUAUGCUUGCCAAAAGAUGCUUGAACUUGAAUGGGAGAAAGAGACCUACGAUGAAAGAAGUGGCAUUUGAAUUACGGGGUAUAAGAGAAUCAAUUGGAGCUUCCAUUUUGCAGCAAAAUUGUGAAGAGACUGAUUUUGUGGAUGGUGACAUUAUUGGACAUGAUUUCGGAAGAAAUUCAUCUUCUAGUGGGUCAAGUUUAAAUAGUGUCUCAGUUUCUGUAGAUGCCGACCCUUUAAUUUCAAACAAAUGGUGAUAAAGAGAAGAAUUGCCUUGAAACUGUUUGUCUUUCAUAAAUAAGAUUGUGAGACUUUUCCAAUAUUAUCAUUCUUGUAUCGCUAGAGUUUCUUUGGGUACCAUCAUUUGUAAUUAAAAACUUCCAAGUCAUUUCAAUCAAAUUUUCCACUAUUUCAUUGCAUGCGCUGCAUUUUCCUUUUUUUCUUUUUUAGGCAAAUAGAGGAGAUCAAGGAAAAAUCUUUUGAAAUUAAUUUCUUAGUUGAAGUUUACAAAUGCAAGAUGAUAUGAUCUCUCGGUCUAAAGUGCAAGCACUUUAGCACUAUGCCACCUAAUAUCUCUGAGUAAAUAGGAGAGAACAACUUGAGCACUUAAGAGGGCCAACGUUAAAUAAACUCCAGAGUAGCAUGUUGGAAUUUUUGGCUUAUUGUUAUGCAGGACUUUCUUGGUAGUGAAAUAAAGUCAAAAGGAAGAUGGGAGGAAAUAAAGAUCAAUGCAAAUUGAUAGAUAAAAUACCCUACAUCAUUUGUGAGUGCAUCUUAGGUCAAAUAUGUAAAGUUUGAACGAUCCUCAAUUUUUUAGUUAGAUUUUGAGUAUGGCUUAAACCCAUGAAUUUUCUAAUAUUUUAUUAGAGUUAAAUUUAUCUAGAUUAGGCCCAUGCUACUUCCCACAGUACCUUAUCACUUUACGCCCUUCACAUGGAGGCAUUAUAAAAGAGUAAUGCUAAGGGGAUCCCAACUUGAGUUCUAAUGGAUGUGAUAUUUAUCUAGUAGAUAGUAAAAUAUUUAUUUUAUCAAUUAUAAAAUUUAUUAUCCAAUACAUGAACUACAUAUAAAAUUUGAGAUUCAAAACUUAAUUGGUGGGUCACAAUCAUUAUUGGUUAAAAAUGAUAUCCAGAGAUAACUAGAGGUAAAUCAAAAACUCUCUCUCUCUCUCUGUGCUAAGACCCUUUCUGCCACAGGCUAAAAUUCACCAGCUUUGAUCAAUCAACCUGCCUGAAUUACACAGCCAUCACAUUUUCAAACCUCCAAUCUUUCAAAUCUAUUUUUCAACUCUUUGUUUCCAGCCACCGUAGCCGCGAACCAACGACACCUCUCCACUGCUACCUCUCGCCACCAUGUCGCCAAUUGCCCAUCACUAUAGCAAAAAAUUAUGCUAAAGGAGUUUAGGCCGGGGAGGGAACCAGUAGGUCUUUUCUUUUUUCUUAUUUUCUAUUUCUCUUCUAUAUUUCUUUUGUUUUAUUUUUGUAUUUGCUUCUGUUAUUGUACGUUUUUAUGUUUUGUUGUUUUGUAAGAUUUUAUACUGCUCGUACGGUGGUCUACAUAGGCGGUGUUGUUUCAAUGUCCAGAUCGGGAUUGUGUCAGUAUUUGGAUUGGAAUAGUAUGACUACAUUGAAGCUGUUGAGGGCUUUAAUAGUGGUACAUUGAGGUUCCGAUGACCUCAGGCGAAGUUCUGAUGGCCUAGGUCAAGGGCUUAUUGAGAGAUUUUCUAGUGAAUCGUAAGGUUGGUUUUUUUUGUUGCAUUUUGUGGAUUUUUUUUUUUGGUUGUUUGUUUGCAUUUUAUUGUUAGAAUUGUGUUUUCUUGUGUUUUGUUGUAUUAUCGGACACUAGGGGGUAUUUGAACUAUAGUAGCUAAGGUUUGUUCCUCUAGUGUUUCUUUAGAUUUUAAUUUGAGAAAAAGGACACCUACACCUUAAAGUUUGAGGAAAUGAUCGCAAAACUCCUAAGUUUUUAAAAAGGACACUAAAAUUCUUUUUUUACCAUAUUAUCCUUUGAAUUUAGUAAUUAGAAAAUUGACUUUAAAGUUUUUGUAAUUAAUACAAAUUUAAUAUAAAUAAUAUAAUCUAUCUAGUAGAUUAAUAAUAUUAAAUUAUUUUUAAAAUUUAAAAUAAUAUUAAAAUUUUAAAUUAUUAUAUUUAUUUUAAUAAUAUAUUUGUAUUUACUAUAAAGAUUUUAAAUAAAUCUUUGGGUUAAAUAAAUUUUUCAAUUAACAAAUAAUAUCCCUAUUAAUAAGAUCAAAAUUAUUUUUUACAUAAUAUUCAAAAUAAUUUUAAUUUUUAAUUUAUUUUUUUAAUAUUAUGUUUCUAUUUAUUAUUAAAAAUUACUUUAAUAUAAUAAAAUAAGUCUAAUAGAUUGUAAAAUAUUAAAAUAUUUUUUAAAUAUUAAAAUUAUUUUAAAAUGCAUAUAUUAUUACAUUUAUUUUGAUGCCAUAUUUCUAUUUAUUAUAAAAUUUUGGCGUCAAAAGUCAAAGGAUAUCACUGUCAAAAAGGAAUCUUGGCGUCAAUUAUUGAAAAUUUGGGGUUUUUUGUGACUAUUUCCUCGAACUUUGAGAACGUAGGUGUUCUUUUUCCCUUAAUUUGAGAAACAAAUUGGUCUCCUUUGAUUUUAAAAUUUGUUUUAUGUACUGUACUUAAACUUGAUAUAACUCUUAUUUAUAUUAUUAUUAUUAUUGGUCCUUAAUGAAAGUCACGUUUUCUUAAAGAAAGAAAAGAAAAGAAAAGAAAAGUUGGAAGAUAUACGGAGGAGAACUUGUNNNNNNNNNNNNNNNNNNNNNNNNNNNNNNNNNNNNNNNNNNNNNNNNNNNNNNNNNNNNNNNNNNNNNNNNNNNNNNNNNNNNNNNNNNNNNNNNNNNNNNNNNNNNNNNNNNNNNNNNNNNNNNNNNNNNNNNNNNNNNNNNNNNNNNNNNNNNNNNNNNNNNNNAUCAUUAUCUGGUGUUGUUGCAAUCGAUGUUUUUGCCAUUAUGGCCAAUCAAAGCAUCAAAAGAUUUAUGCCAAUAUGAUUGUGGGAAUGCCACUAUCAGGUACCCCUUCGGAAUCGGAGAGGGUUGCUAUUUUGAUAAGAGUUUUGAAGUAAUCUGCGAUUACUCUUCUGGCUCCCCAAAAGCUUUUCUUGCGAGCAUCAACAACCUGCAAGUAUUGGACAAUCAUGUUUAUGGUGUAUCCAACAUUAGGGUAAACAUUCCUGUAAUUUCUUUGAAGAGCAGCAACAUGACAAGCAAUGCUAAAGGGGUCAGUCUUUCAGUUAGCCCUUUUACAUUUUCUCCGUGGGACAAUAGAUUCACAGCCAUAGGUUGCAACAACUAUACUACGAUUAUUAAGCGACAGAAUGAUUCAUCCGUUUUUGGUGGGUGCCUUUCGAUUAGCACUUGUGAUCCUGCUCUCAACCCUGGUUGCUACGAUUUCCUGUGCGCCCUUCCUCAAAAUAUUACUCAGGUUUCCAAUGCAGAAAUAUCUAGUUUUUAUCCGAAAAGUAUUCCUCAGGAAUGUCACUCUGUUUCCCAUUGUUGAAGAAGAUUGGGUCAACUCAAAGUACAUGAAGAAUCCUCACGUUUUGAAAGAUCUCGGACAAGUUCCUGCACUGUUGAAGUGGGCUGAGUCUAGAGGAUAUUUGAUACACCUCUUUGCAACCAAGGAUGUAUCGAUAAGAUUUGCACUCUUCGAGUGAGGGCUGACUCCAAAAGAAAUUCGCGAAGAUGAGCAAGAAUGGAGAGAGAGAUUGAGAGUGAGAGAAGAGUAGAGAAAAGUUAAAAAGAAAUGAUUCAUUCUUGAUUUCCCUUACACGAAUUAGUUAUGCUAUACAUAUACUCCUCUGUCUUUUGGCGUUUAAAAGAAUACAGCUCAGCAUAACUUUGUAACAGAAAAUAUGACAGCAAUAUAUACCAGCAAAAUAUAAAGCCCUAUCAAUUUCACUAUACGACAUAAUCUUUAAACCACCCAGGGGGCCUUCUCACUCUUGUGCCUGUGUACCCUUCCUUACGAGCUACUUCUACUUCAACUUGUGAUGAGGCUUCCUUCAUGGGCUGCGCACAAUUAGACUCAUCGAUGGGCUGCCCUUCUCGUAAACAAUCCGGUUGAUCCAGCUGAAUGUGGGGGGUUGUAUCAUCCCCUCCAGCUUCAAAACUCACCUUGUCCUCAAGGUGAAAAUUAGGAUAAAGCUCACAGAAGGUUUCAAACUCUUCCCAAGUAGAAUCUUCAGGCGAAUUGUUCUGCCAUUGAACCAGAAUUUGGCGACAUCGCGUGCCUUAUUUAAGCACGGUUCUAAUAGCGCAAACUGCAGCAGGGAGAUAUAAUGGCUGAUUGUCCACACUAGUUGAUGGCAAGGAAUGGUGAUCAGGGGUAUGAGAACCAAGAAAGGGUUUGAGAAGUGAAAUGUGAAACACUGGAUGGAUCUUGGAACUGCUGGGCAAGGCAAGCUUAUAAGCUACAGGGCCAACUCGAGCUAGUACAGGAAAGGGGCCAUAAUACCGUUUAGCUAGCUUUUGACAAGAACGAGAUGCCACUGUCUUUUGGCGGUAUGGCUGAAGCUUCACUAGAACUUGGUCCCCAACAGCAAACUGAGCUUUGCGUCUAUGUGCAUUAGCCUUUUGAAUCAUGCGAUGUUGAGCUUGACGCAAAUUCUCUUUCAAGGAACGAAGUAAUGCAUCCUGUUCACUUAAAGCUUCAUCAAGAGCUUAGAUUGAAGUAGAGCCCUUUGAGUAAGGAGGAAUUGCUGGAGGUGGUCGCCUAAAAAGAGCUUGAAAAGGAGACAUUUUGAUGCUGCUGUGAUAAGUAGAAUUGUAGGAAAACUCAGCCCACCCAAGUAGAGAUACCCAUGAGUGUGGUUUGUCUUGGGUGAAAGUGCGAAGAUAUUGCUCCAAGCCGCGAUUGACAACCUCCGAUUGCCCAUCUGUUUGUGGGUGAUAGGCUGUACUGUGUCGAAGGGUAGUGCCACUUAACUCCAAAAAUUGCUUAAGAACACAAGGUCGCGAUCGGAAAUAAUAGAGGUCGGAAACCCAUGAAGCUUUAUUACCAUAUCCACGAACAAUUUGGCGGUCUUUAUGCUGUAAAUUGAGUGGGAAGGGAUCCAAAGUGUGCCGAUUUCGUAAGGCGAUCAACCACUACCAAUAUCACCGUGAAACCUCGCGAAACUGGAAGGCCAGUAAUGAAAUCCAUAGUGAGUUCGUCCCAAACUAAAGUGAGGAUAUGAAGAGGCUGCAGUGGACCUGCUGGUGCUUGAGUAGAAUAUUUAGUCUGUUGGCACACAAGGCAUUUGACCACAAAUCGCUCAACGUCCAUACGCAUUUUAGGUAAAAAAAAAUUAGAUGCCAAGCAGACCAGCGUGCGUUUGAUGCCUACAUGCUCUGCAAGUGGAGUAGAGUGGAAUUCAGCCAAUAGAACCGCUUUAAAGGAUGAUGAUGGACUGAUAUAGUAACGAUUGUGAUAAAAAAGGACCCCAUUAUGCCGCGAAUAAUCCCGUGAAAGAGAUCUCGUAGCAAACUGACGAUGAAGAUCAAUCAUUUCCGGAAGUGUGGAAUUCUCUAGUUUUAGAGUUGCUAACAACUCAAACGACGGGUGACUAAGGAGAGGCAAACAAGAAGCAGUCACUGUUGGUGUUUCCUCACUAGCCUCGUCAUGCAUUCGUGAUAAGGCGUCGGCUGCAAGAUUGGUACAGCCCGGUUUAUACUCAAUGCGGAAGUGAUAGCCUAGUAAUUUUCUGAUGUAGACUUGCCGAUCCGGAGUUUGAACUACCUGCUGGAGAAGUUCCUUAAUGCUCUUAUGGUCAGUUCAGAUUACAAAAAAUCUGCCUAAUAAGUAUUGUCGCCAUUUGUGCACCGCUUCAACAAUAGCGGUUAAUUCCUUGAUGUAGGUAGAAGAAGCACGAAGUCAAGGACCUAAUUUCUUACUGAAAUAAGAUAUGGGGUGCCCCGAUUGCAUAAGCAUAGCCCCGAUACCCACAUUAGAGGUAUCAGUCUCAAGAAUGAAGUCGGAGUCAAAAUCUGGUAGCUGCAACACAGGGGCUUCCACCAUUGCUCUUUUAAGAGCUUCAAAUGCCUCAGCUGCUGCUGGUGUCCACUGGAAGGCAUCUUUACAAAGAAAAUAAGUAAGUGGGGCUGCGAAAGACGCAUAUCCACGAAUAAACCGCCGGUAAUAACCCGUCAAACCCAAAAAAACCUCGAAGUUGUUUUGUAGUCUGAGGAGUUGGCCAACGAACCAUAGUUGUAAUUUUCUGAGGAUCGGCCCGCACACCAGAGGCCGAAACAAUGUGGCCUAGGUAAUCGAUAGCGUCUUGGCAAAACAAGCAUUUGGAUAGCUUGACAAAGAAGUGGUGAAAAUGAAGGCACCACAAGACUUGCUGAAGGUACCGCAAAUGUUCCUCUGCUGUAGCACUAUAAACCAAAAUGUCAUAAAAAAAAAUCACAAAUUUACGCAAAAAUGAAGCGAAAAUCUGGUUCAUAGUAGCUUGGAAGGUAGAAGGCGCGUUUGUUAACCCAAAUGGCAUGACGAGGAACUCAUAGUGGCCCUGAUGAGUGCGAAAAGCCAUUUUAUAAAUGUCGCGGUGGUGCACGCGAAUCUGAUGGUAACUAGCCUGCAAAUCCAACUUGCUAAAGAUUACUGCCCCACCUAAUUCAUCAAAUAAUUCGUCGAUAGUCGGAAUGGGGAAUUUAUCUUUAAUGGUGGCGGCAUUCAAAGCCCUGUAAUCAACACAGAAACGAUAGGUCCCAUCUUUUUUUUUUACCAACAAGACCGAUGAAGAAAAUGGACUUUGACUCGGUUGAAUGAUGCGUUGUUCUAACAUUUCACGGAUCAGUUUUUCCAUCUCAUUUUUUUGGAAGUGGGGGUAGCGAUAUGGGCGGACAUUUAUGGGAGUGGUGUUGGGGAGGAGAUGGAUUUUAUGAUCAAUUGUGCGAUGUGGCGGUAGGGUAGUAGGUGGAAGAAAUAAGUUGAGGUAGGUGUGUAGAAGGCCAACAAAGGGUGCGGUUAAAUGUGGAGGUAAUUCGAAGGAAGAACUCUUGGGAUUACUUUCUGAUUCCUCCCCGGGUACAGGUACCUGUUGCAGAGCGAACAAACUAUAAAUGUCAGCACUGUGGAUUAGAGAUUGCAACUGAUGAAAGGUGAUUAAGGAGGGAGUAGUGGAUAGUUCGCUGUGAAGAGUCACUGGUGCCCCAUUCCAACAAAAUUCCAUAGAGAGGGCAGAGUAAUCAUGAGAGACACGGCCCAAGAAUUGCAGCCAUUGUAUUCCCAACACCACAUCAGGCCCCUCAAUGGGCAGAACAAAGAGGUCCAAAGUGAAGAUCGUUCCCUGCAUCGUGAGAGCAACUUGAGGGCAAAAAUAUUUGCACACUAGAAAAUCCCCAUUGCCAAUAUAAACACGGAAAUGUGUUGUUGGCUGUAUCGGUAAGCCUAAACGCUCUAUCACUGUUGGUUUGAUAAAGUUGUGGGUACUUCUGCUAUCGAUCAAUACUUGAAAGCUGUGAGAACCAACUUCGCCAACCAAACGAAAUGAGUGGGGAUUUAUUUGACCCGCCAAAGCAUUCAAACUGGAAAUAUCCCCUGUUAUGAUCUCUUCGACAGAAUCCAGUGGCAAUUCUUGUUCACAAGAAACAAGCUCAUUAUCAUCAGUACCCAUAAGAAGCAAAAACUUACUACGACAGCGAUGAUUAGCGCUAUAUUUUUUAUCGCAGUUAUAACACAAUCCCUUCUCACGCUUGUCACGUAGCUCUGCUGGAGUAAGGCGGCGAAUCGGUAAGUUGGGUGUGGGUAGAAGUGGUGGUAACGUGUUUGGUUUCGGGGGUGGGGAAGUAUUGUGGGAAUGAGAUAUUGUUUGGGCCAUACCAGUGGAAUGGUGCGGUUGGGUUGAAGCAAGGGGAUAUGUGGUAGGCUGAAAUUUGUGUGACGGGGAGGUUGUGGUAGGAGUAGGUGACAUGGUGUUCCAUUUUGGCAAAAAAGGUGUCCUUGUUUGGCCUCCUCAGCACAGGCUUCAUACGCACGAGCUAGUGCAAAUGCUUCCAUUAGAGAAGAAGGCCGAUCAAAAAGCAGCUCACGACGAAUAUCGAGUUUCAAUCCCGUGAUAAAAAAACUUAUCAGAAGUGGUUCUAAAAUUCCAGUCACUCGAUUCAUUAAAUCUUCAAAAGAGGUCUGAAAUUCUGCCACUGUUGUGGUUUGGGAUAACUUAGACAAAUUUCCUUGAGGAUCUUCAUAGAGGGAGGCACCAAAACGAUGUUUAAGGUUCUGCAAAAAUUCUUUCCAGGUUGUCAACAAGCUGUUCAUUUUCAUCCAUUGAUACAACGCUGUCGCGCGUCCUUCCAUAUGAAAAGAAACAAUCCGCAAACGAAGAGUUUUCGGUGUACCGUGGAAAUCAAAGAACUCCUCAAUUCGAAAAACCCACCCGUUUGGGUAAGAUCCAUCAAACUUACGCACCUCCAUCCUCAUAGAACGGAGCACUGGGGACAACUCAAUACCACUGGAAUUUACCUCAUUAGAAGAAGAGGAUGGGUGUGGUGGAUUAGAAACCCGACCUAAGUGAUUGGAAGACCCAUGGAUCUAUGAACGCAAAUCAUCAAAGCGAGAAUCUACCGUGGCCAUAUAUUGUUGCAGCGUUUGAUGCAAGGACAAUGUUUGGCUCUCGAACUGUUCUUGGAUCGUCUUUAAAAGUUCAGAAUCCGUCAUUACGAUAGCAAUGAAAGCACCAAUGAUACACCUCUCUGCAACCAAGGAUGUAUGGAUAAGAUUUGCACUCUUCGAGUGAGGGCUGACUCCAAAAGAAACUCAUGAAGAUGAGCAAGAAUGGGGAGAGAGAUUGAGAGUGAGAGAAGAGUAGAGAAAGUUAAAAAGAAAUGAUUCAUUCUCGAUUCCCCUUACACGAAUUAGUUAUGCUAUACAUAUAUUCCUCUGUCUUUUGGCGUUUAAAAGAAUACAGCUCAGCAUAACUUUGUAACAGAAAAUAUGACAGCAACAUAUACCAGCAAAAUAUAAAGCCCUAUCAAUUUCACUAUACGACAUAAUCUUUAAACCACCUAGGGGGCCUUCUCACUCUUGUGCCUGUGUACCCUUUCUUACGAGCUACUUCUACUUCAACUUGUGAUGAGGCUUCCUUCAUGGGCUGCACACAAUUAGACUCAUCGAUGGGCUGCCCUUCUUGUAAACAAUCCGGUUGAUCCAACUGAAUAUGGGGGGUUGUAUCAAUAUUGUUAUGAAGAAUAUAAUUCGAAAACUACUCGUAACAAGGACAAUAUAUGUUUUAACACAAUUAAGCUCAGACCUCUUUUGCCUUUGCAAUAGGGAAACAAGCGUUGGCCCACACCGCCAUGGAUAUUGCUUAGGUACAGUUUCGACUACUAAUUAAAUUAAUUUCAUAUAUGAAGUGUAAUUACUUUAUUUCCUCGAACCAACUACGUAUCUAACACAAAAUUAGGGACGGUAAUUGCAGAAUUCGCAUAUGUAAAGAAGGCAAGAUUUAUGUAUAGCCGUGAUUUAAUUUGAUAUUCUAUUUCAUUUUUUUGGUUUGUUUAGGAGACUUGCUCUGUAAUACCACAAGCCGCGACAAUUGCUCAUUGGAAUGUCCCAAAGGUUACUUUUCAAAUCCGAGCGUUGGAUACUGCAACCAAAAUCUUAGUAUGCACAAAAAUUCUCUCAAAUUCAUUAUUAUAGGUAAGUAUUGGAAUUUGCAGAUUUUAUCGACAGAAUAACUUACCCCAUAUAUAUAGGCUCACAAACUUAACAGACUAAACAGUUCCUUGGCAUAAAUCACCUCGAAUGUGCAUUAAAUAUUCUUAGCCUGAAGUGUUGCAGGUUGCAGUAGUGGGCUUGGAAUGUUGUUCUUACUAAUUGGAACAUGGUGGUUAUACAAGUUCGUUAAAAGAAGAAGAGAAACCCAGCUCAAGCAAAAUUUCUUUAAAAGAAAUGGUGGUUUAUUAUUGCAACAACAGUCCUCAUCAAAUGAAGGUAAUACUGAGAAAACAAAAUUGUUUACUUCAAUGGAAUUAGAAAUAGCUGCUGACAACUUCAAUACCAAUCGAAUCCUUGGUCAAGGAGUCCAGGGCACAGUGUACAAAGGAAUGUUGGCAGAUGGAAGAAUUGCGGCUGUGAAAAAAUCCAAAUUAGUGGAUGAGGGUAAUGUUGAGCAAUUCAUCAAUGAGGUGGUAGUUUUAACUCAAAUUAACCACAUAAAUAUUGUUAAAUUGUUCAGAUGCUGCUUGGAGACAGAGGUUCCUCUUUUGGUGUAUGAAUUUAUUCCAAAUGGAACUCUCUAUCGAUAUAUACACGACCAAACUGAGGAGUUCACAAUCACAUGGGAACGUUUACGCAUUGAUGUAGAAGUUUCAGGUGCUUUGUCCUAUUUGCAUUCAACUACUUCUAUUCCUAUUUAUCAUCGAGACAUCAAGUCUGCAAAUAUACUUUUGGAUGAUAAAUUUCGAGCAAAAAUUUCAGAUUUUGGGGCUUCUAGAUAUGUCACGAUUGAUCAAACUCAUUUGACCACACGAGUACAAGGAACUUUUGGAUAUCUAGAUCUAGUGUACUUUCAGUCAAGUCAAUUUACAAAGAACGGUGAUGUUUAUAGUUUUGGAGUUGUUUUUGUUGGGCUUUUAACUGGACAAAAACCUAUCCGUUCAACUGACAUCGAAGAAGAUAAAAGUUUAGCAGGGUAUUUUCUCCGAGCAAUGAAAGAGAACUGUUUGUUUGAUAUGCUUGAUGCUUAAGUUCUUAAGGAAGCCAAGGAAGAAGAGAUUAUUACCAUUGCUAUGCUUGCAAAAAGAUGCUUGAACUUGAAUGGGAGGAAGAGACCUACAAUGAAAGAAGUAGCAUUUGAAUUAGGGGGCAUUAGAGCUUCAAUCGGACCUCAAAAUUGUGAAGGCAUUGAUUUUGUGGGUGGCAAUUUUAAAACUGGUUCAUCUUCCACAGGGGCAAUUUUAAAUGCUGUUGCUUUUUCUGUAGAUGCUGACCCUUUGUUUUCAAACAAGUGGUGAUUAAAGGGAAAUUCUUCCCUUUGAAAUGUAAUUAUUUCAUUUCAAAAUAAAUUUAGUUGUGGACUUUUGCAUUAUGCUUCUCUUAUGGUUAAAAUUUUUCACUCUAGAUCAAAAUAUACAGAGUUUGAUGUUCACUUUGUAAGUAGUCAGUGGAGAAAUAAAUUUACAAGGUAGAUUCCAAAAAAGCAUCUGGUGGCAGACAUAUUUAAAGAUUUAAGAAGUAAACCUCUAAUGCUACCAUUAUUUAGGGGCCCUGUGCAUCAAGAAACAGAGGACCCUGCACUCGAACUUUGAAGCUGAAGGAGUUGGACAUCUCAGCAUCUGAGUCUGCAUACAAGUGGAACAGGAGAUGCUGACAUGACAUCCUACGUGGAACUUAUGCGACACAUAUAAUGAGUCCAAUUCGUUCCUAGUUCAUACGCUUACAUUGUAACCCCGUUCUGUGUUUCCAGUACCAUUGGUGAAUCAUCACUUCGUGCCAUUGUAUUGCUAAUAGCACCUUUGCCUUGAUUGAUUUUGCUGACAAUAUGUAGGUUGCAUUUGGAACUGAGGUGCUAUAACUUUUAAUCUGCAGUUAUUGUGGAGUAAAAGUCAUAGUUGUGGUGUACAAGCUAAUGGUGUUGGGUAAAUUUUAAUAGUUGUGGAGUGGAAGCUAUAGUGUUUGGUAAAUUUUAAUACAUGUAGAGUGGAAAUUGAUG
RNAcentral lists this long non-coding RNA (245630 nucleotides) under Citrus x clementina. RNAcentral's name for it is "Citrus clementina (C. clementina) long non-coding RNA (CCLE_LNC004034)". The stretch from base 206636 to 206742 matches the Rfam family "Plant small nucleolar RNA R71". The record is from RNAcentral. Lineage: Eukaryota; Viridiplantae; Streptophyta; Magnoliopsida; Sapindales; Rutaceae.